Molecule: long non-coding RNA, 324458 nt
Filed under: Arabidopsis lyrata
Lineage: Eukaryota; Viridiplantae; Streptophyta; Magnoliopsida; Brassicales; Brassicaceae
Description: long non-coding RNA (ALYR_LNC000467)
Rfam family: Small nucleolar RNA snoR9 (bases 98746-98860)
Source: RNAcentral
AAAAAAAAAAAAAAAAAAAGAAUAUAUAAUGUCAAUUAUUCCAGAUAAAACUCGAUAAACAUAACACACUUUCUAAAGUUUAAAUUACAUAUUUUAUACACUUAAUAUGUUCCGCAAAAUUUAGAUUAUAUAUUUUAUACAUUUUGCAUGGACUACGAAAAAUAGAAAUUAUUUAUGAUUUACAAUAUUUUAAAUUUCAAUUUCUACAAUAUUUGAAAUAGAUAUACUAUACUUUAAACUAUGUUAUACGGAAAUUAUAAUAUGUUGUCUUAUCUUCACCUUACGUUCUAAGAAUGUUAAAAACGUUUUCUUAUGUUUUCUCCUAUAUGUUAUAUGAAAAUUAUAAAAUAAAUUAUGUUUAACUUAGAAUUCCUUUUAAAAAAUUGACUCAUAAAAUAAGAAAUUGAAAAAAAACAUAUAUAUAUAUAUAUAUAUAUAUAUAUAUAUAUGUUUGGAUUAUGUCUGCAAAUUUCGAAGAAGAAGAGAUUAAAGCUGAGAUUCGAAGAGGAAGAGGAGAUUGAGUAUGUAAAAUAAACGACAGCAGAAUGAGAGGAAUAAACAAAAUUAAUCGGUAGCGGAAUGAAAGGAAGACUGAGGCUUCGAAUGGUAAAAGUAGUUCAAGCGUUGCAGAUCUUGCAGAAGAUGCAGGACAAGUGCAGAACAUGCAGAACAUGUAGGACAAGUGCAGAUCAUGCAGAUCAGGCAGUUCAAAUAUGAGUUCGAAUGGUGAAAGUUGUUCAACAUGUGCAGAUCAAAUUAUUAAAUAAUAAAUAGUACACAAUAUAACUAAAAAUUUAUUAAGAACUACAUAUUGUUAUAAACUUUAUUAAAAAAAUAAAUAUAUAAAAUACAGUUUUAUUUUUAGUUUAUUUUUUAUUUUAUUUUAUAUAAUGUUAUAAUAUAUUAUGCUAUGUAUAAAUAAAAUCAUAUAAAACUAAAAUAUAUUAAUCUAUUAAAUAAUUUAAAAUAUUAAUCAUAAAAUAUCCAAAUACAACACAUAACGGUGAAAAAAAAGACAACACAUAAGAAAAAACAAAUUAAAUUUAAUGAAAAGUAUUUUGAUUUGCCCAUAACAUAUCUGCAAUAUUUUCUCUUAUAUUUGCCAUAUGAUUUCCAUCAGGUAUACCACCACUCUCCAUGUCAUCUAGAUCAUUCUCAGAAUUUACGUUGUUGAUAUUUGUAUCUCCCAUCACUUCAACAAAAUCUUCGUCAAAAUAAUUCGAAAUUCUGAUAAAAUUAUGUAGUCUCAUUGUAGCCAUUACCACUUUUUUUUUAACAUCAAUAUCAUAUCUGGGAAAAUCACUUAGAAUCCUCCAUUUUUUCUUCCAAACUCCAAAUGUUUUUUCAGUAACAGAACGUAGAGAUGCAUGGCAUCGAUUAAACAACUCUUGUUUAUUUCUUGGAGGAGGACCAUUGUAGAACUGUGACAUGUGAUACCUAACAACCCCGUUCCGCGAAGAUCUAUAAGGUGCCAAAAAGCCUUGUUUAUUUGGAUACCCAGAAUCAACUACAUAAUACUUGUCUCUCGGAGGCAAAGGAAAUUCAGAAUCAUUAUCUUGUGCCAUCGUUAGAACUGCUGUAUCGUGACAUGAUCCAGGUGCUCCGUUCCAAACAUAUGUAAACAACAUAUUUAUAUCACAUAUUGCCAUGAUAUUAAACGAUGUUCUAUCGUGUCGAUUCCAAUACAUUCCUUGUAGUUCCAGGCUUCACCUUAACACAUACAUGAACUCCAUCUAUAGCUCCAACAAAUCCACUAAAAUAUGGCCAAUAUCUUCGAUCCAUUUGCAGUUUUUCAGGAAUUCGACGUAGUUCUUGUCUUGUUGGAGUCUUGAUAUAAUCACAAGUAAGUAACUUUGUUGCUCUAAGGACUUCAAAAAAUUUCCGAUUCACUGUUUCUUGCGUUCGUCCAAAUCGUAACCCAACAUCUCUUUGAACUUCAUUGUGUCCACAUAUACGUAAAAACAUGGCGACACUCUCUUCAAUGCUAACAUUCAAUGUAGGUUGUAAUCCAUAACUUGUUUCCAUUUUGUCACAUAAUGAUCUAAAACAAUCAAGAGACAUUCGUAGUAACUGAAGACAAGCAGCACUAUCUUCUUGUACUCGACGCCAAAUAUUUCUCCAUCCCAACCCGCCAUCUGUUUGAAUUGGUCCUCUUUCAAAGUGUCGAUUGUAGUAACUCAAUGACGGUUGAAUUAUUAACUCUUCAAAUUGCUCAUUUUCCAAAUUCCAUAACUCAAUUCUCUCUUCAUAAUUUAGAUUGUAUACACCUUGUGAUCGCAAUUGGCAUAUACGAAAAGCCUGAAAUUUUUACACAGUAAACAAAAAUAAACUAAUGAAAAAUAACGUAAAUCAACAGUACUAGUACAUUCUGACAUUACAAAAAUAUAAUGCAAAAUAAAACAUAAAGACAACUAAAAAGCGCAAGCGCUAUUGAACUAGUUCUCAGAUGCUGAAUCACUUUGAUGCGUUUCAUUUAAAUUUGGUCCUCCCUCAGAUCCCCAAAUGUUGAAUAAUCCUGCUCGUCUUCGUGGUCGUGAUGUCCUUGUUGUAGAAGAAUAAUUCGUGAAUCCAAAUUCUGGUGAUACUCCCCUAACCACGUUUUCGGCUGAAGGAACUUCUUCUUCAUGUGAAACUCUUUGGUGAAUAUUUGUUGUAGUUUCCUCUUCCGUUCCCAAUGAAAAUCCACGUUGAACAUUUGUUGGAGGGAUAUAUUGUGCAGCAUUUUGUGAUGAACCCCAUUGUGGGACAUUUUGGUGAUGCAUGUCCAUAUUAUAAAAACAUAUCCUUUUAAAAAUCAUUUUUUUUACGUUACUAUAUUUGUAAGUAUAUAUAAAAAUAUUUUUUACUUUUUUUAAGCCACGAAGCUGUAUUUAUUAGAAUAUUGCAAAGUAAAGAUGUAGUAACAAAUUAGAAAGGUAAAUAUAUAUUUGGAAGAAAUUAUAUUGAUAGGUGAAUCUAUAUAUGAUUAAAAAAUGUUUAUUUAUAUUGUUUGGCUAAUAUGUUCACUAAUAUUCUACUUCAUGUAAACACAAUCUUGAUCUCCGUUAUUGCAAGAAAAAUAAGAAAUAUUCUAUCAAUACAUUUGACAUUAACAUCAAAGAAAAUUAUAACAAACAAAAAAAUGUAUACCUGUAGACAAAACUUUAUGUGAUCUUCAACGUCAAUAUUUCCACAUGAACCAGCACACUGCCACAUGAAAAAUAUUUUAUGAGAAAUAGUAUUUUUACCAAUGUAAUUAUUAAUACAUAAAAAAUAAAAAUUAAAAGAAAUUCUAUGAAUUUUUUAAAAAUCUUAAAAAUAUACCAAAAUGACAUACAUAAAACUGAUUUACUAAUUUGUUUAAUCUCUAGAUUAUAAUACUUUAAAAAAAUAGACUAGUAAUAGAAAGUAGACAAUCAUAACAAUUUAUGAGAAAGAUAAUUUUAUACUAUAUCUAAAUAAAUAAAUACCAUAAUAUUUAUUUUUAAUUUUUUGAAAAAGAAAAAAAUAUUUUCUAAAUGAAAAGAGAGAGCAACGUACAAGAGUGAGAAAGCAAUUUUUUUUUUUAUGGUUUGUGGUGUGUGUAUAAGUAAGUACAAAGGAGAUGUGUUAUUUUAUAGAGGAUAAGAAAGACUAUUUAAUUAAAUUUUCGUUCUAAAAAAAAAAAAAAUUAAAACUGCCGUUGGACCACACCAAUUAUCUGGUGGGUGAGAACUGCAUUGAUUCUUCUGUUUUUAUCACUAAAAAACAAAAUUUUAUUACUCUGCAUGCAGUCAACUCUGCUUUUUAUCUUUUUCUGAAUGGCACAUUAAAAGCAGGAGAAACACAUUCAUUGGUCAUCUGCACUUUAUCUGCUACGCCAUUCAAUGCCUGAAUGAGCAAGAAAAAAAAAUGUUGAGAAAUUAAAUUGGUUUAGGAAACUGAGGGUACAAUAGAACUCCAUUAUAUUAAAUCAUAUGUCACCAAUCUUUACCCUAUAAUGCAUAUAUGGAUUAAAAACAAAUAUUUUGAAAACUUCUUUCUCCAAAUUUUUAUUUUUUGUUCAAGUACUUGAAAAUUUUAUCAUGCUACAAAUAAGCAUAUAGAUUCAUUUAACUUUUUCACAUAGAUUUAUAUCGGAUAAAAAAAUAUUUGGGUUUUCUUUUGCUAUUUCGUUCAAAUAAGAAUUUUUUUAGGUGUCUCAUUUUUAGAUUAAAAUUUAAAUUUAAAUCAUAUUAACUAAAAUGUAUUAAUAUUUUGUAUAUAUUUUAUUAAACUUUUAAUAAUUUUCAGACAAAUUUUGGUUAAUUUUGUAUAUUCAGUUUGGUUAAAGAAAUUUUGGUCACGAUUUGGAUAAACGUCGGUUUAUUUAUUAUAAAAAUUUAUAAAUUAUUUAGACAUAGUUUGACCCAUUUAUAGAUCAGUCACAAACCUUGGAUCCUCCUCAAACACCAUGUCAUAUAGAUUUAUCUUCAAAAUCUACAGAUUUCUAAAAAGAAAAUAUGAAUUAAAUAUAGAUAAUCCAGCGUCUCGAUGAAUCACUUCAUAUGCGAAGAAAUCCUAUCUGAUCUCUAAAGAGGCAAAAUAAAACAAAAAAAAAAUUCUGAGAUUGUGGUAUUGGCUGAGGAAAGAAAAAAACUACCUCCACGGGAAACAUUGACAUUCUCUUUUUUGCUGGGAGGCUUCGUAAUUUGAGUAAGAUUUAGCAUCACAAAAUAAAGGUUCUUGAAUGACUAUUAUCUUCAUUGACUUCAAGAAAAUAAAAUGUUACCAAUUUUCAAAAGAGAUGUGAAAAAUCAGGUGGAGAAAGGUUUGGCAUUCGAGAAGCUUACCAAAUCAGUUUAUUUAUUAUAAAAUUAAUAAUUAUUUGGUAUUGGGUUGAUGAAUUUUGGUUUGGUAAAUUUUGGUUUGAAUUUAAUUAUUUCAAAUUUUAGAGAUGGGCCAAAUUAAUGGUGAAACUUUUGGUGUAUCAUUCACUUGUUUUGUGACAUUGUUGGAUAUUGAUCAUUGGAGGCAAGAGGGUAAACAAAGUGUUCAUCACAUAAGAUAUAAUUGUAGUUAUUAAAAACAACGUUGUGAUAUAUUUAAUGAACCUAUGACGCACAAGUUAAAAUAUUGCAGUUAAAACCAGUGACGAAUUUUCUUGGGGUCAAAAUUAUAUAAAACAAAAAAAAAAUACUAAAAUGUAUUUUAUAAACGACUUUUUCUUAAUAAUUAUAAGCCAAGAUUUAUGAGUACAUGGCCCGAAAUGCUGUAUUAUAGAUUUGGGUUCAAUUUAUAAGGAUCAAGUAUAUUUUAGCUAGAAAAAUGUGGGGUUUUGGUCUCUUUUUUAAAUAAAACAUGAGUUUAAAUGAAUAAAUGGUUUAUAGGGGUCAAUGUAUGAUUUUCAAUUGGGUCAACUGUACAGAUUCUAAAAAGAACAUAAAGGGUAAUUAAAGUUUGUUGGGAUCAUCCACUAAACUUGCCUCCGCCACUGGUUAAAACUAGGCCAGUGAUCAUAAACAUAUUAAUGAUGUUCGCGCUUGUUUAUGAGUUCUAGCCAUUUCUAUUGUCAUUUGUGUUAUUUGGAACUUUAGAUAUUGCUUAUGACAUUCUUUAGAUAGCAUCUUCUCUCUUUGAUGGAUGUGUUUUUAUGUUGAGUUUAGAUUAGUAUCUCAAGAUGUUUGUCUUUUUGGAUCUGGAUACCGGAUCCAUAUAUUUUGGAAUGGAUAAAUGAAUUUUUUUGAUUUCACGCAUGAACCAAGUAGUUAGUAGAUUAAUGUAUAGCAACUAGCAAGCGCCCGUAAACACGCAAUUAGAGCAAAUGGUGUUGGUGAACAAAAACAAAAAUGAGUCAUGUACUGUCUCUCGGGAAAUAAGUAUAACGUAUCUACAUGUUUGUUCAUGAUAUAUUUUACGGAGCAUUGAUUGGUUGUUUAUAACAAGUUGUUAUCUUAGGACCUCCCGAACUAUAUUGACGUGAAAUGUUGAUUCCACGAAAUUCACAAUACAAAUCUCAAAUUUUGUUACAAUUCGUUUUAUAGUUUGCUAACUUAAUAUUUUAAAGUGUGCAUUAAUUCAUUUUAUAGUUUAAUUAUAUAUAUAUAUAUAUAUAUAUAUAUAUAUAUUUGGAAAACAAUAAGAAAGAAAGAAAGUAGACAGCAACUCUUGUCUCUCUCUCUCACCAAACAUCCGAGUCAACGUAUUUCACCAACCGGUACAACUAAAAAAUACACACCUACGAAAAUAAUAAAAUCAACUUACCAGAUUGUUACGUACCACACAUCUCUAUAUCCCUUCGCCAACCAACGUUCCCCACGUGCUCCCCCGGUUGGUACUCACGUGACCGGCAGCUUCUCGUUCUUAUUAUCUGUUUUCUUCAAUAACGAUUCAUAAUCUAUUGUGUCUUAUUUAUAAUCUCUUCACAUCACAAAGAUUUGUACCGAACCUACAAUAGCAAAAUAUUUCCCUAAACACAAUUCAUCUUUUUAUAAAGAAAAACAAAAAUGGUUAGUCAGACAGAGACCGUGUGUGUAACGGGCGCUUCGGGAUUCAUCGGUUCAUGGCUAGUGAUGCGAUUACUCGAACGUGGUUACUUUGUUCGUGCCACUGUGCGCGAUCCUGGUACAUCACUAUAUAUUCAUUCAAACUCGUUUCUUCUAAGAUUCUAUAAUUAUAACAUUAAUUUACGGUUUUUUGGGGAUUAUAAAGGGAAUUUGAAGAAAGUGCAACAUCUUCUUGAUUUGCCAAAUGCCAAGACGCAACUCACUUUAUGGAAGGCUGAUUUAUCUGAGGAAGGAAGCUACGAUGACGCCAUAACCGGAUGUGACGGUGUUUUCCACGUGGCAACUCCCAUGGAUUUUGAAUCAAAAGAUCCUGAGGUGAGUUUCUAUAUUAUAUGAACUUCUUUUGGUUUUUUGCAUCAACCUUAAAUUAAAGUUUUGUUUCUUUUUUACGAAUCAGAACGAAGUGAUAAAACCGACAGUGAAUGGAAUGUUGGGGAUUAUGAAAGCAUGUGUUAAGGCAAAGACUGUACGAAGAUUCAUAUUUACUUCAUCUGCUGGAACUGUUAAUGUAGAAGAACAUCAGAAGAGUGUCUACGAUGAAAACGAUUGGAGCGAUCUUGAGUUUAUCAUGUCCAAAAAGAUGACAGGAUGGGUAAGAAUAUACAUAUUAAUUAAACUCAAUUUAGUGUUAAUCUUCUUCCAAGUAAUUUAAAGUUCAUAUAUGUUUGUGGCAGAUGUAUUUUGUGUCGAAAACAUUAGCCGAGAAAGCAGCGUGGGAUUACGCCGAGGAAAAAGGAUUAGAUUUCGUUAGUAUUAUUCCAACAUUGGUGGUCGGUCCAUUUAUAACAACAUCUAUGCCGCCUAGCCUCAUCACCGCGCUCUCUCCUAUCACUCGUAUGUACACCCUUCUUCUUUUGUUGGAAAUGUGAAAAUGUUAAAUCUAAAACGAUGAUAUAUUAUAAUGUUUUAGGGAACGAGGCACAUUACUCGAUUAUAAGACAAGGACAGUAUGUGCAUUUGGACGACUUAUGCAACUCUCAUAUCUUCUUAUACGAACAAGAAGCUGCCAAAGGACGUUAUAUUUGUUCCUCUCACGAUGCUACAAUUCUUACUAUCUCAAAAUUUCUCAGGCAAAAAUACUCCGAAUACAACGUGCCUUCAACGUAAGAUAUAUCCGUUUAAGCCUGAUCUUUUUGUUCAACCAAAAUCUUUCGGUCCAUAUAUAAUAUCUUCGUCCUAAAACAUUCUUUGGAACAGGUUUGAAGGUGUGGAUGAGAAUCUAAAGAGCAUUGAGUUCAGUUCCAAGAAGCUGACUGACAUGGGGUUUAACUUCAAGUAUAGUCUCGAGGAAAUGUUAAUUGAGUCUAUUGAGACAUGUCGUCAAAAGGGUUUUCUCUCGGUUUCUUUACCGUACCAAUCCAUAUCGGAGAACAAAGGUCCGACGAAGGAUGACAAUAUUGAGCUCAAAGCCGGAGAUGGUUUAACCGAUGGUAUGAUGCCAUGUAACAAGAUAGAACCGGGGCUAACCGGCGAGAGAACCGAUGCUCCCAUGCCAGCAGAACAGAUGUGUGCUUAGAAAAUUCAAACGUUAUAUUAUAUUGUCAUAUCGCUUUACUAUUGGAGGUGUCAUUAAUUUGGCUUUGUUUUAUGUUACUAAUCAUAAUUUAUCAUUUGCGAGUGAUAUGAACUGAUUUAUGUUUUAUAGUAUGUGCUAGUAUCGUGUGUGAGUGUAACGGUAUGAAUGAACCUAUAUACUUAUUUAAAGAGUGUUGUCUUUGAAUCGACUGAACUUUACAAGUUAUAUUUGUUACAACAAACCUUAAGAUGAUUUGAUCUUUAUUUUUUUUUGUAUGAAUGUAAAAUUAUAUCCAACAAAAAAACUGUUUUACAAUAAAUGCAUCAUUUUAAAUAGAGAGAUUGAAAAAAUCAAAAACAUCUUAGUUGUUAUCGGGUAUACAGGUAUGGAACCAAAACCGCAAUCCGCCUUCGAACUUAGCAUUGACCAGUUGAAUGGAGCUGAACUGGUUCCUAACAUUUUCAUCAAUGAGUUAGACAAGUUUUGAGGCCGGAGUUGCAGGCUCCCCAUGACGUCUACCGUUGCGCUCUCUCCAUAGACUAUGGAUGGAUGUUAGAAACACAUACCGCAAGGUGAAGACUUCAAGAUGAGACCGAGAAGCAUCAAGUAGGUGCUGAGUGAUUACGCCCCAGCUCGCCGUGUAUCUCUGGUUGAGAAGACCACCGGUUAGAGGAUGCCAAAUCUUGGAAGAGUAGGGACAUGAGAAAAACAAAUAUUCACGUGUCUCCAAUUCUGCGCUGCAAAAAACACAACCAACUCGAGCAUCUCUGUAAAAAAUCCAUGUUAUUGGAAUGGUCUUUGUAAAAAAAUCCAUGUUAUUUAUUUUGACAGUUAAAUAUGCACUAAUCAUUCAACUAAAAGAUGAUGCUAUAUCUGUUGGUCCGACCAACUUGGUCGUAAUUGAGUUUGUAAUGUAUUAAGUCAGUUAUUAAUUAAAAGUCAUGAUGUUUAAGCUAUUUCGUGUUGUCCAAAAGUCACAAGUAGAAGAGAUGCAACUCUUUGUGUCUGUUGUUUGUCUAUUUAAACUUCAUAACUAUGAUGUAAACACACAAAUUUCCUACUCUGUUUUAACAAGAAGUAAACACUUACAGUAUAACCUCUAUAAAUUAAUACCCUACAAAUUAAUAAACACGAUAAAAUAAUAAAUUUUGCUUGUUCCGAGUUGGACCAACCAAAUUCGAUAAGAUAAUAAGAUAAUAAGUUUUUCGAAAUUCUUAUAUAAAAAUAUGGUCACAAUAAUAUCACAAAUUAAUAAUCAUGCAAAUUAUAUAUAAUAUAUAUAUAUAUAUAUAUAUAUAUAUAUAAUUUUUAGUGUUUUUCAUAAUGGGGAAAACGUCAAAAAAAUCAUGAACUUUCAAAUUUGGGACGAUUUAAUCAUGAACUACGAAGAAGACAUAUAAAUUGUAAAGUUUUUCUUGACUUUAAAAUUAAUUAGCAAAGUUUGGUUGACUACCCAUUUUAGACAUAGAGUUAAGUAGGCUAACAGAAAACGAUUACGGUGUUAAACUCCCGUUUGUCUUCUCUGUUAUGUCAAAACGAUAUCAUUUACUGUAGCAACAAAACCUAAAUCCCCAAAUCGUUUUCAUUCCCUAACCCUAGAAUUUCUCUGUCGCUCCCUCUGUUGAAAUUGGCUCCUGGAUUUCUUCCUUUCAAUCUGCUCCAAUGAGUUCAAGCUCUGUCACAUCAGGUGUCGUCGAAGAUCGUGGUGUUCCGUCGAAGUGUGUGUGGUUUAGAUGUCAAGAUCUUCACAUCAAAAACGCAAGAGAACCCAGGAGCGAGAGAGAGAAUGGGGAUUCUAGGGUUAGGGAAUGAAAUCGAUUUGGGGAUUUAGGUUUAUGUUUCCCAAAAUCGUCUAAACGACUUCGUUUUGUAGGUACAGUAAACGAUAUCGUUUUGAAAUAACAGAGAAGACAAACGGUAGUUUAACACCGUAAUUGUUUUCUGUUAGCCUACUUAACGCUAUGUCUAAAAUGGCUAGUCAACCAAACUUUGCUAAUUAAUUUUAAAGUCAACAAAAACUUUACGAUUUAUGUGUCUUUCUCGUAGUUCAUGAUUAAAUCGUCCCAAAUUUGAAAGUUCAUGAUUUUUUUGACAUUUUUCCCUUUUCAUAAUAGCCAAACUUUUCGGUAAGUUUUCAAAUUUUGAAUAUGCAUAAAUUUUUUGUUUUAAUAGUCGAAUAGAUUUCUCAAAUACAACAAUUAAUGUCAUUAUUUAUAAAUUUGAGUUUAUAAAUAUCGUUUAUAUAUGUGAAUUCUAAAAUCUUUGUUAUUCAUUUUCAAAAAUUUGUUUUAUCUUCUAAAUAUUAAAUGUUUAGAUCUAAAACUCUAGAACUUAAAAGUUGAAACUGAAAACUCUAGAAUUUUAAAAAGUCAGAUUAAACAUGAAUAAAGUCGAUCAUUGUAGUUACAUGAUGACAUUCGAUCUAUAAGAAAAUCUUGUUUAUCCUCGAUUCUUUUUUUCUUAAUAUUCUGAAAAUGUUGUCAUUUAUAAGCAUAUGUCACAUUUUUUCUAAUUUUAAGUUUAAGAGAUUCACGACAACCACGUAAAUCACUAUUUUUGUCGUAUAUAGAACACACCCAAAAAAAAAGAUAUUAUAUUGUAUUUAGUGUUCCGCUCUUUGCUAAGUCUCAUUUUUGGGCCGACUGCGUCUUUGGCCCAACUUUUGAUAUAUUUUAAAUUGAAUUGAUGGACUUUUAAUGAGGUUAGUGGGGCGAAUUUCAUGUGAAGAGUCGAGAUCCAACAUUUAUGCUGAAACUAAAAACCGAACCAAAACAUCUAACUGAAACCACGUCGAGGUCUUUUUUUUUUUUUUUUUUUUUUUUUUUUUUUUUGUCAACAACUUUAUUAGAUUAGCUUAUACAAGCUAAUUUUGGGGAAUAUUGAAACCACGUCGAGGUUUGAUCAUUUCGAUUUAAUUUCGAUUAUUACAAUAGAGGUUAUCACUACUAGAAAACAUGGCAUAUUCCAACAAAUGUUUCUAACAAUCGAAUUUUGUUGGAAAUUUCCAAUGAAUAUCCCAUAAAAUUACGUUUAGUAUUAUAUUUGUUAGAAAUCUAUUGUAAAUUUCCAACAAAUUUAAGUUGUGGCAAGUACAUCACAUAAUUUAUAGAAAAAUUGUGGAAAUUUUCCAACAAAUACUAUAUUGUUGGAAAUUCAGUGCAAAUUUGCAACAAAUUAUAAUUGUGACAAUUACAUUGCAUACUUUGUAGGAAAGUCGUUGAAAAUCUCCAAGAAAUAUUAUAUCGUUGGAAAUUCAUUACAAAUUUUAGUUGUGGUAAUUACGUUGUAUAAUUUGUAUGAAUAUUAUUGGAAUUUUCCAACAAAUAUUAUAUAUUGUUGGAUAGAAGCAAUAACUUUUAAGUUGUUGGAAAAUUCUAACAAAAUAUUUGUUUUCUAGUAGUGUAUCUUGACACUCCAAGGCGAGGAAUCCAUCAAGUGUGCCUAAUGCAGUGGCGAUGACAUAGUGUCCACCAAGAGGAAUGAACUCAAGUUCAGAAUUAGAAGGAUUAUAGAGGUUUCCCUAAAAAAAAAAACAAAAAGUUAAAAAUUAGUGGGAUUCUGAGAUCAAGUAUUAAUCCACAAAAACAAAGAUGGGAAAUCAAAUGCUUUAGAAAAUAUAUGAAAGUAAACUAAGAAGCAGAAUUAAAAUACAAUUCCUGACCUGAGUGGUGUAAUAAGAAGGAUACACUUCGAAUUGAAUACUGAGUGGUCCUCCCUCCCUGAGCUGAUACUCCAACUCUUGAUGAAACAUUGAUACACCAUCCUCACCACCAUAGUCCGCUAUGUAAUCAUAGAUAGAAUGAACGUCACAAAUGCUUGGGAUAAUUCUCUCACAUCCCUGUAUCAAGGGAAAACAACAUUAAUUAAAGGUUAAUUUAACAAAGAGAGAAGAGAAUGAAGGAGAGAGAACAUUUUACCUCAGUCGUUGUGCUCUCAUCCAGGAAAAUCUGCUCCUCAGUGAUAGGACAAUCUUCUUCGUAUACUAUUCCACUCUCUCUAAAAUGAUGGGCAAGAGCAUAAACAUUUAAAAUUCCAACUUCAUUAUCUAUAAAAGGACCAACUACACCAUGUUCAUCGUAAUAAUGCCUCGGCGUGGAAUUCAUUAACUCCUGGAUAGACAAGACUUUAGCAAUAUUGAUAGAAGCCUGAGUUCCCAACCAUUUCUUCAUCUUUCGAACCAAUUGUACGUAUUAUGAUAGAAUCGAUAGGCUCAAGUACUAUAAAAUACAUUUGGUUUAUAGCUCAUGUCAUGAUGUCAAAUAAUUGAAAUCAGAAUUCAAAAUUGACAUAAAAAUUAGAAAAGAUUGCAAUAUUCUUUUUUAUUUUGCAACCUAUUAUUUUAUUAAAUUAUAUUUGGUGAUAGUUUACAGAUAAUAAAGAAAUAUCAAUUUCCACAAUUAAAACUACAGAGGCAGGUCUGGUCUAAUGGUUCAAAUCCAGGUGGUUCACACGAUCCUUUAACUCCUACUCCUUUCCACUUGGUAGAACACUCUUGGUUACACUGAUUAAUUUCACAGUGUUCUGCUUGAAUAUAGUCAUGACAUGUUUUGCCUUGCGUCUCCUCCAUCACCAUUCCUAAUAAUACAUUUUAAAACAUAUACUAAUAUCAUUUUAAUUAUUUUUUGUUACAAAAAUAAAAAGUUGAUGAACAGAAAACCAACAAAAAAAAGAGAGAGAAACACAGAAUAUUUAAUAUAUUUUAAGUGUAGAGCAUACCAAUAACUAAGAGAACCAUGAAAAUUGUGAGAGCAGUGUUUUUAGUCAUCUUUGAUGAUACAAUUAAAACAAAAAUGAUGGAUGUAAUUGUAUUGUGAAUGAUGUGUAUAUAUAUAUGAUAAGUUGGAUGCAUGCAUCUAUAUUUACAAAACUAUCAUGAAUUAUAAAAAAUAUAAAGUAAUCAGUUAGUAAUUAAUUAGAUGCUUGAAUUAGUGUUAACCCAAAAAAAAGAGCAAAGAAAUCUGUUAGUAAUUAAUUAGAUGCUUGAAUCGGAAAAAACCAUCAAAAGACAUAUCUAGAAAUUAAUUAAAAGUGAAAACAUAUAAGCAGGUUAUAAAUCAUAAUAGAUGCUGACUUUAAUUAAACUAUGUCAUAAAUGAAUAAAAAUAUGAUAAACUCAACAAAUAUUAAAUAGAUGCUGUUAAAAACAUAUAUAUAUAUAAUAUGAAAUAUAUUUAAUUAUUAUUUUUAUAUGAUAACUAAUAUUGAAGGUUUGCUUAAUCAUGUUUAAGUAAUUUAUUAGUUUAAAUGUAGGGCAUUUGCAAAAAAUACCUUUUUUCCUAAGCCUUUUUCGAAAAUACAUCUUCCUAUUGUCCAUUUUUAUUUUAUAUACACAAUGACUAAAUUACUAUUUUUAAAGUGAGAGCAGAUAAUGAGCCAAAAUUUAUUUUUCCCGCUAAAACAUUUCCGUAGAGGUCAAAAUCUUCCCGCUAUAAAAAUUUCCGCCAAAAUUUUCCAGGCCCAAAUUUUCUUGCCANNNNNNNNNNNNNNNNNNNNNNNNNNNNNNNNNNNNNNNNNNNNNNNNNNNNNNNNNNNNNNNNNNNNNNNNNNNNNNNNNNNNNNNNNNNNNNNNNNNNNNNNNNNNNNNNNNNNNNNNNNNNNNNNNNNNNNNNNNNNNNNNNNNNNNNNNNNNNNNNNNNNNNNNNNNNNNNNNNNNNNNNNNNNNNNNNNNNNNNNNNNNNNNNNNNNNNNNNNNNNNNNNNNNNNNNNNNNNNNNNNNNNNNNNNNNNNNNNNNNNNNNNNNNNNNNNNNNNNNNNNNNNNNNNNNNNNNNNNNNNNNNNNNNNNNNNNNNNNNNNNNNNNNNNNNNNNNNNNNNNNNNNNNNNNNNNNNNNNNNNNNNNNNNNNNNNNNNNNNNNNNNNNNNNNNNNNNNNNNNNNNNNNNNNNNNNNNNNNNNNNNNNNNNNNNNNNNNNNNNNNNNNNNNNNNNNNNNNNNNNNNNNNNNNNNNUUAUUUUUGGCAGGAAAUUCACUUAAAAAGAGGGUAAAAUGGCAAGAAAAUGGGGCAUUUUUGAAAAAAAGGUAUCAAAGAAACGGUAUUUCUAACAAUUUUUCAGAAUAAAUUAGUAAUUAAUUGGAAGCUUAAAUCGGAAAAAACUAUGAAAAAAAAUUGAAAACAUAUCCAUAAAUUAAAUAAAAGUGAAAACGAAUAAGACUGUUAUAAAUCAUAAUUGAUACUACAUCAUAAAUGAAUAAAAAUUUGAUAAAGUCAACAAAUAUUAAAUAGAUGCUAGAAACAAAACCUAAAUAUAUAAAACAUGAAAUAUAAUAUUUAAUAAUCUAAUUUAAAACUUUAAAAUGAUAAUUCAUAUUGAUGGUUUGCUUAAUCAUGGUUCUUGCCUAACACAAGAGAAGAUUUACACUUGAUGGAGUACCAAAAGAAUCGUAGACAAUAGAUGGACAUUAAUUCUACAUCAAAUUCAAGCUUAGAAGGAGCAUAUAAAAAGUAGGCGCUUCCUUAAUUCCUCCUCAACAUUACAUAUAGAAGGCAAGUUUGUUCUACAACGAAACUCCACCAAGAAAUCCUAUCAAAGGUUGGGUUGCGGUUAAGAACUAUUAGAAUCAUAUAGUUAGUCUCAUGUUGAUAAUACUUGUAGAUAAUAGCUUCUGGUUUAACCACCUAAUUAAUCAUCUAAUUAAGGUGAUUUUAUUGGUUUAAUUCUGGUUUAGUUGGUUUGUUUUACUAUACAUUGUUGUAACAAUUAACCUUUCUUGAUCAUUAAUGAGAAUCAGAGAUUUCACCAUGUUUCUCUCUCGAUCCAUGGUUACUAAUAUGGUAUCAGAGCAUUUUUUGCUUGCGUUUCUCUGAAUUUCUUCGAUUUCUCAUCGAUUUCUCAUUGUUUUUCUUCAUCUUCUUCGUUUUUCACCGGCGGAUUGUUGCAUCGAUUCCGGAUCUGUGUCAAAUUUGAGCUUGAACGGAGCAGAAUCACCUUCUGAGCUUCCGAUUUAGCUUCUUAUCGCACAUUUGAGCUUCGAUUCACUCGUCAUGGGGAAACAAAAGAAGAAAACACCAAAUCGGAGCAAAUCUCCGGUCUCGGAGUACUCUCCGAUGAAGACUCGAGCUGGAUCUUCGUAUCCAGUUGCCGAUGACAUCGUUGAUGCUCCUUCUCUUACUUACGCGGCUGCGCGAGGCAAGAUUCAAUCGAUUUCCGCAGAGAUUGAAUCGUUUGAUAAUGCGCAUAGUCCGUUCUUCCUUCACUCUUCCGAUCAUCCAGGUCUGUCUAUUGUCUCACACAUUCUUGAUGGAACGAAUUACAAUAACUGGUCAAUUGCUAUGAAGAUGAGUUUGGAUGCAAAGAAUAAGCUGAGUUUUGUUGAUGGAUCUCUUCCGCGACCUGAAAUUGAUAAUCGUAUGUUCAAGAUAUGGAGUAGGUGUAAUAGCAUGGUUAAAGCAUGGAUGUUGAAUGUAGUGAAUAAGGAAAUAUAUGAUAGUAUUCUAUACUAUGAGGAUGCUGCUGAGAUGUGGAAUGAUCUUUUUCUGAGGUUUCGUGUUAGUAAUCUUCCACGCAAGUAUCAGUUAGAGCAAUCUAUUCAUACCUUGAAGCAAGGUAACUUGGAUUUGUCAACCUAUUACACCAAGAAGAAAACACUCUGGGAACAAUUGGCUAAUACUAGAGUUAUUUCAGUGAAGAAAUGUAACUGUGAUCAUGUUAAAGAAUUGAUUGAAGAAGCUGAAACUAGCAAGAUCAUACAGUUCCUUAUGGGCUUAAAUGAUAGUUUUGCUCAUCAGAGGACAAAUUCUGAAUAUGAAGCCAAGACCAUGUUUGACUGAGAUAUACAACAUGCUUGACCAAGAUGAGAGUCAGCGGAUUGUAGGAGGUUCUCAUACUUCUAUUCUCUCCAGUCCAGCUUCAGCAUUUCAGGUUCAAGUGUCACAAACAUCUGACCAGUCUCAUGUCAACUUGACUCAAGGUUCAUAUCAGAAGCCUAAAUGUUCCUACUGUCACAAGCUUGGUCAUACUGCUGACAAAUGUUACAAACAGCAUGGAUACCCUCCUGGAGCUAAGUGGAAGAAGGCUCAGACUAUUGGGACUACAAAUCUUGCUGCUGUGACACAACUCCCACCAGUGGUUGAUCAAUCUAGUGAAAAGAUAGAUUAUGAAGAGUUGUCAAAUGAUCAGAUACAGACUGUGAUCUCUUAUCUUAGCAACAAGCUUCAUACUACAUCAGUGGAACCUAUACAGACUCAGUCUUGUGCCUCGACUUCAACUUCUGUACAUGUGAUCUCCCAGAUUUCAGGUACCUUUCUGGCUUUAUAUUCUAAUUCUUACUAUGACAUGCUAAUUUCUUCUAUCUCUAAAGAACCGGCUGUGUCUCCUAGAGCUUGGGUAAUAGAUUCAGGGGCUACUCACCAUGUUACACACAAUAGAAGCCUUUAUAUAGAUUUUAGAGCCUUAGACAAUACCUUCGUAAGACUCCAUAAUGAUUGUACUGUUAGAAUAGUGGGCAUAGGAUACAUUAAGCUAUCUGAUGCAAUCUCUCUCCACAAUGUGCUUUAUAUUCCUGAGUUUAAAUUUAACUUGAUCAGUGUUAGUGUUUUAACAAAGACUUUAAAGUCAAAAGUUAGCUUUACAUCUGAUGAAUGUUUUGUUCAGGAACUUACACAGGAGUUAAUGAUUGGAAAAGGUUGUCAAGUUGGCAAUCUAUAUGUCUUGGAUUUCAAUGUGUCUAAUCAUUCUGUUUCUUUAAAAGGUACCAAUACUAUAUGCUCUGAAAAUCCUAUUUGUUCUUCUGUUGUUGUUGAUUCCUAUACAUGGCAUAAGAGAUUAGGUCAUCCUGCUCAUUCAAAAGUUGAUUUGUUAUCUGAUGUUUUGAAUCUCAUAGAUAUAAAGAUAAAUAAAGAUUCUUUACCUGUGUGUCAUGUUUGUCACUUGUCAAAACAGAAACAUUUAUCUUUUAAAUCUAGACAAAACAUGUGUAAAUCUGCAUUUGAUUUAGUUCAUAUAGAUACUUGGGGUCCAUUUUCUGUUCCUACUAUAGAUGGUUUCAAAUACUUCUUAACAAUUGUUGAUGACUAUAGUAGAGCUACUUGGGUCUAUUUGCUAAAGAAUAAAUCAGAUGUUUUGCAUGUUUUUCCUAGUUUUAUUAAUAUGAUUCAAACGCAAUUUCAGAAGAAAGUUAAAUCGGUUAGAUCUGAUAAUGCACAUGAAUUAAAAUUCAAUGAUUUGUUUGCUGAAAAUGGAAUUAUUGCUUAUCAUUCAUGUCCUGAAACUCCAGAACAAAAUUCUGUGGUAGAGAGAAAGCAUCAACAUAUCUUAAAUGUUGCUAGAGCCCUCUUAUUUCAAUCCAAUAUUCCAUUAGAAUUCUGGGGUGAUUGCAUAUUAACAGCUGUGUUCUUAAUAAAUAGACUACCCACACCUAUUUUGGAAAAUAAAUCUCCUUAUGAAAAGCUUACCAAUACGGCUCCUACUUAUGACUCUUUAAAGACUUUUGGGUGUUUAUGUUAUAGUUCAACAUCCCCUAAGCAUAGAAAUAAGUUUGAACCUAGGGCUAGAGCUUGUGUUUUCUUAGGAUAUCCCACAGGUUAUAAAGGGUAUAAGCUAUUAGACAUAGAGACACAUGCCGUUUCUAUUUCAAGACAUGUCAUUUUUCAUGAGGAUAUUUUUCCUUUCUUAUCAUCUACCAUCACUGAUGAUAUGAAAGCUUUCUUUCCUCUAUUACAGUUUCCUGGCCAAACCGAUGAUUUGCCUCUUGUGCAAACAUCAAUUCCUAAUGCACAUCCCCAUCAAGAUGUGUCAUCUUCUAAGGCUUUGAUUCCUUCUGAGUCAAUGUCUACUAGACAAAAGAAACCCCCAAAACACUUGCAGGAUUUUCUUUGUUAUAAUAAUACUACUAGUAUUAAUCCUAAUAUACUCUAUCCAAUCACAAAUUAUGUUUCUUAUUCUUAUCUAGCUGAGCCUUUCCAUGCUUUCAUUAAUACCAUCACAAAUGAUAUAAUCCCACAAAGAUAUUCAGAGGCAAAAGUCUUUGAUGUAUGGUGUACUGCUAUGAAGGAGGAGAUUGGUGCUAUGACAAGAACUCGCACAUGGAGUAUUUGUUGUUUGCCAGCGAAUAAGAAGGCUAUUGGUUGUAAGUGGGUCUUUACAAUCAAGUAUAAUGCAGAUGGAAGUAUAGAAAGAUACAAGGCGCGCUUAGUAGCAAAAGGAUAUACUCAACAAGAGGGUUUGGACUAUGAGGAGACAUUUUCUCCUGUUGCCAAGUUAACUUCAGUGAGAAUGAUGUUAUUGUUGGCUGCUAAGUUGAGAUGGUCAAUUCAUCAACUUGACAUUUCUAAUGUGUUCUUGAAUGGUGAUUUGGAUGAAGAGAUAUAUAUGAAGGUUCCCCCUGGUUAUGCAGAUCUUAUAGGAGAGGCUUUACCUCCUAAUGCUGUGUGUAGAUUGCACAAAUCCAUUUAUGGACUUAAACAAGCCUCGCGACAGUGGUUUCUCAAGCUCUCUGCAACUCUGAAGACCAUGAGAUUUGGAAAAUCUAAUGCUGAUCAUACUUUGUUUACCAAGUAUGUUGAUGGAGUUUUUCUUGGUGUUCUAGUCUACGUGGAUGAUAUCUUGAUUGUCAGUAAUAGUGAUGCUGCAGUAGCAGGUUUUAUAGAAGAACUGAAGAUGUUUUUCAAGUUAAGAGAUCUUGGUACAACAAAGUACUUCCUUGGUUUGGAGAUAGCCAAGACUCAUGAAGGUAUUUCAAUUUGUCAGAGAAAAUACAUUUUGGAAUUGCUUUCUCUUACUGGUUUUAUUGGAAGUAAACCAUCUGCUGCGCCUUUGGAUCCAAGUGUGAAACUAAGGAAAGAUGUUGGAGUUCCUGUAAGUGAUCCAUCUGCAUAUCGAAAGCUGGUGGGGAAAUUGAUGUAUUUGCAGUUAACUAGACCAGAUAUUGCCUUUGCUGUCAAUACUUUAUGCCAAUUCUCACAUGAUCCAAGAGACAUUCAUUUGAAUGUUGUGCAUAAAGUAUUGAGAUAUUUGAAGGGAACAGCAGGGCAGGGUCUGUUUUAUCCUACAGAUGAUACCUUUGAUCUCCGGGGUUAUACUGAUGCUGAUUGGGGAACUUGUAAAAACAAUAGAAGAUCAGUUACUGGCUACUGCAUGUUUAUUGGUAACUCUCUGGUUUCUUGGCGUUCACAAAAGCAAGAUUCAGUUUCUAUGAGUUCUGCAGAGUCAGAGUUUAGAGCAAUGUCUUCUGGUACUAAGGAAAUGAUUUGGCUUUCUAGGCUUCUUAAUGACUUCAAAGUUCCUUUCAAGCCUCCUGCUUAUCUUUAUUGUGACAAUACUGCUGCAAUCCACAUUGCUAAUAAUUCACUAUUUCACGAGAGAACAAAGCAUGUGGAGCUUGACUGUUACAAGACCAGGGAGCAGAUUGAUUCUGGUUUUCUCAAGACUAUGUAUGUGAAGACUGAAGAACAAUUAGCAGAUCCUUUAACCAAAGCAUUGUAUCCGGCACCAUUUCGGGAGCUUAUAGCCAAGAUGGGUGUUUGCGAUAUCUACGCACCACUGCCAUCUUGAGGGAGGCUAUUAGAAUCAUAUAGUUAGUCUCAUGUUGAUAAUACUUGUAGAUAAUAGCUUCUGGUUUAACCACCUAAUUAAUCAUCUAAUUNNNNNNNNNNNNNNNNNNNNNNNNNNNNNNNNNNNNNNNNNNNNNNNNNNNNNNNNNNNNNNNNNNNNNNNNNNNNNNNNNNNNNNNNNNNNNNNNNNNNCAGUUACCAUUCGGACCCUUUAUUCUAACAGCGGCCACUGUAUACCCGCCUUAAUAUUACAUAUACGAGAAAUAAGAGAAAGCGAGAAAAACGGAAAAGAGACACGGAGCAACUCCAACUUGUCUAGCAGAUUGGAGAAUGCGGGCCAUUCUUCAGGAGACUGAACCAUCGAGACUAAGUCAGAACAAUCUGUUUCAAAAGCCUGACAAUCAAUUCUUCUUGAAAGGAUAUUCUUCAUAGCCCAAAUUAAAGCUUCCAACUCCGAGUGAAGGGGGGAGAGACAUCUCCGAAGGCAUUUUGCACCAAGCAGCAAAGUUUGAUCAGUUCCUUGAAAACACCACCAUCCUAUACCCAUAGUUGGGUCCGAAGAUUUCCAAGAGCCAUCAAUCCGACAUUUUAUAGAUUGGAUUGGGCUUUCCAUAAUUUCCGUCAUAGUGUUAUCUUCCAUUGGAUCCAAUUGAGCUUCUUCCCACAUUAAUUUUUCACUCAAAGCGUGAUUUAAAAUAUCUGUGGGUUCAGAUUGUAUUCCUUUGAAAACCUUCUUAUUUCUAUCUUUCCAUAUAAACCACAAAAUCCAAGCAUAACAGUAAGAUUUCUCCGCCCCAUCUACAGGAUGUGGUAUCCUCCAAUAAAGAUAGUCUAGAUUAGAGAAUUCCGACCUUAGAGGAAAACUACCUGAUACCAUAGGUAUUUCGGAUAAUUCCCAGACUUUUUGAGAAUGUGGGCACUCAAAUAAAGCAUGAUUAAUUGUUUCCUCAGCCAUCUCACAUCUUUUACAGGUAAUAUCACACCGAAUCCCUCGAUGAGCUAAUUUUGAAGUUACUGCUAAGGAUCCCGAAGCGAUUUGCCAUAAAAAGUGUUUUAUUUUUGGAGGGGCUUUGGCUUUCCAAGCUUGUGCUUGUAAAAUUUUACAAUUUGGACCCCAUUCAAUCGAUUCAGUCAUCCCUCGGGCAAGCCGAUAGCCUGACUUUACUGUAUAUCUCCCUGAGUUUGUAUGAUGCCAAAUAAGCCUAUCUGGCUUCUGAACUUGACUAAUAGUAAGUCCUCGAAUUAAUUGAAUAUCCACCGGAUCCAUAAAUUCAUGUAGAAUAGGAAGGUGCCAUUCUUUAGUAACCGGAUUAAUUAAAUGGUUUACCAUUAGAUUUGGAUGUAACAAUUUUCCUCUUCCAUUUACGGGACGUGGAAUAACAUCCGGAAGCCAAGGAUCUCUCCAGACCGAUAAGUUGUAACCUGAACCUAGGGACCAUCUUGCUCCCACUUCAACCAAGCUUUUGGUCGAAAAUAUACUCUUCCAUCCAAACGAUGGAGAGUUUGGUUUUUUUGCUUGUAAAGGAUGAAUAUUCCUGAAAUAUCUACCUUUUAGUACUCGAGCUACUAAGGAGUUUGGAAAAUGUAUUAAUCGCCAGUACUGUUUUGCCAACAUGGCAUCAUUAAACGUGUCUAGAGAGUGAAAGCUCAAACCACCUUUAUCUUUAUCCAUACACAAUUUUUCCCAAGCAAUCCAAUGGAUCCCACGGUCUCUCCCAUUGGAACUCCACCAAUAAUUUGAGAUUGCACUUGUUAACUUAGAUAUUAACUCUUGAGGAAGUUUAAAACAAGACAUCACAUAGGUUGGCAGAGCCAACGCAACUGACUUAAUCAUCGUCUCUUUCCCACCUUUUGACAGAUAUUUAGCAGACCAGCCAUUAAUCCGUUCAUUAAAUCUUUCCCGGACGUAGUUGAAAAUUUUACUUUUUGAGCCGCCAAGGCUCUCAGGUAUACCCAAAUAGGUACCCAUUCCACCUUCCUUUGUAAUUCCAAGGAAAUUUUUCAAUUCCUCUUUUUUUUUGGUUUGGUACACGAUGACCAAACACGAUCGAAGAUUUAUUAAAAUUUAUCUCUUGCCCCGAAGCUUUACCAUAAUUUCCAAUAAUAUCCAUCACUGUUUUACAUUGCUCCAUAUCUGCUUUACAGAAAAAUAGACUAUCAUCCGCAAAAAGCAAAUGUGAAAUAGGAGGACUCCUUUUUGCUAUUUUAAUUCCGGUCAACCUCUUCUCUCUUUCCGCUUUUUUUAAUAUUAGCAAUCAGGACCUCUGUACAUAAAAUAAACAAAUAAGGGGAUAGGGGAUCGCCUUGUCGUAAACCUCUGUUGGGAAUUAUAUGUCCUCUAGGUUCCCCAUUUAAUAAAACCUGAUACGAAACUGAACUAACACUCCACAUAAUCCAAGAGAUCCAAUUUGAAUUGAAUCCUAAACGAGACAUAACCGCUUCUAGAAACUCCCAUUCGAUCCUGUCAUACGCUUUGCUCAUAUCUGUUUUAAUUGCCAAGAAAUCCGUUUUACACAUUCUAUUUGUCCGUAAUCCAUGAAACAUUUCCUGAGCAAGCAAAAUAUUAUCUGUAAUAAGUCUACCUGAAACGAAAGCCGAUUAUGUUUCAGAAACUAGCCGUGGUAAAAUCUUUUUAAGCCGCAAACAUAGAAUUUUCGAAAUUUUCGAAAUUGUCCGUAAUCCGUUUUUUUUUUUUUUUUUUAAACGCAAAUCUGUCAGAAAAAAUGUGAUUGGUGAGUACACUGCGGUUUUGUGGGAAAAAUUAGAAAAACGCCUUUUUUGUGUUCCCCAUUCAGAAUGUUAUUCUCAUUUUAAUUUUAAGAGAUUCACGACAAGUAAAUCACUAAUUUUUUGUCGUAUAUAGAACACACCAAAAAAAAAGAGAAAUUCCCCAAAAUAGCACUUAAACAAGUUUUAUGGACAAUAAUAGCACACACUCCAUAAACUUCCAAAAAUAGCACUAGUUGACUUACUACUAAGUUUUUGUUCUAAAAGUAUUAUCACUAGUUUAUUUUUUCAAUAUAACUAUAAUUUUUAUAUAAAAACUAUUCAACCAAAAUAAAUUAUAAAUAAAUUUGAAAUAUUAUAUUCGGGUUCUCUAUUUCCAAUUUAGGGUAUAUAUUUCUACCAUUUAAAAGAGAUUUUGAUUCAUUUUAAUAUUAGUUUAUGGUAUUAUAUUUUAGUUCCCUAUUUCCAAUCUAGGGUAUAUAUUUCCACCAUUUAAAAGAGAUUUUUCAUUUUAAUAUUAGGUUAUGGUGUUAUAUUUGGGUUCCCUAUUUCCAAUCUAGGUUAUAUAUUUGCACUAUUUAAAAGAAAUUUUGAUUCAAUUUAAUAUUAGGUUAGUGUUUGCUUUCAUUUUUAUUUUCUAUCUUAUAUUUUAGUUAAGUUUAAUUGAAGUUUAUGGUGCUAUUUGUGGAAUUUUAGAAAUGUUGUGCUAAUUUUAGAAGAAAAACUUUUUUUGGUGCUAUUUUUGUCAAUUGCCCAAAAAAAAAUAUUUUAUUGUAUUUAAUGUUCCGUUCUUUGCUAAAUCUCAUUCUUGGGCCGACUGCGUCUUUGGCCCAACUUUUGAUAAAUUUUAAAUUGAAUUGGUGGACUUUUAAUGAGGUUAGUGGGGCGAAUUUCAUGUGAGAAUCGAGAUCCAACAUUUAUGCUGAAACUAAAAACCGAACCAAAACUUCUAACUGAAACCACGUCGAGGUUUGAUCAUUUCGAUUAUUACGAUAGGCUCAAGUACUAUAAAAUACAUUUGGUUUAUAGCUCAUGUCAUGAUGUCAAAUAAUUGAAAUCAGAAUUCAAAAUUGACAUAAAAAUUAGAAAAGAUUGCAAUAUUCUUUUUUUUAUUUUGCAACCCAUUAUUUUAUUAAAUUAUAUUUGGUGAUUGUAUAUAUAUAGAUAAUAAAGAAAUAUCAAUUUCCACAAUUAAAACUGCAUAGGCAGGUCUGGUCUAAUGGUUCGAAUCCAGGUGGUUCACACGAUCCUUUAACUCCUACUCCUUUCCACUUGGUAGAACACUCUUGGUUACACUGAUUAAUUUCACAGUGUUCUGCUUGAAUAUAGUCAUGACAUGUUUUGCCUUGCGUCUCCUCCAUCACCAUUCCUAAUAAUACAUUUUAAAACAUAUACUAAUAUCAUUUUAAUUAUUUUUUGUUACAAAAAUAAAAAGUUGAUGAACAGAAAACCAACAAAAAAAAGAGAGAGAAACACAGAAUAUUUAAUAUAUUUUGUGUAGAGCAUACCAAUAACUAAGAGAACCAUGAAAAUUGUGAGAGCAGUGUUUUUAGUCAUCUUUGAUGAUACAAUUAAAACAAAAAUGAUGGAUGUAAUUGUAUUGUGAAUGAUGUGUAUAUAUAUAUGAUAAGUUGGAUGCAUGCAUCUAUAUUUACAAAACUAUCAUGAAUUAUAAAAAAUAUAAAGUAAUCAGUUAGUAAUUAAUUAGAUGCUUGAAUUAGUGUUAACCCAAAAAAAAGAGCAAAGAAAUCUGUUAGUAAUUAAUUAGAUGCUUGAAUCGGAAAAAACCAUCAAAAGACAUAUCUAGAAAUUAAUUAAAAGUGAAAACAUAUAAGCAGGUUAUAAAUCAUAAUAGAUGCUGACUUUAAUUAAACUAUGUCAUAAAUGAAUAAAAAUAUGAUAAACUCAACAAAUAUUAAAUAGAUGCUGUUAAAAACAUAUAUAUAUAUAAUAUGAAAUAUAUUUAAUUAUUAUUUUUAUAUGAUAACUAAUAUUGAAGGUUUGCUUAAUCAUGUUUAAGUAAUUUAUUAGUUUAAAUGUAGGGCAUUUGCAAAAAAUACCUUUUUUCCUAAGCCUUUUUCGAAAAUACAUCUUCCUAUUGUCCAUUUUUAUUUUAUAUACACAAUGACUAAAUUACUAUUUUUAAAGUGAGAGCAGAUAAUGAGCCAAAAUUUAUUUUUCCCGCUAAAACAUUUCCGUAGAGGUCAAAAUCUUCCCGCUAUAAAAAUUUCCGCCAAAAUUUACCAGCCCCAAAUUUUCUUGCCAAAAUUUGAAUUUAGAAAGCUUUAAAAAAAUAUUUAAAAAUAUUUUCUUGUAAAUUUUUUAAAACCCUUAUAAAACUCUUUAAAAACCCUUGUAUAAAUUCUUUAAAAUCUUUGUAAAUCUUUUUAAAAUUCUUAUAAAGUUCUUAUAAAAAACCCCUGUAAAUCCUUUUAUACCUCUGUAAAAUCUUUUAAAACACUUGUAAUUUUUUUUUAAAACACUUAUAAAUCUUUUGAAACCCUUUAAAAACCUUUGUAAAUUUUUAAAAACCCUUGUAAAUUCUUCAAAACGCUUUCAAAACACUUGUAAACCCUUAAAAAUCUUUUAAAGAGCUUUGAAAUUUUAAAAAAACAUUUUUAAAUCCUUUUAAAACCCUUGUCCCCCAAAAAUUUAUGGGAUCACGUUUCCCGCCAAAAACUACGGGAUCAUUUUAUUUUUGGCAGGAAAUUCACUUAAAAAGAGGGUAAAAUGGCAAGAAAAUGGGGCAUUUUUGAAAAAAAGGUAUCAAAGAAACGGUAUUUCUAACAAUUUUUCAGAAUAAAUUAGUAAUUAAUUGGAAGCUUAAAUCGGAAAAAACUAUGAAAAAAAAUUGAAAACAUAUCCAUAAAUUAAAUAAAAGUGAAAACGAAUAAGACUGUUAUAAAUCAUAAUUGAUACUACAUCAUAAAUGAAUAAAAAUUUGAUAAAGUCAACAAAUAUUAAAUAGAUGCUAGAAACAAAACCUAAAUAUAUAAAACAUGAAAUAUAAUAUUUAAUAAUCUAAUUUAAAACUUUAAAAUGAUAAUUCAUAUUGAUGGUUUGCUUAAUCAUGGUUCUUGCCUAACACAAGAGAAGAUUUACACUUGAUGGAGUACCAAAAGAAUCGUAGACAAUAGAUGGACAUUAAUUCUACAUCAAAUUCAAGCUUAGAAGGAGCAUAUAAAAAGUAGGCGCUUCCUUAAUUCCUCCUCAACAUUACAUAUAGAAGGCAAGUUUGUUCUACAACGAAACUCCACCAAGAAAUCCUAUCAAAGGUUGGGUUGCGGUUAAGAACUAUUAGAAUCAUAUAGUUAGUCUCAUGUUGAUAAUACUUGUAGAUAAUAGCUUCUGGUUUAACCACCUAAUUAAUCAUCUAAUUAAGGUGAUUUCAUUGGUUUAAUUCUGGUUUAGUUAGUUUGUUUUACUAUACAUUGUUGUAACAAUUAACCUUUCUUGAUCAUUAAUGAGAAUCAGAGAUUUCACCAUGUUUCUCUCUCGAUCUAUGGUUACUAAUAUGGUAUCAGAGCAUUUUUUGCUUGCGUUUCUCUGAAUUUCUUCGAUUUCUCAUCGAUUUCUCAUUGUUUUUCUUCAUCUUCUUCGUUUUUCACAGGCGGAUUGUUGCAUCGAUUUCGGAUCUGUGUCAAAUUUGAGCUUGAACGGAGCAGAAUCACCUUCUGAGCUUCCGAUUUAGCUUCUUAUCGCACAUUUGAGCUUCGAUUCACUCGUCAUGGGGAAACAAAAGAAGAAAACACCAAAUCGGAGCAAAUCUCCGGUCUCGGAGUACUCUCCGAUGAAGACUCGAGCUGGAUCUUCGUAUCCAGUUGCCGAUGACAUCGUUGAUGCUCCUUCUCUUACUUACGCGGCUGCGCGAGGCAAGAUUCAAUCGAUUUCCGCAGAGAUUGAAUCGUUUGAUAAUGCGCAUAGUCCGUUCUUCCUUCACUCUUCCGAUCAUCCAGGUCUGUCUAUUGUCUCACACAUUCUUGAUGGAACGAAUUACAAUAACUGGUCAAUUGCUAUGAAGAUGAGUUUGGAUGCAAAGAAUAAGCUGAGUUUUGUUGAUGGAUCUCUUCCGCGACCUGAAAUUGAUAAUCGUAUGUUCAAGAUAUGGAGUAGGUGUAAUAGCAUGGUUAAAGCAUGGAUGUUGAAUGUAGUGAAUAAGGAAAUAUAUGAUAGUAUUCUAUACUAUGAGGAUGCUGCUGAGAUGUGGAAUGAUCUUUUUCUGAGGUUUCGUGUUAGUAAUCUUCCACGCAAGUAUCAGUUAGAGCAAUCUAUUCAUACCUUGAAGCAAGGUAACUUGGAUUUGUCAACCUAUUACACCAAGAAGAAAACACUCUGGGAACAAUUGGCUAAUACUAGAGUUAUUUCGGUGAAGAAAUGUAACUGUGAUCAUGUUAAAGAAUUGAUUGAAGAAGCUGAAACUAGCAAGAUCAUACAGUUCCUUAUGGGCUUAAAUGAUAGUUUUGCUCAUCAGAGGACAGAUUCUGAAUAUGAAGCCAAGACCAUGUUUGACUGAGAUAUACAACAUGCUUGACCAAGAUGAGAGUCAGCGGAUUGUAGGAGGUUCUCAUACUUCUAUUCUCUCCAGUCCAGCUUCAGCAUUUCAGGUUCAAGUGUCACAAACAUCUGACCAGUCUCAUGUCAACUUGACUCAAGGUUCAUAUCAGAAGCCUAAAUGUUCCUACUGUCACAAGCUUGGUCAUACUGCUGACAAAUGUUACAAACAGCAUGGAUACCCUCCUGGAGCUAAGUGGAAGAAGGCUCAGACUAUUGGGACUACAAAUCUUGCUGCUGUGACACAACUCCCACCAGUGGUUGAUCAAUCUAGUGAAAAGAUAGAUUAUGAAGAGUUGUCAAAUGAUCAGAUACAGACUGUGAUCUCUUAUCUUAGCAACAAGCUUCAUACUACAUCAGUGGAACCUAUACAGACUCAGUCUUGUGCCUCGACUUCAACUUCUAUACCUGUGAUCUCCCAGAUUUCAGGUACCUUUCUGGCUUUAUAUUCUAAUUCUUACUAUGACAUGCUAAUUUCUUCUAUCUCUAAAGAACCGGCUGUGUCUCCUAGAGCUUGGGUAAUAGAUUCAGGGGCUACUCACCAUGUUACACACAAUAGAAGCCUUUAUAUAGAUUUUAGAGCCUUAGACAAUACCUUCGUAAGACUCCAUAAUGAUUGUACUGUUAGAAUAGUGGGCAUAGGAUACAUUAAGCUAUCUGAUGCAAUCUCUCUCCACAAUGUGCUUUAUAUUCCUGAGUUUAAAUUUAACUUGAUCAGUGUUAGUGUUUUAACAAAGACUUUAAAGUCAAAAGUUAGCUUUACAUCUGAUGAAUGUUUUGUUCAGGAACUUACACAGGAGUUAAUGAUUGGAAAAGGUUGUCAAGUUGGCAAUCUAUAUGUCUUGGAUUUCAAUGAGUCUAAUCAUUCUGUUUCUUUAAAAGGUACCAAUACUAUAUGCUCUGAAAAUCCUAUUUGUUCUGUUGUUGUUGAUUCCUAUACAUGGCAUAAGAGAUUAGGUCAUCCUGCUCAUUCAAAAGUUGAUUUGUUAUCUGAUGUUUUGAAUCUCAAAGAUAUAAAGAUAAAUAAAGAUUCUUUACCUGUGUGUCAUGUUUGUCACUUGUCAAAACAGAAACAUUUAUCUUUUAAAUCUAGACAAAACAUGUGUAAAUCUGCAUUUGAUUUAGUUCAUAUAGAUACUUGGGGUCCAUUUUCUGUUCCUACUAUAGAUGGUUUCAAAUACUUCUUAACAAUUGUUGAUGACUAUAGUAGAGCUACUUGGGUCUAUUUGCUAAAGAAUAAAUCAGAUGUUUUGCAUGUUUUUCCUAGUUUUAUUAAUAUGAUUCAAACGCAAUUUCAGAAGAAAGUUAAAUCGGUUAGAUCUGAUAAUGCACAUGAAUUAAAAUUCAAUGAUUUGUUUGCUGAAAAUGGAAUUAUUGCUUAUCAUUCAUGUCCUGAAACUCUAGAACAAAAUUCUGUGGUAGAGAGAAAGCAUCAACAUAUCUUAAAUGUUGCUAGAGCCCUCUUAUUUCAAUCCAAUAUUCCAUUAGAAUUCUGGGGUGAUAGCAUAUUAACAGCUGUGUUCUUAAUAAAUAGACUACCCACACCUGUUUUGGAAAAUAAAUCUCCUUAUGAAAAGCUUACCAAUACGGCUCCUACUUAUGACUCUUUAAAGACUUUUGGGUGUUUAUGUUAUAGUUCAACAUCCCCUAAGCAUAGAAAUAAGUUUGAACCUAGGGCUAGAGCUUGUGUUUUCUUAGGAUAUCCCACAGGUUAUAAAGGGUAUAAGCUAUUAGACAUAGAGACACAUGCCGUUUCUAUUUCAAGACAUGUCAUUUUUCAUGAGGAGAUUUUUCCUUUCUUAUCAUCUACCAUCACUGAUGAUAUGAAAGCUUUCUUUCCUCUAUUACAGUUUCCUGCCCAAACCGAUGAUUUGCCUCUUGUGCAAACAUCAAUUCCUGAUGCACAUCCCCAUCAAGAUGUGUCAUCUUCUAAGGCUUUGAUUCCUUCUGAGUCAAUGUCUACUAAACAAAAGAAACCCCCAAAACACUUGCAGGAUUUUCUUUGUUAUAAUAAUACUACUAGUAUUAAUCCUAAUAUACUCUAUCCAAUCACAAAUUAUGUUUCUUAUUCUUAUCUAGCUGAGCCUUUCCGUGCUUUCAUUAAUACCAUCACAAAUGAUAUAAUCCCACAAAGAUAUUCAGAGGCAAAAGACUUUGAUGUAUGGUGUACUGCUAUGAAGGAGGAGAUUGGUGCUAUGACAAGAAUUCGCACAUGGAGUAUUUGUUGUUUGCCAGCGAAUAAGAAGGCUAUUGGUUGUAAGUGGGUCUUUACAAUCAAGUAUAAAUGCAGAUGGAAGUAUUAGAAAGAUUACAAGGCGCGCUUAGUAAGCAAAGGAUAUACUCAACAAGAGGGUUUGGACUAUGAGGAGACAUUUUCUCCUGUUGCCAAGUUAACUUCAGUGAGAAUGAUGUCAUUGUUGGCUGCUAAGUUGAGAUGGUCAAUUCAUCAACUUGACAUUUCUAAUGUGUUCUUGAAUGGUGAUUUGGAUGAAGAGAUAUAUAUGAAGGUUCCCCCUGGUUAUGCAGAUCUUAUAGGAGAGGCUUUACCUCCUAAUGCUGUGUGUAGAUUGCACAAAUCCAUUUAUGGACUUAAACAAGCCUCGCGACAGUGGUUUCUCAACCUCUCUGCAACUCUGAAGACCAUGAGAUUUGGGAAAUCUAAUGCUGAUCAUACUUUGUUUACCAAGUAUGUUGAUGGAGUUUUUCUUGGUGUUCUAGUCUACGUGGAUGAUAUCUUGAUUGUCAGUAAUAGUGAUGCUGCAGUAGCAGGUUUUAUAGAAGAACUGAAGAUGUUUUUCAAGUUAAGAGAUCUUGGUACAACAAAGUACUUCCUUGGUUUGGAGAUAGCCAAGACUAAUGAAGGUAUUUCAAUUUGUCAGAGAAAAUACAUUUUGGAAUUGCUUUCUCUUACUGAUUUUCUUGGAAGUAAACCAUCUGCUGCGCCUUUGGAUCCAAGUGUGAAACUAAGGAAAGAUGUUGGAGUUCCUGUAAGUGAUCCAUCCGCAUAUCGAAAGCUGGUGGGGAAAUUGAUGUAUUUGCAGUUAACUAGACCAGAUAUUGCCUUUGCUGUCAAUACUUUAUGCCAAUUCUCACAUGAUCCAAGAGACAUUUCAUUUGAAUGUUGUGCAUAAAGUAUUGAGAUAUUUGAAGGGAACAGCAGGGCAGGGUCUGUUUUAUCAUGCAGAUGAUACCUUUGAUCUCCGGGUUAUACUGAUGCUGAUUGGGGAACUUGUAAAAACAAUAGAAGAUCAGUUAUUGGCUACUGCAUGUUUAUUGGUAACUCUCUGGUUUCUUGGCGUUCACAAAAGCAAGAUUCAGUUUCUAUGAGUUCUGCAGAGUCAGAGUUUAGAGCAAUGUCUUCUGGUACUAAGGAAAUGAUUUGGCUUUCUAGGCUUCUUAAUGACUUCAAAGUUCCUUUCAAGCCUCCUGCUUAUCUUUAUUGUGACAAUACUGCUGCAAUCCACAUUGCUAAUAAUUCACUAUUUCACGAGAGAACAAAGCAUGUGGAGCUUGACUGUUACAAGACCAGGGAGCAGAUUGAUUCUGGUUUUCUCAAGACUAUGUAUGUGAAGACUGAAGAACAAUUAGCAGAUCCUUUAACCAAAGCAUUGUAUCCGGCACCAUUUCGGGAGCUUAUUGCCAAGAUGGGUGUUUGCGAUAUCUACGCACCACUGCCAUCUUGAGGGAGGCUAUUAGAAUCAUAUAGUUAGUCUCAUGUUGAUAAUACUUGUAGAUAAUAGCUUCUGGUUUAACCACCUAAUUAAUCAUCUAAUUAAGGUGAUUUCAUUGGUUUAAUUCUGGUUUAGUUGGUUUGUUUUACUAUACAUUGUUGUAACAACCUUUCUUGAUCAUUAAUGAGAAUCAGAGAUUUCACCAUGUUUCUCUCUCGAUCCAUGGUUACUAAUAAGAACAAAGAACCAAACAGUGAAGGCAUGCUUUGGGAUUCUUGCCUUAUACUAUUCCAAAUAACACAAGAAGAGAAAGAAUUAUGAGGUUACGUAAUUCACUACAGGAAAUGUGGGUAUUGAUAGCACUAAAAGAUAGCGUUUUUUAUGUCUAUGCUAUGUUUGACUUAAUGGAUAGCGUUUUGUGAAUUGUAAACGCUAUAAAUGAUUGAAGCGGGAUAUAUGAAAUUCACGCGGCCAAUUUUCGGGUUACUAAAGUUCAAUUCCCGCUAUUGAAAAUGUUAAGAGGGAAAAAAUUUCUGAUUUUGUCUAAGGCAAAAUAAAUGAAAACAAUAAAAAUCACUUUUGCAUUUUUUUCCCUCACUAACAAAGAUAAAACACUUAGAAAAAAAAAAAGCAAAAAGAACACUAAGCUUUCUCUCGUGUUCCCCUUCUCUCUUUCUAUCUACCUGUACAAAGCUUUGUCGUUGUCGCCGUGAAAUUCCGAGACGACCUUCACCGCCGUUGUCGUCGCUGGCAUCUUAUUCCAAUUUCACAGGUAUAAUUUGAGUUUUAGGUUGAAUCUUUAAGAGUUUAGGUUGGUAUAUAUCGAUUUAGGGUUCUUCAAUGUCGACUGAUAAAUCUCUUCAGUUAAUUGUCUCUUCUUCCAUGUAUCGUUUGGACUUGUGUUAUUUUUGAUUAAUUUGGGUUAAACAACUUCUAAUCCAAUUGAAAACUUCUGAUUUUUGUAGGUAGCUCUCUGGGUCAGAUUUCGUGAAGGUAUGAAUUAGGGAUUUUUAAUUUUUGUUUCAAACUUACGAAUUCGACUUGUUUCUAUGUGUAAUCCCAUAUGAUUUCACAUGAACUGUCGUAUUUUAUAAAAUAUCAAUAAGAUUCAUGUGCUGGUCCCAAUAUAUUUGACAAAAUCUGUAGCGUACUUAUUUGUUGUUCUUGUUAUUUGUGUGAAUGUCUCUUUUUGAUUUGUGAGAUCAUUUGUAUUUUUUUUCUUGACAGAUUCUAAAAAUCCUUUGUCCAAAGAAGACUUGAGCUUAAUCGUAAGAUUGUGAAUCCUUUCUCUCCUUGUUGUUCUAUUUUUGUUCUGCCAUGUUUGUUAAGGAGAUUGAAUAUGUUAGCUAAGUUUAGAGGUCCUGAUGGGUACUGUGCCAAUAUUGCAAAUUGUACUGUUUCUCUUGAUCCUCCUGUUAUUAGUGGUAUGAAGUCACAUGAUCAUCAUGUCCUUAUGCAAAACUUAUUGCCUGUUGCUUUGAGAGGAUUGCUGCCAAAAGGACCAAGAGUUGCUGUGACUCGAUUAUGCAACUACUUCAACAGGUUGUGCCAGAGUGUGAUUGAUCCAGAGAAGCUGAUUUCUAGUGAGUCUGAGUUAGUUGAGACAAUGUGCCAAAUGGAGCGGUUCUUCCCUCCUUCACUAUUCGAUAUUAUGUUCCACCUGCCUAUACACUUAGGAAGAGAGGCACGCUUGGGUGGACCUGUUCACUUUCGUUGGAUGUAUCCGUUUGAGAGGUACUUUUUAUUUUAGUUUUUCUCUCUUUAAUGUGUUUAUUAGGUUGUAGUUUAUUAGACUGUAGUUUAUGUAUUAGUAACAAAUAUGUUUUUGGAUUGAGUUGUAGGUACAUGAAAACUUUGAAAGCAUAUGUUAAAUAUUUUCAGUUGGAGAAAAGAAGCUGACUUUCAGUGAGUUUUUUAAAGACCCAUCUGGCAUGGAGGCUGUGAUCAACGCUAAGGCUUUCCAGAGUUAUCAUUUAGUUGAAGAUACUGAUGAUACUUACAAGUUCUUUCUUUAACCCUCUAGUUCAAUGUUCAUAAGACAAAAUUUUCAUACUUGUCUUGCAUAAAGGUCGUUUGCAUAUGUUUUAGGAUAUGUAUUGCUUUAAUUGUCAUCUGUAGCUUCUUAGUUUGCUCAGUAGCUGCAUAAAUUUUGAUGUCCAAGAACUGUUAAUAGAUAUUCUCAUCAGCUAGGAUUUAUCUUUGCUUGUUCUCUGAUUUGGCUAAAUUGAUGAUUGAUUCACAUAUAUAUUUUUGCGAAUAGUGAUACUGUCUCAAUACGAACCAUGUAGAUGCUUAAGUGUAUGUACAAGAAGUCCCCCUCUUUUGGUUUUAUGCUUUGAUUACUAGAUUUAAUCUGAUAGAUUCAUGUAUGUUCAUGAACAAUACUGUACAACAAAGCUGCAUGAUUAGGAUUCUAGUUUUUGUCUUAAAACAAUAUUGUACAACAAAGCUGCAGGAUUAGGAUUUUUACAAGUUCUGAUGUUACCAUCGUUGUGUUGCUUUAUUUCUGAACCUUGAUUUCUUUUCUAUGCAGCAUUGGCACUGAGCUCACAAGAGAAGACAGAAAGAAACUGUACUCUAACUUUGGUCUCCUGUAAGAAGCAUUCUACUGUCAAAUGAAUGAUCUGAUUGCAAAAAUUCUGAAAAAACAGUUGCAGAGGGCCGAGUGUGUUCAACUGAUCCUGCAGAGACAGUCCAUAACAGACCCUUAGGACCAAAUGCUUGCAAGGUCUGGGUUGAUGCUUCAAUGAUUGAUAAUGCUAAAGUGUGGAGGCCAAAUUCAGAAGUGCAAUUCAUUGCAGAUGCACAAGGCACAACUGUUGCUUGGCCUAAUGACAAAAUAGUCUAUCUCUGAAACUUCUUAAGUACUAAGUUUUUUUCCUUUAUGUUGAACAAUUUGUUGUUUUAAGUGUCGAACACUUUGUGUUUUCUUUUAUUACAUGUACUUGACUUUGUUUUCUCAUGUUACUAAUUAUAUGUUAUCUCUUUGCAAAAAUAUGUUAAACACAUGCUUAAAACAUUUUAAUUGGAAAAAAUUGAAUUAAUUAUUUUAAGGCAUGUACUUUAGGUUUCAAGUUAAAUGAUUUUAAAGAUUUUUAAGAUUUUUAAAUGAUUUUCGAAAUUUUGUAAAAGAAAAAUUAAAAAAAAAAAUGAAAUAUAAACAAAUAUAACCAAAUAUCUCAAAAAGACAUAAAUAUUUAAUUAUAAUAUUAAUAAUUACAAAAAUAAUAACAAAGUUAUAAUUUUAAAGAGUUUAGGGUAUAGAGUUUAGGGUUUAGGGUAUAGGGUAUGAAAUGUAUGGUUUAGGUUUUUGGAUUAUAUUUGUUUGAAAUAGUAAUAAUAUUAAUUAUAACAAAUAAUAACAUAAAUAAAAUUCAUUUUUAAAAAUAGUUUAGGGUUUAGGGUUUAGGGUUUAGGGUUUAGGGUUUAGGGUUUAGGGUUUAGUGUCUUAAAUAGUAGCUAAUAUUAAUGAUAUAAAGUAUUAUAAUAUAAAUGAAUUCUAUCAUUUUAUUAAUUAUAACAUCAUUAAUUUGUUUCAACAAUAUGAUUUACACAAUAAGAAGAUUAGUGUACAUGUAUUCUAAGACAAUCAUAUGUGUUACCUUCAAAUUUCUAAAUACGUUGCAAAAUAUUUUUUUAAAAUUGCGAAAAAAAUAUAUAAUCAUGUAAAUAACUCAUAAACAUAUUAAUUCAUGAAUAUAUAAUUUUUAAAAAAUUAUAUAAAUAGUAAAAACACAUUUUUAUGCCUAUAAACAAAAUAAGCCAAUCAUAAUGUUUCACUCGGAUUGCUGAUGUGGCGAGAUCUCAGCCAUUCAUCGGAUCUAAUUUACUCAAUCCAAUCAAUAAGUAAUACUCAGAUACAUGACGUGGCGAGAUCUCAUCCUUUCAAUAGCUUUGGCGGCUGCAUGUUUAAGGUAAUCUCAUCCGUUCAUCGCCUAACUAAGUCUUUGGCGAGAACAAAAUUAACAUUUUCUCUUCAACCUCUCAUCCGUUCUUCACCAUUCAUUGCCAUCUCCGACUCGAAUCUGAGAGAACCAAAGAAGAAGAUGAAGAAGAAGAAUGGUGCCGUUGUUGAAAUCGAUCGUAGUCUUUUGAUUUGAUUAGAGAUCAUAAGCCCUAAUUUUCCGACAUACGUCUCUUCCGGUGUUUUCCAGCUCAUCUCACGGAAGAUUUAUCUCUCUUUGUGAAUUCCAGGUUCAUUCAAUUGUGAUAUGGUGUUUCUCUUAGGAUUUGGUGCAAAAGGGAGCGAGAAACAUAGCUUUUAGUAAAUCAACUAGCGAGGAUUUAACAAUCUGCAUCUUCUGUUAGAAUCGAUUAGGAUCUGAAGCUCCUUUAUCGUCUCCUCAGGUUUUGCCUCUUUUUCUCUUCAAUUCCAUGCUAAUCUCCGUAAACCCUUGUUUCAAUUUUGUCCCUUUGAUCUCUGUUUCAAUUGGAUUCAAAGAUUGAAGAAACCAAUGAUUCAUUCGUUCUCAGAUGAAGUUUUAUUGGGGGUUUUCUCUUUAUUGCCUUAUCAAAGCUACAAGCUUGUGUUCUGCUUCAUCUCUUGUAGAUUUUGAAGGCUAAGAUUAACAUGAGGGCCUGAGCUAGUUGAUUGCUUCAAGUUUACAGCUUUAGAUGAUCCCUAAUUGAGCAGUUUGUAUUCUUUAAUAACCAUGGGAGAGUGGGUCAUCGGAGCUUUCAUCAACAUUUUUGGAAGCGUAGCUAUUAAUUUCGGCACAAACCUUCUCAAAUUGGGACAUAAUGAGGUCUGCAUUUGCCCCUCAGUCGCUACUGUUUGAUUGCAUUUAAUCUCGUGAAGCUUAUAGAUUUUUGUGUAUUAUAUCUAUCAGAGAGAAAGGUUAGCUUUACAAGAUAAUGGCGGAGGAAAGAUGCCAUUGAAGCCAAUUAUACAUUUUCAGACAUGGAGAGUUGGUAUGCUCUGGUCUUAAACCUUUUUCCCCUUUGAAGUUUAUAUGUAGCUUGUUCUGAGUCCAAUGUUGUUGGAAAUUUACAGGGAUCCUUGUCUUUCUUCUUGGGAAUUGCCUCAAUUUCAUUUCGUUUGGCUAUGCUGCUCAGGUCAAUGUGCAGAGUGAAGUUAACUCAGUCAUGGCGAGACUCGAUCGUCAUGUGAAAGAUGCUGAGGUUUUGAUUACAAGUGGUCUUCUUCAAGAUAACGGAAUCGUCGUUUUUCGAUUCUCGAUUUCGUCUAAGAAAGAAGCUAUUUUUUAUUUAUUUUGAGAAUGUAUUUUAGUUUUGGGAUUAAUUACUGUAUUUUUAUUUUGUAAUAUAAAUUCUUUUUAUCAAUGUUUCAUACAGAUAAUAAUAAAUAUGAUAUUUUUAUUUUAAAUAUAUCAAUUUAUCCCAAAAGAAUUAAUAAAAACAAAUACUAUAUAAAUACAUUUUUGUAUAAAAUACAAAAUAUCUACGUAUUACACAAUAGUAUAUAUAUAUAUAUAUUUUUUUUUCAAAUAAUUAAAUAUAUUAAUAGCAAAUAAUAAUCGCUAUUAUAAACAUUAGCAAUUGCACAGUAGCCAACGCUAUCGUUGUAUACUUAACUAUAGCACAACGCAAAACCGCUAUCAAAAGUGUCCGACUUUCUAUAACGGGCGAUGUCAGAGCGCUUAAGGAAACGCUAUGCUAGAUGAAUAAUUGCGUUUUUCGGCCGCUAUUAAUACUCACAUUUCCUGUAGUGAUUAACCAAAUUGUACGGUCACUAGAAGAGGAAAUAGAAAUGGUACUGAUAAAUACGUAUAGUUUGAUAUGGUUCUCUGACCUUGUUGCAAGGAUAUUCCAGCCAUAAGGAGUAAUCAGCUCAUUGUUAGUCGAGAAGAGAGGAAUCUCAAGAAUAGUUGGCCCAUUUGUGUCAAUCUUAAGCAAUUUCACAUCCGGAAGGUGUGCCAUGAAAUUGUGAACCAAAUUGCUAAGUGCUUUUCAUACCUGGCUAAUGAAAAUUGUUGAUUAGGGUGAUUAGUGGCUUUUUAGACAUUAUUAAUGUUCAUUAACCAUUUGAUUCCCUUGUUGAUGAUUAGUGAAGGAACUUGUAUCAUGGAAGUAAAAUACUCUUGUUUAGUGAUCUAAGGCCUAAGGAUUAGCUUUAUUAAGUUGCAUGAAGUCCACAAGUUAGCAAGUAGUCAUCCUUAUUGUUACGAAUUUGAGUGAAUAUAAUGAAGAAAAGCUUUGAUGAGAGAAAGGUGUUCUUGAGGCGAAUACCCUUUGCCUAGGGUUUAUAUUAUUAAUGUGAUGAUUACUUUACAAACCUUAAGUCUCCUUAUAUAAGCCUCAAAACCCGACACAAUGAAAUAGGAAAUCUUGUGAAUCUUCUAAAACCUAUUGUACCGUACUAGGGGCUGCGCCCCCAAAACCCCCAAAACCCUAACCUUAAACCGCCUUUGAAACCGUCUUGAAAAAAGUCUUGUAAAAUCCUUUUAAGUCAUGUAAGCCUUUUAAAGUCUUGCUACGUCUUGCAAAGUCAUGCACAGUUUUACACAGCCUUGCAGUCUUACAAAGCCUUGCAGUCUUGCACAGUCUUGCAGUCUUGCACAAUCUUGCACUGUCUUGCCAAUAUUUUCUAGAGAUUUCAAGUCACUUUAUAAUAACAAACUCCACCUUGACAACAAAAAUCUCAUUGGCUUCAACUUUGACUCCUUGUUAGCUUUUGGGGGAACCUUCAUCUUUAUUUAGCAAUGAACGACUUGGAGCAAAUCCAAGCAGUGCUUGAACUUCUCCGUGGUGACAGGCUUGGUUAACAUAUCAGCUGCAUUCUCAGACGUGUGCAUCUUCUCUAGUAAAAUCACACCAGAAGCUGACAACUCCCUGAUCUUGUGAAACCUUACCUCAAUGUGCUUCGUCCUAGCACAUGAUACACUUGAUUCUUUGCCAGAUAUAAUGCACUCUGACUAUGACAAUGUAGCUGAACUCCACCUUGCGCAACACCCAACUCCAUUACGAGUCCUCUAACACAUAAUGCUUCCUUAGCUGCCUCUCCCAUUGCCAUGUACUCUGCUUCUGUGGUAGACAUUAUAACAACAGACUACAAAACAUAUUUCCAACUUAUAAGCGCUCCAGCAAGAGUAAAUAUCUACCCUGUAGUAGACCUCAUGUUAUCAAGAUCACUGCAUAAUCUGAAUCAAUGAAACCCACGACUUCCGUCUUGCACUCAUGUCCUCCAAACAUGAGACCACAAUCAGCUAUACCUUAAAGUACUUGAGAAUCCACUUGACAGCAUUCUAGUGGGCUCUUCCAGGAUAGACAUGUACUUGCUAACUUGACUAACUACUUGACCAAGUCUGGUCUUGUGCAAACCAUACCAUACAUUAGACAACCAACUACACUAGAGUAAGGAACUCGUGCCAUAUCCCUGAUCUCCUCAUCAGUCCCAGGGCACUAUCGUGCUCAGAGUUUGAAGUGGUUCGCCAAAGGGGUAGACACAGGUUUUGCAUUCAUCAUGUCAAAUUUGUCUAAUAUCUUUUCUUUGUAGCUUCUUUGAGACAACCACAAUCUCUUAGAACUCCUAUCCCUGCGAAUCUCCAUCCCAAGAAUCUUCUUUGUAGCACAAAGAUCCUUCAUCUCAAAAUCUUCUCCUAGUAACCUUUUUAACUCAACAAUAUCAUCCAUAUUGCUUCUAGGGAUGAGUAUAUCAUUAACAUAGAACAACAGAAAGAUGGGAGAACUAUUACCAAGGUUCUUCACAUAAACGCAACAUUCAUACUCACAUCUCUGGUACUCUAUCUGCAACAUGUAGGUAUCAAAACGUUUGUACUCAUUGUCUAGGAGCCUGCUUCAAGUCGUAUAGAGACUUCUUCAGUCUGCAUACAGAAUCUUCCUCUCCAGUCUUGACAAACCCUUCAGGUUGCACCAUAUAGAUCUCUUUCUUCAAAUUCCCAUGAAGAAAUGUUGUCUUUACAUCCAUCUGCUUAAGUUAUAAGUCCCAACAAGCUACCAGCCCUAGCAUAACUCGAAUAGACGUGUGUCGCACAACAGGGGAUAAAAUUUCGUCAUAAUCAACCCCUUUCCUCUGUGAGUACCCUUGUGCUGCUAGUCUCGCCUUGAAAGUCACGGCUUCCUUCUUAGAGACUCCUGUUUUCUUUUUGAAAACUCACUUGCAACCAAUCGUUUUCUUCCCCUUUGGUAGUGGAGUAAGAUCCCACGUCUGAUUAUUACUUAGGCUUAAUGUCUCCUCCGUCAUGGCACCCAUCCAUCCUUCCAUUUCAGGACCACUAAUGGCUUCACGAUAGUUUGAUGGAUCAUCUGUGCCAACCAUAAGAGCAUAGCUAGCCAUAUCUUCAUACCCAUACUUGACAGGGGGCUUGAUUACAUGUUUUACUUUGGUGGCCACAAGACUCCGUUUUACAUGUAUCUGAUUAAUUUUCUUUCCCACCUUAGGAGACUUCUCCACCUUAGGAGACUGCUCCACCUCAGGAGACUGCCUUACCCCAGGAAACUGCUCCACCUUAGGAGACUACUGAUAACAUGGGAUUUUCGCCCAUAUUUGCUAUUGUUUUCUUAUGUUUUAGGGAGCAUUUGGAGUGAUUUCAGAGCCAAGAAGGUGCUAUUCAUGUAUUUAUAGAGUCAAGAAGGUUUUAAGAGUUUUUGAGCUUUAAAGUCCAAAAGGCGAUCAAAGCCCGUUUCAAGACAGUUAUUGUACGUCAGAAGUAUGGCGUCCGUUCGAAGUCUUUCCGAUUUCAAAAUCAAGAGAUCUCGGUGGCUGUGGAAAACUAGAAGACUCAAGGUUCGCCUCAAAGUGUAAUCAAAGCAUUUCAUCAAGCCAUUCGGAAGUUAUGACCAGAAGAGUGAAGACAUGUCUAGACCGGCCAUAAGCUAUGCAACCGUUCCGGAGCUUCUAGGCCACACCGGUCACGAUGGCCGAGCCCGGGCUGCCUUCUACUCUCCACCCAGGUCACUAAGGCUUCUACUCUAUCUAGGAACUCGAGUUUUAACUUAACCUAAUUCACGGUAAAAGACGCUUUUACCCUUAAACCGACUCCUUGGUCUCCAAGACCUAUAAAUACCUAUGAAAACCCUAAACCUAGGUGUGCCUCUUUAGUGCUUCAUCGUUAUUCAUCCCUGCCCUCGUCGUGAGCUGCAGCCGUCGACCUAGAGGUCUGAAGACACCAAAUCUCUCUCUUUUCUCUUGUUUACUCUAAGAUCUAUUAAGGUGAAGUCUUAUCUCUUGUAUUCUACAUUCAAAGAAGUAAUCUCUAAACACUAUUCAGUUUUUAUUCAUCUUUUUCUUAUGAGUUUAUCAAACCUUACUUUGAUGAUCUCUUUAACCAUACUAGAGUAGAUUUCUAGUUGGGUUUAAAGGGUUAAUCAAAGGGGGGACAUGAUCGAUCGUCAGAGCCGUGCGAACGUUACCAAGUAUCAUGAGCGAAUAAAAAUAAAAUGCCCUUAAUUUUUAAAAAAAAAAACCGUCUACAAAACUAAACCAUCGUCAUUCAUCAUAUAAUAAAAAAACAUUAAAAAAAAAAAAACAAACUAGCAAACAUAAUAUCAGUUCUUAAACAUUUGUUUUCCCUUUUCCUCCCCGAAAUCAUUAACCAACCUUUCAAAAUCAAUGUUUCUAACCAAUUCUCUUUCAAUGGAUAAAAUAUCCAAGUCACUCAAUCUUUCUUGUGACAUAGUCGAACGAAGAUACGAUUUGAUCAACUUCAGCUUUGAAAAACUUCUCUCAGCAGAUGCAACCGAAACUGGAAUCGUCAACAAUAUUCGAUAAGCAAUGCAUGAGUUUGGGUAGCAAUCUUCAACUGUUUUCAGAAAGUCUAAUACCUCAAUAGGUCUUUUAACUUCUUUUGGUAAAGCUUCUCUUAGAACUUUAAGUUCAAAGAAAAGAUCAUGACCAACAACAACUGAUUGCUUUCCAUGGGUUAGAGAAACUUCAAGAUUGACACAAGAAGCCAUCAAACUAUCAUCGCUCCCUGAUUGCAAUUUUCUCAAAUCAAACAAAAAACCAAAUAUUUGUUCGUACCUCUGAAAUUGCUCAAACCUCGUCUCAAGUGAGUAGAGAGCUUGAUCCAUGAUUUGGAUGAAGUAGUCAACCCUAAAGCUCUCCUCAGGUGAUAAUUUCCCUCCAUAUUCUCUGAUUCUUCACCAUAGUGUCUUUUUCUUUUAAUCACCCGCUUUGCUUUUUUGGGAUCUUUUAAUACAGGAUCGAUCUCCAAAGAUUCUGCAAUUUCUUUAGCUUCUGCUUUUGCUUUCUCAAAGCCUGACUCUCUAUAGUUUUGAAAAUAUGAAACCAACCCCUUGAGUUGAGAAAUAGCUACAUCAAUGUUCAUGUCUUCUGACUGCAAACUCUUACUCACGAUGUUAACAACAGAUAGAAGAUUAUACCAAAUAACCAUGGAAACCAAGAACUCAAAACUUCCAAUUCCAUGUGUUUCACUUGUUGCAAGACAUUCAGCGUCGUUGUGUUCUUUCGGAUCAUCACUAUUUUCAGCAAUGUACACUAACGCAUUCAUGAUUUUAGGAGCCUGAAAUCGUAUAGCCUUUACACUUUCAACAUGGCUCUCCCAACGAGUGUGUGAUAAAGGCUUAAGUGUUAGGCCAUCCACAUGAUCCUCAAAUAUUUUCCACCGCAUAAUUGAAGAUGAAAAGAAACAAUAAGUACGCUAAAUAAUCCCAAAAAAUGAGAUUGCCUUUGAAGAAGUGGUUGCCAUAUCACAAAGUGCAAGAUUCAAACUGUGACAACUACAUUGUGUAUAAAACGUCCUGGGAUUUAUCUCAAGAAAUCUUUUCUGCACUCCCUUAUGCUUUCCCUUCAUAUUAGAGCCAUUAUCAUAACCUUGCCCCCUCACAUCGUCAAUUUUUAAAUCAAAAGCAGUCAAAACAUCUUGAAGCUCACGAAAAAGUCCUUCACCUGAUUUAUCAUCAACUUUCAAGAACGUUAAAAAAAUUCUUCGAUCUUCGUUGAAGUUGUUGAAAUAUCUACACACCGAAUGAUGACAGUCAUUUGUUCAUGAUGACUAAUAUCUGGAGUGCAGUCAAGAAUUACGGAGAAGUACUUUGCACCUUGAAUUUCUUGACAAUCAUAGCUUUUACCUCAUUAGCUAACAAAGCUAUUAACUCAUUCUGAAUUCUGUUGCUGAGAUAAUAAGAACGAGAUAUACCUUCUUUAUAUCUUCUAAGAUAUUCUAUCAUCACUGGAUCAAAAUCAGCAAUCAUCUCUAUAAAGCUCAAAAAAUUCCCACAACCUUCUUCUCCAAUUUUCUCUUUGCUUCCACGAAAUGCUAAAUUUUGUUUAGCAAGAGUUUUUACUACAGAAAUAAUCCUAAGCAAAACUUGCCUCCAAUGAAUUUUCUCUUUGCAGAUUUCAUCUUGAGCAUAUUUGUCAAUGGUCAGAUUCUUCUGCAACUUGAGAUCUAGUUCUGCCCACUGUUUCAUACACAAAAUGUGCUCACGACUAGAUUCGUGUUCUUUAAGCCUUUUCAAAAUAUUUCUCCAAUUACUGAACCCCGUAGAUGCCAAUUGACUAUUAUCACUUUGAUUGAACAAUUUACAACAAAAACAAAAGAUCUUGUUCAGUACCUUUGAGUAAACUAGCCAACGCCGAUCUUGUUUUGUUCCAUCAUCCAUCUCUCUGGUAUAAUACAAAUGUGAAAAAUGUCUUUUAACGCUAUCCUUAGGAAAGUUAUAACCAAGUGGCAGCCUUUUUGUUGGACCUUGUACAACCAUGAAAUCCCUCCAUUCAUUCCAUCCUUUUUUGAUAUUUUCCCAAUUUCCAAGAUCAUAUAUAUCAAAAAAUCCAUAAGUCUCCUUCAGAUCAUCACUCUUCUCGCGCUCAUUCAUAUUCACAUCAUCCUUUACAUUCAAUUCUUCUUCAUUCACUGCAUUCACAUUUUCUGGUUCAACAUCGGCUUCUUCUCUUUGACACUCAUUUAUAUUCUCAUCCACUCCAACAUCUCCAGAAGCUUCAUGUUCUUUAUCAUUAUUUUCCACAGAUUCAUCAAAAGUUUCAGAUUUUUUGAAGUACCUGAAUCAAGCAUUCUCUUGAGAUUUUGCUUGUUCGUCUUUUAGUUUUCUCUUUUUUCUAUUAUCACAUCCCGACGGGUGAUCUUUUUUCUUUGAUGACAUUUUUAGAAAAAAAUUGAAUGAAAAGCAUGAUUAAUUUGGAUUAAAUAGACACGAUGUAGUGAAAGAAUGUUUAUAAAAAAUAUUUGUCCUUGUAUUACCUUGAAUCAAAAGCUUGAGUGCUUGUCUGCUGGACCAAAAACAAAAGCUUGACGACGAUGAAAGUGAAAACUAACAAAAAAAAAUUCUAACCCUAAUUGUUAAGUAAUUAAUCGUGUUCAUUCUUUUCAAUUAACUAAUAAUUUUGAAGCCCAUAUUUGAAAUUUGAAGGUAGAAGCCCAUUUUGUUACUAAGUUGUCUUUGUAUUUUGAGUUUCAACAUUAUAUAACACUAGUAUUUAUAUAUUUAACUAAACAUAAACUACAUGGCACUAACAAAUAUAUGCCCCUUAAUUUUUUUUCAAAAUCACAUGCCCCAAGCCAAUGUUUCUUUUCUCCUCACGUUUGCACGGCCUGUCGAUCGUCUAGGUGGCGAUACUUAGAGUUUUGUUUGAUCGUUUACAUUGUAUUUUUUCUAAGUAAAUUUUCUCUUAAUGCAUGUAGUAAGAUUCAUGUCCUAACUCGUGAUCCCAAGUAUUUAAAUUGCUCACAAGGUUGUUUAAUAUGCUAGACUUAGCUUACGAAUGUGUAUCGUGUUAUAAUAAGCACACACCACUUAGUUAUAGGGCUUUAUGGACUAGAAUCGAACUUGACUUAUUGCUUUGAUAUAUGCGUCAUUGCCUGCAUAGGUUGAGUAACGGAGUAUAAGAAUUUUAGCCGACUAAUUCUAUAACAUAGAGUUAGCCGAAUCUUAGUGUUUCGUAUGUCCGAGACUUGGAAAUAAACAAACCUAAUUCUAGUAUUUCUUAGAGUACAAUCAUUGAACCCCCUGCGAUCCCCUUGAUGCCCAACGUUUGUCUCUUAUUGAUUACUUGCUUUCUUUACUCGUUUAUUUAUUUUGCUUUCUUUACUCGCUUUCUUAUUUACUUUACUUGCAACCGUGACACAACCAACAACCCCUCUUUUCUUGUUUUGUCAUAGCUUUACUUUAUUGUAACGGAUUCGUCCGAACUACUUCUCUCUCUAUGGGAUUCGAUCUUUAAAUACUGCAACCAAUUCACUGUGCACUUGUAGUAGUCCUGUGGUCUUUUGAGGUGAAAGAUUGAAGCGAUAAAAUAACACGCGAUCAACUGCUCAACUACAUCCGCUACUGGUCUAGCUUCACUAGACUCCUCUUCAUCCUCAGCUAUCUUAGAACCAAUAUCAGCCUCAAUGGUCACAGGAACUCGUUCUGAACUCAUCUAUUGUAGCAUAAACUGCUCAUCAAACACCACAUCAUGAUUGAUUACUCUUUUCCUAGCCUCAAGAUCCCAUAACUUGAAACCUUUCAUGACUUUCUUAAAUCCAAAAAAAACGUACUUCUUGGACUUAGAAUCCAAAUUUGAUCUUUCGUCGUUUAGAAUCAACACAUAGGCUGGACAACCAAAGAUUCUCUAAUUUGAUAGAUCAAUGUCUACCCCAAUCCACACCUCUUCAGCAACUUUCCUUCUAGAGAAACCCUUGGCAAUCUAUUGAUGAGGUAGACCGCCAUGUUUACUGCCUCUGCCCAGAACUCCUUGGAAAGUCCUGCAUUCAAUCUUAAACACCUUGCUUUUUCUGCAAUAGAACAAUUCAUCCUUUCACUUACACCGUUUUGUUGUAGUGUUUUCCGCACUGUAAAAUGCCUUUGAAUACCUUGCUACUCACACAGCUUCUGGAACUCUCCAUCAAGAUACUAUGUGCCAUUAUCAGACCUUACAUACUUCACCUUCCUCCCUAUUUGGUUUUCUACUUCAGCCUUCCAAAUUUUAAAUUUUCCAAAAACUUUAGAUUUCUAUCUCAUGAAAUAAACCCAAACCUUCUUAGAAAAAUCAUCAAUAAAGAUGACAAAGAAUAAGCUUCCUCCUAAUGACUGUUCUCGUGUUGGCCCCCACACAUUAGAAUACACAUAGUUUAGUAGACCCUUUGUGUUGUGUUGGUCAGCCUUGAAAGAUGCUUUGGACUGCUUCUCCAUCACGCAGAACUUACAAAACUCCAUCUUACAACUCUUCAAACCAUCCAAAAGACCCUCUUAUGGAUUUCAGUCAAGCCAUGCUCUCCUAUAUGCCCCAACCGCAUAUGCCAUAGAGCUGUGAUAUUCGAUUCAGUUACGACGGCUGCAGCUCCACCUACAACCACAUUUCCAAGUAGACGAUAAACAUUUCCUGUUGUGAGCUGACCCUUCAUCAACGUUGAUUGCUCGAGUAAUUACCCGAUACACUUAACCGCAAGGUAGUAUAUACGGGGUCGAUCCACAAGAACCAAUGGUACACUAAAGAUUUCCGAGACUCGUUCUUAGCUAAAGCUAAAAGAUUGUUUUGUUUUGGGUUUUCGGAAUUGUAAAUAAAAAUGCAAUUAAAAUAGACGAUUUAACUUCAAGAUUUAAAGACAUUGGGCGUUAGGGUAUUUCAGAGAUCAACGAAUAAUGGAAACAUGAAACCAGGAAUUCAGUAAUUAAGAACCGUUGUCGAACAUGAACACAUUUAAACCAAUUCUCUUUCAAGACAUUAAUCACUAAAUUUGACUAUUCGAUUACUAAACUUUCGCAUGUAAUUUCCUAGUCAAAUUCGCAUUACCAAACAAGUUCAUUAAGUUCACAAUGCGUCCUAACGUCAACUUUCGUUGGCUAGAAAUACAUUGCUCAAUCCACAUUAUUUCAGGCAUUCUAUCGAACACUUUUGAUGCAUAGAAAAACCUAGAAUCUACAACAGGGUGAUCAAUCAUAUUCUAGCAUUAAAAACAUGUGAAUCAAAGAACCUAGAGAAUGAGAAUUCCUAACACAAUCAAUCCAUUAAUCCAUUGAAUCUCCUAAUUGGAACCCUAAAACCCAAUUGGAGAACUACUCACACAUAGAGAAAGAGAAAAGGCAAAUAGAUAUGAAAGAAAACAUGAUUCAAUAAAAUAGAAAAGGAAUAGGGUUUAGAAAUCUUCUCCAAGUGUCAAGAGGAUGGAUUCCUUUGCCCAAAGUUGUUUACAAACCAAAGAACAAAGUUUAGAACUCAAAAAUAUCAAGGAUACUGUGUAAAUAGUCGAGCAUAGGGUUUUAAAACAAUAGGAAAUGAGCCGGGUCGGAUCUGGAGUGAAUCGGGUCAAUUAUGGGCCAAAAGUACGUCUGGGAAGGGAUCGAUCGAUCCGGUGGGUGGAUCGAUCGAUCCCGAGUCACUGGAAACUGCUUCUCGUCCGUCAACUCCGCAACUGCUGAAGUACUUUUGUAAACUCAAGUUCUGGUCUCCAACUCCGCAACUGCUUCAAAUGCUCGGCAGAAUGACCUGUCUUCACUAAUUCGGGUAUAACUCUUGAAUGCACCGUUAGAUUUCCUUCGAACCAAUUGUAAACUCAAGCUAACAUCUUCAUAUAACUUUUGUCAAAAAUGCAGAAAGAUCUAACGGUGGAAAGUAUUCCAUCUGAGGCAAAACGUCUGACACUUCUAAACGAAACUGCAUCUCCAAAAGUGUGUUUACAUCCCAAAACAGCUCGUUUUCCUCCAAAGCAACCUAAAACCUGUAAAGACUCGAUAAAAGACUAAAAGACUCUAAAAACUCACUUUGACUCUAUAAAACAUAUGAUGUAGGAAAGAAAACAAAGACUCAAAACCGAUAAAAACACAACAUAUCAAACGUCAUGUCUCCUUUCCGCGCAUUCACACAGUUUUCAUCAUCAGUUUCGAACCUGAAUCCGUCCCUGUGAAGUGUGCCAAGAGAUAACAGAUUCCUCUUCAUUGUUGGAAGAUGCCUCACCUUUGUCAAAGUCGUGACAGUGCCAUCAUGCAUCUAAAAUUUGAUUUGCCCAAUACCAACAACGUUGCAACUUCUUUCGUCAGCUAAUCGAAUAAGUACCAAAGUUUCCAGCCUGAUACGUGUCAAACCAAUGCUUGUUUGAAGUCAUAUGGAAUGAACAACUUGUAUCCAAUAUCCAAGAAUCUGUAUGAUUUAUUGUCGUCACAGCAAGCAUAUCAAACUCAACAGUCACUGAAUCUUCUUGUUUAACCACGUUUGUAUAAUUAUUUUCCCCUCCAGAACUGUUCUGCAUCUUGAUCAUUGGGCAAUCUCUCUUAUAAUGUCCUGGUUUCUGACACUUAUAACAGUGCCUUCUUCAUCAUGCCAUCUCCCUGCUUCCUCUUGUUAUUCUUUCCUGCAUUGCCUUGACUAAUAUUUACGUACAAUCCAUCACCUUGAGAGUUGUCACUGCUGCCACCGCCUUGCUGUUGGCGCCGAUUGUGAUGACCAAACAGCGAAUCUGUGGCUGAUUGCAGACUUAUCAUCUCUUUGUCUGCCAAGAGUGCAGUCACCAACGUCUCAUAUGCUGGAGUCAAAGAACAUAACAGCAGCAUGGCUUUAUCCUCGUCCUCAACUGUUACACCCACACGCCCUAGAUCUCUAAUGAUCUGGUUAAAUUGGUUAACAUGCUGAAUCAGGUUUUCACCUUCAUCCAUCUUAAACCAAUACAACCUCUACUUCAAGUACAGCUUGCUAGAUGGGGAUUUCGACAUGUACAUCUUUUCUAGCUUGUCCCAAAUCUCUUUCGAAUAUUUGAGUUCAAGCACUUGAUGCACAACUUCAUCUCCAAGGCACGUACGGAUCGUUGAACUUGGCUUCUCCCUCAUCUCAUUCCAGUCGUCUUGUGAGAUCCCUUCUGGCUUUGUGUCUAACAAAACUUUCUUCAUACCUUGUUGAUUCAGGAUGUCCUUCACUCGAGUCUGCCAGAGGCAAAAGUUUCCUGUUCCAUUGAAUCGUGGAACCUCAAACUUCACAUAACUUGUCAUCAAACUUGGCUCUUUGAUACCACUUGUUACGAAUUUGAGUGACUACAAUGAAAAAAGCUUUGAUGAGACAAGGGUGUUCUUGAGGCGAAUACCCUUUGCCUAGGGUUUACAUUAUUGAUGUGAUGAUUACUUUACAAAUGUUAAAUCUCCUUAUAUAAGCCUCAAAAUCCGAUACAAUAGAAUAACAAAUCUUGUGAAUCUUCUAAACCCUAUUGUACCGUACUAGGGGCUACGCCCCCAAAUCCUAACAUUAAACCGCCUUUGAAAUCAUCUUGAAAAAAGCCUUGUAAAAGCCUUUUAAGUCUUGUAAGACUUUCAAAGUCUUGCAACAUCUAGCAAAGUCAUACACAGUUUUACACAGCGCACAGUUUUACACAGCCUUGUAGUCUUGCAGAGCCUUACAGUCUUGCACAACUUUGCAGUCUUGCACAGUCUUGUAAUUUUGCAUAGCCUUGCAGUCUUGCACAGUCUUGCACUGUCUUGCCAAGAUCUUCUAGAGAUUUCAAGUCACUUUAUAAUAACACUUAUCAAUUAUUUUUUCCCAAGAGUUCGCUUUAUUUUCUUGAUAUAUAACCGUUUUUCUUAUUUUCCGCUUUGUUUCAUUAUAAAUCUUGUUAGUCUCGUGCAUUUAGCUUGUUACAAUUCGUAAUCAUACUUAUUUGCUUAUAUUGAACGGUUGCUAGCAAUCCCAGUGUGUUAUUUUUUUUUUCCUUGAGGAUUGAUAUUAUUAAUCACAAACUUAUGGCACGAGUGAUUAGGAAUUAAAACUUAGUCGUUAUGAGAAGUCUUCCUCAGUAUUAUUCUGCAUUGAUACAUGUUUUUUUAUAGAUAACAUACAAUCCUUGUUCAAAAAAUCGCUAGGCGCUAGUCGGGCGCUCGAGGUGGGCCUAGCGCCUAGCAAGAAAAUCAGAGAUUAAGCGGGGAUUAAUCGGGAUUAGUUUUACGGCUAAUAUAUAUAUUAGAUAUCUUUGACAGAACGUAUAACUCAUGUUAGUCUAGUGGUCAUUAUGGACGCUGGCAAGGCUCACAACCUUGGUUCAACGCCCCAAUUGCCUAAGCAUGUUGUUUUCUUUUAUUUUUCUUUAAUGAAAUGUAAAAUGACGUUUCUAUCCUCGUCUUCAACCUCUCAAUCUUUGGACGCUGGCAAUCUCUGUAACCCUAAUUCGGCUGCCAUCUCAUUUUUUUCGUUAUUUUCGCGUUUUACUAGCUAUUUCAUGUAAGUUUUACUAUAUUACAAUAGAUCUAGGAGAAAACAAGUUUUCUUAGUAAAAACUAACCAAAAAACAAAUAUUUUUUUUGCAACCCCGAUUUUCUUGCCGAUUUGGUGACAUCCCGGCGGCUGUCCUCCGCCCACCGCUGAAUCGGCGAUUACACGGACGCCUAGUCCGCGUUUUUGAACAGGGCAUACAAUCGGAGAUUAAAUUGACUGCAAAUGGUUUUAUAUUUUAUUUAAACCAUUAAAAAUAUAUGUAGAUAUGAGAUGAACUCAUAAUUUUAUUACAAUGUUCUAACACAACAAUACUGCAUAACGAUAUAAGUGUUCGAGCUCUCAACUUAGUUCAUACGGAAAAGGCACAAUCGUUGCCUCGUUAGUCGUGUAUUUCUCUCUCGUGAAGACGAUUUUCAGUUCUCAGAUCUAGGUUUCUUUACUGUUUUGUUCUUCAAUCUUCGGUCGAAUCUUCUCAAAAGCGGUCCAGGAGUGAGCCAGGGCGUUUCUCUGUCAACGGUGGUGUGGCGUUUUCCCUUCGAUGUGGAGGUGACUCGGGUCUGAUUGGAGGAGGUCUACUGCAGCGAUUCUCUCAUGGUUGGGACGUCGUGAGUGGCUCAGUUCCUCCGGCUCAACCGUCAGUCUCAAGUUGCGUUCACGGCGGAAGUUGGGGGGAUUAAGGUGGGUUCGUUGUUUGCUCGGUGUUUAGCUGCAGAUCCAUAGGAUCUUAGAGGGCGGUUGUGGAUUUCGGGUGUACGGGGUUUGGAUUUGAGCCACCAUCCUUUAGAUCCGCCACAAUUUAGCAUCCAUCGAGCCGGAUUAAUUCGUCAAAGCUCUGGGAUCUUGGUUUGUUUUUCCGGUCUGGAAGAGAGGGGUUUCCGUCUAGUGAGUCGGAUUGCUUCUUCAGGAUCUGUUUCCGUCGAUGUGCUUAGUCGGAGUGACUAGCUUUCCGGGAGACUUGGGGUGGGUUGGUUCGUCGGAGGUAUGUAAUUGAUGGCGGAAACCGGUCUCUUUCGCCGAUAUUUCACGCUCUUCGGUUGUAGCCACAAAACUGUGGGUCUUGAGCCCGCCGGAUGUCAGGCUCUGGUUGCUCUGCGGGCAUCUAUCAACAAACGGCGAGCUUUUUUUCUUCCGGUGAAACACCGAUUUGCUAUUUUGUAACUGGUCUAGGCUUUUGUUAUUAGAUGAUUUAUAUAAAUAAAUAAACCACUAUAUAAUUUAAUACAUUUAAAACUACAAAAUAAUUUUCAUGUAACAAUAUUUGUUAUAUUUAAGUUUGAAUAUAGAAUCUAUUAAUCUAUAUAGAAUAAAAUUUAAAAUUAAUUUAAAGUAUACAAUGUAAUAUGUGCCAUGCACCAGUCCUUAGCUAGUGCUUUAUUAUUUAGGGGGGUUUUUACGGUCCCUUACAAUUCAUUGAAGUACAAAUCCUGGUGGAUCGGACUCUAACGAUAUCUGGUAAAGUAAAUCCCAUAUUUUUUGCAAUCCAUAAACGUAGCUCACCACAUUGAUAAGUAGAGGCUUCUCUGUAUACUUGAAUAUCAUAAUAAUGUUCUAUAUUAUAUUUAGAUAUAUACGAUAUAUAACAAUUAUAUUUUUUCUUUUUGUACAUGAUGGAAGGAUCUUGGAAUACAAUGCUAAACUAGAUCAUCACCCGUGCUAUACAGCACGGAUUUUAAUAUUUUGUACGGUUUAACAGUUUAAAAAAUAUUAACCCGCGGUACACCGCGGACCUAUAUUUUUAUUAAAUAUAAAAUUGAUUUUUAAGACCUUUCUUUUACAUAUAUGCUAUUAUUUUGUUUGUUUUAAACGUAUAUAUAUUAUACAUUGUAGGAUUAAUAUGUUUUAGGUUUCAUUUUUGAAAAUAUAGAGAUAUAGAAAAUUAUAUAGUUCAUUACGUACUAAUGUAUAGGGUAUUUAAAUAUGAAUUUAUUUUCUUGUUUACAUAAUAUAUAUAUGUGAAGAAUAUAUGAGAUUAGAAUGGGUUUAUAAAUUUUUAUUGAGCAAAUAAAUAUUUAAAAUUGCAGUGUAUAUAUAUAUAUAUAUGUUGUGCAAAUAAAAUUAAAGUACACUAUGUGUAUAUUUGUUUAUCCAUUAUAAGUAAAAUCGAUAUUGUAUAUGCAUGUUGUUAUAUAUAAGGAAAAAAUGUGUAUUUCGAAUUAACAUAUGAAAAUUUUAAAUUUUAAAUUAUAUAUGUCUUGUGAAAUUUUUUUUUUUUGUUUAGUGUUUAAGAUUAUAUGAUUGUAUUUUAAUUGUUAAUUCUAGGAUUUUUCACCCGUUGUAUACCUUCCCAUUUUAAUGUCGACUCAAAUCCGUCCCACCAUAUAACCUCGUCCCGUAAAAUUAAACAUCAUUUUGUAAUUUUUUUAAUAAUAAUUUUAUUUAAAAUAUAUAAUUCGAGUAAAUUUAAAAGUUUGCUUUAAAUAGUUCUCAUAAGAUAUAAAUUUUUAAUUUGUAUAGAGUUAAAAUAUCAUUAAUAUUAUAAAAAAAGUUAGUUUGAAAAAUGAAAGACAAUCAAUAAGAAGACACAUUACAUAACUAUAUUUGUAUAUAGUAUAAAAAAAGGGUAUAGAUAAUGUUUUUUGCUUUCUUUAUUUUUUUGGUAAAAUGUCAAUCUUUUUUUUCACUUGAAAAAAAGAGUCGAUCCAAUUGUUCAUACAAAAAAUCUUUAUCCCCUCUGAUUAUCUUACUGAUUCAGCACAGAUCUUUUUUUCGAUUACAGCUAUGAAUUGAAGAUUUGAAAAAAACAUGUUCAAUAACACCCUGAUUCAACCCAUGGAUUUCGAUUCAGUAACCUAUCCCACAAUUAAUUAGGAUUAAAUAUUUAGAGACUAAACCAAGCCCAUUUAAUAAGAAACAACUUACAACCACGUGACCUUAACCCAAGGUCCACAAUUCCGGUUUAAUAAUCAAAUUCCAAAACCCAAACAAACAAUCGCACAAACCACCACCACUACACAUGACCAUCAUCACAAGUCAUCUCACGAUUCCAAGUUUUGAUUCUGGAUUUCAAUUACACAAGUCAUCUCUUGGUUUAGCUUGGUUUAGUUUCACGGUUUAAUAAUCGCAACAACACCAAGCAACACAUACACUAAGACAUGGAUUUGCAGAAUAUCUUUCUCGGCAAGUUUUCUCGAUGGUUUGAUCUGACGGUUUGAACGGCAAAGUGGAUCUGCGAUGGUCUAGAUCCAAACCUAAUUUCAAAGAGAUCCGAGUUCUACACCACCAAGCUAAAGCUCUAUUACCCACCGUUGAACCAACAUCUCACCGACGGUCGCCGUCACAGCCACUAAUUCCCUACCCGUACACAGCAUCAGCUAAAGCUCGAUGACAAACCGUUGCAACAAUCUCUCCAUUCGACAUCUAUCUUCACCAUAGACUCAAAAGUAGCAGCCAUGUGAAGAGGAAAAAGGUGUGUUAAAUGUUUUUCUUGCAAAUCGUGACCUUUUUUUGUUUGAUGAUAAAGAUCCACAUUUAGGUGUAGAGUAUUUUAUAGGGUCAAAAUUAGGUCACUAAUCCCUAUCACUUCACGCAAAAAAUAUUCGAAGUAGCAACAAAUUGGAGAAAAAAUCUUUGGAUUCGUUAAUAUUUUGGAAUAUGCCGAGAUUUUAAUAUAUUAGAGUCAUAAUUUUGUUUCUUUAAAUGGAUUUUGUUGAGAUACUGGAGAAAGAAAAUUUCCGAAAAUAAAGGUGGUGAUUAAUUAGUUGAAAGAUUAGUUGGAAUUAGGUAGAAUUGAAAACGUUAAAUCGAGAAUAUACACUCGAAUAUAGCAACAUACUCUGAGAUUUAGUUUGCUUAAUAUCUUUAUUAAUUUUGCAAAUUUAAAUAAUAAAUUCUAAUGGCAUGCCGAUAAAUGUGGGAAUAAAUUAAGGAAAUAGUGUUAAAUGGGUAAUUAAAGAUUAUAAAUAGGAUCCGAACAAAUUAAAACCGGGUCAAAACCCGAUCCAUUUGAAUUAAAAACCAAAAUCCCCUCUAAAAAUGUAUAUGUAGAUAUAAUGUAAUUUCUUACACUUCUCAAACAAAAUAUACAAUUUUCAAUGAUAUAUCACUUUCAUUAACAUUUUCAAUGACAUUUUUGAUAACAUGUUCGAAUAAUGGAUUACUAUAUAACAUUUUCAAUAACAUUUUCGAUCAUAUUUUCGAAUAAUAUAUUAGUAUAUAACAUUUUUACUAAUUGUGUUACAUUUUCGAAUUGAUUAGUAUAUAAUUUUCAAUUGUGUAAUCGUUUGAAGAAUUUUUUUCAGAAUUAUCUGUAUUAUAUAAACAAAAUCUUUUAAUAUCUUUAAACCCGUUGACCCGUUUAUAUAUAUUAGUGACAUGGAAUAAAUUUUAUGAUUAGAAUUAUAUAAUGGCAUAUAUUGUAAUUUCUUACAAAAUCUAAGUUAUGACUCUUAGGAUGUACUUCCCAAAUAUUAGUAUAGAUGGAGUGGUAGCAUUUCUUAAUUGUUGAACUCCCAUAUCAAAGAUUGGGUUCUUGGAACGACAAUGAACUUGGAGAAUGGAACCAGGCGGGAGGUGGUUUCAAAUUUCUACACUAUAUAUUAUAAGUGCAAGUUUCAUUCAUCCGAAAAUACAUAGCAAUGACCAACAUUAAACAUAUGAAGUGAUUUAUUUUUGUUGGAAAAAUAUAAUUUUGGAGUAACAAAAUGAAUCGAUGUGUAAUAUUUCUAUUUUUAGCAUGGAUUUCAGAAAGAUAAUCAAUUAGAUUUUAUUACAUAUAUUUUAUAGAUAAAAACUACGAGAAUGCAUCGUGGACCAUUUAAUAAAUUAAUUUUCUAAUUUUUUUUGUUAUGUUAUAUAUAUAUAUAUAUAUAUAUAUAGUUAAUUGAGUUCUUUUAAUAUAUUAUGUACAAUAAGUUUGGCUAUAUUUUUAACAUUUUGAUUAGUUUCAUCUAUUAAAUAAUCAAUUAUUUUUCAAUUAAUAAUAUGUCAUAAGAUUCAUCACUAUAUUCUUUCAAAUUGAAAAUGUAUGACCUUUCACCUCUCAUAAUAUUUUAGAAAUACCCAAUAAAUUGAUUUUUAAUAUAUCAAUUUUAAAAAUUGAUAAAUAUUUCUAAAACUUUUAAAUAGGAUCAAUCUUUAACAUCGUUUUGUUAGAAAAUUCAAAAUUAUAUGAUUACUAAUAACAAAUUUCGAAUUCUUAUAUUUACAAUAUUAAUUCAUUUGUAUUUAGUUUCAAAGAAUAUACAAAGAUUAUUAUCCUGUAUAUAUAAAUACAUGGGCUGCCUGAAGCAAUCUACUUGUAAUAUAUGCGUUCAACUAGAAUCACCUUCUACUUUCGACAUCUACCCAAUUCACCCUAUACUCUUCUCCUUCUUCCUAAUUCCACCCAAUCUAUUAAAUUAUAUCCAAUUAACCAAAUUCAAUAAAUCUCUGAAAUUUUGAUUUAAAAUUAAUAAUACGCGUUCAUUAUUUCGCGAUUUGAGUAUAUCCAAGUUUAAAAUCUUGACUCGGUUAAGCUUUUCAAUGUGUUGUUGACAUGUUGUUGAGAAUAUUUUAAACUCGGGUGGACUCAAAUCGGGAAAUAGUGAAUGCGAAUUAUUGAUUUUAAAUCGAGAGUUCUGAGAUGAAUUGUAUUUGGUUAAUUGAAUAGAAUUUUAUAGUUUAGGUAGAAUUAUGAAGAAGAAGAAAAAUUCAAAGUGAAUUGGGUAGAGGUCGAAAGUACAGGGUGAUCCUAGUUUAACGCAUAUAUUACCGGUUGAUUGCUACAUCACCCCUAAAAAACAUUUGCCUAAAGUCUGUACAAAACAUAUGCCUAAAAGUCUUAGCCCAAUAAGCUAGCGAGCCAAUACAAAGCCCAAUUUUAAAUCGAAGCCCAUUUAUUCAGUUGUAUCAAAAUAAGAGAGAUCGAGACUCGAGAGCAUCCAUGGCUUGAAGGAAAAGAAAAGUUUUUUUUUUUCUGUGCUUUCGUCUCUAUAAACCCUUUCGACGACGAGUGAAGAAGAAAUCGAGAAGAAGAAGAAGAAGAAGCAAAAAUGUUCAGAAACCAAUACGACACAGAUGUGACCACAUGGAGUCCAACAGGUCGUUUAUUCCAAGUGGAAUACGCCAUGGAAGCAGUGAAGCAAGGAUCUGCAGCAAUUGGACUCAGAUCUCGUUCCCAUGUCGUUCUCGCUUGUGUUAACAAAGCUCAAUCGGAACUUUCUUCUCAUCAGAGGAAGAUCUUUAAAGUUGAUGACCAUAUUGGUGUUGCAAUCGCUGGUCUCACCGCUGAUGGUCGUGUUUUGUCUCGGUAUAUGAGAUCGGAAUCGAUUAAUCACUCGUUUACUUAUGAAUCUCCUCUUCCUGUUGGUCGUCUCGUUGUCCAUCUCGCUGAUAAGGCUCAGGUUUGAAAAUUUGGAAUCGAUUAUGCUUGAUUUUGUGUGAUUCACUGAGUUAAAAGUUCAGCUAUUAGGGUAUUUUUAUUGUUAAUUGAGAUUUGGAAUCAAUUAUGCUUGAUUUUGUGUGUCUCAUUGAGCUAAAAUUUAGCCAUUAGGUUCUUGACUUUGUGCUUAGGGUUUAAAAUGUGUUUUUGUAUGUGGUGAAAUUUGAUGAUUUGGAAUUAAAGCUGAGGUUAAGAGCAAGUGUUAUAGGGAUUUGAUCUGAUUAAGACUUAAGUUGUAGGAUUUAGAUGUUGUUGCAUAAUCUUGUAUACUAAGGUUUACCUUUACCAAGAACAUGUCAAUGUCUAAGCAUUAGGAAUUUAAGAAUGAGUUUUGUUUUUCUUCUGGUACUUUUACUUGUUUUUGCAGUUGUCAUUAAGUGGAUAUAUUUUCGUUUCGUUUGAUAAUUUGAUUUAGGUAUUAGAAAACAUUCACUUUAACAUUAGGAUGCUAGAAGACUGAGUUUUUGUGUUUCUUCGGGUACUUUUAUCGUGUUUGUGUAGUCGUUUUCACUAAGAGAAUCAAUUGUCAUUCGUUUAAGAUUUGGAUUUCGGUCUUCAUUUGUUGCAUCAAGUGUUUCAUUUACUGGCUUUAUUCGCAGUUCGUUAUCACCACCUUUUACUUGUCUUACCACUCAUUACUCCUGUUAUAUGUUGUUCUACAACUUGUUUAUAAUUUUUUGCUACAUCUCUUUUCUGUUUGGCGUCUAACUAAUGGCUUCUUAAGUUAGCUGUUGUAUUCACAACUGCACAAAUGUUUUUCUGCUAUAUCUUACUUCUGUUGAUGUAUGAAACACAUUUGCUGUUAUAUUCCCGUUUUCAAUCGUUUGUUUGGUACAAAGCCACUGGGAAGAGCUCUUAUCUAUCAUCUGUAUUUCUAAGUUGGUUUCGUUGGUUUACUCUUAUAGUAGGAGAGAUUUUGCUAGACAGGGUCCAGUUUAAGUUACAUUAUUAUCAUUUAUUUUUCAUCUUCACCAAGGUUUUUUUCUUGAUUAUUUGUGUGUUUGCUUGUCUUUUGAACAGGUCUGUACCCAACGAUCAUGGAAACGACCCUAUGGUGUUGGUUUACUGGUAGGUGGAUUGGAUGAGUCUGGUGCCCAUCUUUACUACAACUGUCCAAGCGGAAACUACUUCGAGUACCAAGCUUUUGCUAUCGGGUCCCGUUCCCAAGCAGCAAAGACCUAUCUGGAACGCAGGUUUGAGAGCUUUGGGGAUUCUUCAAGAGAAGAUCUGAUCAAAGAUGCUAUUUUGGCUGUUAGGGAGACAUUGCAAGGGGAGACACUGAAGAGUUCUCUCUGCACAGUCGCUAUUCUAGGAGUCGAUGAACCGUUCCACUUCUUGGACCAGGAAGCGAUACAGAAAGUGAUCGACACAUUUGAGAAAGUACCAGAGGAAGAGGAAGGCGAAGGCGAGGCUGGUGAGGGUGAGGCUGUAGCUGCCGCUGCUGCACCAGCAGAACAAGGUGGUGGUGGUGCAGGUGACGUUGCUCCAAUGGAAAUGUAAGGCUUAUGUGUGUAACGCUGGAACUAUUUUAUUUUGAUGUUAGUUGGAUUUACUUUGCAUAUGGCUGCGGGUUUAGAUUAUAUGCUUGAGAACCUCGUGAAGUUGAAAUCAUUUCGUCAUAUAAACUCUGUAGCUGCCAUUAAGACUUUCUCCUAUUUUGGAUCUUUUGGUUUAAAUCUGAAAUCUGUUCACUGACUUCCUAUCUCAUUGGUUCUGCAAUUCCUUUCUAAAACAAAUUUCUAGUCCCAUCUUGUCUAGCAGGCCAAGCCCGCCCUGCCGAGAGCUUUAAACAAAAUUGACCCGCAAAGCCUUAACCCGCGAAACCUGCAUUGUUUCCUCAAUUAUCGAAACUUGUACAUACUCAGAUUUAGGCAGCUCAUCUUCUUCUAAGAAGUCAGAUCUUUUUCCAUACCAUAGUGUAUAUAGAAUCGAUUUUCUAUUCUGAUAGUUAGCGUACCGGGCGGCCGCAGCGAGCAAACUAUCAAUCUCGUAAGGAAAAAAAAAAAACUAUCCCCAUUUUCUAUGCUUUUGUUAGUCAACACCUUACAAAGACUUCUAUCCGAGAACAACUCAAAACACAAGUUUCAUGCUUAGUAGGUUUUUGAUGUUUCCGCUACUUUUAUAUCUUUGUAAACGUCUCUAAAGAACCAGAAAAUUGUGUAAAAACUUAACAUUCAUAGUUUCAUACAAAACUAAAAGUUUCAUGCCUUUAGUAACAGAAAUAAUAAUUUGGUCUAUGUUUUUCUUCGAUCAUAAAUCAUCUUCCUCCAACACGUAAAAUUAGUCUCACACACAUCCGAUACUAAUAAAACAUCUUUUUAACGUCAAAGUUUGUUAAAUAUUAAAACCAAACACUCAUUAAAUUGAUGUUAAUUUCAAAUUAUAAUCUGGUCAGCUCGCAGUUCUAGUAAUUCGGGAUCUUGGAUGUGGAAAUUUUUUUUGAAAUAUAGAGAUAAAGCUAAACCUCUUCACAGAAUGGAGAUUCGGUCAGGUUUGGGAACCUCGUUUUGGCAUGAUACUUGGUGUUCUAUUGGGAGAUUGGUCGAUAAACUUGGUCCCCGUGGUAGUAUUGAUAUGGGUAUUCCUUCAACAAGUACUAUCGCUGCAGCUCUCUCGUCGAAUACGCGCCGUAGACAUCGAACAAAUGUUUUGAACCAGAUUGAGGAUGAAAUGGAUGCCCUCCGUCUUGUUCAUCAAAUACUGGUAAUGACGUCUCACUUUGGAAACGAAUCAAUGGCUCUUUCAAAAGCAAGUUUAACUCUCAGCAAACUUGGCACGUGAUACCGACAACCUAAUCCAAUCUGUGAUUGGUACAAGGGUGUAUUGUUCCCACACUCCACACCCAAGUAUUCAUUUAUAGCUUGGUUAGCCAUUCGUAAUCGCCUUGCUACGGGAGACAGGGUAGUGAAGUGGAAUGGGGCUGCAAAUGGAAGUUGUGUUUUUUGUCAGGCGGAUGUAGAGACAAGGGACCAUAUUUUCUUCUCUUGUCCAUACUCCACUCAAGUUUUUUUUUUUUUUUGAAUCUAAUGUUAAAUUAUAUUCAAAGAAAAAAUAAACGUUUAUACAUAUGAAUGCAAAACUUUUUAAAGAUUCAAGAAGAUUCUAGCUAUCGUGUUGUCUUGAGGCAAACCACGUUUGGAUCCCACUUGUACUCUUCUCCUGACUCAAGUUUGGUCAGCUCUAACCAGAGAAAUGCUAGGCCGACGGUUUUCAACACGCUGGGAGUCUCUAAUCCCUCUAAUCACAUCUUCGAAUUCUCCACACCUCCAUCAUUUCGUGUUGAGGUAUGUCUUUCAGUUCUCUAUACACAGUCUUUGGCGAGAAAGGAAUGGGAGAAGACACGGGGAGUCACCAACUCCUGCUUCCCCGCUCUCAAAACUAAUCGAUAAGAAUAUGAGAAACCGGCUAAGUUCCUUGGUGUUGAAGGGUUCAACCGCUUUCUAAGGCGGGUUGCGCUAUUGGUUUAGCACCCAUACUCGCAACUGAUCUUCUCAUGUUGUAAUCUCUCCAAUUAUUUUCAGAUUUUCGGUUUAAUGUUGCAUUUAUUGUAAAACAGUUUUUUUGGUGAAUAAAUUUUACAUUCAUACAAAAAAAAAAUAAUAAUAAUAAUAAUUUCAAAUUAUGAUAAAAAUCAUUAGUUCGACGUCAUUUAGUCAAAUAGAAAAUAUAAGUGGCCCUCUACAUGGUGACAACUACGAAAGACUUUGGAUAAUGGGAACCAUGUAAACCAGACCCAUUGACUUUGCCGUCUCUCUCAAUUAUUUGCUUAUCCACCAUUCGUUUCCGUAUUUACCAUAUAACUAUCAAAAGAAAAAUGAUCAAGAGUCUAUAAUUGUAUGUAAGUGCUAGUGUAUUAUACAAAAUUAAAUUAACGAAGAACAAACAUGUUUUCGAUGGGCGAAAACAUUUUGAAUUAAACAUACUAAACACCGUCGAAUCGAUCAGAGAAAUUGGAAAAUUUUCUAGCUAAACUUAUCGCGAAUCGAUUUGGUAAAUCAUGAAAUCAUAAGUUGUUAUUUGCUUCAUAUGGUAAAAUCGAUUAUGUUAGAAACAAUGCUAAAAAAAUUUCUAGCUAAACUUUUGCGCCAAAAUGCUAGUCCAUUGUUUCUAACAUAAUCGAUUUUACCUUAUGAAGCAAAUAACAAUUUAUGAUUUCAUGAUUUCAUCGCGAAACUGAAAUUUUCGAUUUUGACAUUAAUUUUUUUUUUUGUAACAUGACAUUAAAUUAUGAUUAUAAAAAAAAAUAUUUGACAUGCAACUUAAUAAAAAUAUUUAGUCAAAACUCAAUUUUUCAAAAAAUAAUUAUUUUGGUUACAUCCAAACAUAACAUUUGAAUGCAUUUACCAUUCCGGCCAAUAAAUAAAUACACUACAUUAAGAUAAGUUGAAUCCGAACGCAUAAACGAAUAACAUCAAGUCCUGUGGUACCAAAUAUGGAUUUAAAAAUCGUCACUUGGACCAAUGACGAAAAAUGGACUAAAAAUAGAUUGAACCGGACCCAAAAUUAUUUCCAAACAACCACCAUAUAUCCUAACCACCGUAUACUAUAUGUUAAUCUAACAAUUUGUUGAAAUGCUUGACUUCAUGCGAGAUUAUUAAAACCUACAAUAAAAUAAAAUAAACAAUGAAGAAAGUGUUGAGAAUGUUAUGCAAACAUGGCCAGCUCGACUUUUAUUUGUUGGAAGAAGUUGUCUUCUUCUUAAACCAUUUUUGUAUUUUGUGGUUGAUAUUAAGGAUGAAACAAACAUCAAUCUUUGGUCAGAAAAAAAAAAAUAAAUUGUCGUUGAGAAAUGAAAGGAAGGGCCUACGUAAUGAUCUUCUUCUUCUGGGCUCUUCUCACAAUAAUCACCCCAAUGCUUGUUAGCUGGUCUCAAGCUCUCAAAAAUCUUCCACCACUCUCUCAUGAUCAAGGUAUUCCUCUUAACAAUCUUGUUACAUCAAACUUCAUUAUAUAUACUAGUCAAGAAGAUGAUGAUCGUUGACUCGGUGUUCCAAAGGGAGCUGAACCUUGCAUCUCCAAUUCAUUAUCACUUGAAAGGGAUGAUUUACGCGCCAAUAAGGGUAUUAUCAAAUGCUUGUCUCGGUCCUUAGGAGGUUACGGGCUCAGCGGAAAACGUUUUGGUUAAUAAAAGUGAACGUUUUAGUUACUUCUAUAGUGACACCAUUGUGUUCCUCCAAUAUUCAAUAUUUUUUAAUGGAUUUCAGAACAAAAAAUCAAAGACACCAGUCCAAGGCGAAUGAUGGGAUAUACAGAAGAAAUGCAUUUGGCACAAGAGUUUGUUAGUCACAUAAAAGAAGAGAAGUUGAUGAUGGUGCCGUCCAUGGCGCCGACUCCUGAAGAUAACCCUGUUACGCUUUCAUUACCUUUCUUGCGAAAAAAACAACAAGACGGAUUAGUCGUUGAACGUGCACAUCCCAUUAGAUUGCAAUAAGUUAAAAGAAAUUCUUUCUUUUUCUUUGUUUAUUUUGGCGAUUAUUUACAUCAUCUUUAUUGAUCAAGUAAGUGUUCAUAAUGACUCCGGUUAUUUUUUUAAUUAUACGAAACCUAAUUAAUCCUAUUCAUGGCAGAGCAGUUCUUGUACAUAUGUAAAAUUUGCAUCCUUUUGGCAAAAGCCAAUGGUAAGAUGUUUUUUUUUUUUUUUGAUUUCUUUUCUUGUGGUUAGAAAGAUAGAACAAGAUUAAUAAUUAGUGUAUAAUUAAUUUAACAUUAACAUAGAAUCAAGAGUUGGUGAAGAAAGAAAAAGACAAUUGGUAGAUAAACUCAACCAAACGUCAUGGAUGUUAGUAUAUAAAAUUGUCUGGUGUACAUCUCCAUACAACUUUGUCAUCUCAAUGUGAGGAAAUCUACAUAUACGGAGAUGUAGGAUCGGGGAAAAGGUUAUUUUCGUCAAUUUUGUAGCCAAAUGACAAGUCCGAGUUCGUCAAUUGGUAGCCAACUAUUGGUUGGCAGCCAAAUGUUCGUCAAUUUUACCUUCGUGUAAAUCUUCAAGACUAGUCUGCAAGAAGUCUACUAUAGAUGAUGUGUCGAGUUUUAAUUAAUUAAUCGUAAUCGUGCAGUGAAGGAAGGUGGUCGUAAUAACGAAGGUCGAUGAUGAAAUACUAAGAAUGUCGCACACCAAAGAUAUGAUGAAUGAACUAAGCAAAUAAUCGUUUAGAAUUUAUUUUUUUAUUAUUUUCUCAAGACUAAAUAUGAAUGAUACUAGAGUAACGUGUUGUGAACAAAAACAAGAUGAUUGAAUAAACACAAGCAAGUUAAAAUAGUAAGUGAAUUACGAAAUUAAACAACCCACAAACUAGACUAGAUUUUGUACCAGCACGUUACGCGGGAUUUUAAUUUAAAAUAUCUUUAUUAAUAUAAUUUUUGAGUAUAAAAUAUAAUUAUUAAAAUUUAAAAGAUAAAUAUUUGAGCAAAAAAAUAAUAAUUUAAAAUUUAAAAGAUAAAUUUAUAUAAACACUAAAUAUAUUUUACGAAACGAUAUAAAAUAUAUAUACACAUUAUCGACGAUAAUGUUUCAAAGAUCACUUAAAAAAUUUGAGGGAAUACUAAAUAGUAUCUACGACCAUCUCAUGAUCCUUUAACACUAAACUUUAGAAUAAUUUGACGUUAAUUAUCGAUUUUUGACAUAAUUGUAAAUAUUAUUUAUGAUUAAAUGUUGAUAUGAACAUAACAACAUUCCAUAUAAAAUGUGAAUAUGUAACGCCCCGACCGUCUCUACCAGUAGGUCCCACGUCCUUUCUCGGGCCCAUGGGCCCACCUCUGUCCGAAGGCCGGUCCGCUACGUCCGGGAGGCUUUAAAGAUUUGUUUACCAACCCUACAAAUCACCACAUGAUCUUUCCCUGUGUUUUGUCCUCACUCAUACAGUUCCGACAAUCACUUUCCGGAAGGUCACCCAUCCUGAAAUUGCUCCAGCUCAAGCACCCUUAACUGUGGAGUUCUCUCAGGACGGUUGACCGAAAAGAUAAGUGCACUUUGGUGACAUAGGUGGCCAAAUCAAUUCUUAUAAACCUCUCUGCAUGCACCACCACAUUCCUGAAACCGGGGUGUUACAGAAUAUAUCAGGUUUCAUGAUCUUUAUCUAGUAUAGCUUGGAGGACUGCGAACCUCGAGAAAUCUGAAAAUGAAUCUAUACUAUAUAAAAGUCAAGGCUAUAUGCUUCUAAGGCCGUCCACAUAGGAUUUUAGACGGCCAAUCACGAUUAGCCACCUCACUAAUUGACAUUUUAAAUGAAGAAAAUAAUUUGGAAAUAAAAGAAAUGUAAUUUUUCUAAAAUAUUACGUAGUAGAGAAAUGUAAAAUAAGAAAAAUGUAAAUUUUCUGAAAUAUUACGUAGUAGAGAAAUGUAAGCUUCAUAAAAUAUUACGUAUUAGAUAAAUUUAAAAUGUUAGUUGAAGAAAAUUAUAUAGAAAUAAGAUAAAUAGAAACUUCCUAAAAUAUUACGUAAUAAACAAAUAAGAAUGAAAAUUUUCUAAAAUAUUAUGUAAUAGAGAAAUGUAAGCUUCCUAAAAUAUUACGUAGUAGACAAAUUUAAAAAGUUAGUUGAAGAAAAUAAUAUUUGUUUAUAUAAAUACAUUGCGUGAUCUUCACUUUCACAUCAUAACUAACCCCUAGAUUAUUUUGCUUUGAUAUUACAUUGAAAUAUUAAUGAGUUUUAUGUAAAUUUGCAGGUUGGAUUUGUGAAAACAAAGACGUGAAUCGAUCUAAAAUUUUGGAUUGUUCAGUUGAUCAACAUGUCUUAAUAUAUAUUGUAAGUAUAAUAUUUUUUCGUUUUUUUCAUUAUGAAUCUAUGAGUUUUUUUUUAGUGUUCUAAUUUUUGCAUCGAUAAUCUAUUAAUAAUAUUAAAAAGUUUAGUUUGAUCUUUUAGUGUAUAAGUUCUCAUUGAAUCUUUGUAUUACUUUCUACUAAUGAUCAACAGGUCCAUCAAUAAUUAGUAAAGAGUCGAGUUUAUAUUGUGAACUUUUGAUGGUUAGUAUUGACGCUUUUAAACUAUGAAUAAGGUACUAUCGAUGUCUAUUUUUGGUUAUUUGUUGCGUUUAAAUUAUUUUUUGUAGUUUUUAUCAACAACUGACUAAUAAUUUCUCCUCAUAUUCGAUUAAUUUUAUGUGUUGAAAUUACCAAUUUCUUUUCUUCUAUAUAAAAAAAAUUAAAUACCCCGCGCGUAGCGUGUGGUAAAAGUCGAGGCUAUAAGCUCCUUAAGCCGUCCACCUAGGAUUUUAAACCUCCAAUCGCGGUUUGACAUCUCAUUAAUCAACUUUUUUAACCAAGACGUUAAUUAACAUUUUUUAAAUUUAGAUAUUUUCUAUACUAAAAUAUUAAUUAAAAGGAAAACAAAUUAUGGUAAGAAGAGAAAUGUGAAUAUUUGAAACAACAACAUAUAGAAAUAAGACAAAUGUAAAGUAUAGAUUACAAUAUUAUUUUCUAUAUAUAAAAGUCGAAGCUAUUAGCUCCUGAGACAGUCCACGUGAUUUUAAACGACCAGUCGCAGUUACUCAUCUUGCUAAUUAACAAAUUUUGCCAUUAUGUUAAUUAACAUUUAUAAAUUCGGAUAUUUUCUAUACUAAAAUAUUAAUUAAAAGGCAAAAAAAGUAUAUGAAAAGAAGAGAAAUGUGAAUUUCUGAACAGCAACAUAUAGAAAUAAAACAAAUGUAAAACAAUUAUGGAAAGAAGAGAAAUGUGAAUAUUUGAAACAACAACAUAUAGAAAUAAGACAAAUGUAAAGUAUAGAUUAAAAGAAAUUAUGGAAAGAAGAAAAAUGUGAAUAUUUGAAACAACAACAUAUAGAAAUAAGUCAAAUGUAAAGUAUAGAUUACAAUAUUAUUUUCUAUAUAUAAAAGUGGAAGCUAUUAGCUCCUAAGACAGUCCACGUGAUUUUAAACGACCAGUCGUAGUUAGUCAUCUUGCUAAUUAACAAAUUUUGCCAUUACGUUAAUUAACAUUUAUAAAUUCUGAUAUUUUCUAUACUAAAAUAUUAAUUAAAAGGAAAAGAAAACAGUAUAUGAAAAGAAGAGAAAUGUGAAUUUUUGAAACAGCAACAUAUUGAAAUAAGACAAAUGUAAAAAAAUUAUGGAAAGAAGAGAAAUGUGAAUAUUUGUAACAACAACAUAUAGAAAUAAGACAAAUGUAAAGUAUAGAUUACAAUAUUAUUUUCUAUAUAUAAAAGUCGAAGCUAUUAGCUCCUGAGACAGUCCACGUGAUUUUAAACGACCAGUCGCAGUUAGUCAUCUUCCUACUUAACAAAUUUUGCCGUUACGUUAAUUAACAUUUAUAAAUUCGGAUAUUUUUUAUACUAAAAUAUUAGUUAAAAGGAAAAAAAAAAACAGUAUAUGAAAAGAAGAGAAAUGUGAAUUUUUGAAACAGCAACAUAUAGAAAUAAGACAAAUUUAAAGUAUAGAUUACAAUAUUAUUUUUGGUUAUAUUUUACCAAAAUUACUUUUUUUUAAUAAAUAUUGAUGCAAUAUUUUCCAUAUUAAAAGUUCAUAUAAAAAUCGAUUAAUAUCUUUUAAGAUAGUGAUUAAAAAUAUUUAAAAUAUUUAUUUAUUAUUUUUACUUAAAUUUCGUAGAAAAAUAUUAGUCCCUAAAUCUUUGACCGCCUAUUUUUUUCUAGCUAUAUCUUUCACAAAAUAUAGGAAAUGUUUUAUAAAAACUAAGCUGAUAGUGACAUGUGUAUAUAGAAAAACAUUAUUAUUAUUCUAUAGAUAUCGUCAAGUUGAAAAAUAAAUCCUAAAAUUUCCAUCGCCUCUUAGUUUCCUAUAAUUACCUUGAUGAGAGUUUUUGUUUAGCUCAUAUCAAGUUCGGCGAGCUUUUUUAAAAGAAAAUCUUCUUGUUUAGCUCGUAUCAAGUUCGGCAAGCUUUUUUAAAAGAAAAUCAGACGGUAAGUUUGUAGAAACGUGCAUGUGCUGCCGUUUCAUGGGCAGAAGAACCACACAUAGCUUUUAAGUAGAAUAUGUAAAUAACAAAAGAAAAGACCUUUAUUUUAUUAGAGCAGAGUGAUAGUUUGUUCGUAGGUUGGAUGAGAAGAGAAAUAGCAGUGUUUUUGUGGAAACUGCAUCCGCUUUUUUUACUUUAUUUCUGAAUAGAAGUGACACUACAAGAAAAAUUUACAUUCUUAGCGCGGAAAAAAUGCUAUCAUAGGUAAUACAUAGCGAAAUAACAACUGCUAUGAUCUCGCGCGGCAGCUAUGGUAGAUGUCCCACCUACGAUAGCAUUAAUUUUGUCUGCUAUAGUAUGUUCAUAUACAAGCACUUUGUUAGUGUUAUUAUUUACGUUUUCAUAGCAAUAAUUUAUUGCCAUUAUUUAGUUGUUCAUAGCAAUUUAUGAAUUUUUUUAAUUUUUUUUGAUAAUUCAAAUUGGGUGCUAUAAUAGAUCACUAUACAAUAGCAAAUAUUUGUUGCGUUAAUUCAUGUUUUCAUAGUGCCAUCUUUAAAAAUAUAACAUGCUAUCAUAUGUAAUAUAUACUUAUAUAUAUAUAUAUAUAUAUAUAUAACCUGUAAAUUUAAAAUGAAACCAUUUAUAACAUCUCAAAAACAUUCCAACAUACUUAAAACACUUCCGCAUCAUACCAAACACAAUUCCGAAUCCAACAUACCAAAAACAAUUCCAAAUCCAACAUACCAAACAUUAAACAUUCUGAAUCCAAAAUACAUAAAGACUAGUCUUAACCUAAAUUAAGCUAGCUGGACCAAAGUUCACUACAAGAAAAUAGUGAUAUUGCAACAUAAUGUUUGCAACGUUCCCUUUUGUUAAAAUUUUGCAAUAGAUUUUACAAUAAUUUUGUAAUGAUGAAUACAUAUUGCAAUUUUAUUACAAACUCAUUGCAAUAUUACGAUUAAAAGUUUUCUUGUAAAAUAUCGUUACUAAUUUGCAAUUUCUUUACGACAUGUGAAACUUUCAUGCAAAUUUGCAAGAAAUAUUCAACGAUAAUAAGUCGUGGCUUUUUUGCCAGAAAAUAUAAUAAAAAUACAUAGCACCUUUGUAACUAUAUUUGCAAUGUUUUUAGUAACUUCUCGCUAUAUUUACUUUUUCUAAGAAUUGUGAAGAUAAACUAUCAAAUAUUUUUACCUUACUUAAUAGAAAAAAACAUAUGUAUUACAUAUUUAAAUUUAAUAUUUUAAUAAGGUCGGUAUAUAUUCAGUUUGAUCACAAAAUUUGUGGUAUUUUUAGGGUUAUUAAAUAUAGACAUUAUCCAAUAUAUAUUCAUAGCAUGAGUUAGUGAGAGUGUGGAGACUAUGUUUUUUUUUGUAGGCAUAAAAACCGAACAUAAACAGAUUGAGAUUGAUGAGUUAGAGCCAAAUUUUGUACCGAAUCACCCAAAAGUGAAUCUAAACCGAAUCAAAAUUGAACUUAUUCCAAACCCGAAUUCUAAACAUCUAAACCAAAUUUUGACAUGCUCUUGAGAUAAAGUUAACUUUCUUUUGACACUCUUUUUUUUUUUUUUGAAACAAAUGGAUUCUCUUAUAUUGAAUUAGGUUUCCGUACAAGAGAAAAACAGAGCUGCCUUUGCAAGAGCAUCAGCUUGGCGAUUAAGAUCCCGUGGGAUGAAAUUGAAAGAGCAACAAGUGAAAUAGUAGAGAUAGACAGGAUAUCGUGGAGAAUCCCGUGAAGUUCCUUCGAUUGGAGCUUCGAAUUGAGAGAUUUGACAAGGCUUAGCGAGUCUGAAGCGAAAGAGAUGUGUUUAAAAGCCGAUUCAUUUGCAACUCCAACGGCGGCGAGAGUUGCCAGUGCUUCNNNNNNNNNNNNNNNNNNNNNNNNNNNNNNNNNNNNNNNNNNNNNNNNNNNNNNNNNNNNNNNNNNNNNNNNNNNNNNNNNNNNNNNNNNNNNNNNNNNNUCCAAACCGCUGCAUCAUCUACCUGGACUAUAUCUACCAAAACUUGCGCAGCAUUAAGGCCCAAAGGAGCACAGUGUACACGUCUCUCUGGAUCAGUUGAAAUCACCCGUCCUUCAGCAACAACUUGCUUCCUUUCUUUAAUAUCCAGUAACAUACACUUCUGAUUUUCCUGUAUAGCUCCUUUUUUCCGCUGACAAGUUGACCAUAUUAACCAAUUACUACAGUAAAAUGAGACAGAACCAUAAUCAACUUUAGAACAUAUAAAAUAAGUUACCGGAGAUCUUCGAAGAGGCCGGGACGGUGCAGCUGUUUGAGUUUCCACUGCAUUAGAUUUUGGAACUGUUGUUAGAGACUUCUCACAUGAUGCUGAGAUUGGUUGCAUAUGCGACUUAGAACCUGUUGCUGCGGAUUUUUUACUUGCUGAUGCUGAUCUUCCAUGAGCUGGUUGCGAUUUAGAACCUGUUGCUGUGGAUUUUUGACUUGAUGAUGCUGAUUUUCCAUGAGCUGUUUGAGUAGAUGCAUAAUUCUGAAUAGGAGAUAACCGGCCUGUUCCAUCUGGGUUGUUUUCGAAGACAACUUUGUUGAAAGGCCAUGCUACAAAGGACAUUAAACAGUCUUCUAUGUAUGUAACAUCCAUUGUAGGCCUCCAUAUGAAUGUAUUGGCUUCAUGUACCACAUCAACAAACACUUUUACAGCCUUUGGUCCGAGUGAAAGUCCAUUCACCAAAGCUUUACGAUCUUGCGUGGUCCAACGGCCUUCAGCAACAACUACAUCAUCGUUAGACAGAUCAAGUAGUUUGCAUUUGUUCAAAGAAUUGGCUCUUGUGCCCUGUUAAACGCAUAAAACAAUGUCAGAAUUUUAAAUCAUCAACAAUCUGUAUAAACUUAUUAAUUAAUGAACAAGUUAGAAACUUUACUAGUGGUGCCAUGUCUUCUUCCUGAACCCCCUGUUCUAGACUAACACACUUCGUGGCAGGCCAUGCAAUCAUAUGCCCAACAGAUUCUUCAAUUGUUGACAUUCCCAUAGCAUUUCUCCAAAGGAAUGCUUCUGGUACCGUGGCAGUCUCAACCAAAACUUUAUAAUCUAAAGGACCUAAACGUGUCCCAUUCACAACAUCCUCUGGAUCAGUAGAUAUAAUACGUCCCUCAGCAACAUUCGCAUCAUCACCAGCCCAGUCAAUCAAAAUACACUUUGGUUGUGCUUUUUUGUUAACACUCUAUGCAGAUUUAGAGUAGAAAAAAACAAGUCAGACUUUAUAGUUAUAAAGAAAUCAAUUUCAUGGAUUAUUAAUCACUUACCCCUGCAGCAGAUCUAGAGUUUUCACCAACUUCAGUUUCUUGUCCCUGUGACAUGCCAGAAAAAAUAUUAACUUUUAAUUUAUGAUACAACCCAACAGCUUAAUGUACAAAAAAUACAAAAGUGCAUUACCUGGUUCUGCAGUUUACCAAGUUUAUUUUCUAGCUCAUUAACCUUGUCCUGGAGAUGAAUUUGUUUCUUUUCCAUUUCAACCAUACACUUGUGAUUAACUUCGAAACAAGCUAAUUUCGUCUUAGUCAUAUUUCUCCCCAUUGCCCUCAUUCGACCGGGAUUAUCAGGUCCUAAUAGUUCGACAAGUGUAUCUUGUCCUUCAUUUGUUUCAACAGAAUUAACAAGUUCAGCUGCCUUUUUCUGCAAAUUUAGUUACAUAUCAAAAACAAUUCUAAAAAUCUAAAUCUAUACUGAAAACCAAAUUCACGAUGUACAUAACUUAUAACUUACAAUUUUUUCAGCUGCAUCAGUAUUCACUGGUGUCCCAUCCUUUCUAGUACGCGAUCUCACCCACACAUCAGUUCUUGUCACAUCAGAAGGAUCUGAUUUCUCUCGUCUCUCUUCUUUCUAAACAAAUAAAAGAAUAGAUCAUUCAAAAUACUUGUUAAACUGAUGAGAAUUAAUAAUCCAAACUGAUAUAACCCAUAUAUCUCAUCCAUUUGACUGAAUUUACUGUCACCUUCAACCCCAGAAUUUAACUCUCCAUGAUGAUACCAAUCAGACCGCCGCUUAUAAUCCUCAUCCAUACCUCUUCUAACAAGAUGGUCAACUACAACACUUCCUAUGUGACGAUCUAUAUUACGACAGUCGAUGCAAGGACAUACAAUCAUAUCACCAUCUACCAAAGCCGCAGACACAACUCUUACAAAAUCUGAAGCCCCUCUUUGAUAAGCUGGAUCAGCUCUUCAUUUAAGAAUGAAGAGAAAAAAAAUAAAAAAGAAAGAAAUAAAAAAAAUCUACAAACCCCUAUUGAAAACUUAACAUCUAUAUAAUUAAAUUUAAUACCUGCAAAGAUGCACCCAAUCUUUGUCCAGCAUUAUAUGAUAUAAGCUUAAUUUAAAACCUUUAGUAUCCUUAACAUCAUAUAAGAACAGAGUUAUUGAAAAAAUCAGACACAUCAAAAAAUAACUUUGUACUUUAAAACAAUUCAGACACAAAUAUACCUACGUUCUUUUAGAGCUAGAGAGAAACAACCAUAUCACAUAUAUUAAAACAAUAUAAACAAACUCAAAACAAAACAGUAUGUUUGAAACAACCUAACAGCAUUAACAACAAACCAACCAGACAAAAAUAAACAAACAAAAGAGACAAAAAGAAAGAAGCUACUAACCUGUCCUGUCAAUGGAGAUAAAUAAAAUCUUUAAACUUCCAUCAAUGCACUCAGCAACACUUGCAAAACAUAAUUGGAGAAAGAGUAUAAGUUUUAAAAUUCAUAUUACAGUUUGAUCUUAAAACGAUUUAUAUAGUCAAAGUAAUGAAACUGCAGUACAAAGACUCAUCAUAAGAGACAAAGAAAGAAGCUAUUAACCUGUCCUGUGAUUAGAGAUAAAGAAAAGCUUCAAAAUUCCUUUAGUGCACUCAGCAACACUUGCAAAACAUAAUUAGAGAAAGAGUUUAAGUUUUAAAAGUCAUUAAAAACGAUUUAUAUAGUCAAAGUAAUGAAACUGCAGUACAAAGACUCAUCAUAAGAGACAAAGAAAGAAGCUAUUAACCUGUCCUGUGAUUAGAGAUAAAGAAAACCUUCAAAAUUCCUUUAGUGCACUCAGCAACACUUGCAAAACAUAAUUAGAGAAAGAGUUAAAUUUUAAAAGUCAUUAAAAACGUUUUAUAUAGUCAAAGUAAUGAAACUGCAGUACAAAGACUCAUCAUAAGAGACAAAGAAAGAAGCUAUUAACCUGUCAUGUGAUUAGAGAUAAAGAAAACCUUCAAAAUUCCUUUAGUGCACUCAGCAACACUUGCAAAACAUAAUUAGAGAAAGAGUUUAAGUUUUAAAAGUCAUAAAAACGAGUUAUAUAUUCAGAGUAAUGAAACUGUAAUACAAAUAAUCAUCAUAAGAGACAAAGAUAGAAGCUCUUAACCUGUACUGUGAUUGGAGAUAAAGAACAGCUUCAAAAUUCCUUUAUUGCACUGAUCAACACCUGCAAAACAUAAGUAGAGAAAGAGUAUAAGAUAUUACUGUUUGAUCUCAUAUAAAAACGAUAUAUAUAUAUUCAAACUUUCAUAUACAAAACCAAAGUAAUGAAAUAUCCAAGAUACACAACCAAACUAUAAUCAUCAAAACAUGUUCUUAACUUAUAUACACAACCUAUAUGUAAAAUGGUGGAGAAGCUUUGCUCGGAUACAGAAAAUAAAACUCAUAUCUCAAACAGACUCAUAGCGUGUUUUACGAGUUUUUUAACAAGAAACUCAAUUGGAUUUGGUAUGUCAAUCAACCAGAGUCUGGCCUCAAAAGAAAACAAUUUUCAAUCACUCUUGUAUCUCUUAAUACUGACCAAAAAUGUGUAUUUCGACUAAACUAAAAAGUAAACCUUAAAUUAUACAGAUUGAACAACUGGAGAAGGAAAUAAGGGAAGUAAAGCAAGUUCUUUCUGACAAAAAAGAACAAGAAACCGCAAUGCUUGUUUGAACGGUUCUUAAACAAAUGUUCUAAAAUCAGAUACAUAACCAAAAUUUUUGUUCUUUCAUUGCAAAUGUUAACAUACUAAGCUAAAACGAAAUCGUAGAGACUUAUAAUGACCAAAUCAAAACACAUAAACAGAUCUGAGCAAACACAUAAACACAUAAACAGACUUGAGCUAAACAUGUUUGAGCAAACACAUAAACACAUAAACAAAUCUCUUGCAUGUCAUAAAAAAACCCGUUUAUUGUUCCAAUUUCAUCAGGAAAUCGAAACACAUAAACAGAUUUGAGCUCCAAUUGAAGAUUUAAGGGUUUCGACAACUGGGUAAAGUGAAAGAGAGAGAGAGAGUCGGAUAAAAUCACCUUCAAUUGGAUCAGCUCUUCUGAGAUUAGAUCCGGCGGUGUUUCAGAGAGCGGCGACGGCGAGAGAUUCCGCCGGAAUUGGCGACGGCGAUAGAUUUGGAGAUUUGAAGGUUUAAGGGUUUCGUUUCUCUAAGUGUUAAGAGAAGAAGAGAGUCGCGACAAAGUGUUAAGAGAAGAAGAAAGUUUUUGCUUUUUAGUAAAUUUGGCUAAGUGUUUGGCGGUAUAAGUGAUUUUACUUCCCGCUUAUUGAAACUCUAUUAUAGCGUUUAUCAAAUGCUAUCAUAUGGUAAGCAAAUUACAAACUCAUCUUAGAUAGCAAAUGUGAAAAUCGUGCUAUUAUUAGGUGCUAUGAAUGUACAGUUUUUUUGUAGUGUGAAGAUCACAACAUAUAUGAAAUCGGAUCAAAAGUUACAAAUUUUGAUGAUUCAUGAUUGUAAUGGGCAUGAUGACGUUUGUGUAAAUUUUCAAGAGUCACGGAGAUGCUACGUUAGUGUGAAGGCGGAGUGACGGAUCUAUACUUUUGUCGCUCAUAAGUCAUAACCAUGUUUUUAUGCUUGAAUGUUAUAUAUAUAUAUAUAUAUAUAUAUAUAUAUAUAUAUAUAUAUAUAUAUAACAUUUUUUAAAAAAAUUUAACUCUCAUCAUCAAUUGUUACUAUCGCUUUUUGUUGUGUGUGGCUCAUUUGACAUUACAUCCACACCUAAUGGAUCUAACUUUCCUCCAUCCUAGAUGUUAUAUCCUGUGGAGAUCAACCUCUAUGUUACUUAGAGGUCUACACCACCACUUAAUAUAUUAUGGUUCUGUUUAUUAGAUUGUUUGUCAUGUGAAACUGAAUGUUAUUUUUAUUGUUUUUGUGAGAGUAGUUUUUAUAUUAAGCUUCUAAAAGAGUCUGGUUGAGUUUGUGUAUGGUAAAUAUGCUAAUUAGGAUAAAGAAUGAAACAAAGACAUUGAGUGCUUACAAAAAGAUAGAAAGAGUGAUACCUCUCGAAAAAAAAUUGUAAAGACGGAAAUUCAUAUACAUAUUAAAAAUAAUGUAAGAAAAAUAUGAUUUGUUAACAAGAAAAAGUAUAGAUAAGCUUAGUAAUGUUAAAACGGGCUACCCGGCCUGUUAAGGCCCAAACCCGUUUAACAAAAAAAAUUAAAGCCUGUUUAGGUUCAUACCCGUUUAAACCCGCCAAAUUUAUAAAGGCCCGUAUAGGCCCGUCUAUUGUCUUCCCUUAUUUUUUUUUUAAAAAAAGCUAUACUAACUAAUGCAGAAAAUAUACUUUUGUAAGGAUCUUUUAUUUAGAAGAACUAUACUAACUAAUAAAGUAAAUAUACUUUUGUAAGGAUCUUGUACUUAUCAUAUGCUUAUGAGUAAACUUUUGUAAGGGCAUCCACAAUGGUAAAAGUGGAUGGGUGUGUGUUAGUGGAGUUUUAUUAAUAAAAUAAUGUAAGGGUUGAAGUUUAGAAACUUGGUGUUAUCCACAAUGGUAAAAGUGGAUGGGUGUGUGUUAGUGGAGUUUUAUUAAUAAAAUAAUGUAAGAGUUCAAAGUUUAGAAACUUGGUGUUAUAGGUAGAACCUGUUUCUUAGUAAUAGUUUAAUAAUAUAAUUAAGUAAUUCAUAAAACAUUUUUUUUAAAUUAAAAAUAACAAUUAAAUUUUAAACAUAAAAACAAACAAACAUAUUUAUUACUUAAAACACACAAACAUUUUAUUUAAUUAAUACAAAAUUUAAAAACUUUAAUCAUCAUUUGGAAGAUGUCCAAAUUUAGCCCAUAAAUGCUCAAUCAAAUCCUCUUUUAAUUGGUGAUGUGCUUGUCGAUCACGAAUUCUUGUGUGUCUAUCACCAAAACCGUCGAGAUUGGUAGGCAUAUUGACUGAACCUUUAAAAACGGGGAUGGUUUCUGUUUCUUCUCCUUGGUCUAAUUCUUCUUCAAGAGUGUAUGAAUGUCGUUCAUUUUCGACAAUCAUAUUAUGGAGUAUGAGACAUGCUCUCAUAAUGUAUGCUAAUUUACCUUUCUUCCAUAAAAGAGCUGGAUUUUUAAUCAUGGCGAAUCUAGCUUGCAGGACUCCAAAUGCACGUUCAACAUCUUUCCGUGCACCUUCUUGACGUUUUGCAAACAAUCUAUGUUUGGGGUGUUGUGGUCCUGGGAUGGAUUUAACAAAUGUCGCCCACUCGGGAUAAAUCCCAUCCGUAAGAUAGUAAGCCAAAUUAUACUCCCUUCCGUUGACAUAGUAGCUCACUUCAGGAGCUCGACCGUGAAUAAUGUCAUUAAAUACUGGGGAUUGAUCAAGAACAUUUAAAUCGUUACAAGUACCUGGCGCUCCAAAAAACGCGUGCCAUAUCCAGAGAUCUUGUGAAGCUACCGCCUCCAAAACAAUUGUUGGUUUUCCGGUUCCUCUUGAAUACAUUCCUUUCAAAGCGGUUGGGCAAUUCUUCCACCUCCAAUGCAUACAGUCGAUGCUUCCAACCAUCCCUGGAAAACCGCGGUGUUCUCCAAUAAAGAGUAACCUUUGAAGAUCCUCUAGUGUGGGUCGUCGUAGGUAUUCAGUGCCGAACAAGUCAACUAUUCCGACAACAAAAUGUAAUAAACAUUCCCGAGCCGUCGUUUCACCAAGUCGUACAUACUCGUCAAUUGAGUCUGCCGAACACCCAUAUGCUAAUAGUCGAAUUGCUGCAGUACAUUUUUGUAGCGGUGAUAACCCAUCUCGGAAGGUUGCAUCUUUUUUUGGUUUAAAAUACAUAACUUCUUCAGUGAGACGAUUGACAAUACGCAAGAACAAGGACUUGUUCAUUCGAAAUCGUCUGCGAAAUAGCGUCUCCGUGUACCUCGGAUUAUCACAGAAAUAAUCGGCCAUCAACUGCUUGUGCCCUACUUCCCGAUUUCUAUCGAUGUAUGUACGUUUAUCCCUUUCGACCGGAAUAUCCUCUUCAGUAGUAUCACAUAGAUUAUCGAAUUGCUCUUGAAGAUAUUUGUCAAAUUCAUCAUUAUGAGAGUCAUAAUGAUAAUGAAAAUUAUUUGAAGAAGAUGCCAUAAAAACCGAAAAAAAAAAGAAAGAGUGUUCGUAGGAGACACUUGAAUUUUAGGACGAGAUACUUGUUUUUUUGGAUAUAAUCAACUUGAAAUAUAAAGAAGAUAAGGGAAUGGGUUUGUGAGAGAAUUGUCUGUGCGAUCGUCAAAGGAAAGACAUACAUAUAUAUAGGAAAUGAAGUGUUGUGUCAAUUAUUUGAUAUUUUGGUAACCCGUGACUUCUUUAUCAUUUGUGACAAGUUAAACCGUGACACAAAAAUCCAACGUGAAUUUAUGUAAUACAAAAACUCAAGUAUACCCGUGAUACAAAACACUCAAGUAUACGAUUGAUGCCAUACAAAAACUCAAGUAUACCCGUGACACAAAAAUCCAACGUGAAUUUAUUAAUAUUUUUCGUUAAAAAAAUAAUGACCACAAAGAUAUACUUUUUUGUUCUUUAUUAAUCUGUUUUCUAUAAAAAAAAUUGUUACAAAAAAAUAGAUUUUUAUAAGUUUUCUAUACAAUAUUUAUUAGUUAUUAUUAAUGAAUUGUAAACUUCAAAAAGAAUAAUUGAAUAUUAUUGGUUUAGAGUUAUGUAAAAAUUCUAAAAAAUACAUCAUUUAGAAACAGAAAAAGUAUAAAAUUAUAAUGUUGGUCUUGGUUGGGAUAAUUAUUCAACCUGAAACCAAAAAGACAUGGGAAAACAAGUUAGAUAUGUGAUAAUACAAGACAUAUGUUUUCUGAAUACUUACUUAAAACAAGACAAAGACAUAAGAAAUUGAUUCAUAUAGAGAACUUGGUUUAAAACAGCAAACACAGAAGGUACAAACUUAGUUAAUAAAACAUAGAUAUUGAUUCAUACAUCAUUAAAACAACACAAAUUGAUCUUGAUUCAUACAUCAUUAAAACAGGAAAUAGUGCAUAAAUAAACUUGAAAUCUAAAGAGAAUUGUAAACUUCAGCAAUUAGCUUCUUCUUAAGAGCUAUUUCCUCUUCAUCAAGUGUUUCCUUCUUGGCAAUCAGUGUGUCAAGAAGGGACAUCUGUUGGAGCUGUUUCUUUAGCUCCAUAUCCUUCUGCUUGGCCUCCAAGAUUUUGUUAUCCUCUGCAGGUGGUGCAGACUUCUCUUUACCCUUCUUCCUCAAUUUCUUCAUUGCUUUAAUACCCGGAGGCCUACUCUCUUCCUCACCUAUAGUAGAUCCAACAGAUGGUGAAGCAUCAUCAGCCUUUCUUUUGUUGCUGGUUGUCUUGCUAGUAGGAUUCAUAUCAAUCCAACUACACCAUUUAGGUUCAUAUCUUAGAACUGUCCAGGCAUGCUCAAGCGUGAACUUCUUCUUGUUGUUGUUUUUUGAGUAGGUUUGGUGAGCCAACUGCAGAAUGUCAUUAUCAUUUUGACCACUAGCUUUCGCGUCCAAUGCAAAAGCAUAUGCUCCGCAGAACUUGCUCACAUCUCGACUUAUUUUGCCCCACCUUUGCUUACAACUGUCACUGUCUCUUGGCUCAGCUCCUUUGCGUACAUGGUCACUUGAAGCAUAGUACUCAGUUAUACGCCUCCAAAAGGUUCCUGACCUUUGGUCAUUGCCUACAAUAACAUCCUUCGAUGUGUUAAGCCACCCACUGAUGAGGACCAAGUCAUCUGGGUUUGACCAUAGCCUUUUAGCCCUACGGUCAAGUGCUGAUUCUUCAGGUUGAGUUUGAGCAUGAGCCGGUUUAGAACUAAAUGAAAGGAUUUCAGGGUGACUUGGCACAAGAGACGGCUGUGAACUAAAAGAAGGGAUUUCUGAAGCUCCAGCAAGAGAAAAUGAAUGAUAAGGAAAGUUUUGAAGGCUAACAUAGGAACCGGGAGACUGAUUGUAUGGACCAUUAUGUGAAUCCAUAUCAAUCACUAAAGAAAAGAGAUGAAAGAAGAGAUGGAAGAUGGUAAAACAGAUUGGUUUGGAAAGAAUAAUGUGCAAAGAAGAGAUAAUUAGAAGAUUGUUUAAAAGGAGAAGUGGUUUAGUAGUAAGUGUUUAGGUAACUAUCAACUACCAAAGUCAAAUCAGGUGUAAAUACAAUUUACACCAACUCAGCUACCAAGUACCACAAACCAGAUUCAUUCAAUUAAAAGUAUAAAUGGUUAACUUUUCAGUUAUUACCACUCAUAUCACAGAAACCACAUAUCAAAACUAUGAAGACAGUACUAUACAACACACAAAGAACCACUGCAAACAUUCACACCAGCUGGUCCAACUACUAGUUGUCUAUUGCAUUAACUAAAUGGAGUCUUAGACAUACCUUUUUUGUUUUCAGUUAGUCGUGGUAGUAGUUGUUGCUUUCCAGAUUGAAGUUUCCCUGCUUAACUCACCUAGCAACCUCAGAAAGAAAGCAAAAUCAAAGUUCAGGUUCACUAACAGAGAAAUAUAACUGAAUCAAAACUUGAUGAACCAAAAAUUUUGCAAACCCGACAUACUCUAUUCACAUAAUCUUCAAAAUAUAACUUUAAUCUACCCUAAAACAGAUAUCAUGAAAUAUAUCAGUUUACAUUACAUCUCAAACCCGAAAUUCUCAGAAGAAAAUCAUUUCGUCUCCUAUAUUUCUUCAUCACUACCUAACUAAUCAUAACAAAAGCAACAGCUCUUCGGAUUCAACAACCAAAUGCUAUUUAUAACACAAAGUUGAUGACGAUUUACCUAAUGUGUAUCGCCGGAGACAGAGGACGCGAUGAGACCCAGAGGAGACGAAAGGAUUUGGGGUUUUUUGGAACAGAUUCUUAGUAAUUGAAAGCAUGGAAUGCUUGAAUCGUCGAAUAGAGAUCGAUUUUCGGGUAGUUUGGUCGGAAUCGGCUUCAAAUUUGAUGAAGAACAGAGACAGAGGAGGAGAUGAGACACAGAGGAGAAGAGGCGAUUUGGGGUUUUUUAGAACAGAUUCUUACAAAUUCAAAGCAGAGAAGGAAUAAAUCAAAGAGAAGAGAUCGAUUUUGGGGUUGUUUAGUCGGAAAACGGCUAGAAAUCGGACGGAAAUCGGUCGUCGCUUUCUCGGUUGAAGAUUGGGUCUCGAGAGAGAACAGAGACCAAACACCCUUUUUUCCCAAAUGAAAUUAAUUCAGUAAUUACAAAAAUUCUCCCCCAACCAGACACUGCCACGUUAUCGGUACACCCGCUUGUAACUUAACACCCGAGUUUCGGAUGUAAGCCAACAUUUGCAUUUCUUUUCCCUUUUUUUAUUCUAACACUCGACGACUUACACCCGGAGAAUUGGUCCACUGCGUAUGGUCUAAGGAUCUUAUAUUUAGAAGAGCUAUACUAACUAAUGCAGUGAAUAGAGAUGAAAAACAAUAGUGAAUUUGCAAUUACAAAAAUGAGAAAUUCGUCGAAGUUAGACCCCACAAAAAAUUUAUUUAUUUCAUGAAAAAACUGGUCAUCCAAAUAUCUAAAGCUAAAGAGAGAGAGCAAUUAAACAAAAAAGAUAUACUUUUGAUAAAUGUUGUAAAAACCUAAAUGUUGUAUUAGAGUUUUUUUAGGUUGUAUAUUUUAAUUGAACUAUUUGUCAUGGUAAUUUUAAAAUUCAAAGAAUUUGAACUAUUAACAAUAACAAUAAGUAGAAAUAUAAAAACAUAUAUUCAAAAAGUUUAAUAAAUAUUACUAAUCACACAAAAAUUUAUUAAAAAAAAAUUAAAAAUAGACCCACGCGUAGCGUGGGUUCAGAACCUAGUCUAUACUAUAUAAAAGUCGAGGCCAUAAGUUUAUGAGGCCGUCCACGUAAGAUUUUAAACGACCAAUCGCGGUUGGACAUCUCGCUAAUUAACUUUUUAGUCCUCACGUUAUUUAACAUUUUUUAAAAUAUAAUAUAUUCUAUAUUAAGACAUUUUAGAAAUGGAAAAAAAAUAUAUAUUUGUAAAGAAUAAAUAAUUAGAAAGAGUCCAUAUCAGCAUGAAAAUUAAACUCACUUAGCUUUUCUUGAAUAAAGGAAAAUUUUCAAUAACCAAGAAAAAGUAAAUAAAUUAAUGUUAGAAUUAAAAGUUUAUGAUCUCCGAGGUCUAUGGAGAGAGAUGGUGUUCAUUAUCACUUUGCUGAUAAAAAAGUUAUGGAGAAAGAGAUCAAAGGUGGAAAGUUUCUUGAGUUUGCUUAUGUUCACGGUAAUCUCUAUCGAACCAGCAUAUAGUCCGUUGAGGUGGUAACAGAUUCAGGAAAGGUAUAUAAGAAAGCUUUUGGAUUGAUCGAGGAUGCUUUAUGUUCCUUUGAUCCUUAAACAACGAGUUUCACUUUUGUUCUACACAGAUGUAUUCUCGACAUUGUUCAGGGGCAAGGUCUAUGAGAGCGAGUUCUCUUGAUGCCAUAUUGAUUCAUAGCGUUUUCAGCUUUUGAAAACCCUAAUCAAGACGACGUAACCGUUCCUAAACCGACCACUACCGAUGAUUUGUCGCUGGUUAAAUCCUUCGUUUGCUGAAUCUAAUUCGAUCAAGGGAUAAGAUUGACCGGCCGGUUUGGUUGUUAGAAGAAGAGAUUAAUCGGUUUUGUUAUUACUUAUUACUAUUAGCCAUUAGGAAGUUUGUUUGUUUAACUUUAUCACCCAAAAGCAAAAACAAAAAAAUUGUUCGUUUAUGUCUUUGUUUAAUUGUUUGAUCUGUGGUGUGAUGGGAUCGACACAGAUUUGUAAUGUCAAUUUGUUUAUUAAGUAAUUAUAUCAAAAUAAUAUCAUUAAGUUUUUAUAAAAUACAAAUUGAAUUUUUUAUAAUAUAUGACAAGUAGAUGAAUAUGAAAAGAGUAUAAAAUAUAACUAACCAAAUCUAAAAAGAAAAAAAAAAAACUCAAGUAUAAAAACUCGGGUACCCACUACCCACAGUUAAUACCCGAGUUUCAUAUAUUAAGUGUUGGUAGCUUAGUAAUUAAAGUUCAGCGGUUAACAUUUUUUACACACCACGUUAAUUAACAUUUUUAAAUUCUAAUAUUUUCUAUACUUAAAUAUUAAUAAAAACGAAAUGAAAAAUAAUAUAUGGAAAGAAGAAAAAUGUGAAUUUUUGAAAUAACAAAAUAUAGAAAUAAGAAAAAUGUAAAGUUGAGAUUAUGAGCUAAACAUAAUUCACCUAACCUUAUAGUUGAUUUUAAAAGAAAAAUGUGAAUUUUUGAAAUAAGAGAAUAUAGAAAUAAGAAAAAUGUAAAGUAUAGAUUUCAAUAUAAUUAUUCAGCGAAUAUAUUUUUAUUUUGAAAUUUUCUAAUUCAAAAAUAUAAAAUUACAGAAGGUAAUUAUGACGGUUUAUCCUAGACAUUAAACUAUAAAUACUGAACCUCGACCAUACAAUAAUAUUCAGUUUUAAACGAAUUUACUAUUAUGCGGCUUUGAUUUUUUUUCUCGUGCUACAUAUAUAUAUAUUUUUUUCUCUAUGAACUAUAAACAAAUAUUUUUUAAUUUUGCUGAUUUUAGACUGUUUGAUUUGUAUUUCAGGUUACACUAAUGAAUCGAGUCUAGGUUCAUUCAAUUGUGAUUUUUGAAGCAAUUACAAGGUAUUAUUGAUCCUAAAAUUUAUGUAGCUUUCAAAUUGUGUCUUUGUGUGGAUAUUGUUAAUUUCUUUAUGUUAAAUAUAUGCAUGAAAAGUGGCUCGCAUGUGGAAAGCAAAGAAAUCAAAUAAAAAAAGUGAAAAGAAUCAUAUAUUGAAGAAGAAGAACAAGAAAAGCAAAAAGGGUAAUUCUUAAAAAAAUAAUAAAAAAAAAGUAAUUAUAUACAUGGUUCUAUAUAUUAUAAUCGUUUGAUUAAUUUGAGUUCUCUUUUUUUGAAUUAUCUUUUGAACUAUGCAAGGCUUCUUCAGAAAUCAAAGUUUGGCUUGUUUGUUUGCCAAAUCUAACCGAUUAUGAUGACAAUUUAUAUUAAAGAUGGCAUGUGACUAUUUUUUUUUUUUUUUUUGUAAUUGUCUGUAUUAUUUUCGAGUAUUUUUUUAUUAUCAAUAAGAGGAAAAGUAUGAAGGAGUUGAUUUAAGUAUUAUGAAGAUUGUAUUGUUAUUCAAUUUAAGAUUUUUCAAAACUCUAUCAAUAAUUGUUAUUUGAUGCUAUUUGUUUAUGUAUUUGUAAAUAGUAAUCUAAAAUCUUCAUAAAUUUGGAGUUAUUGGAGACCAUGAUUUUACAAUUUUGAAGUUCUAAAAGCUAUAAACAUUUCAUAGCUUAAGUCAAAACCACUAGCUUUUAUACUACAUAAAAGUCGAAGCAUAAGCUUCUGAAACUGUCCACUCAAUUUUAAAACACUAAUCACGAUUAACCAUCUCGGUGAUUAGCAAUUUUAAAUUCUAAUAAUUUUCUAUAUAAAGAUACUUUUAAAAAGGAAUAAAACUAUAUAUAUAUAUAUAUAUAUAUAUAUGUGGAAACAAAAAAAAAUGUAAACUUAAGAAAAAAACAUAUGGAAAAAAAAUGUAAAAUUUUAUUCUUAGAAUAUAUAAAAUAAUAUCAAUAAAAAUUAAGAUACUUAUAAAAAAAGGAAAAGACAAUAUCUAUGCAAACGAGAAAAAUGUAAACUUAAAAAAAAACUAAUGGAGAUAAGAAAAAUGUAAAAUUUUUGUUAUUAGAAUAUUUUAAAAAAUAUCAUUAUUAGCCUCACCAAAUUUGCAAUAUCCCUUUUUAAUUCUUAAUUAGGGGUCGACAUUUUAUUUUGAUGUCGAGUUAAAUUUGAUUCGGUUAUUUCGAUUUAAUAAAACAUCAAGUCUCUAAUUAAAGUCAUUUUGGUUCAUUUUAAUUUGGUUUGGAUUAAUUUGGUUUGGUUUGAUUCGUUUUGCUAUUUAAAAUAAAUUAUUUAUAAAAUUGAAAGAAUGGCAAUAAAUUUAAGAAAGAAAAAUAGAAAUUUCAUUAUUGGGCUAAAUAAAUAAAAUUUUUGAAUAGAAUAAUCAAUCAAGAGGUAUGUGAAAAAAAUAAUAAAAAAAGGUAUACAAUAUAUACAUGUAACAUAUGUAAGUUUAUUCAUUUGUUUCUUUUCAUUUAAAUGUUGAUUUGUAAUUUUUAAUGUUUCAAGUUUGAUGUUCAGAUAUUAGAUCAUUUUAAUUACUAAAAUUUGAAAUCUUUUUUAUAUACUUGAGUAAAAUAUGACACAGAAUAUUUGUAACAUAUUUUACACCAACAUUUAUCCUAUAAGCUUUUCUUUUAUUAAAAAAAUUUAACCAACAUAAACUAUAAAUAAAACAACAUUUAUGCUAAAAAGAAGUUAAAAAUGAAACAUUAUUGUAAUGAAUUGAUUAUAAUCAUUAUUGUAAUUAAUCUAUGAAUUAUAAACAAAUAUUGUUUAAUUUAGCUGAUUUUACACUGUUUGAUAAACAAAUAUUGUUUAAUUUUGCUGAUUUUAGACUGUUUGAUUUGUAUUUCAGGUUACACUUAUAAAUUAAGUCUAGAUUCAUUCAAUUGUGACUUUUAAAGCAAUUACAAGAGAAGCAAAAAAGUAAUUCUCAAAAAAAAAAGAAAAAAAAAAUAAUUAUAUAUAAGGUUCUAUCUAUUAUAAUCGUUUGAUUAAUAUGAGUUCUUUGUUUUUGAAUUAUCUUUUUAACCAUGCAAGGUUUCUUCAUAAACUAAAGUUUGGCGUAUUUGUUUGCUAAAUCUAACCGAUUAUGAUGACAAUUAUAUUAAAGAUGGCAGGUGACUGUUUUUUUCGUAGUAAUUGUCCGUAUUAUUUUCGAGUAUCUUGUUUAUCAUCAAUAAGAUGACAAGUAUGAAGGAGUAGAUUUAAAUAUUAUGAAGAUUCUAUUGUUAUUCAAUUUAAGAUUUUUCAAAACUCUAUCAAAGUUUGAUGUUAUUUGUUUAUGUAUUUGUAAAUAGUAAUCUAAAUCAUCAUAAAUUUGGAUUUAUAGGAGACCAUGAUUUUAUAAAUUUGAACUUUAAAAGCUAUAAAAAAUUUCUAUCUUAAAUCGAAACCACUAGGUUCUAUACUGCAUAGAAAUCAAAGCUAUAAGCUUCUGAAACUGUCCACAAAAUUUAAAAAAACUAAUCACGAUUAGUCAUCUCGGUAAUUAACAAUUUUAGAUUAUAAUAAUUUUCUAUAUUAAGAUACUAAUGAAAAGGAAAAAAAUAAUAUAUAUAUAUAUAUAUAUGGAAACAAGAAAAAUGUACACUUAAAAAAAUAUAUGGGAAAACACAAAAUGUAAGCUUUUGUUAUUAGAAUAAAUAAAAUAAUAUCAAUAAAAAAUUAAAAUACUUAUAAAAAAGUAAAAAAAAAAAAAAAAAAAAACAAUAUCUAUGGAAUCUAGAAAAAUGUAAACUUACAAAAAAAAAAUGUAAAAAUUUUGUUAUUAGAAUAUACAAAAUAAUAUCAUUAUUAGUCUCACCAAAUUUACCAAUAUCCUUUCUUAAUAACAAUUAGGGGUCGGCAAUUUAGUUUGAUGUCGAGUUGAAAUUUAUUUGGUUAUUUCGAUUUUAGUAAAACAUCAAGUCUCUAAUCAAACUCAUUCUGGUUCAUUUUAAUUUGGUUUGACUUGAUUCGGUUUGUUAUUUAAAAUAAAUUAUUUAUAUAAUUGAAAGAAUGGCAAUAAAUUGAAGCAAAAAAAGAUAUUUUAUAAUUGGGAUAAAUAAAUAAAAAAAUUUGAAUUGAAUAAUCAAGCAAGAGUUAUGUGAAAAAAAUAAAAAUAAAAAGGUAUACAAUAUAUACAUGUAACAUGUGUACGUUUAUUCUUUUGUUUCUUUUCAUUUAAAUGUUGAUUGGUAAUUUUUCAUGUUUCAAGUUUGAUGUUCGAAUAUUAGAUCAUUUUUAAUCACUAAAAUUUUGAAGUCUUUUUUAUAUACUUGAGUAAAAUAUGACACAUCAUAUUUGUAAUAUAUUUUAUACCAACUUUUAUCCUAUAAGCUUUUCCGUUAUUAAAACAAAUUUUUAACCAACAUAAAUGAUAUUAAAAAUAUAAAUAGAACAAUAUUUAUGCUAAAAAGAAUUUAAAAAAUAAAGCAUUAUUGUAAUUAAUUGAUUACUAAGCAAAAAUAUAUUAAACAAUCAAUUAAGUAAUCCCCACGUAGCGGAGGUUAAACCUAGUCUAUAUAUAUNNNNNNNNNNNNNNNNNNNNNNNNNNNNNNNNNNNNNNNNNNNNNNNNNNNNNNNNNNNNNNNNNNNNNNNNNNNNNNNNNNNNNNNNNNNNNNNNNNNNNNNNNNNNNNNNNNNNNNNNNNNNNNNNNNNNNNNNNNNNNNNNNNNNNNNNNNNNNNNNNNNNNNNNNNNNNNNNNNNNNNNNNNNNNNNNNNNNNNNNNNNNNNNNNNNNNNNNNNNNNNNNNNNNNNNNNNNNNNNNNNNNNNNNNNNNNNNNNNNNNNNNNNNNNNNNNNNNNNNNNNNNNNNNNNNNNNNNNNNNNNNNNNNNNNNNNNNNNNNNNNNNNNNNNNNNNNNNNNNNNNNNNNNNNNNNNNNNNNNNNNNNNNNNNNNNNNNNNNNNNNNNNNNNNNNNNNNNNNNNNNNNNNNNNNNNNNNNNNNNNNNNNNNNNNNNNNNNNNNNNNNNNNNNNNNNNNNNNNNNNNNNNNNNNNNNNNNNNNNNNNNNNNNNNNNNNNNNNNNNNNNNNNNNNNNNNNNNNNNNNNNNNNNNNNNNNNNNNNNNNNNNNNNNNNNNNNNNNNNNNNNNNNNNNNNNNNNNNNNNNNNNNNNNNNNNNNNNNNNNNNNNNNNNNNNNNNNNNNNNNNNNNNNNNNNNNNNNNNNNNNNNNNNNNNNNNNNNNNNNNNNNNNNNNNNNNNNNNNNNNNNNNNNNNNNNNNNNNNNNNNNNNNNNNNNNNNNNNNNNNNNNNNNNNNNNNNNNNNNNNNNNNNNNNNNNNNNNNNNNNNNNNNNNNNNNNNNNNNNNNNNNNNNNNNNNNNNNNNNNNNNNNNNNNNNNNNNNNNNNNNNNNNNNNNNNNNNNNNNNNNNNNNNNNNNNNNNNNNNNNNNNNNNNNNNNNNNNNNNNNNNNNNNNNNNNNNNNNNNNNNNNNNNNNNNNNNNNNNNNNNNNNNNNNNNNNNNNNNNNNNNNNNNNNNNNNNNNNNNNNNNNNNNNNNNNNNNNNNNNNNNNNNNNNNNNNNNNNNNNNNNNNNNNNNNNNNNNNNNNNNNNNNNNNNNNNNNNNNNNNNNNNNNNNNNNNNNNNNNNNNNNNNNNNNNNNNNNNNNNNNNNNNNNNNNNNNNNNNNNNNNNNNNNNNNNNNNNNNNNNNNNNNAGGACCAAGAUACGGCGAGUUGAGUGGGCAUAAUGGAGACGAAGAGAAUUCAUGAACAUAUGUUGAGUUGAGGAGUUUUUGCACUAAAUAUAUAGUUGAGGGGUUUCUUUUCGAUACAUCUUUAAUUGAGGGGUUUAUUACUAAAAAAAAAAAACUAAAAUAAAUUCACACAAUUUAUCUUACAAAAAAAUUAUAACUAAAAUUAAUUAACGCCACUUUAUAUUAUUAUAUUAUGCUAAGAAACAGUAAUUUACCAAAUAAAUUAUAUAUUAAAAACAGAAAAAAAAUAUACAACACAAAAUAUGAAUAUUUUUCAUAGAGAUAUAAAUAUAAUAUUAGAUAAUCAAUAUUAUAUCUUAACAUAUAAUGAGAAAAUAUUUUUAAAUCGUUAGAUAUAGGGAAAAAAAAUUAUCAUAUAUUUGAAUGGUCUAACAAUCAUUUUAACGAGUUACAGUUAUUUAGUAGAAUAAAGUACAUAAAAGUUAAACUAAAACAUAAUUAAAGGUUUGUAAUUAAAUUAAAAAGUACAUAAUUUCUAAAAAUUCAAAUUUAAAAUUUGAGAAUAUAUUUGUUAAUGUUAAAGUAUUAAUUUAUGAUACCGAUUACAUAAUAAGAAAGAUUGAGUACAUAUAAUGAUUUAUAACUAUAAUAAAAUAAAAUAGGACAAUUAAUAAAUAUGUCUAUUUUUUAUGUUUUCGAAAUUAAAAAGUGGUGGAUUUUUAAAGACAAAUGAAUACCUACAAUAGAAAAACUAAUAUUAAUCAGUGUUAAGGAAAUUAACAUAGAUCGAAAAAAAAUUAACGUGAUUUGAAAUACAACCAAAAAACAAUCCUAAAAUCACAAAUAAAAAUAAAUAAUUUAAUUGUAUAAUAAAACCGCGUAAUUAUAAUAUUGAGAAUGCUAUUUGGAAAUUAGAAUAUUUGGAAAUUAGAAUAGUUUUUAAUUGGAAAUUGGAAAUGGAAGAUUUUUUAGUUAGAAAUAAUAAUGAUUUUUUUUAAAUAGACUUAUUUUUAAAUUAAAAUAAAUUUUAUGAGUUCUUAUGUUACACAUUUGACAAAAUUCAACAUUAAUAAUACUAUCUAGAUUCAUAAUAUACGCCAAAUUAUAUUUGUGAAAAGAAAAUUUUAUAUCUUUCAGUUGGUCAAGAUAAAGUGUAAUAUUUUACCUUUAUAUAUGAUGUUUGUAAAUAGGAAUGAGUCUAUAUAUGAGAUAUUUUUUUGUCUAUAAAGCAAUUUUAAAUACACCAAAACAUGGUCAAAAAGAAUUUAUGAAUAAAAUCUCCCCAUAUAUUCUGAUGUUAACUUUAAUAAAAAGAUCAUGUAACUUAUAAAAAAUAAUGGAGUAUUGAAAUAUAGGAAGGAGGAAAUACAUACGUUCUAUCAUAAGAACUAAUUUAUAGUCGAAUAUAUUAUAUAUGAGCCAAUAUAAGGUGAAUAAAGAAUAGAUUUCGAGAGAUGACGAGUAAAUCAUAGAAGAUAACGAGAGAAAUUGUAGUGAAAAAUGUGAGAAAUUUUUUAUUAUUUUGGAAAGAUAUUGCACAUGAGAAAACUAAAAUCUUUUAAAAUUCAAAUGGUUAUAUUCAUGCUCAAAAAUUCGCAUUGAUAAAAGUUUUAUAUUAAAAUCAUGCGCAACGCGCGGGUACAUAAUCUUGUAUAGUAUAUUGGAGGACUGCGAAAAAACACAAAAACAUUUUCGAUUGGGUUACUCUCGAUAAGAAUGAUGAAUUUUUCUACAUGUCGAAAGAGCGUUGGAGUUUCACGCUAAAAACCUCGUGAAUUACUUUCGAAGCAUCAAGACAACUCCACUACCUUGUCUAAAUCAUCUUGAAAAGUAUAUCAACAAUACUCGUAUGAACCCAGAAGAAGAUAUUGAUCCUCUCAUGUUGAAGCUGAUGGAAGACAUUGCUAAAAGGUUGAAUCAAUUGCAUGAGAUGUUUUUUUUCAUCGAGAUUUGAACCAAUAGAACGUAGUCAAAGUGUGUGGAAGCAAAUCUAUGACCGCAAAGAUUGCUAAUUUAUGUACCAGCGAACAUAUCAGCAUCAAACAGAAAUCUAAAGUUAAAAAAUAAGUAAGUUAAUUUGUUUUAAUGAAUAUAUAAAUUAAUUUGUUUUGUUGAAUACGCUAACUUGUCUCUUUGGGCAUGCCAUCAUAGUACGAGGUUUCAACCUCCAAAACAGAUUAAGAACAAUAAUUUAAGAAAACUCGAUGGUGUUGUUGAAACUCCGGAAACUUCAAAAAUUGAUUUGUAUAGUUUUGGUUGCAUUUUGUUUUACUCGUUAACUUUGGGUGAGCAUCCGUUUGAAACUUCUCAUGACGCAAUACCUCGAGUAAUUGAUAUAUAUCAUAUGUAACCCUGAAGAUAACCCUGAAGAUAACCCUGUUAUGCAUUCACUACCUUUCUUGCGAAAAAAACAACAAGAAGGAUUAGUUGCUGAACGUGCACAUCCCAUGAGAUUGCGAUAAGUUAAAAGGAAUUCUUAUUUUUUUCUUUGUUUAUUUUGGCGAUUAUUUACAUCAUCUUCAUUGAUCAAGUAAGUGUUCAUAAUGACUCCGGUUAUUUUUUUUUAAUUAUAUGAAACAUAAUUAAUCCUAUUCAUGGCAGAGCACUUCUUGUACAUAUGUAAAAUUUGCAUCCUUUUGGCAAAAGCCAAUGGUAAGAUGUUUUUUUUUUAAUUUCUUUUCUUGUGGUUAGAAAGAUAGAAAAUAAUAAUAAUUAGUGUAUAAUUAAUUUAACAUUAACAUAGAAUCAAGAGUUGGUGAAGAAAGAAAAAGACAAUUGGUAGAUAAACUCAACCAAACGUCAUGGAUGUCAGUAUAUAAAAUUGUCUGGUGUACAUCUCCAUACAACUGUGUCAUCUCAAUGUGAGGAAAUCUACAUAUACGGAGAUGUAGGAUCGGGGAAAAGGUUAUAUUUUCGUUAAUUUUGUAGCCAAAUGACAAGUCCGAGUUCGUCAAUUGGUAGCCAACUGUUGGUUGGCAGCCAAAUGUUCGUCAAUUUUACCUUCGUGUAAAUCUUCAAGACUAGUCUGGAAGAAGUCUACUAUAGAUGAUGUAUCGAGUUUUAAUUAAUUAAUCGCAAUCGUGCAGUAAAGGAAGGUGGUCGUAAUAACGAAGGUCGAUGAUAAAAUACUAAGAAUGUCGCACACCAAAGAUAUGAUGAAUGAACUAAGCAAAUAAUCGUUUAGAAUUGUUUUUUUAAAAAUUUUCUCAAGACUAAAUAUGAAUGAUACUAGAGUAAUGUGUUGUGAACAAAAACAAGAUGAUUGAAUAAACACAGGCAAGUUAAAAUAGUAAGUGAAUUACGAAAUUAAACAACCCACAAACUAGACUAGAUUUUGUACCAUCACGUUAUGCGGGAUUUUAAUUUAAAAUAUCUUUAUUAAUAUAAUUUUUGAGUAUAAAAUAUAAUCAUUAAAAUUUAAAAGAUAAAUAUUUGAGCAGAAAUAUAAUAAUUUAAAUUUUAAAAGAUAAAUUUAUAUAAAUACUAAAAUUAUUUUACGGAACGAUAUAAAAUAUAUAUACACAUUGUCGACAAUAAUGUUUCAAAGAUCACUUAAAAAAUUCGAGGGAAUAAUAAAUAGUAUCAACGACCAUCUCAUGAUCCUUUAUCACUAAACUUUAAAAUAAUUUGGCUUUAAUUAUCGAUUUUUGACAUAAUUGUAAAUAUUAUUUACGUUUAAAUGUUGAUACGAACAUAACAACAUUCCAUAUAAAAUGUGAAUAUAUCAGGUUUCAUAAUCUUUAUCUAGUAUAGCUUGGAGGACUGCGAACCUCGAGAAAUCUGAAAAUGAAUCUAUAUAUAUAAUUAGGGAGUCUUCUCUCCUUCUAGGGUGUCCACAUCAGCAUCCAUGUCAACAUAUUUCUAUUUUUGUGGGCUAGACAUAUUUUAUUUAUUAAAAAAAACAAUAAAACCAAAAUUAAUUCACACAAUUUAUCUUACAAAAACAUUAUAACUAAAAUUAAUUAACGCACUUCAUAUUAAUAUAUUUUGCUAAAAAAACAGUAAUUUACCAAAAAAAUUAAAUAUUAAAAAACGGAAAAGAAUAUAAAACACAAAAUAUGAAUAUUUUUAAUAGAGGGAUAAAUAUAAUAUUAGAUAAUUAUAUCUUAACAUAUAAUGAGAAAAUACUUUUAAAUUGUUAGAUAUAGGAAAAAAUAUUAUAAUAUAUUUGAAUGGUACAACAAUCAUUUUUAAGAGUUACAGUUAUUUAGUAGAAUAAAGUUAAUAAAAGUUAGAAUAAAACAUAAUUAAAGGUUUUUACUUAAAAUAAAAAGUAAUUAAUUUCUAAAAAUUCACAUUUAAAAUUUGAGAAUAUAUUUGUUAAUGUUAAAAUAUCAAUUCAUGAUACUGAUUAAAUAAUAAGAAAGAUUGAGUACAUAUAAUUAUUUAUAACUCUAAUAUAAUAAAAUAGGACAAUUAAAAAAUGUGUCUAUUUUUUUAAUGUUUUCGAAAUUAAAAAGUGGUCGGUUUUUAAAGACAAAUGAAUACCUACAAUAGAAAAACUAAUCUAUAUAUAUAAUGGGAGAGUUUUCUCUCCUCUUAGGGUGUCCACAUAAUCACCAAAUUAAUAUUAUGGAUCCUACUAAUAAUUAUUUCAAAAUAUUUAAUUUCAUAGUUAAUUACAUCUCAUAUCAAAGAAGUAAUCAUCAAUUAAUGCACAGUUUUAAAUAAAGGUUACAUGAAUAAUAAUAACACAAGUGUAACAUAUUUACAUAUAAAACACUUAAAUUAAUUUUUUGUUAAUAUAUAACUUAAAAUGAACAUAAUCCCUAAAUAUUUAAUUAAUAAAUAAAAAAAUAAUUAUGAAAAUUUCAUAAAAAUACCAAUGUUAUUUAAGAUGGACAAAAAGCUUCUUAAUGAAAUUUAUUAUACAAUUAAAAACAAAUAAUAACUUAUUAAAAAUAAAAAAACGUUUAAAAACUAUCAUUUUUAAGAAUAAUAAAGAAACCUCAAAUAUAAUUUAGGAUGAAAAAAGAAUUGAAUUGAAAUGGAAAGCUAUAAGAGUUUUUUUUUUUAAUAAUAAGAAGAUAUUCAUAUUUCAUGGAAACAUUAAAUUAAAGAGAUCAUAAUGAAGUGGAAGAAAUUUAUUUAAAAUAAUAUUUUUUUUAGAUUAAAAAAAAUGGUUAAAUGUUAUAGUAAAUGUAUGAUUGUAAAAGUUUUUUUAAGAUAUAAGAAAUAAUUCAUAUUUAAAAUUGAAUAUUAUAUUUCAAGAGAGUAAUAGUAUAAAUUCACAUUGACGAAAAAAUAUAAAAAUUAAUUGUAUCUUAAUAUUAAAUUAUAGUAAAAUAUAACAAUAAAAAUAAUAAAGUUAUAUCUAUAUUAUUGUUUGCUUUCUAAAUAAAAAGGUGAAUAUGUUUAAAUAUAGGUAAAAAUCUAAAUAAGUAGUGUUGAGGAAAUUUUAACAAAUAUAUAUCUUUCGUAAAAUUAUAUUACGUUGAAGCAUGAAAACCAUAUAAUUAAUAAAAUAAAAUAAACUAAAAAGAUGAAAAUGAGGAAAUAGUUUUCAGUUAAGAAUCAAUUUAAAGUUUUAUUAAAGUGAGCAUAGAAGAUAAAAAAAGAGUAGAUGUUGGGAAGCGAACAAAUGCAUCAUAGAAGAUGACGAAAAAUAUUUGAAGAGAAAUUGAGUAAUGCUUGAAGCAUCGGAUAUAUGUAUGCACAUGACUAAACGAUAUUCAUCAGAUAUAUGUAUGCAUUAUCGGAUAGUUUGGUUUAGUAAACCAGACUAUCAUAUUCAAUAUCAGGUUAAAUCGUCGAGCCAUGUAAGCGUAGUAGGAUAGAUAAGAUUAAGACAUUCAUGAUUUGGUCAAAACUUUCCUUAAGGUAUGAUGGUCUUGCUUCAAUAGGUAAAUUGUGCUCUCCAAACCUAUUGAAGCGGCAUGAAUAUUACGUUUAUAUAUUUUCAUAAAUUGAUGUUCAAACUCAGCAAAUUUACUUUUAAUAUGAGGUACGAAUAGGUCAAAACAUCAAAGACAGUUAUAUUUACAAGAUUUGUUUAUGGAAAUAACUCUCUUUUUGAUAAAAAAAAAAUUCAUUGAUGACUACCGAGACCGAUUAAUCUUAUAUAACUUUUGUUAUUACGCGGUACGUACCAAAUAUAUUUUAUAAUUUUCUAUGUUGUAGAUUGUUUUGUAAAACAAGUAUGAAUAUAUAUAUAGUUUUUAAAAUUCAAGUGAUUAUGAUUAUUCUUAACAUUUUGUAUUAUACCCAGUUGAUAUUUGAUAUUCCGCGCAAUGCGCGGACGAGUAAAUCUAGUAUUAAUCAGUUUUAAGGAAAUUAACAUAGAUCGAAAAAAAUUAACGUGAUUUGAAAUACAACAAAAAAAAUCCUAAAAUCACAAAUAGAAAUAAAUAAUUUAAUUGAAUAAUAAAACUGUGUAAUAAUAAUAUUUGAGAAUGCUAUUUGGAAAUUAGAAUAGUUUUUAAUUGGAAAUUGGGAAUGGAAGAGUUUUUAGUUAGAAAUAAGAAGGAUUUUUAAAAAAAACAAUAGACGUAUUUUUAAAUUAAAAUAAUUUUUAUGAGUUCUUAUGUUACACAUUUGACAAAAUUCAACAUUAAGAAUACUAUCUAGAGUCAAAAUAUACACCAAAUUAUAUUUGUGAAAAGAAAAUUUUAUAUUUUUCAGUUGGUCAACAUAAAGUGUAAUAUUUUACGUUUAAAUAUGAUGUUUGUAAAUAGGAAUGAGUGUAUAUAUGAGCCUCAAGCAGGAAAUUCUCAAUCCUGAUGUCAAUGAGAAAUUGGUUUACGAAAGUGUGUUUUAGAAACAUGGAUUUACUAAUUCGCUUUUGAAAUUACUCAUGGUAAAUAGGAUUAACAAAAUUCCAUUGGAGAUUGAAUAUCAGUUGAAAGCCAAUUAAUCGAUUUUUGUUUUAGGAGAUUUGUGAAAGAUAAGUUUCUAUUUUAUUUGUAAUUUUAUACUAUUCUAUUUUAUGAACAUACUAUUUAGAUUUAUAUUGAACUGUUUAUUUUGUUCUGUUUUUGGUCUAUAUCAUUUACAUUUAUUUAAUAUGGUUGUUACUUGUUUGAUGCAGCAACCCCGUGGAAUAGGGAACGUCAGUUUGCCACAACGUAUGUUCAGUCUUGGUGCUUGAGGGGGAUAGAAAUAAAAAUAAGGGGCACUUGGUUAUGGAGACUUGGAAAUUUUGUCAGAGUCCCAUUAUAAGUGUGUGUAUUGUUCUAUUUUCUCAUGUCUCAGUAAUCAUCUCGUUGUAUCAGUGUUAAUUUUCGUUUGUAAGAGUGUUUUGUUUUAUGUAUCUUUGUACUAUAUGACUACAGUAAUAUAUUCACAUUUGGUGCUUGUCCUGCAUCGUUUAUUGUAUGUUUCUAUUCUUUCCUUUACUAUGUUUCAUAUGUACUAUUCCUAAAAUCAUAACAAUAAUUUCUGUCAUGCGUUUAAUUCGGCAUUUGGGUUUCCUAUAUUGUAUCUAGGGUAUAGCGUUUAUUUUUCGAUGUUGUUUAACACAAAUUUCGGAAAAAUUAAUAAGUUUUUAUGAGUAAUAAUAUUUUAUGCAUUACAUUUCAUUUUAGUCUAUACAAUUUCAUUUAAUGUAAUUCUAUUUAGACAUAAAUAAUUUAUUUUUAACUAAUUUUCAUAAAUUUGUGCCUGUUUUUAAAAAUUCAAAUCAUGAUACAUUCAAAAAAAUUUGAGUUUGACUCGAAAAUUUGAGUUUCAUAUGUUGUAUUAAUUAGGGGUAUAACUUUUUUUCUUUGAUGUGCAUUUAACUUGGUCAUUUGGGUUCUCUAUGUUGUAUCCCUUAGGGUAUAGUGUUCUUUAUUCGUCGUGCGUUUAAUUCAGCAUUUCGUGUGCUAUAUGUUGUAUUUAUUAGGGUAUAACGCUCAUUUUUAUACAUAUGUUUUUGGUUUGAGUGUAGGUUCUUAGGUUUAAUAUUUAAAGUUAAGGAUUUGUUUAUGUAUAUUUGUGAAAAAUGGUAUAGUACAACAUUCUAUUCCAUAUAGAUUCUAUAUAGAAUGCCUUGUAUUUAACCACAAACACUAUUCACUAUUAUAAAAUUUUUACAUCCAAUUUUUAAAAUUUAAACUAUGUUUCAUUCAGAAAAAAAUGUAUAUUUUUUUAAGAUAUAUUUGAAAUUUGGAAUCUUAAAAAAAAAAUAUAUAUGCUCAAUUUAAAUAUGAUGGGGUAACAAAAAUUUAAAAGAAAAAAAAAACACUAAAAUGGUAAUUUCCCCAGCCCUUCAUAUUAGUCUCUUCAUUUUUUCAAAUAAGGUGCUAUAUUCUUAAUUUGAUUUAUGUAUAUGGUCACUCACCUAAAUGGCCCUUUAAUUAUACUAUUUCAAAAAAAAAUUAUUUAAGUUUCUAUGUUCAUAUUUGAAUUAUAUAAGAUUUAUAUAUAAUUGUGCUUAUAAUUUUUUGAAUUUAUCAAUUUUAAUUGAUUGAUCAUAAUGUCAUUGCAAUCGAGUAUAUAGGAAUCGAACCCGCAAUGUUAGCUUGGAAAACUAAAAGAUUUAAUCUAUUUAUCAUUUUUAUAUUUUUAACGUGUCUAAUUAAAAAGUAUUUUGGUUUCAUUCGCCAACUUUAUGAUGAAUGUUUUUAAUUUUAGUUCUUCAUAUAAGUAUACCAUGAGUUAUUGUUAUGUAAUAUAGUAUAUAUUUUAUUCGAAAUAAUUUUGAAUUAAUAAUUUUAGUGGUUAAAGAAACAAUACAACAGUGAAAAAAUAAAUAUAUUUUUUUUACUUUUGAAAGAAAAUCUAUAAUUACAAUGUUGUUAAUUAAUUUUUUGUUAAAUUCGAUUUUAAUUUUCAAAAAUUAAACCCGUCCAUCGGACGGAUCCUUAUAUAUAUAUAUAUAUAUAUAUAUAUAUAUAUAUAUAUAUAUAUAUAUUACCAAUAUAAACACAAUUUUUGGCUCCGCUGGAAUUUUUGGUUGUUUUUGUUUGUUUCGAGUAGAAAUGGUUCGGUAUGUAGGAACCGAACUGAUUAAUACCUAAAAAUUAUCAGUUCUUACUCGGUUCUUCAAUCAAGUAUCCAAACCUACUCGAACUGAGUAAGUAUCAAACUGGAACCCAUCCGAUUAGUAUUCGGUGCCUUUAUGGAUAUAAUAAACUCCCUAACCGAAUGAACCGAAUCGCCUUAGACUACGUUACAUUACAUUACACAGUUGGUUUUUACUCUUCAGCCAAUCAUGAACUUGUUAUUUACUUUUUUGACAAUAAAAAUAAAAUAAAAAUGGAACUUGUUAUUUAUACAUUACAUUACACAGAAUUACACUUAACUACAUAAUGCAUACCAAUUAAAAACAAACUAGAAUGCAAAGAUUUAGAAAAAAAAAAAAGAAAAAAAAGCAACACAAUUAGAGAGUUUGGUAAAUAAUCAUUAAUCAGUUGUUAUCUUUGUGAUUAUUCAUCCAAAUCCUAAAAUUCUUCCGAUUGACUCCAAUCUCUACACAAAACUCUUCAACCUCCUCUCUCUUCUCAGGUCUUACCUUCCACCGUAGCUUCUCCGCGUAACCCCUCAUUUUCUCCGUCUGCUCCGCCGUAAACUUCGUCUUCAAUCUCUUCACUCUCCCCACCUCCUCCUCCUCCUCCUCCUCCGCCGCUAAAUCUCCACCGCCAAAUCGAUCUUUAACAACCCGAUCUCCUCCAUAACUCUCCUUCUUUCCUUUGCUUUUUCCGCCGCCGUAAGGUGAGCAAAAGAUCCGACGAAACUGAUACGACGAAAUCUUGAGAACUUCAAGAACCGUCUCAGUAACGCCACCGUUCUCCGGGAUGGACUCUUCACGGUGGAAGUUACGGUGACAGCCGCAUGCGGCGCAGUUUAAAGAAUCUUCUUCUCCGGUGGAGCUAACAAACUCGCCGCAGCCAUCGUAAGCGGUGGUUCCGAUAUCAGCGGCGUGAUUCUUCCUGCAUUCACCGUAGUGUGGCUUAUGAUUAACUUUUAAGAUCGAUUCGAUGAUCGGUGGUGGCGCGUGAUGAGCACGCGUGGAUUUGGGUUUGGUUCUGCGUGUUGGAGGAUAAUGGACGUGGUCUCCAGUUUCACGGCAAAUGGCUGUGGCAUUACGACGACGUUUGGAGUUUUCUUCUUUCUUUGGUUUUAUUAUCUCAUCCAUUGAUGAUGAUGAAGAAGAUGAGAGAAAAUGAGUUCAAUGGAUAGAGAAUGUUUGUGUGAAGAAGAGUCGAUACUUUUUAGGCUCGUUGAUAGUGAGUGACUAGUGACCAUUGACCAUUCACAAAUUCCGUAACCGGGAAUAAAUUACGUUAAAUAACUCAAAAUCGAUAUGAACCGAAAGGUUCGGUUUGGAAUUUCAGGUGGGAUAGUUUGGUUUGGAACUGAAGUUAGCCAAAAUUAAAAUUCGGUUCGGUUUAGAACUCUACUACAGAAAGAAACCGGAGAAAGCGAUAAAGGAAUCAAGUGAAGAAAAGUGGAGGAAUCUACUACGGGUUUCUUUCCUAGUUAAACCGAUUGGUUAGGGACUACCAAACCAAACCAAGAGCUCAUAAACCUAAAACAUAUGUAAUUACUUAAACUUCGGUUCAGCUAGUUCGGUUUACUUCGGUUCAGCUAGUUCGGUUUACUUCGGUUCGGUUUACUUCGGUUCGGUUUACUUCGGUUCAUCCUCUUACCGAUUCCAAUGUAAAGGUUUAGUCAGAAACAAAUGUAAAGGUUUAGUCAGAAACAAGAGGUAAUUGAACAAUAACAUUUUGUUCAUUUCCCAAAUUAAACGACGAAACCAUAGUCCUCACAUCAUGGAUACACCAACAUUGAGAGACAGAAAUGUACCUAUGUGCUUGCCAAUACUUCCUUUAGAAGUUUCUCAGUCAAUUCUUUGGGGAGACCCAUCACACUAUCUGUUGUCCCAACCUGAUACAACAAUACAACCUAGUUUAACAUUCAUGCUCCAAAAGAGUAUAAAAGAACAACAGACAUGAAACAGUAUGAUCAACUUGUUAUCUUUUAUGAUGAUAGAGGAUAAGAGUCUAGACUCGAAUCCAAGAAAAAUCAUGCUAUGGUUCGUAUUAUGUUAAAAUGCAGAAGGCAAGGAAACCAACCACUUCCUUAACACACGGCAGUAUAAGAGGAUGUUCGAUUAGGAGUGCACCAGCUACCUUAAGCACCAUGCCUUCCUCAAUCUACUCAUCAACACAGCCUUAGCUUAGUAGAAGUAAUAUUGAUAGGGUGAAAUACAUGUCUUAAACUUGUAUAAAACACCACUCACCAGUUUCUCGAUAGUCUCUUCCGGUAUUUCAUUGAAAUAGAUCUGUUCAGAAUUUACAUCAUCAGCUCGCGCUAUAUAUUUCUCAAAUUGUAAAAAUCGCAACUUUAAUGAAACACACAAUUAUAAUGUUACCUCCACUCUAUCGACGCCUCCUUUUCUGACACCUGUUUUGAGAUUUGUCACAGCCACAGAACUCACUGUUGCUGUGUGCCCCUUGGAAUAGCCUGUGUUUUGAAUUUAGAUAAAUGACUUAAGCCUUGAAUUCCAGUAACCAAGAAGAUAAUGCGAGCUUACCUCUUAUGUACUCCCUUGCUUCUUCGACACUCGAGGGUUUCUCUCUGACAGCAUCUUCAUAGACGACCACCUUCAUACAAUUCAAAACAUUAAAUCCAAGUCUUUCAUAGACUAUCUAAUACCACCAAAUUCCAUUCAUGUCCUUAGAAUGCCUCAUCUUUCAUUAGUCAACUCCUAAAAAGGACAAACCAACUAACAGCUUAUACAAUCUUAGCUCUUCAGACUCCAUUUAAUCACUAAACCUAAUAUGGUUGUCCAUUACAGCUAGCAAGUUGAGUAUAUCAAAGUAACACGGAAAGUUCAAAUAUAGAUCAGUACUUGGUCACAAGUAAUAAGUAAGGUCGACUUAUCCUCCUCUAUGUUAUCACCAUCAGCGAUCUGCUGCAUGAUUGCUUCAGCCUGGGAAAAAAUUUUGCCGGUUUAUUAAUAUGUCUGAUGAAGAGGAAAUGCUAUAUGAAACACCUUUGGUUAUAUGGUGGCCUUAUAUAAGAUAUAUGCAUGUAAGAGAUCCUUCCAGUUAAUAAAAACUCCGGCGGAAAUAAUAAUGUGCCGAGAUGAACUACAAAACAUGUAGCCAGAGCAUAAAGAUUUUAAAUUCAGAAGAUAAACAAGGAAGAUCAAGACCUAAACAAUCACACAAAAUAGCCGGAGAGUAAGAUUAUAGAUAAAGACCUAGACAAUCACACAAAGCAGAGCUAUUGAGAAUGUGUUUUGCUAAGAAGAUGAUGCAUCCACAGAAACAUAAAAUGGAACUUGGUGAGAGUAGAUGGAGGAAUUUACUAGUACAUAGCUAAACCAUAAAAACUACAUACUGUAUCCGAUGCAAUCAAGACUGUCGGUUGUUCCUCAUUCGCACAUUCAGUAGUUAGUAGUUUUGACACAAUAGCAUCAGCCUGAGAUGCAGUUUAUAAAUAAACGAUGGGAAACAAGAAACGAACAUCAACAAGAUUAACAGCGAACAAUAUAUAAAACGAAGAAACCAUAAAAGUAACCAUUUUAUUGAAGUUACCUUUGCCACAGCUAAAGCCAAAACCAACUCUUCAGGUUUCUCUUUACGAAUGCUUUUCUCAUCAAUAUCAGCACUCUACAUUCACAAUUUACAAGUGAAACUUCUACUUGAACUAUAUAAAAAUGGAGUCUUUAAUAUAAUUCAAAGGAAGAAGAAAUUAGAAAUUACCAUGAGAGUGAAUUGGUAUCCCAUGUCUGUUAAAAUCUGACGUCGAGCAAUCGAAGAAGAUCCCAAAAUUAGCUGCAAAAAAAAUAUUCCCAAGGUUAUAGCUUUUGCAAAUCCUUCAAAGCACAAGUGCUGGAGGAUUUGACAAGUUCGAAAUCGAAUGCAGAAACAGUUCAUGAAUCGAACUAGAAACUUAAUGAAAAGAUGCUGACCUUGAAGUGAGGUUGAUUCGAUUCCAUUUUCGUAUGCAAAACAAUCAGAAACCUUGAACACUCAAAAUUGCUCAACUCUCGAGCAAAGCAAUGAAGAAAAGUUUUGGUUUUUAAGUUGAUGGAAAAGUUUGUUUAGAUACCCCAUGAACUUCUACUAAAUUGCAUAACGAGCCCUUUUAUUCUCAGUAUUUUUAGUAACGUCCUUGAGUGGACUUUUUGUUUGAACAAACGUCCUUGAGUUAAUAGAGUACAUUUUGAUAGAGAGCUUAUCCUGAAGCUGAUGAGCAUUUUGAACAAAUGCAGAAAAUAUUUUAUGGGCCAAAGUAAAAAUAUCAUAUAAUUUAGAAAAAUUUACUCAUAUGUUAUAGAAAAGUAUAUUUAUUAUUAGAAUAUCAUAUAUCUUUUAAAAAUUACUCAUAUGUUUUGAGCAUUUGUGUAAUUACAGUUAACACCCUUCAUUAGUUUUUUUUUAAUUAAUAAUUUUUAAUUCGUUUUCAAUUAAAAAUAAUAAAUAAAAAUUUGAUUAUCCAUGUCAUUAAUCCACAUCACCAAUUCCACGCUCUUCAAACUCAUUUUAUUUCCCCUCUUCUCUUUUUUUGUCUCCAAAUCCAAGAAAAGCUUUUAGAUCAAAUAUUCUGCAACUAACUUGGGUACAACAUUGAUAGAGAUCUUCAAAUUGCAGGAUUGGGAUGGAUCUUACUAGACCUCACAGCCACAACGCUUGCCAUAGGGUCCCAAAUCAAAAGCUUUGUCAGAUCUACUCACAACCUCGCUCACGAAAAAAGUCAUUAAAAAUCAAAACCCAAAUCAAAGAGAUCUAUGGAAUUCUACAUGAUUCGUUACAGGUUUGAGUUGAAAUCAAGAAUAGCUACUCUUUUACUUUGAUUUUACAUGUCUCUGGUUUAAUCUUCUUCUCAAUCGAUCUAUUUGGAGACAUUUCUACUUCUAUCUAUGUUUUGAUUCAUACGGUUUAGUCUUCCUCCUAUGUAUCCCUCAAACAUAUUUUUACGUUUCUUAAUUUGAUUGUUGUUAUUUGACCAAUAAAUUUUAUAUUGUCUUCUCCAUAAAAAUAUUGCUUUCUGAUCUGUAUUAUAAAUCAGCCGUAAAGUGAUGUAACUCAGCCGUAACGUGAUGUAACUCAGCCGUAACAUAUAAUUUACGCAAUCUUUCGUCUUCCCUGAAUGAUAACUCAGUCGUGACAUGUAAUUUACCGAACCUUUCAUCUUCCCUGAAGCAUAUAACUCAGCCGUAAUAUAAUUUACACCCAUCUUUCGUCUUCUCUGGAGAAUAUAACUCAGUCGUGACAUGUAAAUUUACCGAACCUUUUGUCUUCCCUUAAACAUAUAACUCAGCCGUAAUGUAAUUUUACCAAACCUUUCGUCUUCCCUCAAACAUACAACUCAGCUGGAACAUAUAACUCAGCCGUGACAUGUAAAUUGACCGAACUUUUCGUCUUUCCUUAAGCAUAUAACUCAGCCGUAAUGUAAUUUUACCGAACCUUUCGUCUUCCCUGGAACAUAUAACUCAGCCGUGACAUGUAAAUUGACCGAACCUUUCGUCUUCUCUUAAGCAUAUAACUCAGCCGUGACAUGUAAAUUUAUCGCGAAACAAUAAAAGACGCAACAUUUCGUCUAACUUUAUCAUCGACCACCAACUUCACAAGUUUUUCGUGCGUUGUUUUGCGCAUCUAUCUGCACAACUCUACACCCUCUUUCAUCGGUGUUAAAUACGUAUUUGUGUUUCUAUACCUAAUUACCGAAAACAACAAUUACCGGAACCGGAUCAACCAUAUCGGGAGAAGGAUGAAAGAAAUUGAAGAAGAAUGAGGAAGACGAUGAAGAAUUGGAAGUUCCAGUGAUGUGAAAAACUCAGGUGAAAAAGACAAGUUGAAAAAAUUUGGCCCUAUUUUUUUGUCCUUUGAUGAUGAUGACAUGGAAUGAUGACAUGGUAUGUUGCAUCCACGUCAUUUUUUAAUUAAUGAAGUGGCAAGUAAGCCACCAAACGAAAAUUUAAAUCAGCCUAAUUAAACCGGCCAUCAAACAAAACUUUAACUCAGUCGUAACAUGAAUACUAUUACAGUAACUCAACCAAAAAUAUUUAACUCAGCCGUAACGUUUAAUAAGUCGGCCGUCAUUGCAUGCUAUUCUAGUAAUUAAUCUUUCGCUACUAAGUCAGCCGUAAUGAGGCCGAGUUUUCCGUUAAUCCAGCUCAUUACGGCUGAUUUAUGACACUCGAACAUAAAUCAGCCGUAACGUAAUCCUAUAACUAAGCCGUUUUUGAUAACUCAGCCAGCCGGAGAAAGUUAAGUCAGCCGUGUCGAAGCAAUAACUCAGCCAAAAAUUUGACAAAUCAACCAUCGGAUGAAAACUCAGGCUGGGUUAUGCUCGAAUAUCAGCCAUUUUCUCAUAACUCAGACAGAUUUCAGUAAGUCAGCCGUAACUCCAGGCUGGGUUAUACUCGUAAGUCAGCCGUUUGCUCAUAACUCAGCCAUUUUUCUUAAAUCAGCCGCAACAUACCGUAACUCAGCCGUCACUGCCGCUAUAUCGCUUGACGGCUGAGUUCAUUAAUACACGUCAGCAAUUUCUGACGUGGCAGUGGCAUUCUUUGUAAUUAUGUUUUUUCCUGUAACGUUUAACAGGGGCACGCUGGGUAUAAAAAAUAUACCCGAAAUAUGAUAGUAAUAAAAAAAAGAUCUGUAUGUUUCUGGUAAUUUCAUAUAAAAUGUUAUGCAUCUGAGUAAAGUUCCCUAUAAUUUAAGAUUACCAUGAAAAUUCUAUGUAGAUUAUUUUUCAAAUGGUAAGAUUAACAAUCAAAUUUGUAGUUUUUUAAAAGCUGUGCCAAUGAAAAUUAUGUGGAUUAUUUUUCAAAUGGUAAGAUCAGAAAUGAUACUUUAAAUAGGAAAGGAUAUAAUGGCUUCUCCUUUGAUCAAAAAAAAAAAAAAAAAGGUCAAAAAAAAAAAAAAAAAGGCCUCUCCAAAAAUGUAAGAAAAUGGAGAACCUUGUAGAGUUCUAGCAAGAUUCAUCUAAUGUAUGCAAGACUAAAUUUGACCCAAUUUGCUUAUGGUCUAAUUGUAAUUCGACCUACGAAAAUGUGUAAAUUCGUUUAUUCUUGGUUCAAAUCCUACAAGUAGGGGUUUGAUUCGUAUGUGUUACCGGGUAGUUGUGUUAUCUCGUUCUUGCAAAGUGAGUAAUUUAUAUCUCUUUAGAUGAAAAUUCCGAUUGAUUAAGUUUUCUUUGUCGGGUUAUCUUACUUCUGAAAUUAGUCGGACGCCUUAAAUCGACUGUAAUUAGACGAAAGGCGAAAUUCUAGUCAUGUACCACGACUUCGAUGGUGACCGGGAUCAUCCCAAGUAACCAUAAAAGAGAGAACGUUAUAAGAGUUACAAAAUGAGAUCUUAUUCUUCACAAUUUUAAUUAAACGAAAUUUAACAUUCCUAUAAAUACCACAUAGGCGGGUACAUUACACAUAACUUAGCUUUGUUAAGCCAUGGCUCGUCUUAUCCCAAUUUCUCAACCUUUCUUCUCUUCAAACACUAAACCUCCACCACCACCAAUCUCCGCCCCACAAAUCUCCGACCACCCACCACGCAUUAUCUCUCGUCGAGAUACCGUUCUCCUCUCCUCCGCCGCUUCUCUUCUCCUCUCACUCUCUCCAACCAAUCUCGCUUUUGCCUUCUCCUUAGGAAUCUGUACACACACACACACUUCUCACUUACUCUUCGUUUUAUUAAUCUUAUCUCCAAAUUUGUGAAUUUUUUGAAAAAAUCUUAAUUUUCACGCAGCAGGACCUAAAGAGUGGCUUAAAGAACAGAAGAAGAAGUCAUCGAGAUUCUUACUCGCUCCCAUUGAUGCAUCUCGUGAAGCUCUCCGAUCUGCUUAUCUUUCGUUAUCUAGUGAAUCUGAUUAUACAGAGAAAGAUUUAGAGAAUCUUCAGAAUUUGUUUAAGUCUUCUGCUAGAGAUUGUGUUCCUAAAGAGAGAACUUCUCUUGUUGAUUUUCAGUCUAAAUCUGGAGUUGAGGUUUAUAGAAUCUUCCCUUCCUUAUUCUGAUAUCAAAAUGAUCUCAAAGUUUUGGUUUUUAGUUAAGAAUGAUCUCAAAGUUUUGGUUUUAGUUAUGAAUGAUCUCAAAGUUUUGGUUUUUAGUUAUGAAUGAUCUCAAAGUUUUGGUUUUUAGUUAUGAAUAAUCUCAAAAUUUUGGUUUUGAGUUAUGAAUGAUCUCAAAGUUUUGAUUUUUAUGAAGAAGAUGUUGUUGUUUAGGUUUGCACAUUUAAGCUUGUUGUGAAGAAUGCUGCUUCAUUACUUGGUGAUAAGGAUCCAGUCAAAUUAGAAGCUGAGAAUAUACUUGAUGAUCUGGUUAGGUAUGUGCUAGGUGUGAUUCUAUUGAAAGAUGCAAUAAAAAUGUAAUGCAAAUGCUGUGAUUAUGGUUAUUGUUUGUUGAUUUUGCAACUUUUUGUAUCGCAGGUCUUUCGGUUCCCUUAUCGUGUUGACGAAUGGGGUUGAUAUGAAUCUUCCUUCUGAUAGGUUAGUGAUUGAAAUGAUUAAGGGAUCUUAUGCCUUUAUGUGUUCUCUGUUACUCAAAGCAUAUAUUUAUAUAAUGCCUCUGGUUUUCUCUCAUGUCACUGAAGCAGUUGAAUGUUUUAACUUGUUUUUCAGAAAAAAGAUUGCAGAUGCGGUUACGGAUGCUAUCUCUUAUCUUGACAAAUUUGAGAAGGGUGUCAAAGACUGCCUUGAGAUUUGAGAUGAAGUCUAGUUCUCUCUUCUCUCUUCUUGUGAACAUUAUGGCUAAAUAGGUGUACCAACUUUUGUUACAAGUGUAUAAGUCAGAGACGAUAUCUCGUUCUAUAUAUGAAUAUAAUCAUAUGCUUGAUGCUGAGCCUCAUUCAUCUCGUGAAAUCGUUGGAAUUAUCGUAAGGAAGACACGAGAAGCCUUCUUUCUUCCUUAUAGUUUUUAAGAAGCAGAUGGAAAAUGGUACUUUUGAGUUUAGAUUUUUAAGAUAAUAGUGAAUUGUUCAUAUCAAUGGUUUAUACAUCAAAUUACCAAUAAUCUCCUACACAAUUUCUCUAGUCUGAAAGACUCAUAUAUAUAUGUUCUUCAAAAGCGUGCAGUACCAAAUGUUGUUUGGAAAGAUCUUACAAGCUCACAUGGUUCUCUAUGAAAUUAUCUUGAGGCGGUGAACCAGAAGCUUCGACCAAAUACAAACGGCAGCAUGGUUUUCCAUCAUCUGGAUGGAUUUGUGCAGUCCUUGGCAGGCGAAGAAGUUUGUUGAAGAGAUUCCGUGGAUCAUGGAGCAGACCGAAAUUCGCAUCUGGAUCACCUAUCUGUGAAAGCUUGACAUGAGAGAAUCCCAAUGAUGGUAAGAGCUGAUCAGGCCAGUCACUGUAAAAGUGGAACACAGAGUUUGGCAGUGUAGCAGACGGUUUGUUCAUGAAAUCCGCCAAGAGAACUGUGCUGGUUAGUCCACACUUAUCAGCUAUGAGCUUCAGUACUUGCAUUGCCUCUGUGUGAGACAGGUAAUAAAGAAUACCUUCGAGAACCCAUACGGUGUUAAUCUCUGGCAGAAAACCCGAUUUCUUAAGCUGUUCAAACCAAUCGUUGUCUCUGAUAUCAAUUGCUACUCUGACUAGUGAUUUCGCUGUCAUCCUAAGAUCAUCUCUAGAGUUUACAGCAGCUUGAACUAGGCUCGCUUUGGUUUCCAAAACAUCUUGAAAAUCUACUUCGAAUACGUCGCUUUUGUUCAAGCAGUUUAGUCGGUAUGAUCUCGCAUCCAUUCCUGAAAUUCAAUUACACCAUUCUAUGUUGGCUACUUAUCUUAAACUCAUGCUUCACAUAUAUCAUCGGUAAUCUCACAAAUAUACAUUACUUAAAUUUUCUAAAUAGUUGAAACCAAACCUGCACCAAGUAGCACAACCUGAGCUGCAUCACUUUCGAAAGACUCCAGAGCAGCUUGAAUCCUUGUAUCAAACCAGAGAGUUCGAACGGCUAGAAUCACACCGGAAAUCUCUCGAGCAUUGUUGAGACGGUCAGUCUGAAUCUUUGUGUGUAGGUUUCUCAAAUGUGUCUCUCCAGCAAACAAGUGAGCAAGCGGAUCAUGUAUAACAUGUUUCCACAAAGCUCUUCCUGCAGCUGUUUGACAAGCAGACUUCUGAAGGUAAUCCCACUCACUUUGAAUACUCAUGUGAAGUUUCUUCACACCUUCACUAUGUAAAACCUCGGGUAUCAUGAGCUCUUCUUCGAUAUCCGGCCAUGUCGUCGAUGAUUCUUCUUCUUCCGGCUUUUGCUUUUCUAUUUCGGACAUUGUUUGUUUCUAGUUCUCUCCUGAAACGAAUAAUGUUUUGUUUGAUAUAUAAUGAAGGAAUGUGGGAAAAUGUUUGGUGUUGGUCAUAGAGAUAAGAAAAGAGAACCACACAUAAAAAACCAAAGGCUUAGAAGCAAAAGCAUACGUUCUUGUUUGUGUAACCACUGGCUUUUCUUUCCUCUUAAAAGAGCAACGAGUGGCUCCACUCUCAAGUUGCUUCUUUUAACCCCUUCCACUCUUCUAUUUACUUAAUGAUUUUGACCAACUAUAUCCAAAGCUCAAGUGUCCACUAGUUUUUUUCAGUUCUUUUAAAACGUUUCUUUAUCACUCGUACGAUUAUUUUGUCCAAAGAAAGAAAUUGGUGAGAAGUUUUAAUGUUUGUUUUUUUUUUCAUCCUCAUUUCUCAAGAACAUGUUGUAUUUAUCAAUCUUUUGGAAAAAGAAUUCUGUAGUUCGUUAUUACAAACGGUAAAAAGGAAACUUAUUCAAAAUGCUUGGAUCGUUUGCCCACAAAAAAAAAAAAAAAAAAAAAUCAAAUGCUUUGAUUUUCUGCCCCAAAAAACAUUUUAUUUUAUUUUUAUACUAUGAACUAGAUUUUAACCCGCGGUACACUGCGGGAUGAUUUAUUUUUAAAGUUAGUAUAAAAAUAUUUUCUAAAUUGUAUCUCCUUAUAAAAUAUUUAUUUAUAUUAUAAUUUACAAUUGUUAUUAAGUAACGGUAUACCACGAGUCCACGAGACAAUUGUUAUUAAACUGAGGAUUUAACCCUUAUUAAAGCGGCAUGUUAAUGAUAUUUAUAAAUAUUGAUUCAAAUUUGUCCGCCAUAUAAACCCGUUCCAAAAUAUAACCCGUUCCGUAAUUUCUUAACCCGUCCCGUGAUUUAUUUUUAUUUUAAAAUUUAAUGAUUAUUUAUUAUAUAUAAAAGUUUACAAAUCAUAUCAUUCUCUAAGAUAUUUAUAUUUUAAUAAACUGAAUAUUUAAUCUGUAUUAAAACGGCAUGUUAAUGAUAUUUUAAAAUUUUCUGAAUAUUGAUUUAAACUCGUCCACCAUAUAUCCUACCAAAAAAAAAACUCGUCCACCAUAUAACAUCGUUCCGAAAUAUAACCUGUCCUGUAACUUCUUAACCCGUCCCGUGAUUUGUUUUUUAAAAGUAGUAAUUUUUAAAAUUUAACGAUUAUUUAUUAUAUACAAAAGUUUGCAAAUUGUAUCAUUUGCUAAUCUUAUUAUAUAAAGUAUGGUUUUCAAAGUUAAUAACUCACGUGAUCGUGACACGUGUCAAAUUUUGCCAUAUGUUAAAUAAAUAUUUCCAUUUUAAUAAUUAAAAAGAAAAAAGAUAAUUAUAAAUUUAAAUAGUUUUAAAUGUAAAAAGUAUAAGGAAAUUAUACUUAUAUUUCCACAAGAGAUUUUGUCAUAUGGCAAACAAAAAUUUGGUUUUAACAAAUUAAAUAUUGUAAAAAGAUAAUUAUAACAAAUGUAUAAAUUUAAAGAGUUUCAUAAUAUAAAAAGAUUAUUAUAAGGAAAGUAUAUGUAUAUAUAAAGAAAUUAUGUGUGUAUUGUUCAUAAAAAUAGAAAUUAUAAAAUAAUGCUAAACGUUUUAUUUAUAAGUUACUAACUGUACAAAAAAAAGAUUUAAGAAUAGGAUAAUUUUUUUAAGUAAAUUAUAUAAUUUAUUAAUCAUAUAAGAAAAAGGAUUGUAAAUACUCACCUCUACAGGAAAAAAAUAGAUUGUCUCAUUCUCACCAAGCAAACUAAUUUCUUGAGAGACACUAUCAUUUCUUUAAUUUCAUUCUAUUAGUAAAGUUUUUCCUCUUUUUUUGGUCAUAAAUUAUUUUUAAGAUAAUAUUAGUAACUAACCUUUGACUAAAAAAUAAUUAAGGAAAUAGCAUUGAGUCAAAAAAACCUUUAGAAACUAAUAUUUUUCAGCGAUGAAAUAGCCUUCAAACAAAAGACAAAACAUACAUGUAAUUAGGAUUUAAAAAACAAAAAAUAAACACUAAUAACAGGAAAUCUAAAAAUAAAGAAAAUCAAUACUAGAAUUUUGACGACGAAAGAGAGACAUCCACCUAGAAUCAGAGGAAAAAACAAUGUCAUUAAAUAUAAUAGCAUAUCAUACUAAAAGAAAUAGGAGUAGCAUGUGAUUGUUAAUGGAAGUGAUGAUGGUGGUGGUGUAUGGUUACGGAUAUGGUGAUAGAUUGACUUUAAGAACAACAUGAAUCAUGUAAAAAUUAUUUAUCAUUUAUUAGAAAUAUAUCAUGUCAUAUAUAUAUAUAUAUAUAAAUACUUUGAAUUACAAUAGUUUUCUAAAAAUAGGAUGUUAUAUUUAGAUCCAAAGAAUAUAUGGCGAUUGAGGUAAAUUAAGAAAUUAUGAACGGCAAUGGACAUAGACUAUAAUUGUUGUCGGAAAGUGGCUCGGCUCGAUGCUAGAGAAAAUAAAGGAGGAGAAAUAAGAUCAGUUGGAAAAGAUGAGAAGAGGCGGUAAUGGUGGUGUUGGUGAUAAAUAGACCAAGAUUUAUAUUAGAUGAUUUAAUAAUUAGUAUAAAAUAACUACAAAUUGUGUUUUAUAUUGUGCAUUAUGCAUAAUAAAUCUAUUUAAAAAAUAAUGAAAAUGUUGCAUUUUCUAAAAUUAAAACAUAGCUGUUUAUAUAAUUUUAGUUAAACUUUAUAAAAAUAAGUGACAAUUUCGACCAGCAACCCGUGCAACGCACGAGUCCAUAUCUAGUAUAUUUAUAUUUUAUAGUUUACAAUUGUUAUUAAGUAACAUUAUACCACGGGAUAAUUUUUGGUUUUAUACAAUAUUUUCUAAAUGAGAUUUAUUUAAUAUGUAUAAUAUUGGUGGUAUUAAAAAAAUAAGGAUUUACUCCGUAUUGAAGCGGCGGAUUAAUGAUAUUUAAAUCUUUUUAUUAUUGUUGAUUCAAAAAUUCGUCCCGCCAAACCCGUCCGGCCAAAAAACUCAUUUAUUUUAUUAAUGUUGAUCUUAUUUAUGAUAUGAUUCUGAAUCAUUGUCUAAAUAUUUUAAUCGAUGUAGAACGUUGAACACAUAUAUUUGUCAAUUGGAUAAUAUAUGUCCGUUUUUUAAAUUUCGAAUCACAGUAUAUGCAGAAAAAAAAUUGAUUUUUUAUUUUUUAUUUUAUGUAUUAUAUGAUAAUUCAAAACAGUUAAAAACAAAUCAAACGAAGAUGAUAAGAGAAUCAUAAUUCUAAAUCUUAAUCAGAUAUUCUAAAUAUCUAAAUUAUUAAAUUUGGAAUAUCCGGUGUAUGAAUUGGGUUAAAUAUAAUCCGACCCAACAAAUUUUUUAUGACCAAAAUUUAUAAACGAAUCGGGUAUCCAAAAACCCGGAAGCAUUUUUACCCAUCCGUCACCAAAAUGACUGCAAAAAUACUAGUAUAGAUUUAUUGUCUAUACAGUCACAAUAAUGAUGGUUUACUAAAAAAAAAAUUUGGCCAAACUUUUUGCUACCACGAUUAUUGUUUAUUACAGAAAAAUAAAAUAAAAAUUAAAAAAUAAGAAUCAUUGCAUUACCAAACGUUUAUUAGAUAAAAUAAGGUUUCACUAUCAUGACACCAAUGAUUUUUCAAUCUAUUAGAAAAGAAUGGUCUAUAAUUUUCUUUGUUAUUAGUCAAGACGGUAAAAGAAUCAUAACAAUUUAACUAUUAUUAAAAAAAAUAACACUUCUAAAAAAAUUAGAACCUUGGUUUUUAAAACUUCAAUAAAUCAACAAAUAGGUUAACUCGUAAAGACCUACAGACAAAAUCUAAAGAUCGCCGGUUCAAAUGACCAGGCCCGGUUCUAGGAUUUUUUUAUGGCUUAAAGUAUAGUUAAAUAAUAUAUUUUUUUAAUAAAAACUAUUGUUAAAAGUUCAUCAUUAAAAUGCUAAAAUAUAUUAAAAGAACAUUAGAAAAGUUAUUGAAUAAUGUAAAACAAUCUCUCCCUGUUUUCUCACCAAAAAAAAUUAAAAAAAAAAAUCUAAAAAUCAACUUUUCUAACUUUCAUCGCAGCAAAAUCAUUGAUUAGCUUCUCAUAGUCAAGUUCUUCGAUCAUAUCUCUUUCGAUGGACAUCAUUACUAAUCCAUUCAACCUGUCUUGUGACAUUGUAGAUCGUAUAAUUCUUUAUCAGCUUCAACUUUGAAAAACUUCUCUCUGUAGAGGUAACUGAAACUGGAAUUGUCAACAAUACACGGUAAUCAAUCCAUGUAUUUGGAUAACAAUCUUACAUUCUUUUUAAAAAAUCCAACACCUCUAUAGCCCUUUUGAUCUCCUUUGGUAAAGUUUUUUUUAGAAGUGUAAGUUCUAAGAAUAAAUCGUUUCCAUCCACAUCAGAAUGUUCACCAUGCGUUAAAAAUGCUUCUAACUUAACACAAGAUUCCAUCAACCCAUCAUCACUAGCUGAUUUCAACUUCUUUAAAUCAAACAAAAUUCCAAAAAAUAAGCUCAUACCUUUGAAAUUGUUCAAAUCUUGUCUCAACAUAAACAAUUGCUUGAUUGAUGAUGUUUAUGAAAUAAUCGAUCCUAAAGCUUUCUUCACCUUGUAAAACCAUACCUUCAUCAACAUCUUGAACAUCUUCAUCAAAAUAUCUUUUCUUUUUUCUUGAACGUUUUGGCUUUACAUAAAAUUCAGGUUCAAUCUCCAUUUCAUUUGCGAUCCGCGUAGCUUCAACUUUGGCUCAAUCAAAACCAGUUUCUCUAUAAUCUUUCAAGAAUGAAGCAAGCCCUUUUAGUUGAAAAAUAGAAGCAUCAAUAUCCAUUUCCUCAGAUUGAAGGAUCUUGCUUACUAUGUUAAAAGCAUAAAGGAGCUCGUGCCAAAUAACCAUUCCAAACAAGAAAUCAAACCCUCCAAUUCGAUGUACUCCACUCUCUGCAAGAGAUUCUGCUUCGCUUCUAUGCAUUGGAUUAUCACUAUUUUCAGCAAAAUAAAAUAAAGCAUCUCGUAUUUUUGGAGCUUGAAAUCUUAUAGGUUUCACACUGUCGAUCCGACUUUUCCAACGAGUCUGCGACAAUGGUUUUAGUAUGAUGCCACCAACCAUUCCCUGAGAUAUCACAGUUCUUAGUCGAUGAUGAAAACAAACAAUAAAGACGUUGAACAAUCCCAAAAAAUGACACAGCUUUUGUAGAUGAGGAAGCCAUAUCGCAAAAUGCUAAAUUAAGGCUAUGACAUUCACAUGUGGUAUAGGAUGCUCUUGGAUUAACUUCAAGCAAGCGGCUUUGACUCAUUUAUAUUUUCCUUUCAUAUUUGCUCCAUUGUUAUAUCCUUGUCCUCUCACAUCAUCAACUUUCAACUUAAUUAAAGUUAAUCAAUGCCUCUUGCAAGAUGUCAAAAAGUCAUUUUCCUAAUGUAUUUUGAAUUCUAAGAAUGUCAAUAGAACUCUUCAAUUCUUGGUGAGGUUGUCGAGAUAUCAACACAUCGAAUAAGAUGUCAUUUAAUUUUCUCUUUACGACUAACAUCAGAAGUACAAUCAAGAAUAACCGCAAAAUACUUCGCAGCUAGAAUCUUGUUGAUGAUCAUGACCUUAAUCUCAUGUGCAAGCAUCUCUAUUAACUCAUUCUGGAUGUUAUAACUAAGGUAAUGACAUUGACUUUCACCUUGUUUAAACCGUCGAAGAUGUUCUUUCAUUACUGAAUCAAAUUUCGCAAUCCCCUCAAUCAUACCCAAAAAGUUUCCGUUAUGCGGAUCACCAAUCUUCUCAUUAUCUCCUCGAAAUGCUAUGUUUCUGGUAGCUAGAGUUUCGACUACUGCAAUUAUUCUAAGAAACACAUCUCUCCAAUGUUGUCUCUCCCUAUUGAUUUCUUCCUGCAGAUGUUUGUCAAUGGUUUUCUUCCUUCGUAAUCUUGUUUCUAGUUUUGUCCACUUAGUCAUACAUAAAAUAUGUUUAUGACCAGCUUCAUGAAUUCUUAAUCGUGAUGAACUAUUUCUCCCAUCAUUGUAGCCGAUACUUGCCAAUAGAGGAGGAAGUUUUCCAUGACUAAAUAAUUUACAGCAAAAACAAAAGAUAAGAUCUUUUGAUUUAGAGUAAAAUUAGCCAUCACCUAUCAUGGUUCUUUCCAUUGCUCAUUUUUCUUGUACAAGACAAAUGAGAGAAGCACCUACCAAUUUUAUCUUUUGGAAAUUGAUAACCAGUUGGUGGUUUAGCCGGAGGACUGUUUUUCACCAACAAGUCUCUUUCAUUUUGUCUAAUCUUUUUCCAGUUUCCUUGAUCAUGAAUAUCCACAUACUCGUGUUGAUCUUGGGUGUCUCUCAAAUCUUUAUUGUCAUGUUCCAUGUUCACAUCCAUAUCAACGCUUCCAUGUCGGUCGUCAGUGUGAAACUCUUUCUCAACAUCAUCUUCAAAAGCAUGAUUUACAUCGCCAACCUCGUUUAUCUCAUUUUCAAAAACAACAUCAUCAGUUCCGGAAUUUUUCGUUACUGUAACAUACUUGAGCUGUUGAGCAUGUCAUUAGUUUGAGACUUAGUUGAUUCUUUUUCCCUUUUUUUCUUUUGUCUUUUUUCAUGACCAUGAGCCUGUUUUCUGUGCUAACUGAGGCAUCGUCUACAAAAGUAACAAAACAUAUAAUUAUAGUCACUUUAAAGUUUUCAAAUUCAAUCCAAACACUUAAGCACAAAACUAAAAUAUAAAACUAAGUGACAAAGUCACCGUCACCGUCACGACAUGAUUUUGAUUUUUGCAAAUUGUAAUCCCUAAUUUCCAAUUACAAUCGUUACUUUCAAAACAUAACCUUUGAUUUGAUAAUAAUACAAAACAAUUGAUGACAAUAUUAGAAGGAUUAAGGACAAGAAUUACCCAUCAACAGCAACAAUUUCUUACCCAACAGAGGCAAUGAUCGGAGACGGAGUUCUUAAAAAAACAUGUAUAAGAGGGGAUUUGAACUCGACACCCGACCCUAAUAUACUAAAUACAGUGUUCAAGAAAGCGCUAGGCGCUAAGCGGGCGGUGACCCAAUGCCUAGCGCCUAGAACGCCUAAUCGGAGCCUAGGCGAUUUUUUAGGCGGUUUAGACGUUUAUAACAUAAAACAUAAUAAAUAUGAUAUCAUAUAUAAAAUUUAUAUAAAAUAUCUAAUAAAACAAAAAAUUAUGAAAUUAUAAACAAAAACUAGAUAAAACAUUUAAUUAAUUUUAUAUAUUAAACAAUAUAUGAAUAUUUAUAACUAUAUAUAUAUAAAUAAAACUCUAAUUGAAAUUGAAAAAAUAUAUUAAACAAGAUCUAUGUAAUUUUAGACGGUCAAGACGGUUAUCUAGGCGUCGCAUGAGAGCCUAGCGCCUAGUCGGGGCCUAGGCGAUCGCCUAGACCACUUUUUAGAACACUGACUAAAUACAUAACCACCAUCCUAAAUAAGUGUUUUACAAAUGUGGCCCUAAAAAUUUUAUUUUAUUUUGUGGCCUAAAGCAGAUGUUUUACCUGCUUUCUAGGUGGGUCGGGCGUGCAAAUGACAUUUGAGAAAACACCAUAUAAAAUGUUGAAGUCUCUCACCUAAAGAGAUAUACGGGUAUAAGUCAAGAACCUCUUAUUCAUUCAAAAAAUACUUCAAUAGAUAUCAAACACAUGACUUAAAUAGAAUUUAGUGUCAGCUACGUGUCACGGCUCAUUGUCCAUGACAAUACGGGUAACUAAUUGCAUGUAUAUACAUGUUAUAACUAACAAUAAUACUUUUGGAUCAAAGAAGGAACCAGUAAUUGUCACAAUGAAAAAACAUAACAAACGAAAACAUAGUAAAAACCAGAGAAUAAAACAGAGUCCUGCAAAACCAGAACAAACGGACCUAGACCUUAACCACCUCGAGCUCGAUCUCUCGCAAUGCAAUCCUGCAGCCAAGAAGGUCCUCCAAGCGCAAGAUAUGAUCUCAAUCUUUGAUCCCUGGUAACACUACAAGCGAUCUCCCUAGCUACAAAGUUAGCUUUCGGUGAAGAGAGCAUAAAUUUAACCUCCCGCAUCACCUGGAUCACUUGAAAGAUUUUAUUAAGCUGCGACCUAUACUUAGGCCAAUCAUCCGGUUUCUGCAAUGCUGAAAUUACCGCGGAGCAAUCGGACCAUAACUCACACGAAUGAAUCCGCAGCUCAUGUAAGCUUUGUAAGGCCCAACGGAUACACUUUAGUUCCGCAGCAAUGCAAUUAAACAUCGGAGUGAAAGCGUCUCUAGCGUGGAAGAGAGCGUCCCCAUUGUGAUUUCGUAAAAUCCAAGAUCCACCACAAAAACCAGAGGCAUUCACCCAUGAGGCGUGCACAUUACACUUUAAACUCCGACCGCCGGCCUGAGCCAUCGCUGAACAUUAUGUGAACUUCGCCUUGUCUCAACAUGCUGCUCACGUGUGAGAUUGUUAUGUUGUUGCAGCCACUCCUCUGCAUCCCCAAGGGCUGUAGCUAGCACAAUGUGACCAUCAUUCUGUUUACCUGCAUAAAGAGACGAAUUCCGUGCUUUCCAAAUUUCCCAUAAAAUCCAAGGAAUAGCAUUUCUGAUAUGGGUAUGAAUACUCUCCUCUUUCAUUAAACGCAGAAGAUGUUGAAUGUUGUCCGUCACUGAAGCAAAGAACUCGUGACUUGGAGUAGGUAAACCGGAAAGAAGCCAAACCUGAGCUGCUAAGGUGCAUUUAAAAAGUACAUGUGAUACAGUUUCUUCCUCAACUCCACAUAGUGAACAAAUCGGAUUAGUUUGUAGUCCAUGAUGGCGAAGACACUCUGCCACUGCCAAGGCUCCAGAAAGAGCUCUCCAAAAGAACAGCUUAAUUUUCGGUGCAGUGACAAUGUUCCAGGCCUUCUCUUUAAUCAGAUUAAUGGCCUGAGUAUUAGCAGAUAUCACCUCCAUCGAUGUCGCCUCCCUGUUUAAAACCCAAUUCCCGCUUUUAACCGAGUACUUUCCAUCCUUAGUAUAUGCCCAAACAAACCUAUCCUUGAAAUUAACCGUCGGAGGAAAUGAACUGAUCUGGAUCACAUCAUCGGGAGGGAAAAGCUGCUGCAUUCUUGGUAUGUUCCAUUCUCCCUGCGGUGUUAUUAAUGAUGCAACACGAAGGUUCAAAUCCAUGAAGAGCUCUUUGUUAAUAGGUCGUCUUGGGUAGUCAUCAACAAUCCACUUAUCAGCCCAAAUACUUGUGUCUUGGCCAUUCCCAAUAGACUUCAUGAGUCCUCUCUCUAAUAGCUCUCGACCAAACAUAAUACUUCUCCAUGCGUAUGAUGGUCUGUAUCCUAUUUUGGCUUCCAGAAACGGUUUGGUAGCAUAAUACAUUGCCUUAUAUACACGAGCAAUCAGAGUUGAUGGUGAGUCUAAAAGUCUCCACGCUUGUUUCGCCAAUAAGGCUUGGUUGAAACGUCCAAUAUCCCGAAACCCAAGACCGCCAUCUUUCUUCGCUUUGCAUAUUUUCUCCCAUGAAACCCAAUGCAUCUUAUUUUUAUCUUCACAUGCAUUCCACCAAAAGUUAGACAUAGCACUUGUGAUCUUUUUACACUGGUGUUGCGUUAGACGAAAACAAGACAUUGCAUACACCGGGAGUGCCAUCGCUACGGAUUUGAGAAGAACUUCUUUUCCCCCCAUUGAUAACGUCUUCUCGUACCAGCCACUCAGCCUUGACUUUAACCUAUCAGUGAUGAAGCCUAAUAUCUCUCUCUUCGAUCCACUAAAACAUUCCGGUAAGCCAAGAUACUUCCCAAGGCCACAUUCUUGUUCUAUACCAGUAUAUAAACUGAUUAGUCGCCUCAUAUAUGGAUCCAAUUUCUUCCCAAACGUGAUGGCUGACUUUUUGAAAUUAAUUUCUUGUCCAGACGCUGCUCCAUAUAGGCGUAUACAUUUGAGGAAUUCAGAACAUUCUUUAAAGUUCGCUUGGCAUAUGAAGAAACUAUCAUCCGCAAACAAAAGAUGCUGUACUGAUGGGCAGUUUGGUGUAAGACGCAACCCGGUUAGUCUCCCCUCCAUCUCCGCCUUGUUCAUAAUAUGAACUAGAGCCUCGGCACAAAGAAUAAAGAGAAAUGGUGACAGCGGAUCGCCUUGGCGAAUCCCUCUUUCCGGUUUGACGAAACCAUGAGAGGUGCCGUUUAUUAGCACUGAGUACGAAACAGAUCGCACACACCACAUCACCCAUUGGACCCAUUUAAUAUCAAAGCCUAGGCGAAUCAUCAACUCUUCCAAAAAAUUCCACUCCACCCUAUCGUAUGCUUUCGACAUAUCCGUCUUUAUGGCAAUAAAGUCUUCAUCACAAGACGGAUUUGAACGUAGAGCGUGAAUCAUCUCAUGAGCGAGGAGGAUAUUAUCCGAGAUCAACCUACCUGAGACAAACGCACCUUGAGUAUCCGAUACAAUAUUCGGAAGGAAACAUUUGAGUCGAGAGCAAAGAAUCUUGGAAACGAUCUUGUAGAUAACUGAGCACAAGGUUAUAGGUCAAAGAUCCGUCAUUCUUGAAGGGUUUGGGAUCUUUGGGAUUAAACAAAUCUGUGUGAAAUUCUAUUCUGCAGGAAAGGAACCAGACUGAAAAAAUUGUUGGACUUCAGUUAUUACUUGUGGUCCUACAAUGUCCCAAUAUCGUUGGUAAAAAUGACUUGACAUGCCAUCAGCACCCGGGGUACUAUCACCUUUGAUACUAAAGACCGCAGCUCAAAUCUCCUCACUAGUAACUUGUCGAGUCAAAACUGCAUUCAUUUGACUUGUAACCCUUGGGGCCAUGCCAUCCAAUGCUUCCGCAAUAUAUUCUGGCUUUGAGCUUGUUAAGAUGUCCCGGAAGUAGUCAAUCGCUACCUCUCCUUUUGAGCCUUCAGCAAAUUGCUCUACACCGUGUUUAUCCAUCAAGGAGAGAAUACGAUUCUGAGCUCUUCGACGUUGUACACUCCCAUGGAAAAACCGUGUAUUCUGGUCUCCUUCUCUUAGCCAUUGUUCCCGACUCUUUUGUUUCCAGAAGAGUUCCUCCUCACGGUAAGCUUCAGCUAAGUCCCACCGUAGAAGUCGCAUGUAUGCGAAAUCCGGAAAAAUCUUAGCACCCUCCUCUUCUAGCUUGUCCCGCAGCCUUGACAUUCGCUCAUUUGAAUUCUGGUUUGUUUCUUUUUUCCAUACCGAUAUCGUUCUUCGACAGUCCGCAAUUCUAUUCAUGACCGAUAUCUGCCCUGUUUCAUCUCCUUUAAACCAGCCCGUCUUAAUAACAUCAGCAAAUUCUGGCUUGUUCGUCCAUCUCUUAUUAAACAUAAAUCUUACAGACCUUGACACAUUUUCAUUAGAAAAUCUUACUAGCAAUGGCCGAUGGUCUGAUCCAAUGCGCUCAAGAUAUUCAGCUUGUACUCGUGGAAAAAUUUGAAACCAAGAUGCGUUUCCUAGAGCUCUAUCCAGGCAGCAUUAUAUCCACAUCUUAUUUCGUUCUCCAGCCCAAGAAAACUUGUUCCCAAUACUCGGAAUCUCCCGUAGACGACAAUCAUUAAUCAUAUUCCGAAAAGGAAUGAAUGAUGAUUCCGCCCGUGCUGGUCCUCCAAGUUUUUCGGAGUUAUCUCUCAUUUCAUUAUGGUCUCCGAGAACAAGCCAUGGCGCAUCUCUAUUAAUUCCAAUGUCAAUUAAUCUAUCCCAUACAACUUGUCGUAAAUGACUAACUGGAUCUCCAUAAACACAUGAAAUAAAAAACGACAAUGAUCCCAGCUUAGCCUUGAUAUCUAUAAUCCUUUUAUCCGAAUUGAUCACCUCCACUUCGUAAGAUGCCUUCCAAAAUAAAGCUAGACCUCCACUUAAACCCACCGGAUCGACGAUAUGAGCAUGAUCAUAUCCCAUCCAUUGUUGAACCUUCAAAACGUGACUGCUGGAGUUUUUAGUCUCCAUGAGGAACAGAAAAUCCGGGAAAUGUUCACGACGCAUUCCCUUCAAAGUAGGAACUGUCAAGGUGCCCCCCAAUCCUUGACAGUUCCAACUCAUAAAGCUCAUAAUUGUUUCGGCGGUUCCUCAUUCGGAACCACCUCUACUUCAAUACGCUUUGCGAUUUUUGACGACACUUCAUUCUCCUCUGUUGCUUUUCUUUUGGCAGCCAGACCUUCCUCUCCUGUGUUGUCUUGUCUCCCUUUACUUGCAUCAGUCCUUUUUUCCUUAGCCUGCGCCUUCCUCUUCCACUGGUUAGGUCUUCUUCUUUUCUUCCCAGGCAAUGAUUUAGUUCCGGAUGCACCAGCAGUAAAGCCGAGUUGCAUACCCGUAGAACCAUCAACAAAUUGCGAAGCAGUAGUAAAGGAUGCUGUUGCAGAAUUAGCAUUUUGAGAACUCUUAGUUGUAGCCUUUCUCUUACUUAUAUCUCCAUUAUUCUGUAAAUCUGCAGUUGACGCUAAUUUGGCUGCACCUUCAAAGUUGAAAACCAAUCCUUUUCCUUUGUUUACAUCUGUUGUAACUUGAACCGGAGCUUCUAGCCUAAGAAGCGUUUUCUGACCCUGUGAGUCCCCAUCCAAGUUCCAAACUGAUCAUCUAACCCUUUCAAUUCUCACCUUUUUCUCCUGUAGAUCUUCAACAGAUAGAUACAUUCUCAUCUCAUCAAGAACAUCUUUCGCAAUUUUGGGCCUUCCAGACACAAGAUCUAUCCCCACAUCAUCAUCCGUCAAGACACCAAACAAAGGAUCAUCUUUGCUUAUACGUGGAAUAAGGCGACUCGGGAAAUUGAUAGCUUUAAUCCUUCCCGUAGCAAUUGCUUGCCAGUUUAAAGGAUUAAAAGGACAGUUUUCCUUGUCAUACGUAAGCCUUUGACAUUGAUAGAAACGUUUCCGGAUUCUUUCAUACUCAAUACCAAUGUCAACUACUUCUCCCGUUGGUGUCUGCAACUUCUUACUGUUUCGCAGCGGCCUGUUAACAUCAAAGAGCACACGGACUCUAACAUAUCCCCGACUCUGUGGUUUGAGUGGGUCAAAGGCGACAUGCGUGACCUGUCCAAUGUGCUCUACUAUUUCUUCUAUUGUCUCUGUAGUGUUGUUAUUCACCGGAAUGUUGCGGAGACGAAUCCAAAUCGGUAACACCUUCAAGUAGUCCUCAGGUGGAUUCUCUACCCAUCUUUCCAGCGUCAUACUCCAAUCAUUAAAAGUCCAAGCUCCUGACUCUAAGACCGUCAAUAGAUCUGCCUCUGAAUCAAAAAGAAACUUGAACUUAUCAUCAGGUAACGCAAUUCCUCUUGCUCUGUUUACUACUCGCCAAACCCGUGGCAUCUCAUGUAUCAUACUUGACAUCUUUUGGUUCUCUGGACACAACAACCGCCCUAUGAUGCUGCAACCAUUCCGAACACACGAACUGAACUUUGGGAGAUUCUGUAACACAAUCGGUUUCUCAUCCUCCAAAGACAUCUCCUGCAAAGCCUUGUCCAAAGCGUACUCCAUAGAUUACUUGUGAUAUCUUCAAGGUCGCGUCUCUUACAGCUGAAACUAAGAAGCUUUUGUGACGGCUGCUGAAGAAACGAAGAACUUAUGAAGAACCCUAAAAAAUCUUUCACAAAACCGUAAAGAUUACGAUAAAAACAGGAAAAUCUUGUUCAAAUCCGGCGAAAAAUGGAAAUAUUCCCGGUUCUCCACGCCUUCUCUCAAGAGUUGAAACCCUCUAAUUGAGAGAGAGGUACCUAAGCCCAUGUGGUGAGGAAUACAAUGACACAUUCAUUCAAUAACACAUUAGUUACAUUACACUUACCAUGGUUAGGGACGCAUAACCAUAUUAAUUAGGAUUCCAACACAUCACAUUUAGGCUUCAAAUGUCCAUAAUAUCAUUCUACCAACCCUAACCGUGUUUUGAGGUUUGAACAUGCAAUCAAACAAUAUAAUAUAUGCAAAAACAAAGUAACACACCUUCGUCAUUUAAGGUCAAAACAAUUAUUGCUUUCAUCAGUUUUUCUUGGUUCGUUGCUAAAUAUAUCUAUCUAGAAGAUUGAAAAUCGUACCUAGCGUAUGAGGUUGGUCCCCCCGACUCUCUACUGGAUUUGGUUUGAGGUUGGAGAGAUUAUAAGUUAUAGAGAGGAGAUGCAAGUCAAAAAUGAGAAUGAGAAUGAGAGAUAUCUUAGGUAGUUAUCCUUCAUUAAAAUUGGGUUUGUAUGUUACAAUGUUGGAACCAAUUAAGACAAGGAUGCGAUGUUCAAGAUUCACUUAUCCUUGACCGUACCUGAAUAGGGUACAAAAAAAUGGAGAGAUAAGAUUGCCGUGUAGGUUCGUGUAGGUUAUCGGGUUUACAAAGAAGGGGAGAGCAUAUAAGGGCAAUUAUUGAAUCAUGAAGAGGAGAAUUGGUGGCGAGGUUGAGUUAGUUAAAGGACUUGAGAGUAUUAACGAUUACAUAGUCUUUCAAGUUAUGUACUUGUGUAUAGAAUUGAUUUUGAUAAUGAUUUGUGGCAAUAGAAUUAUUAUACAUUAAAUUUUUAAGGUACCUAAGUAUAAUAUAUGACUCUUUCUCUAAUCGCUGAAGUUAGUUCAGGCAUGAGAGAUGAAGUAUGCAUGGUGGGAAGUUAGAGUAUGACGCUUUUCUUUUGUUCUUGGUUUCUUUUGAAACUCGUUAACGACAGUGCACGUUGAUGUUAUAAGAGAUUGGAAGACUUAAAAAAAAACUAAUGUAGUUGUAAAUUUUAUUUUUCUUACGAUAAAUGUGUUUCAUAAUGAUACAAAUCUAGUUCAAGCACACUAAUCUGAAUUUCACAAUGAAGAAUCCACUUUUAAAAUUAUAGUCUAUCUCAGAAUAACUUUAUAUAAAACACAUAUCAAGGAUCGUUGACAAAAAAAAAAAAAGAUCUUAGCUUGAACCAGAUUAUGGCUAAGGUUUGCCCGGGUUGGAAUUUUACCUCUAAUCAUCAGUCUAAUGAUGAUGGCCGUAUCGUUAUUAUCUGGAAGGACCCGGCAUCUGUUAGGGUACUACACCAAUCCAAGCAGUCGGUUACUUGUGAAGUCAGCAUUGCAAACAAGUAAAAGUUUGUCUUCACAGUAGUUUAUGCCUCCAACUUAAGGGAAGAAAGAACAGAACUUUGGGUGGAGCUUUUACAACUGCAACAUGCUCUCUCUCUUGAUUCUUCUCCUUGGCUUGUGGGAGGAGAUUUCAAUCAAAUCAUCCACUGAUGAGCAUUCUUCGUCAACAGUCAACUCUCUCACUCCUUCUAUGACUGAGUUCAGAGACUGUCUUGAUCAAAUGGAUCUAUUUGACCUGAGGUUUCAGGGGCCUCUCUUCACUUGGAGUCACAAUCAACCUUCAGCCCCUAUUGCCAAGAAACUAGACCGUAUACUUAUAUACCACCACUGGUUAUCUCUCUUCCCUAAUAGCAUUGCCACCUUCCUCCUCUUCUGCCCUCUCACCAUGCUCCCUGCCUUAUUGACCUGGCAUACCAACUCCCAAAAGCUGGAGCUAGACCCUUUAAAUUCUUCAACUACCUUACCAAUCACCCAAACUUCCUCCAGUUGGUGAAUGAAGUUUGGAUUCAGGCCGGAAGCUUUGCUUUCAAUCUCAUAGACCUUUGUUGGAAGCAAAAGACCAUUAAAAGAGAUCUUCAGAACUUAAAUAGAGAGAAUAUUUCACAAAUACAAGAGAGAGUGAGAGAGACUAACAGUUUGUUAUUGACUUUGCAGGUGCAAGCUUUACAGAAUCUUUCACCUACUACUUUCCAGCUUGAAAGAGACCUAUAUGGGGUUUACAAAAAAAAAAAAAAAAAAAAAAAAAAAAAAGAGAAAAAAAAAAAAAAAGAAAAAAGAAGAAAAGGGGGGGCGCGAGUUUUUGUGCAAGAAGCUUGGCCAGAGAUACUAUGGUGUUGUAUAACUGAGACCAAACAAAGCUCCUGGCCCUGAUGGGUUAACUUCAGGCUUCUACAAAGCUGCUUGGGGCUCUCUCGGACCUGAGGUCACUGCUUCCAUUAGACACUUCUUCAUAUCCUCUUUUCUGCCUGCCUCAACAAAUGCCACCAUUCUUACUCUACUGCCAAAGCGUCCAGGAGCUUCUCAAAUUGUUGACUACCGCCCUAUCUUCUAUUUGAAUACUCUCUACAAAGUCAUCUCAAAACUACUUGUCUCCAGGUUAUAGCUGCUCCUUCCAGCUCUCAUUCUCCCAAACUAAAUAGCUUUUGUAAAGGACAGACUUCUCCUGGAGAACACCAUUCUUGCUGGUGAGAUUGUAAAUGGCUAUCAUAAGUUGACUGAACCAAAAAGAAUUAUGCUCAAGGUGGACAUUGCUAAAGCUUUUGACACUCUAUCCUGGGAUUUUCAGUUGUCUCAAGGGGAUGUUGAUUCCUGAUCAAUAUUUGAGAUGGCUCCAGGCUUGCAUCUAUACUACUAACUUCACAGUUGGUUAUAAUGGUAUGGUUCAUGGUUAUUUCAAAGGGAAGAGAGGGCUUCGUCAGGGAGAUCCUCUAUCUCUUUACCUUUUUGUGAUUACCAUGAACAUACUCUCUCUAAUGUUGAAUAAGGCUGCAGAGGAUGGAAAGUUUAAGUAUCAUCACAACUAUGACACAACAAAACUAACCCACCUAUGUUUUGUUGAUGAUCUCCUCAUCUUCAUGGAUGGCUCUCUCCCUUCAGUUCAGAAUGUGCUUCAGGGGCUUCGUGAAUUUGAGCAGCGAUCUAGCCUUGCCAUUAGUCUCCAAAAGUCUUCAUUCUAUGCGGGUGGACUUUCAGAUGCUGAAAUUUCUCUUAUCAAAUCAACGACUGGUCUUACUCAUGGGAUACUCCAUGUUCACUAUUUAGGUGUCCCCCUGUAUACAAAAAAGCUUUCCAUUCAGGACUGUGAACCGUUACUGCAGUAAGUCAAAGGCAAAAUCAAUAACUGGUGCGCAAAAUCCUUAUCUUUUGCUGGCAGGCUUGUUCUUAUUAACACUGUCAUUGAUGGGAUUUCUAAUUUCUGGUGCUCUACUUUUGUGCUCCCCAAGCUAUGUAUCCGUAAAAUCCACUCUAUUUGUAGUGCUUUCAUGUGGAAAGGCAGCUUGGAUGGUCACCAUAGUGCUAGAGUAGCUUGGGAGACUGUUACAAAACCAAAGGAUCAAGGUGGUCUAGGUAUUAGAGAUCUCACUUACUGGAAUAGAGCUUGUACUAUCAAACUUACAUUAUUUGGCUUCUGUUUUUCCAAUCCGGGUCGGUUUGGGUAGCUUUGUUUAAACUUCAUUUCUUGCGUGGGUCAUUGAAUAACUUCUGGUCAAUGAAACAAAGACCGACUUACUUAUGGAUGGCAAACAAGUUGUUGAAAAUAAGAGAGGAUGUAUUCCAUUGGAUAAAAUUAAGAGUUGGUAAUGGAGCUACUUGCAGAUUUUGGUUUGAUAACUGGUCUCCUUUUGGUAAUCUACAGAAGUUCCUAGGAACUGCAAGGGAGACUAAGUUGGGGAUUCUUCAAGAUGCAACCCUACACCAACUUAACAACCAAGGCCGUUGGCUUAUUCCUUAACCUAGGAGUGAUUAGCAGGUCUCUUUGCAUGUCUUUCUAACUAUUGUCACUCUCACUGAUUUUGAAGACAGCUAUGAAUGGGAAAUGGAAGGGAGGAUCGAUAAAAGAUACUCUACUGGCCUUGUCUACUCUCUUCUACGUGAGCACUCUCCUCUUGUCCCUUGGAGAAAGGUUGUGUGAAUCUCUGGAGGAGUCCCCAAACGUAGCUUCCUCACCUCGCUACUUGUCCUAAAUCGGUGCCCUACUCGAGAUCGGUUACUUGGAUGGGGUCUUCAAACAGAUCCAUCUUGUCUCCUCUACAACACCUCUCCUGAAAGUCGGGACCAUAUCUUCUUCAACUGUAAUGUGGCUUGGUCUUCAAUUGCUUCAAGAUGCAGUCUACUUCCACACCGAUCUUGGGAUGCUUCAUUGUGCCAGAUGCAAGAUCUUCACGGCUCUAAACUUUUGAUUAGGCUUACUCGCUUGGCUUGGCAGUCCUCUUUAUACUUGAUUUGGGCUGAACGAAACAAUCGCCUCCACCGAAACAACUUCAAAUCUGCAGACUCACUAAUCCGCCUCAUUGACUCUACAAUCCGGAAUAGGAUCCUCAGCUACAGAGAUCAUAACUCAUCCGUCUCUUCUUCGAUGCUGCAACUCUGGUUCUCGACUGGUUAACGGCGCUCCUUUGUCGUUUCACUAUUCCAUUGCCUAGGCAACCUACCCUCUAGGUUCAACCCUAAGAUCUAUUUUGUAUGUGUUUUUCUACUUUGCUAGGCUUCUUUUCUUAUUUGGGCUUCGGCCUCAUCACAAACACUAAAGCCGGACUGGGCUUUUGUAUUAUCUUUUUCUUCUUCUGCAUUUGAAUAGAAAGCUUUUUUUCAAAAAAAAAAAAAAAAAACUUUUUACAAAACAAAUUAACGCUGACAAAUGUGUUUGAAAUGCAUCGACCGUUUAUGCAUAAGCGUCCAUCUUGUGGCUUAAAUUAUCCCUAAGACUUAUUACCACUACUGAUAAAAACUUUACAGAUAAAUUGGGAUACAUAAAUUUUAUAUAUGAUGUUUCCGUAUAAUAUUAAAGAAGAAUUUGAACAAAAAAUAAAUAUAUUAAAAGAAUAAUAAAAAGUUACAAAUUAAUGAAAACAAAAUUUAUAAUACACAUAAGCUACAUAAAUUCAGUGUAACAAAUUCAAUAAAGUACACAUUAUAUAGAUUGAAUUUUCCUAUUGUAUAAGAAAAGUGAUUUAUCAAUUUUUAUUUAUUUAUGAAAAUGCAUCUGUGUGGUAUUUUUGAAUAUUUCUAAACAAUAUGUAUCCAAACCUUUAAAUAUAAACAAGUUUUCGGCUUUUUGCCAACGGUUAAACACAUUUCUAGAUUUUUGGCAUGUUACAUAUAAGAGAAUGUAUAAAUUAACAUCGAGUCCAUAUGCAUAGUAGACAAGGAGUGACAAAGAUGAAAGAGUUUGAUCUAUAUAUAUGACUUCAACAAAAGAAAUUAAAAUUUGUACGAUUGGAGAAAGAAAGCAAAGUAGGACAUAACAAAAUCCAGCUUUAAAUUACGUUGAGGUCAUUUAAGAGGAAGAGAACGAAGUAUCUAUCCAUGUUGACAUAGAUUGGCUUUUGGACAGAAGUCGUUUCAUGUACGAAUGAAUGACAAAGCGACAUAAUGUUGUACUCACUCAAUUCCCCAUGACGAAUCUUAUCGAAUGAAUGGUUCCACAAAAUAUUUGGUAACUUUCUAUUUGUCCUUUGUACCAAAAUGAAUCUUUCUCUCGCAGCUACAUUCCAUCCACGUGAAUUUUUGUUCAUCCAAGGGACACAUUAACACAAACCCCAGCUAGGCUGAUUAUUAACCGGAAUUCGAAAUCUAUUUCAAUCCAGCUAGAAAUUCGGAUUAUGAAGUUUGAUCCCUAGAUAUUAAAAUCUUAGUUCUGUAUAAUAUAUAAAACUUUUAUAUUACUAUUUGAGGCAUAAAAUUUAUAUCAAAUACACAAUUCGGAAAAUUAUAGUGUAAAUCUAAAAUAUAAAUUGAUUAGCAAAGAACAAUAAUUUUCAUAUCCAAUAUAUUUUCUGUUUUAAAUAUUUUAUUUUGUUAGCUUUUUCCUUUAAUAUGCAAUAUUAAUUCUUCCUCAAAAAUUUCUAUGUAAUAUUUAGUCAGAUAAUCAAUUAAAAGUGCAUAUAUAUAUAUAUAUAUAUUACUUGAUGAUUAUUGUUCUUAUAUUUUCUAGUCAUUAAUAUAAAUUAAACGUAAACUAGUCAACUAGAGAUGAAGCAAUAUAAAAUGUAUAUCCUUAUUUUUAACUUAAGACCAAAUUGCAUACGUCUUAAAAAUUAGGUAUUUAACUACAUAAAUAUGGUAAAAAAUAUUCAUAUGUUUAACCUCGACAACACAAGCAAAACAUAACUGCAUAACACCAAUAGAUAUUGAUGCAAACACGCGAUUAAUCCAUCCGAUGAAUUAAUUAACAUAAGCAAAGGUUUGAAACUUUGAUGGUUGAUGGGCGUUGAUACAGAUAGAGGAUGGAAGUUUUGUCGAAUGAAUGCACACUCAACAAACGAUUUAAACAACUUGAAUCCACAAGUUUGUUUUUUUUGUUUUCUUUUUUUGAAUCCACAAGUUAUUCAGCUCAAAAAUCAGACAAGACAAGUGAAUCCUCACUGGCUUGAGAUGACAAACUCAAAGACAAAUUUUGAAAGAAAAUAUUGUUCUAAAUCAUUCUAAAAUAAUAUGUGAAUGUUAAAAGGGACGAAUGUGAGCUUAUAUAGGCUCUUCUACAUUUUUAAUAAGUCUAAACAAAGGAAACAAAUCACAAAAAUUAGAUGAAAAGAGUCGUUGGACAUUAAAGAUGGUGCAUGGCCGAAAUAGGAAAGUCUUCUUGAGUUUUGAUAGCAUGAACGAGUAAUAGUGAUGUCUAUGGAUAUCCAAAUUCACUGAAUAUGGCUUUAGAAAGCUUCCAAAGUAAUCAGAAUAGACUCGCUGUGAAUUGUAAGCAACUGGCUCCAAAAAAUGGCUAGUCUUUGGCUCCAUGGGUUCACAUGAGGGAAGUUCCGCCAAUGCUUGAGUGGAAACUGUCCUGAGUGGUGUAAAUGAUCUAUAAGUUUCAAAUAUGAGGUUUUGGGAUGCACACAAAGGAAGGAAAAUACAACUUUCCUUACUUAUUUAAUAAAGUCUUGUAAGAUAUUUAUAUAUUUGAUAAAGGUUUACAAGGUAUUUAUAAGGUAUUAUAAGAUAUUUCUAAGGUUUUACAUAAGUACAUAAAUAGUUUAUGUAUUAUUUUACAAGACUACAAGUAUUUGGGUAGAUCUCAAAAUUUUAAGUGCAUUUUUGAUAAUAUUUUAGGGAAAGGGCAUUUUUGGAAAGUGAUAUUGGAAAAUGAGCAUUUCCAAGUUCCCUUUAAGAAAUUUGUCGAUCUCAAAAAGAAUAAGAAUUCCAUAUUUUGUUUUCUUGAGAAAUUGUUAUUGAUAGUUUUUUUUCUUCAUUUUAUAUAUUUUUUUUUCACUUUUUUUUGUUUUUCUGCAAAUUUUGGUUUUGGUUUUGAAAUUUAGUGGUUAAAUUAUUAAAACAUUCGGUUACUUUAAAACAUUAACAAAAUUUCUUUCAAAUUUUAAAGAAAUUUAUUUUUCACAACAAACAUCAAAAUUUAAUUCUAAAAAUUUCCAACAAAAAUAAAAUUUCUUAAUAAAUUAAAACAUAUAUAUUCUAUAUACCUAUAUUGAUAAUUAUAUAAAACUUAUAUAUUAGAAUAAUGAUAAAAAAAUAUUUAUGUAUAUGUCUGAUAUAUAUAUUAGAAUAAUGAUAAAAUAAAAUUAUAUAUAUUAAGCCAUCAAUUCACCAUAGUCACAGCAAUUCCACUGAGAAACCUGGUAAUUUAGAAGAUGUUUCGUUUUAAUUCAUGUUUACGUGACAUAUUAUAGAACUCAAAAACCAUUAUGUACUCUUGCAAAAUAUGUUUAUAUUUUUAUUAUCAAUAUAAUCAAACAUAAACUAAAUAAAUUAAGAUUGGAAAUUUUUGAAAAUUGCCCUCUUUAUAGUAAAAAUGUCCUUUUUCAAAAGUUCUUCCAACCAAAAAUAUUUUCAAAAGUGCCCCUUGAUAUCUAUGGCGAUACGUGCAAUGAUUUAACCUUCAAAUCACCUUUAUAAAACCUUUUGAAAUCUUUUAAAACCGUGUAAAACAAUGAGAAAUAGAAUUUUAAUCAUAUCUAUAAAACCUUAUAAAAUUUUGCAAAAAAGGUAUAACUGAAAUUAGACAUUAUCUUGGGAUAUUUUUGAAAAAAAUAUACAGUAAAAAGAGUAUUUUUGAAAUUUUCCCAUUAAAAUUCGCAUAUGUAUAGCACGGACUCUUACCUAUUUUCAAACUAAAAUCUCCAAAUAUUUUUAUAUCCAAUUUAAACUUUCAAGUAAUUUAUUUUCCUUCAACAAACCUCCAAAUAAGUUUACUUCGAUGUUUUAAACAAAUGCGGUCAACAUUUUAGUGAAACCCAUGACUCACGCUCGUGUUUACUUAGAGAUAUAAAUUAAUCGAAAGCAAAUGUUUCUUUUUCCUGAGGAAAGAGUUUAAUUUGGCUGCUAAACUUCAAAGAAAAAAAUAAAUAAAUGAAAUAUAGGAGUAUAAGUAAAUGAUCAGUUGAGGUAUCUAAUUGUAAUUAACUUUUACCCUAAACCCUUAGAUGAGUCUAUAUAUAUAUGUAAUGUCUCAUUCUAGGUUUAAUAAGAAUCAUUCAAUCCUUAUAUAGUAUCAGAGCUAAAAGCUCCUAAGAUAAAAUUCUCAUUUUUUUCCCUAGCCGUCACCAUGUCUUCCUUUAAAAACAACAGUGGAACAAUCUCCAUCAACUCUGUUCUCAAUAUCAAUAUGUCAAACGUCUCAAAGGUAAAAACACAAAACUUCCUCAUGUGGAAGCUCCAAGUUUAUGCUCUUCUCGAUGGGUAUGAGCUUGUCGACCACCUUGGAUUCGCAUGCUAUCGUCACGGUUGGGAUAACGAGUUUAUAUAUAUUAAUUAUUGGGCCUCCCAAAAACAUAUCUACUUACUCUUGAAUUAUACAAGAAUUAUUCUUAUUUAUGAAAACAAUUGUAAGGAACAAUGAUUGGUAUUUGUUAUUUGAAAAAUGAUGUUAUCUAACCUAUAUAUAGUUCAUUGAAAUCACAACAUAACUAUAAAAAAAACUAUAAAGUUAACGUAAUAUUUAGUGACAAUUAAAAUUUUGACCAAAAAUUUACUACAAUACUCAAAGUUAAUGGUUUCUAUCAAUGUUUCAAAUUUGUUUUGUAAAAAACAAAAUAUAAGUAACGAUAUUUAAUUCAGUAUAAGAAACUGUUGAUUAAUUUUAUUUUAUUUGGAUAUCCUAUACCAGAUUAUUAAUGAGUAUGUGGUUCAAAUUGACAUAUAUAUAGUUCUAAGCCAAAUAAAUUAAAAGGUCUAACUAUUUAUAAGUAUAAAUAUAUUUAAUUAUGAAAAUUUUUAAAGCCUAACUCACAUUGUAUCUAAAAACUAUUAUUUUAUUUAUAUAAAAAAUCAUUUUUCUCACAAUACUCUUAAUCUAAAUGACUAAUAAAUGUUAGUAAAAGUGUACUCGACAUACAACUUAAUCGAAGGUUUUCAAAAUUUUUAUAGGCUAAUAUGAGAUCCACAAGAGCAAAUAAAUGGUUUUAGAAUAUCAAAUAUAGUUUUUUAUUAGAUAUAUGUUAAGGAAUCAACUAUUAUAACUAGACAAUAGCUAUUAUAUAACAGUAUAUUUAAAAACAUAUCAUUUAAAAUUGCAUAGCAGUUAAAAAUUAUAGAAACAAAUAACCACAAAUGGUGAAACAUCCAUCUUUUCAAAACAAAUGAAACCACAAAUAUCACUAAUCCUUAGAUAUGAUUUAACACUAAUUAAGAUGCAUGUGAACUAACAGAUCCAUUAGGAAAUGCAAAUUUUUCCUAUGAAUAUUUAUAAAGUCAAAGUAUUUAAUCUAUAUCAUAUUCAAAUUUGUCUCACCCAUUCAAGUUUUCGUUUUCACAUUGAAAAUCGAAUUAAAAAUCUCCUUGAAAACGUUUUGGUUAUUUUUAUGAGGUCUUGAUUUAAGGUUAUUGAAUUAAAGACUAGAGAUCAAGGAUAUAUUAAUUGUUUUUGAAUUUAUAAAAAUUAUGUUCUAUAAAUGCUUUGAGAAAAAAAUGGUAAACUUUGUUGAAUUAUCAAAAACAUAUUACUCUAAAAAAAACAGAUAUAAAAAUUAAAUUCACUCAAUAAUAUUUGUAGCUACUCUUAAUACUUAACUUUAAAAUUAUUAUUCAACUCUUAACAGAAAAAUUUGUUUUGAAGUGCCAAUAGAAAAUAAAAAAAUUAAGUUCUUCUUUUUUAGAGAAAAUUCGCUUCAGUUAAUACUGUAGUAAAGUUAAAAUAUAAAUGUUUGUGGUAAAAUAACUGUAACAACACAGAAAUAUCAAUUUAUUCGGUAAAAAAUAGUACAAGCAAUACAUAUUUCAAGCACUUUUGGAGAUUGAGACACAAUGAUUCCACAAGUCAUCACUCUUCUUCAAGUAUUCUGUUUCGUGGGCAAUUAACAUGGGUUUAUCUGCAAUAUAUUUAAUAAGCUUAUCGUGACACAUUUUCCCUUCUUUGAUGAGAUCGUUGCAACAAGGAUCAGAGAUGGUUCCAUUUUCAAAGACAACAGCGAUUAUAUCCAACGCACAGUUAGGAGUGAUUUUAAGAAGACAAGUAUUCCAUAAUAAUUUUGCUUCAGCUUCUUCGACUGAGAAAACCAGAACAAACGCACACACCAAAGUUACAACAAUAAAUAGAGUGGUAAUUUGAGAGCUAAAUUUAGACAUAUCUACUUACGCUUGAAAUAUACAAGAAUUAUUCCUAUUUUAUGAAAAAUAAUUGUAAGAAACAAUGAUUUGUAUUUGUUAUUUGAAAAAUGAAGUUAUCGAACCUAUAUAUAGGUCUUUAAAAUCACAACGUCACUAUAAAAAAAACUAUAAAGUUAACGUAAUAUUUAAUGGCAAUUAAAAUUUUGACAAAACAUAUACUACAAUACUUAAAGUUAAUAGUUUCUAUCAACGUUUCAAUUUUUUAAAAAAAAAAAAACUAAAUACAAGUAACGGUAUCCAAUUCAAUAUAAUAAACUGAUUGUUAAUUUUAUUUUCUUUCGAUAUCCUAAACCAAAUUAUUAAUGAGUACGAGGUUCAAAUUGACAUAUAUAUAUAAGCCACAUAAGUCAAAAGUUCUAACUAUUUAUAAGUAGAAAAGUCAAAAGUUCUAACUAUUUAUAAGUAGAAAUGUACUUAAUUAUGAAACUUUUAAAAGCAUAACUCACAUUGUAAAAACUAUUAUUUUAUUUAUAUAAAAAUCAUUUUCUCACAAUAUUCUUAAUCUAAUGGGCUAAUAAAUGUUAGUAAAAGUAUAUUCGACAUACAACUUAUUCGAAGGUAUUCAAAUAUUUUAUAGGCUAAUAUGAAAUCCACAAGAGCAAAUAAAUGGUUUUAGAAUAUCAAAUAUAGUUUUGUUAUUAGAUUUAUGUUAACUAGUAUAACUAGACAAUAGCUAUUAUAUAACCGUAUAUUUUAAAAAUAUCAAUUAAAAUUGCAUAUCAAUAAAAGAUUAUAGAAACAAAUAACCAAUAAUGAUGAAACAUCCAUCAUUUCAAAACAACUUAAUCCUAACAUAUCAAAAAGUACAUGAUAAUUAGGAUCCGAUUGGAUUGAUUUGUUAAGAAUAUAUACCACUAAAUAAAAUCUAAUCAAAUGUUUUAAAUGUUUUUUUCGUGGAUCAGGAAGUUAAUAAACUCUAGUAGGGACAACGAGUACUUCAACAAAUCCAGACUUUUCCAAAUGGCUUCACCAAGACAAACUCAUCUACAGUGCAUUCAUCGGCUCAAUCUCCUCAUCAAUCCAGCCAAGACAAUAAUUGAAUGCAUCAAGUGAAAUAGUGAAAGAACAUUGGAUCACAAGUUUAAUUGGACGAGCACAACACCAAUUUGAGCGGAACAAACUUUUACGGAAAAUGGCUGGUUGAAGUAUUGUUUUAAAAUGUCUAACUAGUUUAGUAGAUUGAUCAUCAUAAAAAUAGGACUGGAUUGUUACACACUUUAUGGUGCCAUCUGUACUCACUCGACCAUGCAACUCAUAAUCUCAGCAAGUAGCCCUUUAACAAGUCGAAUUAAUAUCCUACUGUUCCUCCAGCGGUAUAUCGUUCUUGAUCUAGGCAUUUAUUAUCCACGAUUAAGUUUUUCCAAUUGUGUCCACCCCAUUUGUACAUGCUAGCUUCGGAGUAUCAUUCUAAUAUCAUACUCUUACAAGAAUGUGGGACUAAAUUUGAAUGAUAAAGUAACAGUAUCACAUCACACAAAGCACAAACUUCUGGCAAAUAUGACCCAAAGAUACAAGUCCUGGUUAAGAGAUUGUUUACUUCAUUACUAUUGCAAUCAUGUUGUAGUCAGUCUCCUUAGUCAAAUGACUUAGGUAUACCCGACCCGCAUUAACUUUGAUUUCUAAACAGAUGUCAAAUAUUUUUUCCAUAAAAAUUAAUGGGCAACAAGAUAAACGAAAUUUAGACCUACUAAUUAGUAAGAUAAAUAAAAUAGAUAAGAUAGAGUAGGAAGGAUUUGAAACACCCACCUUAACGCUUCUACUAAAGGUAAAAACCAAUUUCACUAGUUAAAAUCUACCUAUUAUAUUUACGGCUGCAUGGCAUGGACCUGGUCCGCUUGUAUAAGGACCGAGUCUGCUCUUAUUGCUUGUAGGGGGAGCAUAUCAAGGGGUUCUUUGUUUGAUAAAAGGAAAGAAGUAAACAAAUGAACAGGCACAUACAAGCAUUACACAACCUAUGGCAAAACAAGUGCUUUGACUCUUCGGACGAGAUUGCAUCCCUCGUCCAUUCAUUUCCCUCUAAAGUCUUGUCAAGGACAAUUCACUAGGCUGAAUUUUCCAACCAAGAGUUUCAAUUCCACUCCAAGAAUCCAACCCUUAAAUCCAGAAAAAAAAAAUAACAAAUUGACCCUUGGAUUACCAAGCCCAUAACUAAAUCAGCAUCUUCGUCAUAUUUAGUCUCUUUUUGUAGCUUGAGGUUUGGAUACUCUUUAGAAGAAAAAACUCAUGUGUAGCUUCUCAAAACCAUCUAAUUAAACAUAUCCAUGUUUUAAAAAGGUGACGACAUGGCAUAAACUAAGAGAGAAGUCCCUCACAUUGUCUAGCGAACAAUUUGGUUUGGUUCACCCACAAUGGUUAAAUCGCUUAUCUUAUGUUCACUGGCAUUCCAAUAAGACUAACGUAUUUCUACGAUGAAUAAAAUUUUAUUAUUUUGGAUUAGGAACGAAUACCCUAUAUUCAAAUCUAUAUCGAUCGUUCUCUAUUCAUACCCGCAAUACAUCCAUAUAUAAAUCUCUAGAUAACUAAAAAUUCAAGACAAAUCAAAACGGAUAUCGAAUCGAACCAAACAUUAGAGGUAAUAUUGUUAAAUUUGGGCUAAUUCUGGGCUUCCAACUAAAAACCAAUUGGCAAUUAGUGGAUUGGCACUAACCCUUUAUAUAUUAUUGAUUGUCCCAUCAAACUUCCGAUGUGGGACUUUGAUUGUAUCUCCAACAAUCUCCCCUUCAAUCUAAGGACCACAUGGAUCUUAACACACCUCCUCGAUCCCUCACUCGGACCGAUAAUAAGCCCCUUUCUCGGGCCCCCAUUACUCGGGUUUGAGGUAUGUCCGUAUCCACUUUUCUAGGUCCACCAGAAUUUGAACCUUGGGCUCUGAUACCAUGUUAAAUUUGGGCUAAUUCUGGGCUUCCAACUAAAAACAUACCCGCAAUACAUCCAUAUAUAAAUCUCUAGAUAACUAAAAAUUCAAGACAAAUCAAAACGGAUGUCGAAUCGAACCAAACAUUCCAACAAAUAUGUCCAUCCCAACUCGAACCAAUGGGCUUUCACAUCCACACUAACAUGUAUUUUUGGCAUUACAUUCUUUUUUCCACGACACAAUUCGUCUACUACAUUUGUAUUGACCGUCUCUCUCCACGGCUUCCUUAUCUUCUCCACAAGAAAAGAUUUUGUCAUAUUCUUCUACCUUUACAUAAAAACCGGAAAAAUACUAAUAAUCAUAAAUAAAUAAAGGCAUAAAAAAAAAACAUAGAACCCCACUUAAUGAAAGUUUCAAGACCGAACCUAAUAAUAAUAUUAUUAUACCAUCAUAUCCUUUGAUCAACACAAAAAUCCCUUUUCCCUUUUCUGAUUUUUCUUCUUUUUCUUCCUCAAUCAUCAUGGAAACUAAUCUACAACAGGUGAAGAACAGUUCUCAAACUUUUUCUGAAAAGCAAAACCCUAAACAAGAAGCUUCACCAAUAUCAUCUACUUGUUCUUCUCCUUCUCAUGACUUCUCUUUCACUAUCUCUCUCCAGCCUCUCUCUUCUUCCUCAAAACAUAUCAGCCCUACUCUUAGAGGUUCAACAAAAACGACAUCGUCUUAUCAACAAACCGAUCCUUUCGCCGUCGACUUAUCUCCGGCCGAUGAGAUCUUCUUCCACGGCCAUCUUCUUCCUCUCCACCUCCUCUCCCACCUCCCUGUCUCUCCUCGAACAUCCACCAGUUCUUAUAAUGACGGAUUUACCCUCCCCGUCAAAGAUAUAUUACCUGACCAGCCCACAAACAACAACAACACUGAAAACGCUAUCACAACCAUCAGUACGGAGGCAAAGAACGACAACACCAGCGACAAAGCAGAGAGCGAGAAUCUUUCUCGGGUAAAAACCAAACCCAUGAAGUCAUUUUCUCUCUUUGGUUUAUCAAAAUGGAGAAAGGGUUUUGAAAGCAACGAGCGAGAACAAGAACAGCAGCAACAGAAGAUCAAGAAACCUAUGAGCUUAGACCUAAGUCACGCCGUCAAGAAGUACAUAAGGAUGUUGUUUCAGAAAAGAGGAAACGGCACGCAGUUUAGAAACAGAAGACAGACUUCUUCUUAUUCUUUCUCUUCCUCUCUUAUGGGUCCAAACGGAAACAGCAAAACAAUGAUUAAUGGAUCAUACAACAAGAGAGAUCUGAUUAGAGGAAGGAGAGGUGAGUUGUUCUCGGCUCCGGCGUCGAUGAGAACAUCUCCGACUAAUAGUGGACAUCUCCGUGUGUCCACGGCCGGACUAUCGUCAAGCUCGGGGUCCACGUCAUCAUCGUCUAGUGAUAGUACCAUGGAAGAGUUACAAGCUGCGAUACAAGCGGCCAUUGCUCAUUGCAAGAACUCAAGCGCCGUUGAUCGUGAUGAUAAGGUUAAGGAUUCUUGAUUUGGUUUUUUCUUUUGUCCUUAAUCUGUUGUUCUUUCUUGUCGGAAAGAAAAAAAAGAAAAAAACAAAGUGUUAGUGUGUGACGUGGAAUUUAAGAAUUACAGUAGAGGUAAUUAUUUAUUUCGUGUAUAGUAUAGAAAAAGGAGUUACUGUUCCUAUACUAUGUGUCCCCAUAAUUCAUUUAUAAUAAUAAAAGAGAUUUAUUUUAAAGAAAAUUGUGACAACUUUGUUAGAAUAAUAGAUAGAUAACAACAAGUCCAGGCUGGGUUUUAUUGUUUGUUUCCACAAAUUGGGGAUGACCAAAAAGAUGAGUAAAUGAGAAGAGUUUCAUUUUGAAAAGCAAAAGAAGAGAUGGGGUUUAUGAUCGGCUCUCUUCGUUUACUUGUCUCUGCGACAUAACCAAUGUUAGAGCAAAACCAUUGAUUGUGGUGGAGACUAGCAUAAAAAAUAAAAUGACACAAGAGAUUCUCUUUGCUUCCAUAUUUUUAUCUUCCUUUUUUUUGCUAUAGACUAAGGUCUUGAAUGUUUAGAGCGGAACUUUGAUACACGAGAUGCGUUCCUAUAUCAUGUCUCCAUUCAUGACAUUAUUUGUAUGUGUGGGACAAAAAACACACUUACGUAAUAAAAAAUAAAAAAAAAUCAAAAGUGUACCUUUUUAGCUUAGUUUUGAAGAACGCAUAGUGCAGUUAAGAAUUCUCUAAUAUUGUGUGGUUUGCUGCGGUACUAUUUUAUUUUUAUUUUUUCCAGUUCAAAAAAUUCUGGAAUUUUUUAUACAAUUAAAUUACCAGUAUGAACAAUUUUCUUUACUAAACAAAAAUAAUUCAAAAACUUGAAAUUGAGAAAUUAUUAAUCAAAGUUUAAAUAAAUAAUAUAUUAUACCACACUUAUAAUAGUCACCAUUCAAACAUUCUCUAGUACCGCUUUCUUUAUAUAAAUCACACUUAUUCCGCAUGAUGCGUUUCUAACAACCGCACCGCAGUAAAACCGUAUCAUAUCUCUACAACUGCUUGUCCUGCACCGCCCAAACAGCUGUCACCAUUCGAAGCCUUAAUCCAUAGGUUAUACAUUCUCGUAAAAUCUAAUAUUUUUUCAUUUUCAAUGAAAUAUUUACAUUUUUAGUAUAAAAAACAAGACACAAGAUUUAACCACGUAUGUGUCGGUUUUUACACUAACCACCAAUCAUUGACCUGCAAAGAGGUAUUGCUUUAACAGCAUAUAAAGGUACUUAAAGUGUUACAAUUAACUUCAACAAUAACACACGCUAAGUAAAUGCAAACAUUUAUAGAUUCAAGAAGGCAACUCCCCAUUAAUCUUUGCUUUGUUUUUUUUUUUUUGAAUGAAUGUAAAAUUAUAUUCAACCAAAAAAACGUGUUACAAUGAAUGCGCCUGUUUUGCUGAUGUUUUGAAAUUACAACAGAGAGUUUUGGAGGGAUCACUUGUUGCAGCUACAAUCUUGAGGCAAACCACAUCUGGAGACCUUCCUCAAAGCCACCAGUGGAGAUCGAGCUAAGUCGGUUGCGGACGUUUUUGUCAAUCCUUUUUAUUAGUUGGGCUUGAGGCAUAGGGAUUUCUCCAUGUCUCCUAGCAUUUCUUUCUCGCCAAAGAUGGUACAGGGUUGUUUGAGGACUGUGAGUACAAAAACAGAGGAAGAAGAGAGAAAGGUUGAAGAGACCGAGAGGUGUUCUUCGAGAGAGAAAAAAAAAUUUAGGGUUUACAAGAUCGUAUUCUCUGAUACCAUGUCAAUCCUUUUUAUUAAUCUUUGCUUUGAUUCGUGCUUGCAAAAAGAAUUUCUUCAUGUUCUUCACAACGGCAAUACCUUUUCGAAGUUUAUAAUGAACAUCAUUAUUUUACAGCAACAUCUUUGUUUCUAACUUUCUACUUUUCAACUAUGAACAUAUAUAACUCCUUAUAUAUAUGUCAAUGCAUCCUCCAAUGAACGAAGUACAAUCAUUAGAGCCACAAUUUGUAAUAUUGAUUCAAUAUGAUGUCGAUACCUCCAUAAACACCAUUUUUUAUUCUUGAAACUUGGACAUCAAGCUUUUCUUUUUCUCUUGUACGGAAAUGCAUGUAAACCUUCAAAAAAUCUCAUUCAUUAUAACAGUUAAUCGAUCUAACAUUUCCAUUAAACAUACAUAGUUCAUAUACUUUGAAUAUGUUUUCGUCGAUUUUGUUUUUGUCCUUUGAAAUAUAUUAAAAAUUGAUGAAUUACAUAUGUCAACGGAAGAAAGAUAUAUGUAAGGAUUUCGAUAUAACUCAAAACUACAAUCAAUUGUGGAUUCAAUGCGUUUGUUUGUUUCGAGGAAGAGAUCGAUCAAUUCCUUUUUUUUCUUUGAGAAUGCCAAUCCUGGACAAAAGCUGAGGGCAUCUCACUAUAUUUUUUCCUUUUUCUAGUUCUUCUUCCAAGUGCAGGUUAGACACUAAACCAACGGAAAAUGUUGAAAUCCCGGGAAACAACAACCCUAAAGAAGGAGACAAUUUCAGAAAGAAAAAGCCCAAGUAAAAAUACAAGCCAAAACUGUUAAAAGUCAAGUAUUUACCAAUUAAAGCUUAAUCCUAUUCUACAUUCUUCCCAAAAUCAGAAAUUGUCUUGAUGUCGAUGAAAACUACAACUCACCGAAAAAUUUUGGUCUUCAUGUCCUCGUUUGGUGUUUGAUAGACUUCCGUAUUGUUUGUUUUGAAAGCAAAUUCUCAAAAACGGUUUUUAAUAGUAGUGAAUGCAAUCUCUCCCUUUUUGACAAUCAAAAGUUCAAACUUUAAAAUUGACAAAAACAAAAAUAAAUCAGUUUGGUGAUGGUUAUCGUAAUUUCUUUCCUUGUAGCGUUAAAUUGUUUAUGCAGAAUUUCGAUCAUCCACCUUUUGUUCUUGCUCAUAUAUAGGCAUAGCUGGAGUCGACUACUGACUAGUAACUAAACAUGUAUAUAUAACGAAAGGGGCAAUCAUUGGGGACACCAAUGAGUUAUCUUUAGCUGAAUUUCUUACGUUCGAGUAAAAAAGAGUCUGAUACGAGAAGAAGAAGAAAAUAGUAGGAAUGUAAAGUAUAAAUUCGACUUCCUACCAAAAAAAAAAAAAAAGUAUAAAUUCGACUUUUGAUAUGAUUUUAGGUUUUAUAUUAUUUCAAUAUGAAUAUGUAAUUAUUUAAAUGCUUUGGAAGUUUGGAUAUUGACUAAAAUGUAUAUAUUCGAAUUUAGACUGGGAUAACAAGUCAAAAUGGAUAAUGCGGGUAUCUAUUUUUUAAGGAAUCCAUUUUUCCUCCAAUGAGAGAAAUAUAAACAUUAGUGCUACAAUAAAAUUGAUUCAAUAUUCGAUUUCAAUAUUUUAAUAAACACCAUUUUUAAACUUUUUUUUUUUUGAUAAACGAUUAGCCAUUUUUGAACUUAGACAGCAAGCUUUUCCUUUCUUUCUUCAUGAAAUAAAUGUCAAAGUGAAUGUAAGAAACGAGUCCGAUAACAAAUGUAUCCCAAACUUUAAGAGUACCGGCCCGGUGUCCAACUCUACCAUGCACUUAGGAGCCAGAAUUUUAUUUGAGAGCAUGUGCAAUGAGAGUCUCUUACUAAAGUCUCUCAAACAAAAAAAAAAAAUAAUAAUAAAAUAAUAAAAAGUAUUAUAUAAUUAUGAGAGUCUCUAAAAAAAGUGGUGAGAGUCUCUCAAGUGAGAGACUUUCUCUACAUUUUUUAGAGACUCUCACAAUUAAAUAUUACUUUUUAUUAUUUUAUUAUUUCUUUUUCGCAUGAUAGACUUGGAUGAGAGACUUCCAUUGUACAUGCUCUGAUUCGCACACGGCCGCCAUUAGUCGGUUGAAUGUUGAUCUUUUUGCAUGAACGGUAUAAGUAACAUAUCUUGUUUUAUUAGGCUAGUCUUGGAAAUCCAGAACAAACCCCAAAAGUUUGCAAUUAUUAAAGUUCUUACGUAGGGCAGGUUGAUCAUCUAAUAGAAAACGUCACACUACCAUUUUGGGUUGUUAACAUGGUUCACAAAUGGCAGCAUUAUGAGACUUUAUAUUAGCGUUUACCGAUUUUAGAGGCGGCCUCACAACAAAGUAAAUGACUUCUGACACAAAAAGCAUGGUGACAUGAUCACAACAUCAUUGACCUAACUGACCACAACUCGUGCACAUGAAGAUGGGGUCAUGCGCCGACAUUCAUUAUCGUGAACUAACAUUCUUAGAAAAAUAUCGUUGUUUAAUGAGCAAACCAGAGUUGUAAAAGUCAUCACCUCACUUUCUUUCCAUGCAUUGGAGUGCACGAUUUAGUUCUGAACCACUAUUUGUUAAAAAGUGUUAAGGUUGGGUAAGGACUUGGGCGCAAAACUGUUGAUUUCUAUCAACGGUUUCUUGGGUGGAAUUGGUUUUACUAGUUGUCUGCUUUUGACUGUGGCACUAACAUUUGAUUUGUUUUGUAUGUUAUAUACAUUUAACCAUAAACAACGUUACAUGAGUGCUCUUAUACAAAAUCUAAAGAGAAUUGUAAAAUUACAUAUAAGCUCAUGAAAGUCAGAUUCAUCACUCUCUUGAUGGUAAUUGGAUACAAUAUCUUCAGGUAAAACCGGAUCGCCAUGUAUGUUGCCAGGCAAAGCUUGAACACUGUUGUUUCCAUGGUUUAUGAGUUUCACAUGAAGCAAUAAGACAAUAAUUCCAACCAGUGUUUUUAAACCCGAUUCGGACGGUUUAUGGGUCACCGGAUCACUGGGUCCACCUCGACCAUGAGUCAAUUAAUUAAAAUUUGUUUGAUGUAUUUAAUAUUUCUAAAGAUUAUCCUAUACUAUUUGGGGAGUACAAUUUAUAAUUACCCUUUAAUAACGUUCCCCUUUGUAAGUUAUUACAUUAGAAUGCCAUUAGAGAUAAAAAUAUAAAGAGUAAAUUAAUUUAGCUCAUUAAGGAUAAACAAGUCAAAUACUAAUUUAUGAAAUUUAAUUAAUUUAAUUAUUAAAAAAAAAAUAUAUUAUUAAGGGAAAAAGAUACCUAGCUACACGAAGUAUGCUACAAUACAUGGCUACACAUCCGAAGUUUCAAAAUGUAUCCCUAACUACACAAACUAUAUGUAUCGCAUGCCCACAUAUACGAACUAUAUGUAGUCAUGUCGCCAACAUCACGAACAUUUUUUCCGGUACACUUUUCCGGCGUUGACCAACAUAAAUAUUCAAAAAAAAAAAAUUAGUUUUUUAAUAUUUAGAAAAUUAUGUUAUUGAAUCAUUUAUAAUAUUGUAUAAUUAAAAAAUAUAUACAAUAUUCAAUAUAAAAAUAUUUUGUAUAUAUAUUCAAUGCAUUGAUUUUUAUAAUUAGUUAGUUUCGAUAAUUUCAAAGCUAAACUAAAAAUAAAAUAAAAAUCAAUUAGGUUAAAUAAUUGUAGAUAGAAAAUUUUAAAUACUCUCUAGUUUAAAGUUUUUUGUUAUAAUAUGUUGUUAAUUUUUGUAUCUAAAAUUACUACGAAAAAUUCUUUUAAUAACACGUAAAAAUAAAUAUUCGAAUAUUUAAUAUUUAAUAUGUGAAUUUUAAAUAUUAAAGCAUUAGAAUCAAACCAAAUUUUUUUGAAUUUUAUUCUACUAGUUCGUUAGAUCUUCUAUCUUAUAAAUAUUAAAAAGAAACAUUGUGAUUUUUUUAUUUAUUUUUAGGUGUUAUUAAAAGAAUUUUUGUAAUAAUUUUAGAUACACAAUUAACAACAUAUUAUACAAAAAAACUUUAGACUAGAGAGUAUGGAAAAUUUUCCAUUUACAAUUAUUUUACGUAAUUGAUUUUUAUUUUAUUUUUAGUUUAGUUUUGAAAUUAUUGAAACUAACUAAUUAUAAAAUAUUGUAUAUAUUUUUUUAAUUAUACAAUAUUAUAAAUGAUUCAAUAACAUAAUUUUCUAAAUAUUAAAAAACUAAUUUUUUUUUUUUUGAAUAUUUAUGUUGGUCAAUGCCGGUCAACGCCGGUCAAACUGGUCAACGCCAGAAAAGUGUACUGGAAAAAAUGUUCGUGAGGUUGGCGACAUGACUACAUAUAUAUGUGGGCAUGCGAUACAUAUAGUUUGUGUAGUUAGGGAUACAUUUUGAAACUUCGGAUGUGUGGCCAUGUAUUGUAGCAUACUUCGUGUAGCUAGGUAUCUUUUUCUCUAUUAUUAACUUAAAAAAAAGAAUGACCAAUCAAAAUGAACAUAUAAGAUUUGAUAUCUAACUUACCAUAUUAAUUUGCUAUUAGUCAUUAUACUUCACCUCUCAUCUUUAUAUGAUUCUAUUUUUAUGAAACAAAUAAAUCAUCAUAUCAUCCAUAUAACAAAAAAAAGUAAAUUUUUUAUGCAUAUGCCAAGAUUUGAAUUUUUAAAAACGAAUAUAAAUUGUUAAAUCUAUGAAGAAAAAAAUUUAACGGGUCAAAAAUUCACAUUUGAGUAAUAUAUUUCUUUUAACCAAAAAUAAGUUAAACAAAAAUUUCGACUGAGUAACAGGUCAGAAUUUGAAUAUUUAUAUUAAAUUUCAUACAUGUAUUUUUUGAAAUGUAUUAUUUUAUAUACUACAAUAAGAUUUUUAAAUAUUUUUAUUUGUAACAUAUAAAAUUAGUUUUACUUGAUAUUUUUCAAGAAUAUCAUCAAUAUUUAAAGAAUACUAGGGGUUAGGCCACGCUACGCGUGGGUCAUUUCUAUACAUGUACCUGUAUCGUUUAUUUUAGUUUGAGAAUUCUUUUACAUAUUAAGAUUAUAUAUAUGUUACCUUUUUCAGUAAAUUGACUUUUGCUUGUUAUGUUAUUACUAAGACUUGAGUUAAUUGGUAUGUCUCUCCAUAGUCCAUACCAUUCACCACCGACGUCUAUUGUCGUUUUGUCGAUAUUGCCCAUCAAAAGCAUAUUGUAUUCUUUACACAAGCAAUGUAUAUAUCUAAAUGUGUAUGAUUUUGCAUGAAAAGAGAACACUGGGAUCAAAAUUAACACACCCACGCACAAAACUACUUUUUUAAUGUUCAAUGGUGGAUCACACCCAUCAUAACUAAGAAUGAUGGAUAACAAAAACAUAAGGCAUAUUUUUCUGUUCUGUUUUAGUUUACUUAAGCAUCUCAACAUACGAAUGUUUUCAAUCUUCCUCAACUCACCAAGUUCUAUGAGUAUAUAUGAGCCAUUAGCGUCUUUAGCUGUCUCUGAAAGGAACAUGAGAGUUACCAUUGACAUAAUCGUCACUGCUGCCAUUGUCACCUUUUGCCUGCACCUUCCUCUUCACACUGGACAUGACUACCUGCGACCUAACACUAAGAAUUUGAAAGAUGUGUGAGAACUAAAUAUAUUGAAAGGUGAAAGAAUCUUCUUUUCUUUAUGGCUUAAGAUUUUAGAAAAUGUGGAAAACAAAUUUUGAGAAUAGACGAAAGUAUACUACUCUAUUUAUCCUUCUUAUGUCUAAGAGGAGUUGUUUAAAUGAAAAAAAAAAAAGCUAAAAAUCCCAGAAGUUGUACCCUUCAUUUCUUUUUAAUAAGACGAUGAUUCUAAAGUUAACAAAUAGAGGUGUGUUCUCCCUAUGCAUACCUCCCUAGAAAGAAGAAAUAGACUGGUAAAGCCUUAAGGUUAAUGAAAAUUGAGCAGAAAUCAAGGGAAGUGAAAAGGAAAAAUAUUAAUAAGAUAUGGAUCACAAACUUGUGCUUGAAGUAGGGUUUGGCCCUUAUGAGGGAACAGAGAAAAUUUAUAGAUUAGUUUUGGUAAAGGGACAAAUCAUGGAUGGACAUACACUAAUACUCCUUCAAAAUAUACUCCAUUCUUGUUUCUCGUUUACCUCAAAUUCGCUCACCCUUUCCAAUUUUUCCCAGCGUUCGCUUUUUCUUCUCACUUGAUCAUGCACCAAGUCAGUGCAUCUCCAUAACCAAACAAAACCAAAACAAUGGAGGAUUGCCUCCACAUGAGCAAAACAACAUGAUUUCAACAUAUUUUUGCAUAUAUAAUUACCUCAAAUGCGCUCACCCUUUCCAAUUUUUCCCGGCGUUCGCUUUUUCUUCUCACUUGAUCAUGCACCAAGUCAGUGCAUCUCGAUAACCAAACAAAACCAAAACAAUGGAGGAUUGCCUCCACAUGAGCAAAACAACAUGAUUUCAACAUAUUUUUGCAUAUAUAAACCAAUUACAAAAACCCAUAUAUUGAAGAGAGGAAGAAGAAGAAGGGCGACAUCUUACCUAUUGUCAUUCGGAUUCUCCAGUCAAGAAGGCGGUGACUGUAGAUUUGGGAAGUGAGAUGAGAGAAGCUUGAAGCCCUAGAUUGGAAGCGCCAUAGGAGAUGCGAUCACUACAAGAAAACAGUCGUUUUACGACUACGACAAUAGUCACUACUUAGUCGUAAAACUGGAUAAUACGACUAGGUUACGACUAAUACCCGUAGUCGUAAAUAUUUAGUCGCUAAAAUAAAUAGUCGUAAAUUUAGUCGCCUUUUAACGACAAACAUACGACUAAUAUAUAUGAGUCAUAUAUUAGUCACUCAUUAGUCGUAACAUUUGAUGACUAUUUGGCGACUAUGUUACGAUUAAUCAACACUCAUAUAAGGUCUGUUUAGUGCAGUCGUAUACAUAGUCGUUAAUUUGUAGUGACUAAAUGGCGUCUAUUUUACGACUAUAAAUGCGACUAUUGUAAGACAGUCAUUACUUAGUCGUUAAUAAAAGCGACUAUAUUGCGACUAAUAUACGACUUUUUUAUGACUAAUUGGCGACUAUUGUUGCGACUAAUAUAAGAAUUUGGCAUUUCGGAUUUUGUUUUCAAAUUGUUUGGAUUCCGAUUUUGUUUCAUUUCCGAUUUUGUUUUGAAAUUGUUUGGAUUCCGAUUUUGUUUCAUUUCUAAGUUUGAUUCCAUAACCCAAACAACAUUAAUCUAAAACCAAAUAAAAAAAAAGAACUCCAAAUCAAAUAAAAGCCAAAACACAUACAAAAGUACAUCAUUCACUAUCAAAGUACACAUACACACCAUUCACAAUCAAAGACACUUAUCAAAAACUGAGAGAGUGAUAAAGUUUUUGUUCAUGAUAAAAGAGAGAUGAAAAGGAGAAACCAUGAAGUGGCCAUGAAGUCCAGGAAGAGGCGAGAGAGGGUCUGUGGUUUCUUGAGGAGCUGAAUGAGUGGCCAUGAAGUCCAGGAAGUGCGGAUCGGUUUGCCGCAGAUACUUCUCUACCAAAGACAAGUGCGCGAGCUUCUCCUUUUGCUCAGCCGCCACUCGGGUUUGCUCAGCUUUACGGGCAGCUUCCUCAAGAUCUCUCUUUUCAUUAUAUGCUGCCUGCUCUUCUAUCUUGCGUUGAGCUUCCUUCAGCUGUUCUUGCAGAUCCAGAAAGGAUGUAGAUGAAGAUGAAGACUGUCCAUAGCGCUUGCGCUUGCCAAGAGUAAAUGUAAUUUGGAGAUCCAGCUGUUCCAAUUCCAUACGGAAUUCCUCUAGAAUCUACCUCAGUGGACUGUAAAAAAGUAAGAGAACAGCUGAGAUUAGAGAAUGAGAAUUGAACUCCAGAUUAUAUAAAUGUAAUUUGGAAAAUUGAAACUUAACCUGCAGAAAGAUGGUGGUGCAGUCCUCUGCUGUGAGCUCCCGGGGACGUGACUCGCCAUCUGAAACACUCGAAGCAUCUGCCUCUAGCUGAGACAACCUUAGUUCCAAAUUCUGCUGGUAUGUUGUUGCUAUUUUCUCCGCCUUCCGAUCAACAUACGUACCAUCUGGCCUAGUAUGGGUCUUGAUGAAAACCUCACCCAAGACUGACCGCUCUUCCUGCAUUGUAACCUACUUCAUAAUUCUCACUUACAUACGUCCUAUCAAUGUAACUUGGUCCUAUAUCCAUAUUGAGUUCCUCUCCAUGUUUAUACCAAACAUAAUAAUCUACCAUAAAUCCAUGACUAAACAGAUGACUCAUAACUCUUCUACCCGAGAUAUGUUUAUUGUUCUUGCAAACACUACAAGGACAGUGAAAUUUACCGCGAUUACUCUGGACUAUAGGUUGGCUAUUUGCAAACGUCAAGAAUUCCUCCACACCCGCUUCAAAUUCUUUUGAAAAAUUUCCCGUUGCUUCAUCGAACCUCUUGUACAUCCACUCUUGAUAAUUACCGCCGUCAUUACCGCCAUAAUUGUAAUUUUCCGCCAUUCCUCUAGAAUAAAUAACUAUAAACGUUUUUUUUUCUUAUAAACGCUCUGUUUUUUUUUUCUUUUAAGUGUUGAUUAUGUUUGUUGUAAUGAAGAGAAAAGAGAGUGAUUUUUGUUAUAUAGACAAAUUUGGUGACUAAACAGCGACUAAAAUACGACUAUUACUUUUACUCGCCAAAAACCGGUACACCAACCCCAUCUACCUCUUCAUGAAAAAAACAUGUUUUUUACCGGCAUUUUACGACUAUUUACCGACUUUUUAACGACUAUUAUGCGACCCGCCGAAUCAGUCGCUAAAUAGUCGCCUAUUUAGCGACUACAGUCAUUAGUCAUUCAAUAUAGUCGCCAAUUUAGCGACUACAGUCAUUAGUCAUUCAAUAUAGUCGCCAAUUUAGCGACUAAAAUACGACUAUAGUCGGGGUUUUAAUUAUAGUCGUAUAAUAGUCACUAAUUUACGACUAUUAGAAUGACUACAGUAUGUAGUCGUUAAUUAGCGACAAUACGACGACUAUAAUUGUAGUCGUAACAUUAGUCGUAUAAUAGUCGUAUAUUAGUCGUCUAAUUUAGCGACUACACAAUUAGUCGCCGAUCGUAGUCGGUAAUCGCCUGUUUUCUUGUAGUGGAUAAGUCUGAAACCGAAUAAAUCGUGGCAAUGUGGGAGACGAUGGGUCUAGGGUUAAAGGUAAAACGCUUCAGGUAAGGAGAAGAGGAGGUUGAUGAGAUUUUUAUUUUGGACGGCUUCGUUUUAUUGGCUGACGUGGCUUUCUCUAUAAGAAUACAAUUAGAUGAUGUGGCAGCAUGAGAAAGUUUUCUAAGAUGCUGAUGUGGACACAAGGAGAAGCCUCAAUGAAGACCUUUUAUUAGUAAGAGAUCAUCAAUAAAUACUCUAAUUUGAUUUUUUAAAAACAAAUAUUUAUAACAGGCAGUGGGUUAAAUAUAAUAUAUUAUAUUAACAAAUGAGUUAUGAUCCUUAUAACUGUUUGAAUAUUUGUAUUUAAUUUCAUAUAAUUCUUUUUUGAAAUUCAUAAUUUUAUAUACUACAAGAAAUAUUUUUAAAGAUUUUAAUUUGGAACAUUUAAAAAUAGUUUAAUUUAAUAUUUUAAUGAAUAUCAUAAAUAUUUAAUAGAUUAAAAAGAUAAAAAAAUUAUAAAUACUUUAAUUUGAUUUUCUAAAAAGAUAUAUUUAAAAUAGUUAUAGUAGGCGGAGAGUUAAAUGUAAUAUAUUAUAUGAUAUAAAAUUAUGAUCCUUAUAAUAGACGACAUGUUAAGAUUAUAUGAUCAGAUAGAUUAAAUAAUGUUGACACCACAAUAUAUUUGAAAAUUUGAUUGUGCAAACAAUUUUGGAAAUAACGAAUAAUAGAUUGUGCACGCAAUAUUUUCAUUAGGAUUCUAAAAUAAAAAUAUAGACUCCACGCAUGGGUUGAAUUUGGUAUAUUAUAUACUAAAUAUAUGUUCAUAACAUAUUCGAUUACGCGAAUAAUUGGUAAAUUCCGUAGUUACCUCAAACAAAUCUCUAUUUCAACAACCAAAAAAUUAGAAAUUGAAAAGAGAAUUUCUUAAAUUAAUUACAAAUAAUAGCUAACUUCCUUAAUUAAUUAAAAAUAAUCUAUGUUUUAGAAGCGAUUCAUUUAUAAUAUUUUGAUUUUUGAUCUAACUGAAUUAUAUGUAAUCUCAUUUUGUGGUUGUUAUUAUAAAUUAACUCAUUGUUCAGACCAUAUUAAUUUAUUAAAAUAAUUUUAUUUUCCGUUUUCAUAUCUUAAAAAAAUAUAUCCAUAAUUGAGUAUAAUUAAAAAAUAUAUAUAUUCAUUCUAAUAUUAUAUAUAGGGACCGACAAAAAUCUAAUUAUAUUUUUUCAAUUACUAUUAUAAUAUAGGGAAAGUUACUCAGAUGUUAUACAUUUUAGAUGAAAUGACCAGAAACAUACAGAUCUUUUUUUUUUAUUGCCAUCAUAUUUCGGGUAUAUUUUUUAUACCUAGCGUGCCCCUGUUAAACGUUACAGGAAAAAAUGUAAUUACAAAGAAUGCCACUGCCACGUCAGCAAAGCCGCGUCGCCACGUCAGAAAUCGCUGACGUGUAUUAAUGAACUCAGCCGUAAAGCGAUACAGCAGCAGUGACAGCUGAGUUACGGUAUGUUUCGACUGAUUUAAGGAAAAUGGCUGAGUUAUGAGCAAACGGCCGACUUACGAGUAUAACCCAGCCUGAAGUUACGGCUGACUUACUGAAAUCUGUCUGAGUUAUGAGAAAAUGGCUGACUUUCGAGCAUAACCCAGCCUAAGUUACGGCUGAGUUUUCACCCGAUGGUUGAUUUGUCAAAUUUUUGGCUGAGUUAUUGCUUCGACACGACUGACUUAACUUUCUCCGGCUAGCUGAGUUAUCAAAGACGGCUUAGUUAUGGGAUGACGUUACGGCUAAUUUAUGUUCGAGUGUCAUAAAUCAGCCGUAAUGAGCUGAAUUAACGGAAAACUCGGCCUAAUUACGGCUGACUUAGUAGCGAAAGAUUAAUUACUAGAAUAGCAUGCAAUGACGGCCGACUUAUUAAACGACACGGCUGAGUUAAAGAUUUUUGGUUGAGUUACGACAUUAAACGGCUGAAUUUGGCUGCAAUUUUUUUUAUUUUUAAUUACUUUAAUAGUAUUCAUGUUGCGACUGAGUUAAAGUUUUGUUUGAUGGCUGGUUUAAUUAGGCUGAUUUACAUUUUCGUUUGGUGGCUUACUUACCACUUCAUCAAUUAAAAAAUGACGUCGGAUGCAACAUUCCAUGUCAUCAUUCCAUGUCAUCAUCAUCAAAUGACAAAAAAAUAGGGCCAAAUUUUUUCAACUCGUCUUCUUCACCUAAGUUUUUCACAUCACCGGAACUUCCAGUUCCUCAUCGUCUUCCUCAUUCUUCUUCAAUUUCUUUCAUCCUUCUCCCGAUAUGGUUGAUCCGGUUCCGGUAAUUGUUGUUUCUGGUAAUUGGGUAUAGAAACACAAAUACGUAUUUAACACCGAUGAAAGAGGGUGUAGAGUUGUGCAGAUAGAUGCGGAAACAACGCACGAAAAACUUGUGAAGUUGGUGCUCGCUGAUAAAGUUAGACGAAAUGUUGCGUCUCUUAUUGUUUCGCGGAAAAUUUACAUGUCACGGCUGAGUUAUAUGCUUAAGGGAAGACGAAAGGUUCAGUCAAUUUACAUGUCACGGUUGAGUUAUAUGUUCCAGGGAAGACGAAAGGUUCGGUAAAAUUACAUUACGGCUGAGUUAUAUGCUUAAGGAAAGACGAAAGAUUCGGUCAAUUUACAUGUCACGGCUAAGUUAUAUGUUCCAGGGAAGACGAAAGGUUCGGUAAAAUUACAUUACGGCUGAGUUAUAUGUUAAAGGGAAGACGAAAGGUUCGGUAAAUUUACAUGUCACGGCUGAGUUAUAUUCUCCAGGGAAGACGAAAGAUGGGUGUAAAUUAUAUGUUACGGCUGAGUUAUAUGCUUCAGAGAAGACGAAAUGUUCGGUAAAUUACAUAUCACGGCAGAGUUAUCAUUCAGGGAAGACGAAAGGUUGUGUAAAUUAUAUGUUACGGCUGAGUUACAUCACGUUACGGCUGAGUUACAUCACGUUACGGCUGAGUUACAUCACUUUACAGCUGCUUUAUAAUACAGAUCGGAAAGCACCAUUUUUUUGGAGAAGCCAAUAUGACGCUUAUUGGUCAAAUAACAACAAUCAAAUUAAGAAACAUAAAAAUAUGUUUGAGGGAUACAUAGGAGGAACACUAAACCGUAUGAAUCAAAACAUAGAUAGAAGUAGAAAUGUCUCCAAAUAGAUCGAUUGAGAGGAAGAUUAAACGAGAGACAUGUAAAGUAAAAGAGUAGCUAUUCUUGAUUUCAACUCAAACCUGUAACGAAUCAUGUAGAAUUCCAUAGAUCUCUUUGAUUUGGGUUUUGAUUUUUGAUGACUUUUUUCGUGAGCGAGGUUGGGAGUAGAUCUGACAAAGCUUUUGAUUUGGGACCCUAUGGCAAGCGUUGUGGCUGUGAGGUCUAGGAAGAUCCAGCCCAAUCCUGCGAUUUGAAGAUCUUUGUCAAUGUUGUACCCAAGUUAGUUACAGAUUAUUAGAUCUAAAAGCUUUUCUUGGAUUUGGAGACAAAAAAAAUAGAAGAGGGGAAAUAUAGUGAGUUUGAGGAACAUGAGAUUGGUGAUGUGGAUUAAUGAUAUGGAUAAUCAAAUUUUUAUUUACUAUUUUUAAUUAAAAACGAAUUCAAAAUUAUUAAUUAAAAAAAACUAAUGAAGGUUGUUAACUGUAAUUACACAAAUGCUCAAAACAUAUGAGUAAUUUUUAAAAGAUAUAUGAUAUUCUAAUAAUAAACAUACUUUUCUAUAACAUCUGAGUAAAUAUUUCUAUAAUAUAUCACAACUUUAUUCUAAUAUAUAUAAUAUAUAAAUUUUGUAAUAAAUAAAAUUUAAUCUGUACUGUAGUACGGGUGAUGAUCUAGUUUAAUUUUAUAAAUAGAAAAUAAAAAUAAUGAUAUCAUGUUUAACAAAAUAUGAAGUCUUAACAAUAAUAAAAUUUUUAAAAAAGCCAAUUAAAAGUGUAAAAAAUACUAAGAUAGUAGGAUAGUGAAUACAAAAAGUUCUAAAAAUAACUUUAUAGUGAAUAGUGAAUACACUAAAAGUCUAAAUCAUUUUUUUGAACCAAUACACGACUGGUUCAACCGAUUCACCAGAUUGCGGGUUAAUGACGAGCUUUGUGGAUUUUUUCCGGCUUUGAAAUUACCCAAUAUUAGCACUAAACCUAAACCGGAAAAAUGUCGGAUUGCAAAUUAACAAGUCGAACCGUACAGUCAAAGUCGGGUGUAAAAACACUUGUUCCAAGGAAAGGCACAACUUUUAUCCCAAUUGGUCCGUCCUUUUAAGGAUGCUAUGUUCUUCAUCGUACAUGUUAAGCAUCAAAAGCAUUCGAUCCAAGUUACAUUGUACCAGACUACCAGCUGGUGUGAUAAUGUUCAAUCACAUUGAUUUUCCGAUACGAAAAGGCUACAGAAUAUACUUAAAUCUUUUUGUGCAUAUAAAUUAGAAAAAAAGCUGUCUGAUAUUAUGCUCCCAAUUCUGAUUUUAUGGGGUUUGGACUUAUUAGUACCCAUUUUUAGAUAAUUUAUGAGUGCCGAUGAAGUAUACUCUGAUUAGGGACAGUGGAAAAAGAGAAGAACAAGAGUGCAAAAUGCUCGAAUGGUUCACGUUUGGGUGAAGGAGAAACUGGGGCUUGUUCAUCACAUCUGUGGCUCGGAACUUGUCUGGAAAAGAAUUUGAGAGAUAUUAUAAUCAGAACCAUGAACUGAAAAAUUGAGAGAAUUGAGAGUUGUUACACAAUCAUACCUCGAGAUAUCGUUUCAAAAGUGUGGUGGUACUGUAAUUGAAUCCUUCGAGAGCGGUGCCUUGAGUGCGUGAUGAAUGAAGCUGCUUCCUCACCUGAGUAGCAAGAACUUUUCCAAGCUCAACUCCCCACUGGUCAAACGAAUUGAUACCCCACACAAAGCCUUGAACUGCUACUCUGUGUUCAUAGAUUGCCAACAACUGAAAACAAAAUAUAAUACAAAAUGUCAGCUUUUUAAAACAAUGACCCUCUCAUCUCAAAUCUAAAGACCGUACCGAUAAACCUGAGAUAGAGACAGACCUGGCCAACAUUGUAAGCAGUCAAUUCUGGAAGUAGAAGGCUAAGAGAAGGUCGAUUUCCGGAGAAUGUCUGUGGACAGAUACCAACAGUUUACCCAAACACGUUAAUAUACCAAAAACAUAGAAGCUUUUUUUGAACAUAGGUCCAAGUUCAUUUUUCACCUUGUGGGGAAUGAGAAAUUCUGAAACAUUCUCUUUCUGCAGCUGUUCAGGUGUCUACAAAAGGCAAAAACAAAAGAGUUUGUUUUAGAACGGAACCUUAAUAAUGCAUCAGUGUCUUCAUCCCAAAUGACCCAAUGUAAUGUCUUACUUUUCCAUAUGCAAGAGCAUCAGGCUGGGCAAAAAAGUUGGACAUUAGCUCGUCGUGGUUACUGACCACCUCUCCUGUGAAUCCAAUUCAGAACUUAUCUUUAAGUAUCGAAGAGAAUGCAUAAAAGAGCUCACAUCAAAUUUACAGCAACCGAAAUGGAAAUGCCUACCCUUCAGAUACACAGGUUGCUGACUCUUCACAAUGCCGAUGAAAUCACAAGGGAUUACGCGUCCCUAAAACAUCAUUUAGAAAGAUUUAGUGCAUUCCUCAUUAGCUUAUCAUGUGAUCUAGAUCCAAAUUUCCACAAAAUCAAAUUAUAUGUAGCAAGUACCUGGUGAAUUAGUUGGUAAAAGCUGUGUUGACCAUUUGUACCAGGUUCACCAAAAUCAAUCUCACCAGUCUCGAACGGGAGAGGUAGACCAUCAAUUGAAACUCCCUUUCCAUUACUCUCCAUACUAACCUGAAAUCAAAUAAUGUCUACGUUAAUACCCCAGUAAACAAUUUUAAUAUUUUCAGGUCAAAAAGCAAAUAUUAAAGCAGCAAAGAUUAAGGAGACAAAAGGAAAACCCAGUUCACAUACCUGUUGUAUGUGUGGAGCAAAUUUCUCAAGGGCUUGCGAGUAAGGUAAGAUGGCCUGAGAAAACAGAAAGAUGUUGAUGGAGGCUGAACAUCUUAAUCUGAGUAGAAAAUUUCAUCUAGCUGUUGAAGGAGUCAAUUCUUACCCUGGCAGGAUAUCCAAGAAAUGAUACAUUCCAUACACUCAAUAACCCUAAAAGCACCUGAAAUUGUCAAAAGCCACCAAAUCAACCUCUCAUUAUGUCUUAGCUACACUAACUACUACUAAUUUAAGGGAGUCUUUAUUUGGGAGUUAAUGGAAAUGCUUGCUUUCAACUGAGUAUAAGCAACGUCUUCACAGGAGAGUGAUUCUAGAGAAGCUCACACACCCAAUGCACAUUUACAUAUUGUUAUAUGAUGACUUCAAGUCAAACGAUUAUCAGAAUAAAACACUCACGGGUAUAUUCUUCUCAAACGGUGUGGACUGGAAAUGCUGAUCAAUGCUUGAAGCUCCCUUCAAAAACCUACCAUCCAAAAAAAAUGACUGAAUAUUGACUGCUUUAUUAUGUACGUUUUCUCUAGAUUUAGAAACAUAGUACAUUACUUUCAAAAUAAAACGGGAAUACAAGAGAAAAGAAGAAACCAUUCAGAUAAAGAAAAAAAAAAAACAGAAUUUACAUCAAUUUCUUUCCUGACAUUUUAUAGUUAGUACAGGUGUAUGUAUAAACUUAUGCAGAUAAAUUUCUCAAGACAGACAUGCAUUACUUCCUAUGCCUAAGAAAUUUUGUGAGAAGGAUAAAAGAUAGAAGCUACCAUACUUCUCAACCACGGAGAAGCCAUACUGCAGAGACAAAGGUAAGACUCCAACAGCACUGCAAACUGCAACAGAAUUUCAGAUAAAGACUAAGUGGAUAUGGGUGAGAAAUAAAUCCAACCAAAUAGACAAGAACUUACCACUGUACCUUCCACCAACCCAGUCCCAAAAUGCAAAUGCAUUGUUCGGGUCAAUACCGAACUUCUCCACUAACUGUUAAACAAAACAUACAUAGUUUAAACAUUUUUCUGUACUGUCUGAAUAUGAAACAUGUAGAAGGAGGUAGAAAUAAAUCAUAAUUUCAGGAACAUCGAGACUACCAUAGUCCAUUAAACCUGGUAGAUAAUUCAGUUUCUAACAAGACAGAUUAACAUGUCCAUCUGAUUUACAUAAUCAGAAAGACUCGAGUUUAUGUAUUUCUCGGUUUAACUGUCCUAAGAUGGACAAUAAGGAAAUACAUUCCCCAAAAUAAACUAUAGAAAAUGCAUACCGCAAGAUUAGUGCUGACAGCAACCAUGUGUUUUGCAACAGCUGAAGCCCUGUGAAGUUAUCACAUGUUAAAUGAAUGAUGUUAUAUUCACAAUAACCAAAACAUGGUAGAAUAACAGAAUUGCUUGUAAAUGUAUAAGCAUAAAUGCCUUUCUCUGGCGAUAAUGUGUAACAUGUACAAUAGGGUGUCACAGAUACUUUCUCUAGAUAUGCACAAACAGGAAGCCAACAUGCACAUAGUCAAAGUAUGUGUGUAUUCAUGACUACAAGAUUGAGGGCAGCUAAGAGAGAGGAGUGAAAGAGAGAGAUACAACUCUGGUCAUGAUAAUUGUAAUUUUCUAACAAAACAAGAUUAGGAUGCCAGAAAUACCAACCCAAGAGCAGCUGUUAUCCAUUCCCUCAAUGUCCUAGCGUUCAACAUUGUCUCUGCUGUUGUAAAUGUUUUCGAGACCACCACAACUGGAUUACAAGUAUUCUCAGGAUUAGUUAGAGUAAACAUCCGUCAAUGGAAAUUAUAAAGGUGCAAUUGUUAAUAGGUUUGAGCAUGAACCUAGAGUAGUUUCUGGAUUUAGUCCGAUGAUAUUUCUAGCAACAUCAACAGGAUCAAUAUUCGCAAGGCUGCAAAAAAAAGAAACACAAGUUAAUUCCAGGUAAGGCAUACACAUAGAAUGGAAUCAAAUGAAUAACUAGAAGCUAACAAUUUCAAUACAGCCUCCUCUUACAAGUUAACUGAAAUUUAGACAAACAAGGAGUAUGUGCUAUCUACGACAAUACUGGUGGAUAAAACAAUAUAUAUUUAGGAAUUUUCGUGGACCUUCAGGAGAAACUUCAAACUGUGGUGACAAGCAUAUCAAUUAAGAAGCUCAUUCGUUAAACAACCAAAGCAUUGAGAAAAGAAACACAGAAAAAACUAUGUAUGGAACUAUAUAACUACAGGUAUGUAGUGCUUACAAUCGCAGCUGGCGUCCUUUAGCAGACUCUAGAGCUUCAGGGUCUGAGAAUGAACAUGCAUAUAAAAGCAAAAAAUUGAAUUAAAACGAGCUAGAAAGAACACCAGCAAGAGGCAAGGUACCGAGACUAGAUGCAGCCCACCUGUUUGGAGAGCCGUGUGUACAAACAGUGGACCUAAGAAGCUACCACCAAUACCAAUCGCAAUGACAUCUUUCAGUGGUUUGCCAGUGGCUCCUACCUGUCAAUUAGUGCAAAAAAACUCAACAGAAGGAGAUAACAACGCUAAGAGGUAGGUUUUCAAAUGGCAUCUAGAAUUUACCCAUGAACCAGAGCGAAUUUUCUCAGAAAAUUCCUUGAUCUUAUCUAGAACGUUCCACACUUCUGGAACCACAUUCUUUCCAUCAGCCUUGAUAACUGCAUCCUUUGGAGCACGGAGCGCAACAUGAAGAACUGACCUGUUCUCCGUACUGUUAAUCUAAGGAAGUCAUUCAGAAAGUCAUGCAAAAAAAAAACAAUUCAGACACCUAAGAAUGGAGAUGAGAAAAUUGUCUACUGGAGAAAAUAGAAAAUAAAUCUCUAGCAAUUCAUUUAUGUUCUCUAAUAAGUAAUACUACAUAAAGAGUUUCAUAAGAUCAAAUCAAAGUGAGAUUUAACAGCUAUUCCCGUAGCGCGAUAGGAAGUCCAGGAUACUUACAUGCUCCCCGUUGAACAUGCGGCUGAUCUUCUCAGUCAACUGUGCAGCCUGCAUAUGGAAACAACUGAGUGAAUUACAUUACCGUUCUACGAAGUCUGCCAAUAAAACAUUUGCCCUCACCUUUGCCAAGUUCAAAAGCUUAUCCAUUGUCUCUACAGUUGCACGCUGUCGAGAAUAAUCCAACAGCAACCCAUCAAAUUCCCUAAUUAAAAGCAUACAUACCAACAGAGCAAGGACUUAAUAACAGAACUCGUGAAUGCACAAUAACAAGUUUAAUACCAGAGCAACAGAAACUCGUGAAUGCACAAUAACUAUGAAUAAACUUAAAAUCAAACUUUGAUGCUAGGACACAAAACAAAAACAUCCACCUUCUCUAUAUAAGCCAUAAAAAUCAUCUUAAAUCGUUUAAGAAACACGAGAAAACACCAAACAUUUAACAUUGCAUGUCAAUCAACAGAGUUCAACAUCAAACAUAAUAUAGAUAGCACCCAUACAUCAUCAUGGACUGGCAUCUAUUAGCAUCACUCAUCAAAUCACGCAAAUGAGUCUUCUUAAUAUCUUCAACAUGUCCCUGCCAAAAUCCCAAAACAAUCCCAAAUCACUUCUCUACACAAACCACCAUUGACAAACUAAGCACAGAGAAAUCCUUCAAGACUACUUACCUUCAAAUCCUUCCACGCUUCGGUAUCACUAGUCAAAGCGGUUGAUGACGCCAUUACUGGUAAUCAAUCAUCAACAACAACAACAAAAAAAAGUCAAAUCUAAAACCAGUUUCGUUCAUUUUUCAGCUGUGAUAAUAAACAAAAGUUCGGAUUCACAGUGAGUCGUCGUUCAUCGAAACCUUAUCAACGAUUCAACGGAACAAAAAGCUUUGAUUUGGUAUUGGAAUUGCGAUUAAAUCGCGAGAAGGGAAAAAAAAAACCUGAAGAUCUUCGAAGAUGAGGUGAAGAAGAAGAUUCUGGAAUUGUGAGAAGAAGAAAGCUAUUGAGAGAGAGGAAAAGAAAAAAAGCGAUAGGGAAGUGUGAGAGCUGAGGGUAUGACACGUGUUGACGGAAGGUUCCAAAUACUGCACAGAAGGAGGAUUAUUUCAGGUCUAUGAGCAUCGAGACAUCAAUCUCAAUCAAUUUCCGGAAACUUAACACUAAACUGGGUAAAAGAGAAGAAAAAAUGUAUUGAUCAUAAAUUUGAAAUCAAACUUGGUAAACAUGCUAAUCACUCAGAAAGCUCGAGAUUGAAUCUGGCAUCUAAUCAAAAAUGCAUUAAAACAGGUCCACACAAACUAAGAGGGUCUAGAUUAGUAAGUUCAGAAUCGAUUCAACUUUUUCUCUUUUUGAUGGAAAGUAAGUUUCUAUUGAAUGUGAAGAGAUCGGCAGCACCUCAAUCAUGAAUUCGUAAAACCCUAAGCCAGAAAUGAAGAGAGAGGUGCUAAUUACCAAAUAUGAAACAAAAGACAGAGGUGCCGAAACUUAAAUUGAUACAAUGGAGACUGAAAUUAAAAGAGGAAUAGAGUGAAUAACAACAGAGAGAGAGAGAGAGAGAGAGAGAGAGAUAACAUUCGAAUGAUCAAACGAUACAAUCGAACAAGCAGCAGACGCAUAGAGAGAUACAUAUAAUGGAGAAACACGACGGUGAGAAAAUAAUAGAUAAGAAGAAUACAAGCGUGUCUUACCUUACGACCGGAGGAGAAGCAAUGAGUGAUGACGGCGGAGGGAAGAUUUGAAUCUGGCGGGGGAUAACGGCGACGGCGGCGGCAGAAACAGACCAAGAGAGAGAGAGAGGAGCGGAUAAGAGAGAGAGAAAGAAGGGCUUAUUUUUGGGAUUUCUUUUUAAUAAUACUAGGAAAUGGACAAGUGGUAUUUUAAAAUAAUGAACAUUAAAAUAAUGAACAUUAGUAAUUCCUUUUUUUUUUUUUAUCACUGAAAAGGGAUAUAUAUUGAUAUGUCAAAAGAGGAGGGACCUUUACAAAAACCUCAUCACGGUUUUAUGAGAGGUACCAUUAAGUACCAACCACCAAAAAUUUACGACAAAGAUUGGAAAAGGAAAAAGACUGCAGUUAGAGAAAGGUUCUCUCAACCUCAAAGAACCGAGAAAGCCAAGAAGGAGGACCUACAGCAACAUACGACUGAAAUCGAUCUUCUUUGACAACACUUUGAGCAAUUAGAGAAGCUCUCCUGUUCGCAACUAUCUUUUCCACCAUAACAUUCCAUUCUCCAAUCUUUUCCAAAAAAUGAGUUAACUCAGAAACUUGAUAAGCAAAAGAAGGCCAAGCAGAUGGCCUGGCAAAAGCAGACAUUAAGUCCCUAGUCUCAAAAACAAACAGAACCUUGGAUUUCCUGUGACUGAACAUGCUUUCAAUAGCCCACUUGACACAAUGCAACAUGACAUCUUUUUUUUCGCACAAGUUAUUGAAAGCCUUUCUGCUAUGCAACAAAACCUCUCCACGAUCAUUGCAUAAAACCCAAGCACCUCCACAUAACCUUUUUUCCCAGACCAGGCAGCCCCGAUGUUGCAUUUUACCCAACCAGAAGUAGGCGGAUCCCAUCGAUGCAUUCCUGGAUCAUUAAAUCUGUUCAAAACAGGAUCAACAUUCUGAAUAUGAGAUUGAGCCAAAAACCAUUCUUGAGUGUCUUAUUUAAUCUUCUCAAUGGAUUUUAGAGGGCAGAAAGAGAGGCCAUCAAAAAACAACUUGUUUCUGUUUUUCCAUAGUCUCCAGAGAACCCAAGGCCAUGAUCUUUUUACCUGCUCAGGGACUUGUGAGUUCAGCUUAAGCUCAAAGAGAAAUUGGAUAUUGGCAAAGAUUGAGCCAUUUUGAAAUCCAUUCUACGGAGUAGGGACACCAGACAAAGCCCAAACUUGACGAGCUAGGGAACAAGUAAAAAGGACAUGGUUUAUAGACUCACCUUCAGCACCACAAACCUGACAGCGAGGGUCAAUAUCAAUACCUCUCCUAAUAAUCUGAUCAGCAACAGGAAGAGCUGAACAAAAAAUUCUCUAGAUGAAGAGUUUUAUUUUUGGAGCAGUUUUAGAAGACCACACCUUUUCUUUAAGACCAUUGGUUGAGGGCAGUUGACUGACAUCUCUAAUUAGAUCAGGCUUAUUAGAUUGAAAGGCUAACCAAUAACCCGAUUUAACAGAGUACUCCCUAGAUUUUGAGUGGAACCAGACCCAGAAAUCAUUUGAACUCACCACUGGUUUCCUUAUAGUAAUUAUCUCCACGUCAACAGGGUAAAACAGAUCCUCCAGCAUAUCUCUCUUCCAAUCUCUUCUUUCCAAAUCAAUGAGAUGCUUUACCAUGAGAUUCAGAUUGACAGUGAAGUGCUUUUGAAGAGGUAGCCGUGGAGCAUUGUCAUGAAGCCAAGGAUCCAUCCAAACAUUAAGGGAUCUGUCGUUACCAACUUCUUUCCUUAGGCCUUUCAUUACCAACUCUCUACCAUGCAAAAUACUCCUCCAAGCGUAUGAAGGUCUGACUCCUAUCUCAGCCUCAAGGAAAUCCUCAUCCUCAAAAUAUCUACUCUUGAAGAAUCUUGUAGCCAAACAAGAAGGAUUUUGAAGGAGUCUCCAGGCUUGCUUAGCCAACAAUGCCUGGUUAAAACUUUGAAUGUCUCUAAAGCCCAGCCUACCUUGCUCUUUAGAGAGACAUAUUUUCUCCCAACUGACCCAAUGUGUCUUCCUCUUAUGUUCCAACGCGUUCCACCAAAAAUCUGCCAUCGCACUUGUCAAGUUUUCACAAGUCGUCUUUGUCAAUUUGAAACAGGACAUAACAUACACGAGCAUGGCCAUCGCCACAGCUUUGAGUAAGAUCUCCUUUCCACCCAUGGAUAAGGUUCUAGCAAACUAGCUAGACAACCUAGCUUUAAGUUUAUCCUUGAUAUAGUCUAAAAGCUGAAUUUUAGAUCCACUAAAACACUCAGGGAGACCUAAAUAGGUUCCAGCUCCACCUUCAUUUAGAUCCAAAUAGGUUUUUGAUCCAAUCUUUGUUAUCCUCCUCAACCAAAGCUCCAAAAGUAAUGGAUGACUUAUCAUAGUUUAUACGCUGCCCUGUAGCAUCACCAUACUCCUUGAAGAUAUUCUUGAUCACUGAGACUUCAUUUCUGUCAGCUUUGCACAUGAAUAAAGAGUCAUCAGCAAAUAAAAGAUGAUGAAUAGUAGGCCCUUCAGGAGAGAAACUGAUUCCAUUGAUAAGACUAUUUCUCUCAGCUCUCUUCAUGAGAUGAGUGAGACCCUCAGAGCACAAGACAAACAAGAAAGGAGACAGAGGAUCACCUUGCCUCAAUCCUCUUGAAGGAAUGAUGUUACCAUAUGCCUUAUCAUUGACCAAAACAGAGAAAGAUACAGAAGUAAUCGUGAACAUUAUCCACUGUAUCCAUUUCAGAUGAAAUCCCAAUGCUUCCAUCAAGGCUCUAACGUAGUUCCAUUCCACUUGGUCAAAACCUUUUGACAUGUCAGAUUUUUUGGCAAUGAAGUCCUUAGACACUUGUCUAUGAGUACGCAGGCCGUGUACCACCUCAUGAGCAAUAAGUAUGUUAUCAGAUAUCAACCUAUCGGCCACAAAUGCAGAUUGGUUAGGGGAUACAAGGUCAGACAGAAAUGGUUGUAGUCUCCUUACCAGAAUCUUUGAGAUAAUCUUGUAAAGCACUGUACAAAGGCUGAUUGGUCUUAAAUCUGACAUGUUUACAGGUUUCUUCUUUUUUGGCAGCAAACACAACUGUUUAAAGUUCCAUUCUUUUGGGAAGGAUCCAGUGAGGAAGAAUUGCUGGAUCUCAAAAGUGACUUGCCUUUCCAAUAUACACCAAUAUUUCUGAAAGAAAAAACCUGUGAAUCCGUCAGCACCAGGAGCACUAGAACUCUUGAUUGCAAAAACAGCUUCUCUUAUUUCUCUCUUUGAGACAGCGGCAGUGAGCACAACAUUCAUACCCUCCGUGACUCUAGGCUGAAAAUCCUCAAAAAGAUCAUGGAAGUUACUCUGAUUAGUGGAAGUGAAAAGGUUCUUGAAAUAAGCCUCUAUAAUAGCUCCCUUAGUCACUUCAUCUUUGUGGAGAUUGCCAUUGACAUCACAAAGUUGUUCUAUAUGCUGCUUUCCUCUGUUGUCUUUGACAAAAGCAUGGAAAAAUUCUGAAUUUUUGUCCCCACUUAAUAUCCAUUUAGCUCUGCUCUUUUGACUCCAGUAGAUUUCUUCAUCCUGAUUGGCCUUGCACAGAUCAUUUUUCAACGAGUUCAUCAAAACAAAAUUAGGGAAAGCAGAAGAAUGUUCAGCUUCCAGAGCUACCCUAGCUUGAGUGAUCCGAGAUAAAGAGUUGAAAUUGUUUUCUUACUUCCAUCUACUAAGAGCAGUUCUGCAUUUCUUCAGUUUAUCCAAAACCAGCAGAUUUCCAAUCCUUUGAUUACCAUUCCAGGCUUGACAAAUGGUUUCUUUAACAUUAGGCUGAUUGAAGAGCCUUUUAUCAAACCUGAAAUUACCUCUGUAGUCCUCCUUUGAAGUUGCAAGUCUGACCAAAACCGGUCUAUGAUCUGAUCCUCUUUUAUCCAGGAAGUCUUGGUUAGACACAGGCAAUUGUCUAUACCAAUUCUUGUUGCCAAAACAUCUGUCAAGCUUGCUUUGAAUCCAUAGAGUACCUCUCUUUCCACCCCAAGUGAAUGAGUUGCCUUUGCUUGGAAGUUCUUGCAUAUCACAGUUUUCUAGCAUGUCCUUGAAUGGUAAAAAGGAGGAGUCACCUCUCCUUGGACCUCCCAGUUUUUCCCCAUUAUGAAGAAUGGCAUUAAAAUCACCUAACAUACACUAGGGCUCCUUCCUAUUCAAACCAAUCCUUGAGAGUCUUUCCCAAACCAGUGGUCUAGAACUAUAAGCCGGAUCUCCAUAAACACAGGAGACAAAGAAGUCAACUGAACCAAAUUGAAUGUGGAAAUCAAUUAGGUUCUUAUCCGCAUAAUUGAUAUCUAUAUUUACACCUUUCUUCCACAAAAGAGCCAACCCUCCACUGAGACCAAUCGGAUUGACUGUAAAAACUCUUUCAUACCCUAACCAUUCUUGCAGGUCUACUACUACAUUACUGCAGUUCUUGGUUUCCAUCAAAAAUAUAACCUCAGGGAAAUGAGCACGUCUCAUCUCCAUGAGUCUAGGAAUCGUCAAUUCAUGAGACCGUCCUAAUCCUUGAUAAUUCUAGCUAAUUAGACUCAUUAAACAGUGGACGGUCCCUCAUUUGGGACCACCACUUUAGGGUUAAGCUUGAUUAUUUUUGUAGUGCUUUGACCCUUGUCAACUGCCUUUCUCUUCUCCUUUGUACCAGUUUCGGAUCCUGCCACAAGUCUUUGAUCCAAGGAGCUGUUGAGCAAAUCUCUUGGCUUAGACUUUCUUACAUACUUGGAUGGCCUAUUUCUUUGCUUCACUUUUUUCUGAGUAGUCCCGGAAGAGCCAGCCUCAAAGAGACCAGGUCUAUAAACCGUUGAACUAUUAGUAAAAAGUUGAGAAAGAGCAAGAAAAUUGCCAUCUCCACUGAUAGAUGAAGGGUUCACCGGUUCCAUAAGCCAAUCUCUGACUUCUCUCUGUUUCCUUAUUGUCCCCAGAUCUGAAGAAGCAUUUGGGGUACUCCUGGCACUUCUAGAUGAAGAUUCUUCUUGAUCAUAUCCAAAGACUACUCAUUUUUCUCUGGAUAAAUCAUGAUGAACAAUUGGUAAAGACUCUAGCCUGAGAACAGACUUCUGUGUGAAGGGAUUUUUUUCAGCCUCACUCACAGAUUGAAUCACUCUGUCAACCCUAAUGGAUCUUUCUUCAUCAUUUGCCACUCUGAGAUAUUAGCGCAUACCUUCCAAAACCACCUGAGCAAUUCUUGGUCUGCCUGUAUUUGGAUCCAAUCCAACCUGACUCUCUUUAAGCACUCCAAAAAGAGGAUCUGUUUCUUUUAAGACCGGAGGGGGAGAAGGUUUGUUGAUUGGAGUACCUUUUCUUCUAGCAGCAGCUUGAUCUUGUCGGGCUUUAACCAAAAUGGGACACACAUCCUUCUCAUGUGUGAGCCUUUGACAUUCAUAACAUCUCUUUUGUAUCCUUUCAUAAUGAAACUUCACUGUGGCAGUCUCACCAUUUUUCAGAUUAACAAUCUUGGAUCUCCUAAGAGGCCGCGAUACGUCAAAGAGGACUUUCACCCUGACAAAUUCCUGAACCUGUGGAAGAUCCGGGUCGAAAACAACUUCUUUAACCUCACCGAUGAGGUCACUCAAAGCAGUUAUCGCUUUGACAGUGUAAUAGUUAACCGGAAUAUUCCAAAUCUGGACCUAAAGAAACAUGUACCGUAGGUAAUCUUCCGGAGGAUUCUCGUACCAUAUGUCUACUACGAUAGUCUAUUCGUUGAAAGUGUGGACUCCUUUAGCCAGAACAUCUUCAAGAUCGUGCUUGGAAUCGAAGAUAAACUGGAACUUUUCAUUAGUUAGAGCUACUCCUUUCACUCUUCCUUCUUUCUGCCAUUUCCUUGGCAAGUUUCUUAUCAAGUGUUUCAUCUGUUGACAGUCAGGGUUUAAAACCCUCCCAAUAAGGCUGAGCUUAUUCCUUUCACAGGACAAGAAAUCCAGAAAAUCAGGCAUAUCGAAAGGCUCAUCCUUUUCCUCUAGGGACAUCUCCAUCAAGGCUCUAUCCAUGGCAGACGACAUAUCUGAGUAAACUUGUAAGCUUCUACAAACACCAAUUUCUACAAACACCAACUUCUUCUGCAGACUCAGAAGCUCCGAAACCAAAUUCUGAUUACUGCUAACCCGAACCCAGAAACUCUGAAAACCAACUCUUCCACAAACCUAGAAGCUCUGAAACCAAACUCUGAUGACUUCUAUCCCGAGCCCAGAACCCCUGAAACCAAACUCUUCACAAACCCAGAAGCUUACGAACAAUCACGGACGCUAACCUCUGAAACCAAACUUCUUUCACAAUCCCAGAACCUCUGAAAUCACUACUACGCAAACCCAGAAAAUCAGAAACCACACUUCUUCGAAAACUAACUUUUGCAAACGCUUGUUACACGAACUUCUCUGGAGACAAGACUCUCUGAAACACAGAAAUUUCUCAGAACCAAGACCCAGAUUUCGCAAACCCAGAACACGGAGCACCAACUUCUUCGGUCACGAACCUUUCUGAACCCAAACUUCUUCGAAAACUAACCUUUCAGAACACUACUUUCACCGACCAAGAGGAAGCUCAGAUCGAACCGUCUCCAACUAGAGAAAAUCAAAAUCGGAGAAAAGAGUUAACCGUCGGAAUCGAUGAAACGAGGCUGAGAAGGAGCAAAAACCUUGAUUGAAACAGUAAAUAACGGCUGAGGGAAAAUGAAUUUCCAGUCUAAAGCUCUAUUCAACCCUAAUGAAAGACACUUGGAGAGAAAGAGGGUUCUGAGCCUAAAAGAGGGAAACUUUUUGAUGGCACCAAAACAGAUGAUACUUCUUUUUUUUGAAAGAUUAGUAUUAGUAGUAGUAAUUCCUUCUACAAAAUAUUUUUUUUACUAAUGUCAUAUUUUUCACUAACUUGCUAUGCUGUAUAUAAUAUAUAAUAAUUUAUAAACAAAAAAUUUCAUUUCAGUUAAUUAAAAAAAUAAAAUAUUUUCAGUUUUGUUUCAUAUAAAACACUUAAGUUUUUAGUAUUUUUGUUUUAAUAUUAUGUUGUACCACAAAAAAGUAUUAUUGUUUUUUGAGUUUUAACAUGACUUGAUAUGCUAAAGAACAUUUCUCGUCACAUAUGGAAUUUUAUUUAGGUUUGAUUAUAGAUAUUUAAUCCAACUGAAUUUUAUUUUCUCUCACAUAAAUCCAAAUUUAAAAAACGUUGGCAUUUUUGUUUCUCUAUCGUAACUACAAGACAUUUAAUCGAUUGAUAGCAAGAGAAAUAAGCUUCAACGGACUUAACAAAUUGUUGUCUUUAGGAAUGCAAUAUAUAUAUAUAUAUAUUCCAUUAUGGAUAGAGAAGGAUUUGCAAUACAAAAGAUGCAUACAUGUAAAGAAAACUAUAAAGUUAUACAAUUAGAGGCACAAAUAGUUAUAUUUGGUGAUAAAGAAAAAGAACCCAUCUACUAACAGAAAACAGUAAUACAAGCAGCUGUGGUAAAAUUUGUUUGUAAGCUUAGGGAAUGAAGUUAGAAAAUAGAGUAAAAGAUAUAUAUAUAUAUAUAUAUAUAUAUACAGCCAAAAAAUUCAAAAUCAAAGAUAUUACAAAAUAGAGAGAUGUUGAAGACAACGUAAAAAUUCAAAAUCAAAGAUAUUACAAAAUAGAGAGAUGUUGAAGACAACGUAAUUCAGUAGCAAAUUUUUAUGUACAUCAGCGUUUUUAGCACACAAUUUUCGCAACCCAAUUUUGCGUGGUUAAACAUAAGCAAAAUCGGAUAUCCUUAUCAUCUCUCUCGCUAAGAAAAGAAGUAAGAACUAUAGAAGAUGGGAUUGUUCUCCCACAAGAUUUCCAGAGAUGAUCUGAAACCAGGCGAUCAUUUCUCCUAAUGUCACGAACUCACGUUGUUUGUUCUCUAUACUUAACCAUCGCAACAUCAUUACUUUGAUCAUCGACAAACCAACUUUUUAAAAAAAUCUGAUAAAGUUCAACCUUUUCAGUUUACAACUAUAACUAAAAGAGAAAUUGGAAAUAUCACUAAGAGAUAUGACUUAUAGCAUCUCAUAUUCUACUAAAAUUUAAAUCUCUAUAUAAAAGUGAAGAAUACCUUAAAUACAAGACCAAAGAGUGUGCACGAUAGCAAUGUCAAAGAUGUGGCUUCUCAAAUCAGGGAAAAUCACUAAACAACGACCAGCGACUAGAUUAGAGGAGCCCAAAAAUGGAGAACUUAAUUAAAGUAUAAUAAUUUGUUUUGUGGAGAACUUGAUAAAACAAAGAGAGAUAAGAGAUAGAGAUAGAACAGAGUUAUGAAACUUAUAUAGUAAUUUACUCGACAGCUUUACAUUUACACAAGACUAACACUUGUAUAGUAAUUUACAUGAACAAACGUGACUGUUGGUAAUGUUCGUAUGACUGUUCGUAAUGUACGUAACUGGUCAUAACUACCCAUUUGGUAAGUUGCGACUAACACACAAAAAUCUUCAUUUUACAUACACAUAAGAGAUACUCUGAAUUUGUGAAUCAGCAUUCAGCAAUGAUUAUGUAAAAAAAAAAAGUUAUUAGAGAAAAAGGAAAAUUUCAAUAAGAAAUUGAAGGGUUAAGUGAGAACCAUCGUGGUUGUCGUAUAAUUGUCAACAACAUUGAAAUUUUAUCAUAACUAACAAUCAAUCAAUCCAAGUUUUUUUGGAACACUGGUAAGAUAUAUCUCCGGAGAUACUCAAUGAUUUAGACAACGAUGGUUAGAAAAAUCAGAAAAGUAUCAAUAACACCUCACAAAUAAAUCGAACCAAAAACAGAUCCGUUAAUAAUAAGAUUCUUGAUAACAAAUGACAGUAUGUUUAAGACUCUUCUCAAUUCAAGGUCAGUGCUCAUCUUCUUAAUUAAAAUCCGCUAAAGGUAUAGGCGUAUAGCAUGUAACAGACAAGAAUCCUACAGGUACACCAUCAGCUUCAAGUGUACAACAAGCUACUUCAUUUUUUGCAUAAAGGCCAAAGAAGAUUUAAGAAUCUGUCUAUUUGUAUAAUGCUUUGAUGUCAAAGAGAGAAGUAUUGAUGUUAAUAUGGGCUAAUCCAGCCCAUUUAGACCCACCCCAUUUAAAACAUAUCCCAUUUAAGUUUACACUCCAUUUAUCCUCCCUAUUUAAACCAAUUUAAAUUUUCUUUACCCAUUUAAACCCAUUUAGACCCAUAUAACAUUGUUUUGUUCUAAACAAUAUAAUAUAAUCAAUAAUUAUUUUAAUUGAUUAUUUAAAAUUUACAUAUUAUUUCAUUAAAUAUAAUUGAUAAAUAAUGAUAUAACUUUUUUUAUUAUUUUGUUGAAGAAUAAUAUAGUUUAAAAAAAACGAAAUUUUGCGGUUUUGGCUGAAAAACCACGGAUUUACGAUUUUGGCGGGAAAACGUCAUUUUAUAGUAUGAUAUUUUUGGUGAUAAAACGCAAUUUUACGAUUUUGGCGGGAAAAUGCGGGUUUACGGUUUUGGCGGGAAAAUGCCAUUUUCCGCAAAAAUUGCAAAUCCGCGUUUUUCCGCCAAAACCGUAAACCUGCGUUUUCCCGCCAAAACCGUAAACUCACGUUUUUCCGCCAAAACCAUAAAUUCACAUUUUCCCGCAAAAAUCACAAAAUUGCGUUUUAUCACCAAAAAUUAUUUUCCCAUAAAAUAGCAUUUUCCACCAAAACCUUAAAUCCAUUUUUUUCCGCCAAAACCGUAAACCCGCGUUUUUCCGCCAACACCGUAAACCCGCGUUUUCCCGCCAAAACCGUAAACCCGCGUUUUCCGCCAAAACCGUAAACUCGCAAUUUCCCGCCAAAAUCGCAAAUCCGCGUUUUUCCGCCAAAACCGUAAACCCGAGUUUUCCCGCCAAAACCGUAAACUCGCGUUUUUCCGCCUAAACCAUAAAUUCACAUUUUCCCGCCAAAAUCGCAAAUCCGCGUUUUCCCGCCAAAACCGUAAAUCUGCGUUUUCUCGCGAAAACGGCAAACCCGUGUUUUUCCCGCCAAAACCGUAAACCCGCGUUUUCCGCCAAAACCGUAAACUUACGUUUUUCCGCCAAAAUCGCAAAUCCGUGUUUUUCCGCCAAAACCAUAAACCUGCGUUUUCCCGCCAAAACCAUAAACUCGCAUUUUUCCGCCAAAACCAUAAAUUCACAUUUUUCCUCCAAAAUCGCAAAUCCGCGUUUUACCGCCAAAACCGUAAAUCUGCAUUUUCCCGCCAAAACCGCAAACCCGUGUUUUUUCCCGCCAAAACCGUAAACCCACGUUUUUCCGCCAAAACUGUAAACUUGCGUUUUUCUGGCAAAACCGUAAACCCGUGUUUUCCCGCCAUAAUCGCAUAACCAUGUUAUAGGAAACGUGGUUUUACGUUUUCUUUUAAAUAUUUAAAUUAAUAAUUAAAUUUAAGUAGAAUAUUAGUUUUAAAUAUAUUUAAUAUUUUGCUCUUUUAUAUUAGUUAUUGAAAUAUUAACAUUUUUAAUAAAAAUAACUAAUAUAAAAUAAAACAUAAAUGGGCUUAAAUGAGUACCCAUUUAUUUUUGGGAAACCUCAUUUAAUAAAUGAGUUUAAUUGGGAUAACCCAUUUAACACAUUUAACAUUUUUCUCUAAAUAGGUUUAAAUGGGCUAAUUUUUUUUGUACAUACCCAUUUAUUAAAUUAUUAAAUGGGAGUUUCAUGCCCAAUUAACAUCACUAGAGAGAAGACACUAAUCAAAAUCAUUCACUAACAAUAACAUAAAACGCUGAGAAUACGUAAAUCUGAUCAACGAAUUUACUAAGCUUAAAUAUACGUAAAUCUGAUAAAGAGUUGCGGGAUGAGUGAACGGAUGUUUAUAAAUGGGGGAUUCUCUGUUAUAAUGUGAAAACAAAUGUGAUUCAAUAAAUUGGAAAAAAACCAAAUAGGAAAUUAAACUGUUGAGAGGUGUGACGAUGAUAACGUUUCUUCUUCCUAUCAGUUUCAGCGCCGUCGUGAUGCUGGCUACCACCACCGUCACCGCCGCUUCCAUUACCACUUCCGCCGACGACUGCAACUUAUGUUUUACCGUCAAACAGUAAAACAGUCUUUAAUCGCUAUGUGGCUAACAACUACUUCUCUUUACUUUCACCCAACCACAAACUACUAAUGGACCAUUACACGGUUACACCACUGCACCAAUUUAUUUUACCCAAAUUUCAUGUUUGUGUAAAUGCAUUCAUAUGAAGAUAUAAUGAACUACUUUUCUAACGCAUUACUCUGAGAAAAAGAUUUGAAGAAGAAUUUCAUAGCUUACAUCGAGUAGUGAAUAAGUAUUGGACAUUGCAUCCUUCAGUUUACCAACCUGCAUGAUAAAAAGUGACAUCCUAUUAUAAGAAGUUGCUCUCGGACACGGUGUAAAUAAAUUUCAAUGGUUCCUGAAGAAUCUAUGUAUAUAGCAAACUCUAGGAUUGGAAAAAUGUGUAGUGGCAACAACAUUACCUUGGUACUAAGAUAUGUCGUUGUUAUUGGGUAAGAUGACCAAAAAUGUCUCAGUAAUUCUUGUAUUGAUGUCCAGUGCUGCAUAAGAAAGAAAAAGCAAAAGGUAUUGAUGCAUUUGAGGGGACAACAGAAUCCAUCGGCAUUAUUAACCAAAUCACAGUAAUCAGUAUAUAUUGAGCUGCUUGUUACUUAGGACACUGGAGGAUGUCUGUAUAACUUCAUCCUUAGUGGACUUUGGUAAUCUGUCCAGAAAGCUCUCUCGCGGGUUCUUCCCAACAAUAUUUUUGGCAGUUGAGAUAGUUCGGGUCAACGAACUGAAAACCUGGAUAGGGUUUAGCAAUAUUAAGCUCAGGGAACAAAGCAAUAAGCCAUGGUUUCUUUAGGCAGCAUGCAUUUUAUAUUGAGAUAGAAUAGCACCUCAAAGGAAACUUCAGGUUUAAUCAAAGGAUCACUUAAUCCCGUCAUUCUAUUCUCCAAAAUGGAUUCUUUUAGUAAUCCAUAAGCUUCAUGGACAUUUCUCUUUGACGCCUUUGCUCCUCUGGGUUCACUGAGGAUGUUUCCUUGUUGAGAUUCAAAGUAAUCACGAGGGUCUUGAUUCCAAACAAGAGAAGGUAAGAGGAUUUACGCACCAUCUAUCAUCAUCGACAGUGUAAGCCUUUUAAUCACAGAAAGCCAAACCUUGAUAGAGAGUGGUGCUAAUGGGAAGUUUUGUGGUGCUUGAAGAUCCUCCAUUUCUGUUGCAAGGGACAUUCUCUCCAACCUCUCCUGAUUAGCGUCCUUGGUGAUUUCACCAUCAGCUUUGCUUACUACCAGGGGUAAUAGACAUGUGGAUACCUAGGUUAGAUGAAUAUGAAUUGCAGAAUUGGCCAUUGAUCAGCAUAGAAAAAGAAAAAGAAAAGUAGAGCAUAUCAGAAUGAAACAGCAAACCUUGUUUCGCCCGUGUGAGAGCCUCUGCAACAAUUCUCGUACCUUCAGACUCAACAUCUACUUUCCAGUAUAAAAGAAUAAGUGAGUAUCAUUGUAUACUAACUUUACCACCAAGAACUAAAAGCAGAGGGCCAAAAUACAUGGUUAUCCCUCAUGAACUAUCUGUUGGGAAGUCAUUUGAUGGCUAUUUCUUAGACUGCUAUACAAAACACUAGAUGAAACAAUCAGAGUUAUAAGUGUUUACCGAUGCAUCUUCCUUCCAAUACAACAGCAGCAUGACGAUUAAGAUCUUGUAAAAGUGACCUCCUAAGCUGGUCGUUCAGUGGUUCAACAACGUCAUUGGUGCCAUAGCGCUGGAUCCCAUGGUCCUGUGUGACAGGAAAUUUAACUAAGCACAAUAUAUGAAGAUAUGAUCCAGCAGAAUGUAAAUAAGCUUUCAACCAUGUAGAAAGAGCACAAUGUAUUAAGAUCACCAUUUUCUAGAUAUAUUUUUGGCUUUAGAAAUUGAAUUCCAGGUGGUGCUUUAUCUCCCACGAGGACCAUUUUCUAGAUAUUAGUGUAAGCUAAUGGAGCUUACUGAUGAAAUCACGGCAAGCAUGCAUGUUGGGAUCAUUUUCAAACUCAAAGAUAUGACGCCUUCCUGUAAUCAAAGUCGAGGAAACUUCAAUGAUACACGGAUUAUAGCUUCAAAAUUCACAUAACAAGACUUUUGUAAGAAAAAAACCUUCUUUGGUAUAUUUCUGACCUGAUAAAUUUAACAUGGCACAAUGGAAAUUACAGGCAACACAUCGUCUACUAUCCAAUAAUCAUUCUGAGAAAAUUAGUCGUGAUGAAACUGAUUAACAAAUAUGACCAAUUUGGGAAAUCAAACCCUUUUACUUUUGAUGUUGUGAGUCUGAACCAUAAGCUUCAAAUCUGAUACCAAAGAGUUCAAAGUAUUCUUACUAUUUUGAGGGAUCUAAGAGUUGUUGGAUCAUUCACAGACCUCUUAUAUUUGACUUGCUUCUCCAUUGAUAUAUGCCCAAGGUUCCAAAAGCGCGUUAAAAUUGGUCGAUCAAUUAAGCUCGUGAGUCACUUUGACUGUGUCAGCAAGAAGACAGAACCAGAACCAUGUAUCCCUGUUUCUUUCGUAAAGAAGCUUCCUUGUAAUUCAAUGAAACGCAUCGUUCAGGAUCAUAAUUAACUCCAAAGAAGAAUACACUGUUUGUUCUUCCCCAAAUCAGUUACAAAAAUUGUAACCUAAAAUUCGAUCUUAACCCAUAGUAAAGGAAAGAGUCAAAAGUUCUAUUCAAAGAAAGAACAAAAGGAAAGAGUUUAAAGAAAGAGUAAUUCAAAGUAGGGUUGUUAGAGGGGUUAGAGGUGUGGUUGAUGUCAGAUCAAUCAUGUAAGAACAUCGACAUUGCAACUUCUCAGGUUUCUUGGGCAAUGGGAGAAGAUGAUAGCAUAGUUCACAUCUGAUGGAGGGAGCUUCGGCUAUCUGACUUUUGGGUCUGUUUCCUAGAUAUUUGCGCAAGUACUUCUCUCGUAUGUGCAAAUUCCCUUCUUCCCUAAGUGGACCCCUUCCCGACGCUAGAUCUCCCCACUCCCAAAUAAUUUUUGACGUAAUCUUUAACAUUAGAUUAGAGCUUCGUAUAAUCUGGGCAAGCAUAACGUUGUGGCCGCGUGUUCUUAAAUGGUCAACUAUGUCUUGAUAGUCACCGUCUCCUGCCACUAGUAAAAUGUUGGCUGGAUCUGGAGUAUCCAAAGCCCAUAUAGCCAUCCUUAAGACAAGUUUGGUGUCUGUAGCAUUCAAUUUAUCAGAAACACAAAAACAUAUUGAUUAAUUUUCUUUCAAGAUAAAUAUUUUUUCAAAACUUAAUAAAUUUACCUGAGAAAACCUGAGUUACUCUAAUGCCAGAGGAUCGCAGUUGUUGUGUAACAAAGUCUAGUAGGGGCUUGCCGACGGCUUCGAUUGUUACUGGGCCCAAAAACUUUGCCGAGGCCAGGCCCUUGGAAAUAUUACGAGCAAUAUGUGUCGGUUUGACAAGUUUGGGGAUUUGCCAAUUAUCAGUACCCAAAAUCACAAGAGUUUUGGCGAGGACAUAGCGAUUUUCAACUUCCACCUUUAAAAUUAAAAAAUGCAAGUUUAUAAAUUUAAAAACUAAUUCUCUUUUAUUUUCUCAAUGUUUUAUUAGAAAUCCUUAUAUAUAUAUUAAAAGUUUAUAUAUAUAUAUAUAUAUUUAUUAUAAGCUUAUAAAUAUUAAUAUCAAUAUUAAUAUUAGGUAUAUAAAAUAUUAAUAUUCCUGGAUUGAAACCAAAUAUAUACCUAAUUAAAAUAUAAAUACUUCUGUGAAGAAGUUGUAAGAAAUUUUCUACGUCUUUAUUAGGGGAUUAAAGGCCUAUCUGGACAUUUUCUGGUGUUGGACCGCCAAUUAUACCAUCAAAUAAUUGCCGUGUUUGAUAAGCCAGAUACGGAAAGGUGGCUGAAAAGUAAACAACCAAAAUACUUAGCUUGAUAAAAGUUAACAGAAAUUUACUUUUUCAAUACCACUCUUUUAUAAAUGGCGAGUAUUACUAAUAAAGCAUUGAGAAGAUAAAAGAUAAUUAGUUUUCAGAUUUACAAAUUUCUGUAUUGUUUUUUUGUCAACCACACAUUCAUUAAAAUUUCUGUAUUUUUUAAAUUUCUGUUUUUAAUUUUAAAGGCGGAAGAGGAAGAUCUCUAUGUGUGUACCAAAAAAAUGUUGUGUUUUUGGAUACCAACAAUUGCGAUAUCCCAAAACUUGUCCGUCCAAAAGUUGCAUUGAAUUUUUGUAAAGUUCUUGCCAAAAAAUUCACAAAUUUGGAGAUAAGAUUAAUAAAACGAAGAGUGAGUGAGAAGUGUGUGUGUGUGUACAGAUUCCUAAGGAGAAGGCAAAAGCGGGAUCGGUGGGGGAGAGUGAGAGGAGAAGAGAAGCGGCGGAGGAGAGAAGAAUGGUGUCUCGACGAGAGAUGAUAAUGCGCGGCGGGUGGUCGGAGGUUUGUGCGGCGGCGAUUAGUGGUGGUUGAGAAAUUGGGAUAAGACGAGCCAUGGCUUAACAUAAACUAUCUAAGAUAGGAACAAAUUCUCAGGGGCUCCUCCAGCUCCCAAACUUUUCUCAAUUGCUCCUCUUAUAAAAUAUAAUUUAGUUUUGAUUUUCUUAAAUUCGAAAAAGUAGACAUUUGACCACUUAACCCUUCAAAAUAUAAUAUCACAUAUUUACAACCCAACCAAGCUAAUUGGGUUAAAAAUACCCAAACCCUUUCUUACUGGGUCGAUUCCAAUUUAAACGGGUAAAACAGUUCAUUCUUUGGAGAAAAAUCCUACGACGGCAACAUUAGUUUAUCCCUUUCGUGUCUCUUCUAUUUCUUCAGAGUCGAUCUUGGUAUAACUACAGACAACUACGUUAUUGGACAAGGUAAAAUCGAGUUUUUAUUUUGGGUUUUGCGAUUAAAAUCGAGUGAAAGUCCGCGAGUAUUGAAAUUGAUUGUUCGUUAUGUUUGUUUAGAGUCCGAAGAGAUGGAGAAUGUUAGUGGUAGUUGAAUCGAUUGAAAUAUUGAAUGGAAGUGCUAAUGUAAAUGAUUUUGUUUGUAGGUUUAUGGAAGGGAGUUAUGCCUCGAACAAAGAACGCAAAUGUAUCUUUAACUCCGCCAGAAGCCAAUCUUGAAGAAGUACCACCGCCGGCGGUAGUGGAAUCUGAAGCAAUAGAUUCAAUCUCUAAUGGGGUUGCAACGGUAAGAUCUAUAAAAUUUGGACAACUCGUAGAACUAGGUAUAAGUUUGUUGCUUUUGUCUCUUAGAAAUUUCUGAAACUAAAAAGUAAAACUAUGAAUAACUAGGUAUAACUAACGUGUUUUUAUAACUUAUAAAUAUUUGAAACUAAAAGAUAAAACUAUGAAUAACUAGGUAUAACUAUGCUGCUUUUGCUUUUAUAACUUAGAAAUAAAUGAAACUAAAAGGUAAAACUAUAAAUAACUUGGUAUAACUAUUCUGUUUUUCUAACUUCGAAGUUUUAAAACUAAAAGGUACAACUUUGUAUAACUUGGUCCAACUUGAUCUUGAUUGUAGGAUUCUAAUGAGGAAACCGAAACUCUACAACCUCUUAAAAUGUACUUCAAUCCGAGUGAGUAUACAAAGUCAUUCAAGAUUUCAACAAAGUGCUAUAUUCAUAAGGGAGUGAGCUUAUUGGAGACUCAUCUUAAAGGCAAGGAGUUGAAAUGGUUCAGAGAACACCCAUUGUUCCGACACUUCUUCCACAUGCACAGGGACGCAAAUCAUAAGUUGAUGGGUAUGUUGUUGUUAUUUCUUUGCACAACAUGUUUAGAGAAGAAGAGGGAAGUUUGGUUUAUCGUCAAUGGGGUUCCGAUCCGCUAUUCUCUCAAAGAAUUUGCACUCGUGUUAGGAUUAUAUUGUCACCAAUUUCCGAAUUCCUGUGAAACCAAGGGAUGUAUGGAGUUUGUUGGCAGGAUAUUUGGACCCAGAGCAACAAUAAAAUAUCAAGAUGUGGAGACAAAGUUACUAUCAUUGAAGAAACCUUUUGAUGAUCGUCUGAGAGUAGUUGUGCUCUACUUCUUAAGCAACUUCAUCGUUAAAAUUUAUUUGGUUGUUAUUUUAUUUUGGUAUAACUCCGUCGGUUUUAAAAAACUAGGUACAACUAUGUGAUCAUAAAUGGUUAUUGUUUUAUUUUGGUAUUAUUUUGUAAAACUAGGUACAAUUGUGUGAAUGACAACUAUGUACAAAUGCUUUAUUUUUGUUAAACUAGGUAAAACUAUGUACGUUUGUUCAUCUUGGUAUGGUAAAGGGGCUGAAAUGAUAUUUGGGAAAAAAGUUUGAGGGAAAUUAAAAGGGUGAAAAGAAAAAAAAAUUGGGUUAUUUCGAAAAUUUUGAAUAUUUUGUAGGGAAAUUCGAAUAAAUAAAAAAACUGGAUAUUUGUGGCAAAUAACACGUGAUCCACAUGGCGCCGUCAUUUUUACAGUCAAGGCUCCGUCAUUUGUACACGUGGCGCCGUCAUUUGUACACAUGACGCAGUCAAAUAUACACAGUUUUUCCAAGUUUACAAGUUGUACUCGCAAACACACAGUUGUAUUUUUGGGGUUUUACUUUAUAAUUAGUAUUCUUUGAAAAAUAUUAAUUUUUAUUAGUUGUCCACAAGAUUUUAUGUAUAUGAGGUAAAUUCCAAACAUAUUCAUUCAAUAAUAUGUGUAAAAUGUUAAAUUUUCAGACUUUUGACAUUCACCAUGGAGAUUCAAAAGAAAGACAUCUUAGAAGUAUAAGGACUUUCAUGUAGAGAACUAAAAUGUGUAAAGAUUUUUGUAAAUUUUAUUUAACAAAUUUUGAUUACAAACCACUAAUUUGAUUAUGUAACACUAAGUUGUCUAUUUCUUUAUAAAAAGAAUUAUGAUAUAAUUUUGAAUUUAUGAAGAUUUGUUAAUUUCUUCGUAGUUAUACCGAACCUAGUUUAACCAAGUUUUACAAAACCAGAGAAUACACAAAAACACGAAAUCAGAGACAUAUAUAGUUGUACCAUUACGAAACCAAGUUUAACCAAGUUUUACAAAAACCAGAGAAUACAUAUUCAGAUUUGCUCAUGUCUCAACUAAAUAUUGCACUUCAUGCUUGCUUUCAAAUUCUUGACCUAUUACUAGAUCAAGACCAUCUUCGCAUGGAUCUUUAAAUUUAGAAACUUGGCUAGCACGUGGAAUCUCAACAUAUUCACCAAUACCAUCAUUCUCCAUACUCAUAUCGACAGUGUUAUCAACACCAUUUUCCACAUAUCUGAUAACAAUAUUUUCUAGUGGCUCCAAAGGCUCCGAAAGUUGUUCUGCUAGUGGCUUGUCUGCGUAAAGAGCUACGACAUCAACAUUAGCUCUAUCAUUAUCUUCUCCAUUGAUGAUGUCCUAAACGAUAGACCGUACAAGCCAGCUAUCCUUGGAUUCCAUUGAUAAGUAUCUCCGGUUUUUGAAUAAUAUCCAUCAUAAUCAAAAUGUAUGUUUAUUGGAAGGUUGCUCAUUCUCCUGAAAAAAAAAAAAUACAUUAACAGUUAUACCAAAAUUACCAGUUAUACCAAAAUUACCAGUUAUACCACUUCUAACAGUAAUCUCAAAAAUACCAGAUUUACUACUUCAAAUAGUUAUACCACGUUUCUCAGUUAUACCCAGGUUUUCUCAAAAAUACCAGAUAUACUACUUCAAAUAGUUAUACCACGUUUCUGAGUUAUACCCAUAUUUUCUCAAAAAUACCAGAUAAACUAUUUCAAACAGUUAUACCACUUUUUUCUGUUAUACCCAGGUUUACAUCUAGGAAGCACGGAAGCUUCGUCGAAGGUCCGCUUCCCGCUUCGGAAUCUUAUUCGGAAUCGGAAGCUCUUGGAAGCUUUUGGAAUCUCGCUUCCAUAGCGCUUCCAAAAAAUUCACUUUAGAAGCUCGUUGGAAGCUUACGAUUCCAUUUUGGAAGCUUACGAUUCCAUUUUGGAAGCUUGCGUGUCACAUAUUAAUUAGAAACAUGAAAUUAUUUUUUAUAGUAUUUUUUACAAUUAAAAGAAACCAAAACUAAUUUUGCAAUUAAAAGUUUUGCAUACUAAUUUUUGUAUAUUUUUUUUUAAAAGAUCGUGCUUAACAAAAUAGCCACGACAUAUAUUAUUUAUUUGGAAAAUGUUGGAAUGAUUAAUUGAAUUAAAUAAACUUUGAGAAACUUGAAUUUGAUGAUGUGUUAUCGAUAAAAUGGAAUUUGAAACCAUUUUAUUGGAUGAAAUUAAGAAAAUGAGAGUGAAGAUAGUGAUCUUAAAUUUUGACUUUGAACUAUUUUAUUUUUAUUUAUUGUAAAAAUAAAUUAUUUGGUUUUUCUGUAGUUGAAGUAUUUAAAAUUUAUGUGGUUAAUAUAAUGCUUAAUGUUUUAUUAUAUAUAUAUAUAUAUAUUAAUUUCUAUAUACGCUUCCAACACGUACCCACUUUCUAAAAUUUCUAAAAAAAUCGCUUCCGCGUUUCCAAACGCUUCGCUUCCGCGUACCCGCUUCUGAUUUCAUGCAACCUAGGUUUACAUGUUCUACUCUAUUUGCAAAUCGUUUCUCGGACCAAAAACACUAAUCUACCUACAAUUAACAACGAAUCAACCACUACAGUCCAUUAAAGUGUCUUAAUCGACCUAGGAUACAUAGUUACCAACACAAUGUCCAUUAUUUACCAACACCAAUUGAAAACCCUAUCAAAUCUAAUAGAAAUCAUCAAAUUUCAAAUACAAUACCAAAAACCACUAAAGACUCGAUGUUAGAAGUGGAAGAAGAGAAUAGGAACUGACCUAGAGGUGAAGAACGAUGACGAUGUGGUGGAAGAACGACGACGAGGUGAAGACGAUGACGAUGUGGUGGUUUUGAAUUUUUGAUUGGAUUUGUCCCGAUGAAUACAUGAGCUUGUUUGUGAUUGGUCGGAAAUCUCUUUGUUUUGAUUGGUCGAAAAUCUCUCUCUUUUGAUUGGUCUGUUUAGUAAGGGCAAUCAUGGGUUUUAAACUUUCAUUAAGAGUGUAAGAGUAUGACAGAAUUUUGGAGAGUAGAUAGAUUAGGAGGUCAUGCUUGAGGAGCUCCAGAGAUUAGUCUCCUAAGAUAUGUGUGUACCCGCCCAUGUGGUAUUUAUAGGAAAUGUUAAAAUUGGUUUAAUUAAUUGUGAGGAUUAAGUUGUCGAAAACGACUUAUAUUGUGAAACAAAAAAAUUUAUCCAAAAUGACUUAGAUUAUGAAACAGAGGGAGUAAUAAAAUUUAAAACUAAAAUCUAAAAUCCAAAAACUAAAAACCAAAUCCAAAAUCUAAAUAAAAAAAACAGCAUCCACUCAUGGCCAAAGUGAAUAAAAUGAGAUCUUUGGGCAGGCAAAUGAUUUCUUAACCAGCAGGAAGUUCGGCAGUUAUAUAGUUUCUUAGGAAUGGACAGAGCUUAAAAGAUUACAAAUGAGGAAAUCACAUGAAUUACAUUAAUCCUUUUAGACAGAAACAUCAUAACAUUUCAAAUACUUAUAAUUUAUUCGUUUUUACAUUUUUUGGUAAAGAAUGAGAUAAAAUUCGAUUAAUCCAAUGAAUGAAAGAGUGUAGUGACUGUUGCAGGCACACUCGAGCAAAGCAAUAAAGAAAAAUUUGGAUUUUAAGUUGAUGGAAAAGUUUGUUUAGAAACCCAUUAAUUAACUUCUACUAAAUUGCAUAACUACCCCGUUUAUUCUUUGUGUUUUAAGUUGGAUUGCACAUUUGAGUACACGAGUCGGGUUCAGGUCGUUUAAAAUUUUCAAAACCUAUAAAUACCCGAAAUUUUUACCCAAUUAUCCGAAAUUUUACCCGAUAAUCGAAAAUCUUACAUAAUUGUCCAAUAUAAGUAAAACUUCUAUGUGUGUAAGCAUAUGUAAUUUCAAGUACUUGGAUAAUAUCCGGGUCCGAUAUGAUAUCCACGGACACGGUAUUACUACAUAAGACCCGAUAAGGUAAAUUGAUUAUAACCCGACUCAAACCGGAUUUUUUGGGUCGGUUCCGGUUUUGGUUUUCGGUUGCGGUUUUUUGCCCAGGUCUAUUUUAGUCUUUCAAUAGUCUUAGGAAUUCUUGUGGAAAACCAAAUCUUACUUCAAUUGCUUUUGUGGAAUUGUUGAGAAAUUGAUUGAUGAGUAGUGAUAGCAGUCUCACUACUAGGUCUGGGCAUAAUACCCGAAUCCGAAGAACCGAACCGAACCGAAUCCGAUCCGAACCCGAACCCGAAGUUUUAAAAUAUCCGAACGGGUUCUAAACUUCACAACCCGAAAACCCGAACCCGAACUCGAACCCGAACAAGUACCCGAUUAUACCCAAAAUAUAAGUACAUAGUUAUAAUAUAUUAGUAAUAUUUAUACUUGUAAUAACUUAAGUGCCUAAAUUAUUCGGAUGUUAAGAUAUUUUCGGGUUUUUUAGCUACUUUGGGUUAUAUUCGGGUUAAAAUACUUGGGUUUUAUAGAUUUUUUGAGUAUUUUUCAAUACUUUGCAUAGAUUCGGAUACAAAAAUUUUAAUAUUUGGAUACUUCGGGUAAACCCGAAUCCAAACCCGAAAUACCCGAUCCAAACCCGACCCGAACCCGAAGUUUUAAAAUACCCGAACGGGUCUUAGUUUUCUAAACCCGAAAAACCCGACCCGAAUAUCCGAACGCCUAGGCCUACCCAAAUCCAUUCACGUGACCAAGUUAAUUUCCGGUUUAGUAAUUAACCAACAAUCUAAUAACCCAAACAUUGAACAGAGCUAUCGUCUUCUUCAACUUAAACCAUAACUCAAUUCUACGUGACUUACUACAACAUUUGACGUCACAGUUCACGUACUCAUGAGUCAAGUUUCGGUUAUGGACUUUGAUUUCACAAGAGAAUUUUGGUUUGGAUCGGUUUAGGCUUUGGCUCAAUAAUCCAACAACACACAAACAACACAACAGACACGAGAUAAGGUUUUGACCUAUUACCUUUCUCGCGCUUUCUCAACGGAUCUCCUCUACGAUCUGCUUAACGGCUCGAACGGCGAAGUGGCACAGAUCUACGAUGGUCCAAGCCACUAGUUAGAUUGGUCCAACAAUCUAAAACAAAAAUAGAGAAUCAAAUCCAAAAUUGUCUCACGGGUGAUACCUCUUUGGUGAAGACUAUCCACACGGUGGCUCUUCUUGAACACCACGACAAUCUUCGGUGGCUCGAGUGGGACUGCGGUGCCUCACAAACAAGAUUUGAGUUAGGGCUGUAUUGAAUUCUCAUCAUCAGAGAAUCAAGAUUGAAGAAGAAGAGAGCUUAACGAACGUUUAACAAACUUCAUUAUUAUAAAAUGUUGUUACAAAGCUUAAACUAAAACUAAUGAUGAGAAUAAGCUUAACCAGAGUUAAACCAAGAAUACAUUAAACCAAGAUGUAGUUAACCAGAGUUAACCAUUCAAUAACCGGUCCAUAUAUCAUCUGUAAUACGCCCCUCUCAAGUCUUUAUCUUCGAACUUGUUUGGUUUGGAAGGUAAACACUUGACAAUGACAUUUGUUGAAGCAAAUGAUGAAAAAAACCAGGAUGCAGAGCUUUAGUCAAAAUAUCUGCAUGUUGAUUCUCUGUAGGAACGUGCAACGCCUUUAAGUUGCCAGCUUUAAUCUGAUCUCUCACAAUGUGACAAUCUAUUUUUAUAUGCUUUGUGCGUUCGUGAAAGACCGGAUUCAUAGAAAUGUGCAACGCUGAUUUAUUGUCACAAAACAGUUUUGUAGGGCAACUCACUGUGAUAUGAAGAUCCUUGAGCAACUGUUGAAGCCAAAUGAUUUCACAAGUGGCUUGAGCCAUACUCCUAUACUCUGACUCAGUGCUACUCCGACUAGCAACAGCUUGUUUCUUUGAUUUCCAAGAGAUCAAGGAAGAACCAAUGUAUACACAGUACCCUGAAACUGAUCUCCUAGUAUCUUUACAUGCAGCCGAGUCAGCAUCCGAGAAAGCAUUCAAACAGAGUUCUGAGUCAACUGAAUACAUCAGUCCUUGUCCUGGAUUUGAUUUUAUAUACCUGAGUACCUUAUGUGCAGCUUGGAGAUGUAUAUCAGAUGGAGCAGAAAUGAACUGACUCAACUGAUGAACUACAAAUGUAAUAUCUGGCCUUGUGAUUGUAAGAUACAAUAACCUUCCAAUAAGCUCACGGUAAGAAGUAGGAUUUGGUAAUGGUACUCCCAUGUCUUUAGUCAGAUGUAAAGAAGGAUCCAUAGGUAUUGAGCUUGGUUUACAACCAAGUAAGCCUGCAUCUUCUAGCAAGUUCUAAGCAUACUUCCUCUGACAUACUGAUAUUCCUUUUGAAGAUCUUGAGAUUUCCAAUCCUAAGAAGAAUCUUGCAGGUCCUAAAUCCUUUAUUUUGAAUUCAGACCUUAACAAUGCCUUUAAUUGAUCCACUGCUUCAUCAUUGUCACUUGCAAUCAUAAGAUCAUCCACAUAAACCAAGACAACAACAAAUGAACCAGUAGUAGCUUUGACAAAAGAGUAUUGUCAGCAGGAGACUGUAUAUAGUUUGCACCUAGUAACACUGAAGACAAUCUCUUGUACCACUGGCGAGAAGCCUGUUUCAAUCCAUAAAGAGAUUUUUUUUUUUUUUUGAAUCUUAUGUUAUAUUAUAUUCAAAAGAAAAAAUAUUCGUUUGUACAACUAGUGCAACAUUUCGCUGAAAAUAAAUCAAAAAUAUAAUUUAGAACUGAAUUGCUAAAACAGUCUUCUUAAGUUCGGGAGUUGAUCCAAGCUUGGUAGGCUUCAUCGUAUCUCCUAUCUCCUAGUAGACGAAUUGCCGAAAUCUGAUUCCUUAUUUGCUUAUCAAUCCACCCCGUAGUCUGUUCCGCCGUUUGUGGGUUUUCGCCAUGUUUUCUUCCAUUCCUUUCUCUCCAGAUCGUGUAAACCACCACUGAAGCACAUAUUUGAUGAGAAAACCCUCCACUCUCUCAAGUUGAUUUUCCGAAACAUACUCAACUAGAAGAGACCAGUUUGUUGUGUAUCGUGCCUUUAGAAUUCCCUUAGCCAAAGCUUCCCAAAUCAAAGAGCUGUAAUGACAAUCAAAGAAAAGGUGAUCACGAGUCUCCAAGUUGUUCUGACAAAAACCACAUGUGCCCGCUGCUCCACCCUUCCAUUUACUAACGCGAUCUCCCGUAGGUAAUCUGUUUUGAACAACCAACCACAUGCAGAAAGAAUCCAUAAAGAGAUUUCAGUAGUCUACAAACGGGAUUAGGAGGCAAACCAGUGUUCUGUGGUGGAGUAUAUCCUUGAGGUAAACUCAUAAAAAUUUCUUCAUCCAAUUCACCAUGGAGAAAUGCAUUUGAGACGUCCAUUUGAGUUAAACUCCAACCCUUUAUAGCAGCAAGACCAAGCAAAAACUUCACACUUGUUAAUUUAGCAACAGGAGAAAAAAAUAUCUAGGAAAUCAAUUCCUUCUUGUUGAGUAAAUCCCUGUGCUACCAAGCGUGCUUUAUAUCUCUCCACUGUUCCAUCAGGAUUGUAUUUGAUUGUGAACACCCACUUACAACCCACCACAUUCUUGCCUGGAGGUAAUGAUUCAACAACCCAUGUCUUGUUAAGUUCAAGAGCAUGUAACUCUUCAUUAGCUGCCUUUGUCCAUUUCUCAGACUUCAUGGCCUGUUUGAAUGUUUUUGGCUCUGUCUCUAUAUCAUAAGCACAUAUAUAAGACUGAAAAAGAGGUGUAUAUUUGUCCUAAGAAAUGACAGAAGCAAUGGGAUAUGGUGUAGUCUUUUUAGGUGAUGAUGAAACAGGACAUGGUGUAGGCUUUUCACGUGAUGGAAGAAGAGGAUAUUGUGUAGGCUUUUUAAGUGAUGAAAUAACCGGUUCUGUUGGUGGUAAUGAAGAAAUAAACAGAACAAGAGAGCAAUGAUACUCAGACAGAUAACUAGGAGCUCUAGUAGUGCGUUUAGACCUAGCCACAUGUACAGAAUUAAGACCAGUAUCAUGCGUCUCUGUGUUACUAGUAGAAGAUAUGGUACUAGGAUUUAUUGCAGAUGAUGAUGCAGUAGUAUCAACAAGAGAAUCCUCAUCUAAUAAUGGCAUUGUCUCAACAAAAUGUAUGGUGCAGGAAGAGGUAAAAUAGAAUUUGGAAACUUGUCUACUGCUUUAUGCAACAAAUCACUAGUUUUAAAAGGAAAAGUUUGUUCUUGAAAAACCACAUUUCUAGAGAUUGAAACAGAAUGAGUUUCUAAGUCUAACACCUUAUAGCCUUUAAAACCUGCAGGAUAUCCUAGGAAAACAGAAGGUCUGGCUCUAGGUGAAAAUUUAGUUCUUUCAUUUUGAUGAGUGGAAACAUAACACAAACAACCAAAGUUCUUUAAAAGCGAGUAAUCUGGUAAUUUUCCAAGUAAAAUUUCAUAAGGAGACUUAUUUUGAAGCAAUGGUGAUGGUAAACGAUUAAUCGAAACUGCUGUAAACACACAAUCACUCCAAUAUUGAAGAGGGACAUUAGACGAAAAAAGUAAAGAUCUAGCAACAUUGAGAAGAUGCUGAUGCUUUCUCUCAACAACAGAGUUCUGUUGAGGAGUAUAAGCACAAGAAAAAUAAUGCAUCAUGCCAUGUUCUUUAACUAAUUCAGUGAAAGCAAGUUCAGGUGCAUUGUCAGAUCUAAUCGCUUUUAUUUUUGCAUUAAACUGAGUAGAAACAAGUUUAAUAAAAACAGGAAAAACUGUUGAAACAUUCUUUUUAUUUCUUAGCAUAUAAAUCCAGGUGGUUCUUGUACAAUCAUCUACCAAAGUAAGAAAGUAUUUAAAACCCUCACCAGAUUCAACACUAAAAGGACCCUAUAUAUCCAAAUGAACAAGAUCAAAUGGUUUUGGAGCUAAAUUGUUAUGAGAAAUAUAAGCUAAUCUUUUCUGUUUUGCUAAAGGACAUAUAGAACAUGCAGAAUUUUCUGAAUCUAAAGACUUUAGAGAAGGAAUAACAGUAACAAGCUUCUGUAAAACAAUAGAUGAUGGAUGGCCUAAUCUUUGAUGCCAAAGCUUUCCAUCUAUGACAGAUCCAAAGAAAGAACAAGCAGGUGUUGAUGGAGAGAGGGAAGUAUUCUCUGUUUCAAGAAUGUAUAAGUUGUGAUAUAGUCUACCCCUCCUAAUCAUCAAGCCCUGAGAAUGUUCCUGAAUCAAACAACAAUCAAUAUAAAAAUGAGCAGAACAAGAUAUUGUUUUAACCAAUGAACUCACACUAAUCAAAUUGAAUUUAAAAUCCGGUACAUGCAAAAUAUUAUGCAAAAUAAGUGUUUUAGUAAUGCAAACAGUGCCUGUAUGUGUAAUGGAGACCCUAGUACCAUUUGGAAGAGUAACAGUAACACCUGAGACUGAUUUUAAUUCCCUAAACAUGGCUAGAUUUGAACAUACAUGACUAGAAGCUCCACUAUCUAUAAUCCAAGCAUUAGGAGGUAAAAAUUUUUGUAAAGAAGAAAGAAUGUGAUUCUGAAAAGUGAGAUUAUUAUUUUGAAAUUUUAGACUGGUAGAAGGAAAUAGAAAUUCAGUAACAAAAGUUGAUUUAUGAGCCAUCAAACCAUGUUCUGAGAUAGUUGCAGUAGGACUAGGUGUGCUUGAAGAAGUUACAGGCUCUGAAACUUGAACUUGAGUUUGAAAUUGCGAAACCAUUUGUUCUAUUUGCUUCGGACUAAAAUUCUGAAGACUUUGACUAUGUCCACCUUGUAUAACCUGCGGUGCAUAUUGAGGAACCAAAGUACCAUAAGAACCAUUCAUUGGCAUAGGCAUUUGCAUAUAUCCUUAUGUUGGAUAAGUUCCAUUCUCAGUAUACACAUGAGCCACUGCAUUUGCCUUUUGCAUUGAAUUAGUAUAAGGCAUCAUCUGCAUCUGAGAUUGUGAUUGCAUCCUAGGCUGAAUUUGCAUCAUUUUCAUCCGAGGUUGUAAAGGAGGAUUACCUCUGUAAGUAUAUCCUAUAGCCCAUGCCUUAUAACCAGGUGGAUAUCCUAGAAUCUUGAAAUACUUUUGAACUGUAUGUCCUACUUUCCCACAGUGAGAACACACCGGCUUAUGUGAUGGUCUAACAGUAUUAUAAGCAGCAAUAUAUGCAUUCUCGGCAUCAUUCAUAAUAGGAGAGGAACUCUGAAAAGCAACAUUAUCAACUCUAGUAGGUGGUUUAACACUCUUCUGUCUCUCAUCCUGAGUAACAAUGUUGAAUGCUUCUUCUAUAGUAGAAAUAGGCUUUAACAUCAGUAUAUGACGCCUAGUCUGAUCAUAACUUUCAUUUAACCCCAUAAGAAACUUAGUUACCCUACUUCUCUGUUGCAUUUUCUCCCAUUUAGCAGCUGCAUCACACUCACAACGACAACAUAUACACACAGGAAGCUCUACAUAAUUCUUGUGUUCUUCCCACAAAGUAAGCAAAGCUGUAUAAUAAGUGGAUACAUCCAUAGCUCCUUGUUCAAUCUUACUUAUCUUCUGUUCAAUAUCAAAUAUUCUAGGAGCAUCAUCUUGCUUAAAACGAGUUAACAAAUUGUUCCAAAUUCCUUCUGCGGUUGCUAUAAAAAGCAAACUCUGACCAAUCUUUUUAUCAACAGAAUUCAUCAACCAUGUAGAAACAAUAUCAUUGCAACGUGACCAAGCACCAUAAUCACGAUGAUCAAUCGGAGGUUUAACAAUCAUACCAUUGAUAAAUCCCAGCUUAUUGCGAACAUUCAAAGCCAUCAAAACUGAACGACGCCAAGAUGGAAAAUCAGAAGAAUUGGAUAAACGAUCGGAAACAAGAACAAGACCUGUGUGAUCGGCACUAUGUAGAUAAUAAGGAUUAUCAUACUGAUCGGCUGGAUAACGCGGUUGUUCAUUAGCAUUUAACGGCGGACGAGUCACCGGAAUCGGCGGUGGAGGAACAUAAGAUCCCAUUCUCAGUUUAAGAACAGGAAAUUACAAAGAAAAUUGUGACGAAUUGAGUAAAGAAAGCAAGAAUCGUCAACACUGGAGGUCAACGAAAGAGAAAUCAAAGAAAACAGAAUUAGAAAAUCAAAAUUCCGGUGAAACAAAAGCAAGAAAUCGCAAAUUACGAACAAUCAAAAGAAUCUAAGCACAAAUCGGAAAGCUCAUCUCCGGCGAACAAACGAUUGCGGAAGAAGACGAUUAUGCUCUGAUACCAUAUUGAAUUCUCAUCAUCAGAGAAUCAAGAUUGAAGAAGAAGAGAGCUUAACGAACGUUUAACAAACUUCAUUAUUAUAAAAUGUUGUUACAAAGCUUAAACUGAAACUAAUGAUGAGAAUAAGCUUAUAUAGUAAUACAUUAAACCAAGAUGUAGUUAACCAGAGUUAACCAUUCAAUAACCGGUCCAUAUAUCAUCUGUAAUAGGCUGAGCCAACGUCACAUAAAAAUAGAGACUCGAGUCAAGGUUGCGAGACAUACCGUGAUUGACGGCUUAGGGUAUUCGUGACUCGUCUCAGAGUUUGUGUUCUCUUUUAAUAUCCACGUGGGAACAAUAGGUUUCACUUGGGUUUAAAUCAUUAUAAUGAUUUGGGCCUCGUAGUUUAAUUGCGAAAUCGGGUGUGAUUAAAAUAAAAUAAUAUCUCGUCGCCAUCGUGUCGUUUAAGUGGGCGAAUAUAAAUGGUUGACUAAUUUUGUUAAGUCAAUGUAGUUUUACGCUCAAAUUUAGUAGUCGGGGUAGUUUAUUUAAAUUAGGAAAAUUGUUAAAAAUACUCCUUUUGGUGUACCCCUUUUUAAAAAUGCCCCUUUUAGAUAUCCAUUUUAAAAAAUGUCCCUUUUUAAAUCUGAAAUUUUUAUAAAGUUUUAUUAGGUUUAUAAGGUACUUAUGGAUUGUAACUACUACUUGAAGACUCGAUCCAAGUAUUUAUAAGGUUUUAUAAGGUGUUUUUAAAGGUUUUACAAGUUAUUUUAAAGGAUUUUAAGGUUUUUCAAAGGUUUUACAAGAUAUUUUAAAGGUUUUUAAAGGUAUUUAAAAUGCAUUUAUAAGGUAUUUAUAAAGUAUUUAUAAGAUUUUAGAUACAUAGAAAUGUAGUUUGUGUAUGUUUUAAUAAUAUUACAUACAUAUUUGGGUAAAUCUUAUAUUUUUAAGAGCAUUUUUAUAAGGUUUUUAAAAAAGGGUAUUUUUGAAAAGUGGCAUUGAAAAAGUGGCAUUUUGCAAAAGCCUCUUUAAAUUAUUUUAGCGUUGAAGUGUAAACAGACAUUAUUUCUUUUUGAGGUAUAAAAAUGCACCCUACAAUUUGUUUGGGUUUAAAUAUAAACCUUUUUUACUCCAUGUUUUUGGGAUAAAAAUCAUAUUAGAGUUCUGAUCUCCCAUUUUUUUUUUGUCAUUCGAAAUUACUUAGAGCUCAAAAGAUGAAUGUUGUUUACAUAUGUCAUAUGAAGCGGUUCUGUACGAACUUUUAAUCUCCCAUUUUUUGUUUUGAAGAAUUUAGAUGUGAAACAUGAGUAUAAUCCAGAGGCAUCUUCCAACUGAAAUGACAAAAGAAAAUUGAUAAUGAAUAUGAGUUUAGGAGAAAUGAAUGAAUAGAAUAUUUGUUAAGUUUUUACCUGAAGAGAUUAAUCGUAGAUUUCUAUCGCGAUGGAGAGGAAAAAACAAAUAUGAAGAGGAAAGCAGAUAAAAAUCGAAUAGAGAGGAAACUGAAUCAUUGGAGUUAUUUAGAAGAUGAAUUAGUUACAAAUCAGCUUGACCGUGGAGGUGUUGGUGGGAGCAAAACUAGUGAUUAGAUUCUUUUUACAGUUGUCUCAGAAUUUUCUAGAACGAUAUAUGAGAAAAAAAAAAGAAUUAUGCAAAAAAACAAUUAGGUAUAGGUUUAUAUCCAAAACUAGGCCUGGGCGUUUGGGUAUUCGGUUCGGUUCUAGAACCGAACCAUUCGGUUCCAAAUAUUUUGGUUCUGAGAUUUAGGAACCAUAUUGGAACCAAAUCAAUAUCGGUUCGGUUCUGGUUCGGUUCCUAUUCGGUUCGGUUCGGUUCGGGUAAUAAAUUUUGGAACCGAAUAGGAACCUGUUUCAGAUAUAUUUGGAACCGAAAAAACAAUAGAAUUAUAAUGCAAAAUUCAAAUGCAAUUAUGCAAGUAUGCAAUGCAACAUCACAUAUUAGUCAUCAUACCAUUACAAAUUCAGAAAAUAGUUGAAACUUGGAAAGUAUUAAGUCAAAAGACACCCAAAGUUUCAAAAAUACCACAAAACACAAGUUUUAAAGACACCAAAAGAAGCUUUGUCUUUGAUUUGCAAUGAUUCGAAAGAGAGAGUUGUUGUCUGCGGCGUCUCCUUCUUUGAGAAAGAGAGAACAAACUAGGGUUUCUCUUUAGGUUUCAGAGAAAUAUAUAAGAGGCUAAGAGAGAUAUAUGGUUGGUUGUUAGGCUUGGGUAGCUAGGUUUAUGUCUAGAUGGGUUUGAAACUUUGAGUUAUAUAAAUAUAGGUUAAUGUGCUAUAUUUUUUGGGUACCCGAAUGGAUAUCGGUUCUUACCCGAACCGAACCGAUACCCAUGGUUCUUUGAUUUAAGAUCCAAUCGAUAUCUUCACUAGAACCGGAACCGAACCGUACCCAUCAAUUUUGGUUCGGUUCGGUUCGGUUCUACGUGGAUCCAUAUUUGUGCCCAUGCCUAUCCAAAACUAUGGGCUUACAAUUCUCUGAUGGGCUUACACAAACACAUUUUUCUUUAACAUUAAGAAGCCUUAUUUUGUUUUGUAACAAUUAGUUUUGUUUUUAAUUUUUUUCCUUUUCUUUUGCAUGAUCUUAAUUAAAUUAUGACAUAGAAAUCUAUGUGGCACGUUUUUAUUGGUCAGGUGACUUGUUCUUUACAAUAUAAAGGAUAUACACACAUAUAUAAAUAAAACUUGAAACGCCCUUUAACCACACCAUAAUUGGUGUAAACUAAAAUAUGUGCGGUAUUAAGAUAAAACAGAACAAACAAAAAGAAAUUGCUAAGUGCGAUCUAAUAAUUGAAAUAAUACACCGUAUUUAACUUAAAUGGUAAAUAAAUAGUACCGCAUAUAAAACGCUAAAACGGGUCGUACAUUCACACACUUAGGCUACGAAUGGGAACAUUGGAUUAGACGGUGUCGGUCAAGCGGAUCUAAUAGUGCGGUACGGUUUAAGUGUGGUUUGUAAAGAAGAAACGCAGUAUGCGGAACAUAUGCGGUUAAUGCAGAAUAAAUGGUGUGGAUAAUUUAUGAAUGGUAAAAACAACAUGCGAUUCCGUACAAUUGUUUAAAUGGUAAGAAGUAUAACAAGUGGUUCGAAGUAUAUGUUUUAAAUAAAUAUAUUAUAAGAAAAAAUAUAUAAGUAUAAAUAUAAAUCAAAUAUUAAUUUGUUGUUUAAUUAAUGAUCAGAAAUUUUACAUAUAUUUUUUAGGGUGAUUUGGCGCAGAAACAAAAUUAUGGGCAACAAAAUUAGGAAUUCGACAUUGGUAGGAUUGGUCGGGGACGAAGAAAUAACGAAAAUACCACAUCAUCUCCGCUACAUGCGCAUGGGCAAGUUGAUCGUGCCGUUUCAGUAAGCCAAAGAACAACCCGCAAAACAAUAAAUGCAACGACUUAAACUGACAAAGCCGCGUAUACAAAAAGAAUGAAGUGAUUGGCAAUAAAUGCGAGAGCUCUCAACUCGAGCGGAAGAAAAUUUGAAAAUAGCCUGAUAUAACUGGGCGGGAAUAUGAAAAUUUAAAGAGCUACCUUAGAUACAUGAACCACCACCAAUAAAUAGGUGUACUGGGUUGAAGAAAAAACGUAGAGCAACACAAAGAAGUAAAAAAAAAAAAAUUAAAGUGCAUAAGCAAAUGAGGCUGCAUAACAAACGUAGUGGUGAGGUAAGGGUAACACAAUUAGUCUUAUUUUCGUAGCUAAUCUUCAUACCUUAGUAGAAAGUUCCAAAGUUGUGAAAGAGAUUAACCCUUAAUAUUACUCGUUUCUACUGGUGGGGAUGAUGGAGGUGACAUAUACGAGAGAAUCAGCGAUUGUGUGCGGGUCUAACUUGGAUUAUGGAGUAAGGACGAGCAUGGUGUUUGGAGAUUCAAUGUCUCGCAGGAAAGGACUGGCAAGAGCAUCUGGUUCAGAGAAGGCGAUGGUGUUGAAGUGGCUAAAGAGAAGGUCAUUCAAGCAUGGAACAUAGACCAAACAUGUGAGAAGGUGGAGCUAACAUACGAGAUGCCCGAGUGGAUGGACGUAGAUGGUUCAGUUAAACCUGUCCCAAUACACAUAGUCCCGGACGACAACAUGGACAUGUUCCUUGCUAUGUGUGUGGAUAUUCAUGAAAUGAAGCUCUAUGUUGUACCAAUGUCGUUGCAUAUGACAUUAGAGAUCGAUGGGUUCCAAGUAGUACCGAUCAUGAACGAUUUUACUUUCGUGGAAGUAAUGAGCAAGAAGGAUGUAGGGAAACCACGUGGCACUACAAUACUCAUUGUGUAUAAACUUGGCACUCGCAAGAACAACCUCAUUAAAAACCUAAGCUUGGAAAACCACGUGGGACAAAACCAAGCCUAGGGAAAAAGAGUAUUGUCCCAACGAGUUAGGGAGCCUUUCUCAAGGAUGUGUGAGGUCUACAAGACCAAGUUUGCCAUGGAUAAAUUGACAAACUUGGUUACUUGCUGCCUUGGUGAAGAUAUCGGCCAAUUGGUCCGAACUCGUAGUGUAGCAAGGAAGGAUUGUACCGUCUUCGAUCUUCUUUCUUGUCUUGUGGCAGUCCGUCUCUAUGUGCUUGGUCCUCUCGUGGAACACGGGGUUAGUAGCAAUAUGGAUGGCUGCUUGGUUGUCGCAAUGGAAGGUAAUUGGCGUCUUUUGCUCGAUCCCAAAGUCCUUUAGUAGAGCCUUCAGCCAUGUCAAGUCGUUUGUGAGCUUCUUCUUAGCCCUAUACUCCGCUUCAGCACUCGAACAAGACACCACCUUCUGUUUCUUUGUCUUCCAAGUUACAAGAUUGCCACCAAUGAAAGUGUAAAAGCCGGUUGUGGACUGCCUUGUGUUGCGAUCUCCAUUGUAGUCUGCAUCACAGUACCCAACAAUUUCCGUGCUAAAGUUUCUUCCCAUCCAAAUGCCUUUGCCGGGACUUCCUUUGAUAUAUCUCAGAAUUCUCUCCACAAAACUCCAAUGGUACACCGUAGGGGCUUGCAUAUGCUGAGCCACCUGAUUCACGGCAAAAGAGAGAUCAGGCCGAGUAUAUGUCAAAUAUAUGAGCUUACCUACAAGUCUUCUAUACUGUUCCGGGCAAUGAUAUGGAGUAUCAUCCUUCUCCUCCUUUCGAUUGACCUUGCAUCCUUGCUCUAGUGGUGUAUCCACUGGUUUAGCUCCAAGUUUCCCUGUAAGCUUUAGGAGAUCGAGGGCGUAUUUCCUUUGUGAGAGAAACAGUCCCUCCUUGGAUCUACACACCUCAAUCCCUAAGAAAUACUUCAACACACCCAAAUCUUCAAUAUCAAAGGCUGAGUGUAAAGAAGACUUAAUCGCUUGGAUCCCUUCUUUGUUACUUCCCGAGAUAAUCAAGUCAUCAACAUAGACCAAUACCACUACUAUGCCUUGAUUAUCUUGCUUAGUAAGCAAAGUAUGAUCCGAAUGUGACUUCUUGAAGCCAUUAGCCAAUAAGGUGGAGCUUAGCUUGUGAUACCAAGCUCUUGGAGACUGUUUGAGACCAUAGAUUCCUUUCCGAAGCCUUAAGACCUUUCCCGGAGCCACUAUGUCUUCUAAACCCGGAGGAGGUGACAUGUAGACUUCUUCUUCCAACUCCCCCUGAAGGAAAGCAUUCUUGACAUCCAUUUGCCACAACUCCCAAUCCAAAUUAACCGCCAAAGAUAGAACAACCUUCACCGUAUGUUGCUUAGCUACCGGAGCAAAUGUUUCCCUAUAAUCAUCACCAUAUGUUUGUGUGAACCCUCUUGCAACCAGCCUAGCCUUAUAUCUUUUAAUUUCACCAUCACUCUUGUACUUAAUGGUGAAUACCCAUUUUGAGCUAACACACUUCUUUCCUUUUGGUAGCUCUUCUUCAUCCCAUGUAUGGUUCCUUAUCAUAGCUUGUACUUCAUCAUCUACCGCAUUCGUCCACUCCUUUCUUUAUUUAGCUUCUUCAUAGCUUUGUGGGAUAAAUUCCACAUCUAGCUUACUAAUGAAAGCUUAAUGUUCCUCGGGAAGAAGGUCAAUCGAAAAUGUUGCUUGAAUUGGAUGAGCCAUGGCUUGGCAAUUAUAGAGGCACUUCUUCAAUUUUCUCUCUCUUGUACUCCUUCUUGGAUUCUCCCGAGUAUAGAUAGGAUCUCGUGUUACUGGUGGAGCUUGAUAAGUCUCAUCUACUCUUGAUGAUUCAAUAAUGUCACCUUCACUAGAUGGAUCUUUCUCUUCCACUUCUUCACUUAACCUUUCUUCUUUACCACUCUCUUGUUGAUUAUCCAGAGACUCUUGUGGUGUAUUAUCACCGCUUUCUUGGGCUUGAUUGUUACCAUCAUUUGGUGUAGCUUCCUUAUCUUCUUGUGGAGAGCUUACAUUACCCAAAUGUUCUAGAAUAUGCCGAAGACUCUGAGCACGAUCUGAAGUAGAAUUAGGGAGGUCCUUAACGCUUUCCCAGCUCUUCUCUUCAAAGUAGGCCUUGUCUUCCAUAAACUUGACAUCCCUUGAUACAUAAUAUCGAUUGUUGGCUGGAUCGAAGCACUUGUAACCUUUCUGAGUUGUUGAGUAUCCAAUAAAAACACACUUAUUACUCUUGGGUUCUAGUUUGUUCCUCAAGUCACCUGGGACAAACACAAAACAAAGACUUCCAAAGACCCUCAAAUGAUCAAUGUUAGGGAUAGUUUUGUUUAAAAUCUGAAAUGGAGAUUUAUCAUCAAGGAUACGUGUCGGUAUUCGAUUGAUGAGAUAACAUGCUGUCAUCACCGCAUCUCCCCAAAACCGCUUUGGCAUAUGCUUCUGAAAUAACAUAGCUCUUGCCACCUCCAUUAAAUGCCUAUUCUUCCUCUCAGCAACUCCAUUUUGUUGUGGAUUGUAUGGACAGCUAGUUUGGUGAAGGAUUUCGCAUUUCUCCAAGUGUUCUUUGAGCUUGUUGCUUGUAUAUUCACCUCUAUUAUCUGUUCUAAGAAUCUUAAUCUUUGCAUCAAAGUGAUUAGUCACAUAGUUUUGAAAGUUUAUAAACGCAUCAUAAACUCUAUCCUUAGAUGGCAUCAAAGUUACCCAUGUAUACUUAGAUUUCUCAUCUAUAAAAGUGACAAAGUACUUGUGAUUGUCUCUAGAUGCACAAGGUGAAGACCACACAUCAGAAUGCACAUGGUCAAAACAUUUUUCAUAAAUCGCACUAGACUUAGGAAAAACAGCUUUGCAAUGUUUGCCUAAUAUGCAUGCUUCACAANNNNNNNNNNNNNNNNNNNNNNNNNNNNNNNNNNNNNNNNNNNNNNNNNNNNNNNNNNNNNNNNNNNNNNNNNNNNNNNNNNNNNNNNNNNNNNNNNNNNNNNNNNNNNNNNNNNNNNNNNNNNNNNNNNNNNNNNNNNNNNNNNNNNNNNNNNNNNNNNNNNNNNNNNNNNNNNNNNNNNNNNNNNNNNNNNNNNNNNNNNNNNNNNNNNNNNNNNNNNNNNNNNNNNNNNNNNNNNNNNNNNNNNNNNNNNNNNNNNNNNNNNNNNNNNNNNNNNNNNNNNNNNNNNNNNNNNNNNNNNNNNNNNNNNNNNNNNNNNNNNNNNNNNNNNNNNNNNNNNNNNNNNNNNNNNNNNNNNNNNNNNNNNNNNNNNNNNNNNNNNNNNNNNNNNNNNNNNNNNNNNNNNNNNNNNNNNNNNNNNNNNNNNNNNNNNNNNNNNNNNNNNNNNNNNNNNNNNNNNNNNNNNNNNNNNNNNNNNNNNNNNNNNNNNNNNNNNNNNNNNNNNNNNNNNNNNNNNNNNNNNNNNNNNNNNNNNNNNNNNNNNNNNNNNNNNNNNNNNNNNNNNNNNNNNNNNNNNNNNNNNNNNNNNNNNNNNNNNNNNNNNNNNNNNNNNNNNNNNNNNNNNNNNNNNNNNNNNNNNNNNNNNUUACUUGGGUUACAGGUUACUUGGGUUACUUGGGUUACUUGGGUUACUUGGGUUACAAGGCUGAAUGAGGGUGCUGUUGGUCUUUGUGCACAACCCAUCUCAGACCUAGAUUUUGUUCUCUAUAUAAACAUGUGUGCCUCCUCAUUGUGUGAGACACAUCUAUUAUUCAACACAUUUUAAGUUUCUCUCUAUUCUUAAAUCAUGUUUCAAUUAAUCUUUCCUACUUAAAUAUUCUCAUGGUAUCAGAGCACGUUCUUAAUCUUUAAUCUUCAUCUUUUGGUUCAUCGGUUCUCUGUUUUCUCUUUGUCUCUGUUCGAAUCUGGCUUCUAAACAAGUUGUUCGAUUUCUUCUUCUACUUCUUCACGAAAAGGCAUCUGUUUGUGAAGGAGAGUUACUACUGGUCUGUGACAGAGCUAUUCAUCAUAAAAGCCUCAACCUUUCUGAGUUCUUUGUGGAUUAGUGUCAAAGCGGGUUGAAGAGGAGAAGUUUUCAGGCGUUUGGUCUUGUGUAUCCAAAGGUUUGAGCUUUUAUCUUCUUUAGGUCGAGAUUCUUAGAUACUUUCAGAACUAGGCUCAGAACUUAAGCUUCGGUAGAGUAGUAGUUGCUGAUUGGUUUGUUUGCGGUUGCUUAUUGGGAAGAAAGUCAACACCUUUUCGGUUUAUUUGUGGUUAUUACAUCCUGAAACUGUUGAAGAUGGCUCUCACAGUUCAGAAAACGAGUGAUACGUUCAAGGACUUGAAAGACUUGAAACUCGCAGUCACGUUGAAUGGUAACAACUAUCUGUUGUGGAAGAGAACCACAACAAAUGUAUUGGGAGGAAGGAAACUCACUAAAUACAUCGAAAAUACCUAUGAAGAAGCAAAGGCUAAAGAAGAGAACUUGAGUGAAGAUACUUGGAGGCAGAAUGAUCUGAAUGUUUUAAGCGCUCUACAUUGUUCUCUAGACGCUGCGAUCUUGGAAGGGUAUUGAAAGACCCCGAUCCGGACUUAUGGAACACUCUAGCUAAUGUCUUUGGCAAUGAGACUAAUCUGACCCGAGUGUACCAUAUCAAGAAAGCUCUUGGUGACACAAUCCGAUUUACGAUAUUCUGAGAUUCAUUACUUAGAGUCAAUAUGCGAUAAUAGAGUAAACAAAGAAUCGGAUACUUUAUUAGAUACUUAAAAGGAUUCGAUACAACUUAUGAGUUUGCAUAUAAGCUAUUACAAGUCAUAUAAUCGAUCCUAUUCUACCCGAUUCAUCACCACCCAUCUUCCCGGCCUUGAGUCUCUCACGCCUAAGCCAAGUCCUUCCCACGAUCACCAUCCUUUCCUGAAAGUCAAAGAGGCAUAAGUAUCCGNNNNNNNNNNNNNNNNNNNNNNNNNNNNNNNNNNNNNNNNNNNNNNNNNNNNNNNNNNNNNNNNNNNNNNNNNNNNNNNNNNNNNNNNNNNNNNNNNNNNGUGUACCAUAUCAAGAAAGCUCUUGGUGACACUCUAGCUAAUGUCUUUGGCAAUGAGACUAAAGUCAAAAAGAGAGUGAUUUCAACACUCACUUUGGAAAGUACAGGUCGCUUGUAGCUGAGCUUGAGAUGUUAAGACCCUUCACUACUGAGGCAAAGGCUCUUAAGGAUCGUAGAGAGCAAGAUUUGGUAUUCGGUUUGUUGCUGACACUAAACUCGAGCUACACUGAUGUGAUUCAGCAUAUACUAAGAGAUGACAAGGUGCUAACUCUAGAACAAGCGUGUGCGAAGAUUCAGAAAGAUUAUGGAGCUCAAGGACUGUUUAACAGCAAAGGAAGUCUCCCGACUGCAAACAAGGCUGGAGUUGUCAAGCAAGUAGACAAGAAGACAUGGGUUUGUGACUGUUGGUGUCGGAUCCCGCACCAGAAGUCCGAGACCAACCAAAGAUUGCCACGUAGUCAAGAUAAAGCCCGUCGAAUCCAUGAGCCAAGGGAACAGUCGAAGUGGUUGUCACCACUUCGAGAAUCCGAAGUGACUGCACUAUGACAUGAAUUCGGUGUAGAAGACACGGGUAAGUCGGUUCAAGGAUACUUAGGCCAAAAAGGCGAGGCCCAUGAAGAUCAGAGUCAACUCAAAUUCAAACGUUGAGCAUUAAAGUCAAAGAAUCAAAACGGACACAUUUAAGAAGGAAUAAUUGUAUUUAAUUAUUCAUUUUAAUGUCGUUUCUCUAUGUAUAAAUAAAAAGGCCAAUGGCCAUGUAAAGGGGAUCCUCCUCUCAAGAAAGAAAUACUAUAGCAAUUUUCGUAGCAAUUUAUAAGUUUUUACAUAUUCAUUUUUGUCCCUCAAGAAUAAUCUUUCCUACUUAAUAAAAUACUUGAGUGUGUGAAUCCGACAUCCACAUUUUGGCGCCGUCUGUGGGGAUAUAGGAUUCUUGAGUGGUCAGAUUUUUUCUUUACUACAUUUCCGAGAUAAGCAACAAUGUCCGGAGGAGACGCCGUUGAGACAUCGUUGGCAGAAACCCUCAAAGCUAUGCAGCAAACCAUGUCGGACAUAUCACAAAAGUUCUCGGAUGUGGAAAAGGCCGUCGAUACGUUGCAAACAUCCCAGGUAUCUCUUAGUCAAAACGUCAAUACUAUACAAACUCGUGUUCGCUCUUUAAGUGCAGGAAACCUUGUGGGAAUCCGAAGAGGGAUAUUCAACUCGCCAAGUUCCGCUGCACGAAAUGAAACCAGCGGACAAACAACUCCUGGUGCUACUAAUAAUGUAGCUCAGACGUUGGAAGAAGAGACACAGCUCGGGGAUGAAGAACAACUUGCAGUUCAGUACGAGCAGGAGAACCUCGACCAGUUCGAGACCAUGAGGAAGGUUAGCCAGGAAUUAAAAGAAAUGAAAUCAAAAUUUCAUCAAGCUACAAGUUCGGAGCCAGACAUCAAUCGAUUCAUUGAAGAAGCUAGGCGAACACCUUUCAUCUCGCGAAUUGCAAGUUUGAGGAUCAAAGAUGCACUCUUCCGCGCGAACAACUGGAUGGAGGUAGAGGACGAAAAAGAAAGUUUUGCCAAAAGAAAUAAGCAAGAAAAGCCGGCAAUCACCGUCCCUACCAAGAAGUUCGAGCCUAGGGAGAGCAAAGGACCAAGGAAAUUUGGGUCGCAACCCUUCAACAGUACCGUCGGAAAGCAAUUCCAAGGGAAAGGAAGAUCAAACACUUGGGUCCGUGAUGAAAGUCUAUAUUGCGACAUUCAUAAAGUAACCGGACAUUUAACCAAUGAUUGCAGCGUUCUUAAAAGGCACCUCGCAGAGCUUUGGGCCAGUGGAGAUCUUUCCAAAUUUGAUAUAAAAGAUUUUGUGAAGGAAUACCACGAAGCAAAGGAAAACUCCAAAGAUCAAGAUUCCAAAAGACCAAGGUUAUCCAACGAGGAAGAACCAAGGAGUUCGAAGGGUAAGAUCAAUGUGAUUCUAGGAGGCUCAUAAUUUUGUCGAGAUUCGAUAAGUUCCAUCAAAAAACAUAGACGAAAUAUCUUACUCAAAGCAAGCUUGAGCGAAGAAGUUGAUUUUCAAGGUGCCUCAAUAUCAUUUAACGAAGAAGAAACGCGGCAUCUCGAAAGACCGCAUGAUGAUGCUCUAGUCAUUACUCUUGAUGUUGCUAACUUCGAAGUAUCAAGGAUCCUUAUCGAUACAGGCAGUUCAGUCGACUUGAUCUUUUUAAGUACUCUAGAAAGAAUGGGAAUCAGCCGAGGAGACAUAGUAGGACCCCCAUCUCCGUUAGUUGCGUUCACAAGCGAGUCAGCCAUGUCUCUCGGAACAAUCAAGCUACCGGUCCUUGCCAAGAAGGUAUCGAAGAUCGUGGACUUCGUUGUCUUUGAUAAGCCCGCAGCUUACAACAUCAUCCUCGGGACUCCCUGGAUUUAUCGAAUGAAAGCAGUCCCCUCUACAUACCAUCAAUGUAUCAAAUUUCCAACAUCAAAUGGGGUGGAAACAAUUCGGGGAGAUCAAGAAGCUUCACGGACGUGUUACCUAGCUAGCCACCGUAUGAAGAUUCAAUAGCAAUUAACGAAGCCCGCAAAAGANNNNNNNNNNNNNNNNNNNNNNNNNNNNNNNNNNNNNNNNNNNNNNNNNNNNNNNNNNNNNNNNNNNNNNNNNNNNNNNNNNNNNNNNNNNNNNNNNNNNAGUGGUGUUGGAAGAAGACAAGCCGGACCGGAAAAUUCGAAUUGGAGCAUGCUUGACUGGCCAAACAAAAGAAGCUUUGGUCGAACUUUUAAAGAAAAACAAAACAUCGUUUGCAUGGUCAGCAGCAGACAUGCCUGGUAUAGAUCCAAAUAUAAUUUGUCACGAGCUAAACGUGGAUCCAAGCUUCAAGCCGGUGAAACAGAAAAGAAGAAAGCUCGGAGUGGAGCGAGCCAAAGUAGUAAAUGACGAAGUGGAUAAACUUUUGAAGAUAUGGUCCAUAAGAGAAGUGCAAUACCCGGAAUGGGUAGCAAACACUGUCGUUGUCAAAAAGAAGAAUGGGAAGGAUAGGGUUUGCAUCGAUUUUACAGACCUCAAUAAAGCAUGUCCCAAAGAUAGUUUCCCACUCCCACAUAUAGAUCGACUUGUAGAGUCCACCGCUGGGAACGAGCUGUUGACAUUCAUGGAUGCCUUCUCGGGUUAUAAUCAAAUAAUGAUGAACCCCGAAGACCAAGAAAAAACGUCAUUUAUUACUGAUAGAGGUAUCUAUUGUUACAAGGUAAUGCCUUUUGGUUUAAAAAAUGCAGGAGCAACUUAUCAACGGUUGGUUAACAAAAUGUUCCAUAAUCAUCUCGGAAAAACAAUGGAAGUCUACAUAGAUGAUAUGCUAGUUAAAUCAUUAAAGAAAGAGGAUCACGUUAAGCAUUUAGAGGAGUGUUUUGAUAUUCUCAAUAAAUAUCAAAUGAAGCUGAACCCGGCGAAGUGUACAUUUGGAGUCCCAUCCGGAGAAUUUCUUGGCUAUAUCGUGACAGAAAGAGGGAUUGAAGCCAAUCCAAAUCAAAUUAACGCCUUUCUAAACAUGCCAUCUCCAAGAAACUUCAAAGAAGUACAACGGUUGACUGGGCGGAUUACGGCUUUGAAUCGUUUCAUCUCGAGAUCAACAGAUAAGUCGUUACCUUUCUACCAAAUUCUAAAAGGGAACAAAGGAUUCCUUUGGGAUGAGAAGUGUGAAGAAGCUUUUGGGCAGCUUAAAGCAUACUUAACCACUCCAUCUAUACUGUCCAAACCAGAAGUGGAUGAAAAAAUUUAUUUGUACGUGUCGGUUUCAAACCACGCGGUUAGUGGAAUCUUGGUUCGGGAAGACCGUGGGGAGCAGAAACCAAUUUACUACGUAAGCAAGUCAAUGACGGAUCCAGAAACCAGAUACACAAUGAUGGAAAAACUCGCACUCGCGGUGGUGACUUCGGCCCGAAAGCUGCGCCCAUAUUUUCAAUCCCAUCCGAUUGAAGUAUUAACCAACCAACCACUCCGAACAAUACUUCAUAGUCCAAGUCAGUCCGGACGUUUGGCGAAAUGGGCGGUGGAAUUAAGCGAGUACGAUAUAGAAUUCAAAAGCCGGAUCAGUAUGAAAGCUCAGGUUCUAGCAGAUUUCUUAACCGAGCUACCAAUACCUGGAACGAUAGAGCAUUCGGAGAACCAAACCUGGAAAUUACACAUAGAUGGGUCUUCAACAAAGCAAGGAUCCGGAGUGGGAAUCAAGUUGGAAUCCCCAACAUCAGAAAUUCUAGAACAAUCAUUCCGGUUGUUAUUCAAUGCCUCCAACAACGAGGCAGAAUACGAAGCCCUGAUUGCCGGACUUCGAUUAGCACAAGGAGUUGGAGCUAAGGAAAUAUUGGCUUAUUGCGAUUCGCAACUAGUAGUUAACCAGUUUAAUGGAGACUAUGAAGCCAAAGACUCAAGAAUGGAAGCGUACCUCGAAGUGGUGAAGGAUCUAUCUAAAAAUUUCUCGAAAUUCGAAUUAAUCCGCAUACCUCGAGGAGAAAAUACAAUUGCGGAUGCACUUGCCGCAUUAGCGUCAACAUCAGACCCUGAGUUGAAAAGAGUUAUUCCAGUGGAAUGCAUUUCGGAACGAAGCAUUCAAGACAACAAAGAAACCCUCAUAGUUACAAGGUCUCGAGCAGCGGCACGCGACCGUGGCGAACCAGAGAUCGAACCGCCACCCAACAAACGAAGGAAGUCAAAGGGAUCGAAUACAUCUAACAAGGAACCCGUUGUCUCAGCUGAAGAGGUGAUUCCAGAAACAAUGUUAGAAACCGAGCCGUUAAUCGAGGAGGAUGUUCUUGAACCAAACGAGCAUCCCGAGCCAGAGCCACGAGUAUUUCACAAAGUUGACCAAAUUCCGGCUAAAGACUAGGGGGCUGACUGGAGGGAGCCAAUAAAGCACUACAUCAUGACAGGUGAGCUCCCAAAGAAUAAAUGGCAGGCCAGGAAAAUGAAAAUCGUUAGCGCGAAAUUUUGUCUGUCAAAAGAUACAUUGUAUAGACGAGGUGUCAGUGACCCUUACCUAUUAUGCAUUUUUGGGCCCGAAGUCGAAAUCGUUAUGAGCGAAGUGCAUGAAGGAUUAUGUGGGAGUCAUUCAUCAGGAAGGGCUAUGGCUUUUAAAGUUAAAAGAAUGGGAUAUUAUUGGCCCACUAUGAUUACAGAUUGUGUUAAGUUCGCCCAAAGAUGCAGGCGCUGCCAACUCCAUGCACCAUUGAUCCAUCAACCGUCGGAAUUAUUCUCCUCCAUUUCCUCCCCAUACCCGUUUAUGAGGUGGUCAAUGGACAUCAUUGGACCAUUGCACAAAUCAACUCGAGGUGUACAAUACCUUUUAGUCCUUACGGACUACUUUUCGAAAUGGAUUGAAGCUGAGGCGUAUGUUGGUAUCAAGGAUUCGGCGGUGAAGACCUUUAUUUGGAAAAACAUUAUAUGUCGACAUGGAGUUCCAUACGAAAUAGUCACUGAUAAUGGACCACAAUUCAUUUCACACGAGUUUGAUGCCUUUUAUGCGGACUGGGGAAUCAAAGUUAGUUAUUCUACUCCACGAUAUCCGCAAGGAAAUGGUCAAGCUGAAGCCGCGAACAAGACAAUAUUAAGCAAUCUCAAGAAACGCUUAAGUCAUCUAAAGGGAGGAUGGUAUGAGGAACUCCAACCCGUCAUGUGGGCCUAUCGUACAACCCCUAGGCGACCUACAGGAGAAACUCCAUUCUCUUUGGUUUAUGGCAUGGAGGCGGUAGUACCAGCUGAACUCAAUGUGCCCGGACUUCGCCGAACAGAAGCACCGUUAAAUGAGGAAGAAAAUUCAGCAAUGCUUAAUGAUUCACUAGAUACCAUAAAUGAAAGGCGUGAUCAAGCUCUAAUUCGGAUCCAGAAUUACCAGCAGGCAGCAGCCCGGUAUUACAAUUCUAAGGUUAAAAGUAGGCCGUUCUUCAUGGGAGAUUAUGUAUUAAGGCGCGUCUUUGACAACAAAAAAGAAGAAGGCGCCGGUAAACUCGGUAUUAAUUGGGAAGGACCUUACAUUAUUACCGAAGUGGUUCGGAACGGUGUUUAUAGGUUGAAAGACUUAGAAGACAAUCCAGUCAAUCGACCUUGGAAUGUGAUCAACCUAAAGAAGUUUUAUGUUUAAAGCUACAUUCAUUGUUUAUGUACAUGAACUACGGUGUGGCUUGAUCCCGAGAUGGGUACGUAGGCAGCUCGGAAACGAGUUCAGCUAUUAAUAAAAAUUUGUUUUAUUUCUUUAUUAAAGGAAAAAGGUUCGACUGUGCGAACAAGUGAAGCAAAUAAAGGGUCGGCUAUGCGAACAUACAAGAGAUUGGAAAUAGAGCGUUUAUUCAAAAGGCGGAACGUCCCUCAUCGUACACUUCGGACUAUGAAAAUCUUGUUGACGAGCAUAACACUUCAACUCCUUGACCAGCAAGAUCAAGGAUUGGCAUCAUGCAGUCCAGAAUUCGAGCAAAGUCAGAGAUUCCAAGCUCAAUCCACUCUCCGGAGUGAGAUUCAAGGAUGUGAAGAUCUCUUGACACCGUAGUAAGCCUGCGUUGCAUCCGGUUAAUCCUCUUCCGGAGUCUCCUCUUUUCCAACAUAAGCUUCCGAUGUUGAAGCUCGAGUGCCUCUAUGAACGCCGUCGCUGUUCCUUGGUCUCUGAUUGGGAGAUCCCUGAUCAAAGCACAUGGGGCUCGGAUCUGAGAUCUCAAGAAGCCGCGAAGUGGAGGAGGCUGCCUGCUUGGCUCAUUUGGAACAUCUUCGUUUAUCAUUCUGAUUCUGGAGAAGUCGGGCAUAGAUUCUGAACAGCGAAGAUUGAACUCCAUACCUACUAAAAUAAAAAGAAUGGUGAGGAGUAAAGGGAAAUUGAGACUAUAAUUUAUAGGAACGUCAUAUCCCUAGCAAGCUACGGAUUCUAUCCUAAGAAUGGAGUGAUUCGCGGAGAGAUUUAUGCCCUCGAACAGAUCCUGCAUUAAAAGACGCAUCUCCGAGAAUAUUUGAAAAGAAAGGAAAGUUGCAAAUGUUUCCAUAAAUAAAAAGGGGCCGAAGCCCAUUACGAGUUUAAAAUAAGGGAAGAAGUUAAAGAACAUUUAUGGAAGAGGCUCAGGAACAGGCUCCUUCAUCGCCGGUUUAGUCUUCGAAGUGGACGCCUUGUUCUUGGCAUCCACUUCGGGAUGAUCCCGAACGCGUUUCCGACAGGUGCUGGCCUCCUCUUCGUCUUCUUCUUCGCUGUCAGAUGGAACGGCGCAGACGGGGGCGUUCACGGGACCCGGGAUUCCUUUAGCGCGGAAGAUACAUCCGAAGCAUCUUCGGGAUCUCAGCGACAGAGUCAAAGUUCCGCCAUUCCCAUUGAAAGGGAUCACUUUCCAAGGCCCGUAUCUUCCUCUCCACCCGAGCAAUGCGAGCCUCGAGUGUUUGCCUUUUGAGGCCCAGCCGCUGCCUCUCUUCACACAAGCGACGGUACUUGUCGGCAACCUAGCAUAAAGAUGAGCGAAUAAGAUGAAACAAAAAGUUUUUAUAUAAAAAACUUUAAAUAUUUACCUUGUCAAUAAAAUCGCAAGCCUCUUUCUUCUCCUUUGGAGGAAAGUGAAAGACGGCGUGAGGGAAGAGAACGCCGGCCGGUUCAAAGCCGUCGCCGGACAAGAAGAGUGGGCUGCCGGGAUCAACGGGGGCUACUUUUUCGUUUUCCAUUCUCGCAAUAUUACUCAAGUAAGAUUCUAAAAACGUAGUUAAAUAAAGCUUGGAGGUAGGUAAGCCUUUAUUUAUAAUGAUUUAGGGUUUGUCUUGGAACCAUAAAUCCAAUAAUGGUAGAGUGUCCGAGUGGUUUAAACCAUUUUUGGAAAAUCGAGAAAAGGCAGUUAUUGCACUAAAGACGAGCCGUUUUCCUUACUUAUAAAAAGGGAAAGAGCAACCGUCGCAUUAACUACAAAAGUUUCUAAGGCCCAAGCCCAACAAAUUUAUCGAGUUGACUAAACCCGAAGUGGGGAACUCGCUUUAAGCCGAGCUCAGUUCUCGCAUUCUAAAGAGAAAGGUCUGAUCAGCCUAAAAAUCUCAAAAGCAUAACCACAAGGCCACAAAAGGUUAAAAGCGGACUUUGCAAACCCGCAUAUAAUUUUAACCAAACCCCCUUGGGUCAUAACCUAGAAAGGUUUAAAAGCCUCCUCAGGCAAAUAUCUUGUUCAAAAGAAAUAAUAAAGCCUCCUUAGGCAAAGACAAGUUCGAAAUUAAGUUUUAAAAUAAAUGGGACAAUCCCCAAUUUAAAGUGGACGCAGCCACUACGGAGUGAUAUCCACCUCGGACUCCGGCUCAGCAACCGAAGUUUCAUUCACCUCCUUGACUGGUGCUUGGUCGGAUGGAGCUCUUGGUUCGCCCUCUACAUUACAACCAUCCUCCGGAGUAACCGCCGGUGCCGCAGGUACUUCGGGUGGGACGACAUCCUCCGCCUCACCUAAACCUGGAAAGGACAGUUCCAGUCAACUUUUUUAAAAAAAAAACACACAUAAGGUGAGAAAAAGGUAGUAAGUAUCAGGAGCCAAGCAUUACCUGCCCAGUCUAGACCCGAUUCACUUAUAGGAGGCGAUUCAGUGAAGAAUUCCUCGAAGUCCUGCGGGAUGAAGGUCGAAGUAGGGAGAGCUGCCAAGCGACUCCGCUUUUCAGAAAGAUUAGCCGACAGUUCGGUCCUCUCUUGCACCUCGGAGAAAUCUGUAUCAUGGAUUUGAUCCAACAAGAUCAGGUUGCUCUCGUGCUCCUUGAUGUCUGAUUCCAAAUCUGAUCUAGCUUUCUCGGUCUGCAUGAAUCGGAUGGCCCCUUGGAUCAACUCCAUCCCGCGUCCCUUAACCUCCUUUCUGGCUUUUGAUGCCGACCUCGCUAAAUCGGAGUCACGCAAUUUGGCAAUCGCCUUGUACUUCGCGUUAAGCUCAAUAAGCUGGUUGUUCAGGGUGUCGGCGGUUGAUUCGGAUUCAUGAAGUCUACCCUGAACACCAUAAAGCUCACCCUGGAGUUUGAAAUUUUGGUCGUACUGGUCCUGUAGCUCCCCCUUUAUCUUCGCAAGCUCGGACGAUAGACCAUCAACCUUGUCUUCCAAAUCAUGCUUGGAGUCGGUAGAAGAGCGGAGGUCAACCUCGAGAUUAGAAAACUUGUCCUUCCACGUGUCGAUCUCUUUCUCCCGACCAAUGACCAACCCUUCGUAAUGUUCAAUUAUGUCAUUGAGCUCGCCGUUCGCCUGAUAUUACACAUAAACCCGGAAUGACGGAUCAGUUCGAAAAAUGACGGUAAAGUCAGAAAUUGAAGCGGAACUAACCCGAGAUGAAUGAUAAGCAUGAAGUAGGUAUCGUUCACGAAUUUCAGAGCGCCACUUGUUGAAUUCCGGCAGGAUCGCACCUGACUGGGUUUUGAAGCACCGAAAAACGUUACCUUCUUUCUCCAUGGCUACGAAAGCGAAAAAGGAAAGGACUUAGAAAUUCAAAAUAAGUAAAAAGCGAAAGAAUAGUUCGCUAUGUGCUCACCACAUGACGAAAAGAAUACAUGUGUAUCGUCAUACCUGAGAGCGAUUUGAUCUGAGGAACAAGAGCAGGCUUUGUCUUCGGAGAAUCAUCUCGAGACUCAGAACUAUCCUUCUGAGAAGCUGCACCCAGGUUCGUCUUCUCACCACUACGUUGAGAAGAAGAAGACAUAUCAACAGGACGAGGCGGACCCAUUGGUUCAGUAGGAGGGGAUGAUCGAGGAGAACGGUCAGUCCGGGCCCUUGACUUCUCUCUUCGCGGAGAAGAACCACUGCGGGAUGACCUGUCCCUCUUUUUGCGAAUUAAAUCCUUGAGCGGUUCGUUGCUAAAGUCAUCCCGGGAAGAACGAUGAGAAUCACGGUUAGGAGAUUGAAGCCUCCGGGGAGGACGGUCAUCGUGAUGUUCACGUCGAGGUGUUAAUCUGAAAACAGCGACGGAUCUGGCUCCUUCGGUGCUACCGUCGUCAACCAAUAAGGUUUUGCUAUAAUCUUUUUUGUCAAUGGCGGUCGCAAGGAACGCCUUGUUCUCGUCGCAAGCCUCAGCCAUCGGCUUGGAGAUCACUUUUCGCUGGGCAGUGAGAGCCCGAGCUAACAUUCCCUAGGUUGAGGGAGGAGGCGGAAGACGAUGAAGAUGGUUGGGAGGGCUCAUCCUGAGUUUUCGAUUGGCUUCUAUGAACCGAUCGAGAGUGAAAGAAUUCCAAAGGGUUUCCCCUUCGAGGAUUAUUUUGAAGAAGCCAAUGAAUUCUUCAGUUGGUAAAGUCGGAGCGACGAAAGCUGCGAAGUGAAAAUAACAAGGUUAAUCAAUAGGAAUAAUAAAAUUGGGGGAAUGUAUGCGACCUAACUUCUACCAGGUUUCGUGGACCACUUCGAUGGAAGCGAAUCUGAUAGACUUCCAACCGAAGCAGGGGUUUUCUUAAUCAGGAACCAAGGGUGAUGCCAAUUUUCAUCCUUGUUUGGAAGAUGCGAAAUGACGUUCCACGCUUCUCACGCUUCGAAAUAAUGAAAAUAGCAUUAGGGUAUGCCGAGAAAUACCCUGUCUUCUUCGAUGAACUUCUCACGCUUAGAAGCUCAUUCAACUCGGGGACCCCUAUAAUGUAUCCGGCUUCCGCCGCUACUGUUAUAAUUCCAAGUAUGGUUCGGAGAAGAUUGGGGGUCAAUUGAGGAUGAGCGAUCUCAAGAACCGCCAAGUACCGAACUAGGGCUUCGGGAAGCGGGAAGGUUAAUCCGCAACCCUUGAAAUAAAUCUCGUACACACAGAAGUAACCAUCGCGAUGGUUCUCUAGGGAUUCUGUGGGGGCAGCUAUUUGUGCUUCCGCCAUAAUUUCCGGCGGAAUCCGGCAAAGCUCUCUCAAUCGCUCGAGGGAUUGAAGAGUACAAGUGGAUCUAUAGUGCGGGCCGGCAAUAUCAUUAGGGCGAGUGCACUCGUCAUUACUAGGGCGCCUAUCGUCGAAUGACGGAGAUUCGGGUCUUUCAGAAUCAGAAGUCAUUGGGAAAAUGGAAGGUUCGAGAUCCAACGAAGAGAAAUUUGGCAAAGGAAAAGAAGAGAGAAAUUUCGGCUAAAAAUGCAAAAGUAAAAGAAGUAAUGAUGAAAGAAGUUACCUCACGGAAGUUAAGUGAUAAUGGUGAAACCGCCUUGGGAAUCGUGGGGGAAGUGGAAAGGUUUCCCGCUUUAAUAGUAAAUAAUUAAGAUACGGUCAUAAUGAUGACAGAUGUCACUCAAGUAGAAAUGGCUAGUGCCGAAAUUAAAGGAGUGAUGAGAUUUUCGGCGGGAAAUCAGAAAGAUUCUCGAGCGCAAUCUUUGGUCAUUUAAGCAUUUAAAGUCCUCCGAAUUGGAAUGGCACUUCGAAGAACUUGGGGGGCUAAUUGUUGGUGUCGGAUCCCGCACCAGAAGUCCGAGACCAACCAAAGAUUGCCACGUAGUCAAGAUAAAGCCCGUCGAAUCCAUGAGCCAAGGGAACAGUCGAAGUGGUUGUCACCACUUCGAGAAUCCGAAGUGACUGCACUAUGACAUGAGUUCGGUGUAGAAGACACGGGUAAGUCGGUUCAAGGAUACUUGGGCCAAAAAGGCGAGGCCCAUGAAGAUCAGAGUCAACUCAAAUUCAAACGUUGAGCAUUAAAGUCAAAGAAUCAAAACGGACACAUUUAAGAAGGAAUAAUUGUAUUUAAUUAUUCAUUUUAAUGUCGUUUCUCUAUGUAUAAAUAAAAAGGCCAAUGGCCAUGUAAAGGGGAUCCUCCUCUCAAGAAAGAAAUACUAUAGCAAUUUUCGUAGCAAUUUAUCAGUUUUUACAUAUUCAUUUUUGUCCCUCAAGAAUAAUCUUUCCUACUUAAUAAAAUACUUGAGUGUGUGAAUCCGACAUCCACAGUGACCAUUGCAAGAAAAAAGGUCACUUGAAGGAUAAAUGCUGACUUCUUCAUCCCCAUUUAAAACCAGAAAAAUUCAAGAACUUUCAAGCCAAAGGAAAUGCGGUUAAUGGAAGUGAUGGGUGGGUCAGAGAAUGAAGAAAGAGCUAUGGUUCAGUAUGGGCAAGAGAAAGCGAUGCAGGCCAUUACACAAGGCAAGAGUGGUGCAUCUACCUCACAAGCUCCGGAGACUAUUGUCAUGAACAAGGCUGACCUCGAGUCUCUCCUCCAAUCCAUUGCAUCUAAAUUACACAUUGGCGGUAUUUGUUUCUUAACUUCUAAUACUCGUGAUAAAGAUUCAUUAGUAUUAGAUUCAGGGGCUUCUCACCAUAUGAUUAGUAACCCUAGGUUGUUAGAGAACAUUAAACCGGCCUUAGGUAAUGUUAAAGUUGCAAAUGGACAUAAUGUUCCAAUAGAAGGCAUAGGUUGCAUAGAUUUGUUCAAUAAGAAGUCUAGUGCUUUCUAUAUUCCUAAGUUCACUUCAAAUCUUCUCUCUGUUAAGAAAACGACUAAGGACUUGAAUUGUUUAGCUAUUUUUAGUCCUAAUGACGUGAAGUUGCAGGAUAUUGAGAGUGGAAAAGUGUUUGGGCAAGGAAGCACCAAGGAUGACUUAUAUGUGUUUCAAGACAUCUCUUUAAAUUCUGUUUCUAAGAAUAAUGUUUCUUCUAUCUUUUCAAACUCUGUUAAAACAUCGGUUGUAUUGUGGCAUGAGAGACUUGGCCAUCCACAUUCUCGAGCUUUAAGUUUAUUAAUGCCUGGUUUUUCUUAUGAUUGCGCAAAUUGUGAAGCAUGCAUAUUAGGCAAACAUUGCAAAGCUGUUUUUCCUAAGUCUAGUGCGAUUUAGGAAAAAUGUUUUGACCAUGUGCAUUCUGAUGUGUGGUCUUCACCUUGUGCAUCUAGAGACAAUCAUAAGUACUUUGUCACUUUUAUAGAUGAGAAAUCUAAGUAUACAUGGGUAACUUUGAUGCCAUCUAAGGAUAGAGUUUAUGAUGCGUUUAUAAACUUUCAAAACUAUGUGACUAAUCACUUUGAUGCAAAGAUUAAGAUUCUUAGAACAGAUAAUGGAGGUGAAUAUACAAGCAACAAGCUCAAAGAACACUUGGAGAAAUGCGAAAUCCUUCACCAAACUAGCUGUCCAUACAAUCCACAACAAAAUGGAGUUGCUGAGAGGAAGAAUAGGCAUUUAAUGGAGGUGGCAAGAGCUAUGUUAUUUCAGAAGCAUAUGCCAAAGCGGUUUUGGGGAGAUGCGGUGAUGACAGCAUGUUAUCUCAUCAAUCGAAUACCGACACGUAUCCUUGAUGAUAAAUCUCCAUUUCAGAUUUUAAACAAAACUAUCCCUAACAUUGAUCAUUUGAGGGUCUUUGGAAGUCUUUGUUUUGUGUUUAUCCCAGGUGACUUGAGGAACAAACUGGAACCCAAGAGUAAUAAGUGUGUUUUUAUUGGAUACUCAACAACUCAGAAAGGUUACAAGUGCUUCGAUCGAGCCAACAAUCGAUAUUAUGUAUCAAGUGAUGUCAAGUUUAUGGAAGACAAGGCCUACUUUGAAGAGAAGAGCUGGGAAAGCGUUAAGGACCUCCCUAAUUCCACUUUAGAUCGUGCUCAGAGUCUUCGGCAUAUUCUAGAACAUUUGGGUAAUGUAAGCUCUCCACAAGAAGAUAAGGAAGCUACACCAAAUGAUGGUAACAAUCAAGCCCAAGAAAGCGGUGAUAAUACACCACAAGAGUCUCUGGAUAAUCAACAAGAGAGUGGUAAAGAAGAAGGGUUAAGUGAAGAAGUGGAAGAGAAAGAUCCAUCUAGUGAAGGUGACAUUAUUGAAUCAUCAAGAGGAGAUGAGACUUAUCAAGCUCCACCAGUAACACGAGAUCCUAUCUAUACUCGGGAGAAUCCAAGAAGGAGUACAAGAGAGAGAAAAUUGAAGAAGUGCCUCUAUAAUUGCCAAGCCGUGGCUCAUCCAAUUCAAGCAACAUUUUCGAUUGACCUUCUUCCCGAGGAACAUAAAGCUUUCAUUAGUAAGCUAGAUGUGGAAUUUAUCCCACAAAGCUAUGAAGAAGAUAAAGAAAGAAAGGAGUGGACGAAUGCGGUAGAUGAUGAAGUACAAGCUAUGAUAAGGAACCAUACAUGGGAUGAAGAAGAGCUACCAAAAGGAAAGAAGUGUGUUAGCUCAAAAUGGGUAUUCACCAUUAAGUACAAGAGUGAUGGUGAAAUUGAAAGAUAUAAGGCUAGGCUGGUUGCAAGAGGGUUCACACAAACCUAUGGUGAUGAUUAUAGGGAAACAUUUGCUCUGGUAGCUAAGCAACACACGGUGAAGGUUGUUCUAUCUUUGGCGGUUAAUUUGGAUUGGGAGUUGUGGCAAAUGGAUGUCAAGAAUGCUUUCCUUCAGGGGAGUUGGAAGAAGAAGUCUACAUGUCACCUCCUCCGGGUUUAGAAGACAUAGUGGCUCCGGGAAAGGUCUUAAGGCUUCGGAAAGCAAUCUAUGGUCUCAAACAGUCUCCAAGAGCUUGGUAUCACAAGCUAAGCUCCACCUUAUUGGCUAAUGGCUUCAAGAAGUCACAUUCGGAUCAUACUUUGUUUACUAAGCAAGAUAAUCAAGGCAUAGUAGUGGUAUUGGUCUAUAUUGAUGACUUGAUUAUCUCGGGAAGUAACAAAGAAGGGAUCCAAGCGAUUAAGUCUUCUUUACACUCAGCCUUUGAUAUUAAAGAUUUGGGUGUGUUGAAGUAUUUCUUAGGGAUUGAGGUGUGUAGAUCCAAGGAGGGACUGUUUCUCUCACAAAGGAAAUACGCCCUCGAUCUCCUAAAGCUUACAGGGAAACUUUGAGCUAAACCAGUGGAUACACCACUAGAGCAAGGAUACAAGGUCAAUCGAAAGGGGGAGAAGGAUGAUACUCCAUAUCAUUGCCCGGAACAGUAUAGAAGACUUGUAGGUAAGCUCAUAUAUUUGACAUAUACUCGGCCUGAUCUCUCUUUUGCCGUGAAUCAGGUGGCUCAGCAUAUGCAAGCCCCUACGGUGUACCAUUGGAGUUUGGUGGAGAGAAUUCUGAUAUAUAUCAAAGGAAGUCCCGGCAAAGGCAUUUGGAUGGGAAGAAACUUUAGCACGGAAAUUGUUGGGUACUGUGAUGCAGACUACAAUGGAGAUCGCAACACAAGGCAGUCCACAACCGGCUUUUGCACUUUCAUUGGUGGCAAUCUUGUAACUUGGAAGACAAAUAAACAGAAGGUGGUGUCUUGUUCGAGUGCUGAAGCGGAGUAUAGGGCUAUGAAGAAGCUCACAAACGAGUUGACAUGGCUGAAGGCUCUACUAAAGGACUUUGGGAUCGAGCAAAAGACGCCAAUUACCUUCCAUUGCGACUACCAAGCAGCCAUCCAUAUUGCUACUAACCCCGUGUUCCACGAGAGGACCAAGCACAUAGAGACGGACUGCCACAAGACAAGAGAGAAGAUCGAAGACGGUACAAUCCUUCCUUGCUACACUACGAGUUCGGACCAAUUGGCCGAUAUCUUCACCAAGGCAGCAAGUAACCAAGUUUAUCAAUUUAUCCAUGGCAAACUUGGUCUUGUAGACCUCACACAUCCUUGAGAAAGGCUCCCUAACUCGUUGGGACAAUACUCUUUUUCCCUAGGCUUGGUUUUGUCCCACGUGGUUUUCCAAGCUUAGGUUUUUAAUGAGGUUGUUCUUGCGAGUGCCAAGUUUAUACACAAUGAGUAUUGUAGUAUAAACUUGAGGGGGAGUGUUAAUCAAGAAGACAUUUAACACUUGGGUUACUCGGGUUACAGGUUACAUGGUUAAAUGUAGGUUACUUGGGUUACUCGGGUUACAGGUUACUUGGGUUACUCGGGUUACAAGGCUGAAUGAGGGUGCUGUUGGUCUUUGUGCACAACCCACCUCAGACCUAGAUUUUGUUCUCUAUAUAAACAUGUGUGCCUCCUCAUUGUGUGAGACACAUCUAUUAUUCAACACAUUUUAAGUUUCUCUCUAUUCUUAAAUCAUGUUUUAAUCAAUCUUUCCUAAGCUGAGAUAGAUGCGCCACUCUUGCCUUGUGUAAUGGCCUGCAUCGCUUUCUCUUGCCCGUACUGAACCAUAGCUCUUUCUUCAUUCUAUGACCCACCAUCACUUCCAUUAACCGCAUUUGCCUUUGGCUUGAAGUUCUUGAAUUUUUCUGGUUUUAAAUGGGGAUGAAGAAGCCAGCAUUUAUCCUUCAAGUGACCUUUUUUCUUGCAAUGGUCAUAAACCCAUGUCUUCUUGUCUACUUGCUUGACAACUCCAGCCUUGUUUGCAGUCGGGAGACUUCCUUUGCUGUUAAACAGUCCUUGAGCUCCAUACUCUUUCUGAAUCUUCGCACACGCUUGUUCUAGAGUUGGCACCUUGUCAUCUCUUAGUAUAUGCUGAAUCACAUCAGUGUAGCUCGAGUUUAGUGUCAGCAACAAACCGAAUACCAAAUAUUGCUCUCUACGAUCCUUAAGAGCCUUUGCCUCAGUAGUGAAGGGUCUUAACAUCUCAAGCUCAGGUACAAGCGACCUGUACUUUCCAAAGUGAGUGUUGAAAUCACUCUCUUCUUGACUUAGCUCACCAAGAACUUUCUUGAUAUGGUACACUCGGGUCAGAUUAGUCUCAUUGCCAAAGACAUUAGCUAGAGUGUCCCAUAACUCCUUUGAAGUCUCACAAUACGAAUACCCUUCCAAGAUCGCAGCGUCUGGAGAACAAUGUAGAGCGCUUAAAACAUUCAGAUCAUUCUGCCUCCAAGUAUCUUCACUCAAGUUCUCUUCUUUAGCCUUUGCUUCUUCAUAGGUAUUUUCGAUGUAUUUAGUGAAUUUCCUUCCUCCCAAUACAUUUGUUGUGGUUCUCUUCCACAACAGAUAGUUGUUACCAUUCAACGUGACUGCGAAUUUCAAGUCUUUCAAGUCCUUGAACGUAUCACUCGUUUUCUGAACUGUGAGAGACAUCUUCAACAGUUUCAGGAUGUAAUAACCACAAAUAAACCGAAAAGGUGUCGACUUUCUUCCCAAUAAGCAACCGCAAACAAACCAAUCAGCAACUACUACUCUACCGAAGCUUUAAUUCUGAGCCUAGUUCUGAAAGUAUCUAAGAAUCUCGACCUAAAGAAGAUAAAAGCUCAAACCUUUGGAUACACAAGACCAAACGCCUGAAAACUUCUCCUCUUCAACCCGCUUUGACACUAAUCCACAAAGAACUCAGAAAGGUUGAGGCUUUUACGAUGAAUAGCUCUGUCACAGACCAGUAGUAACUCUCCUUCACAAACAGAUGCCUUUUCGUGAAGAAGUAGAAGAAGAAACCGAACAACUUGUUUAGAAGCCAGAUUCGAACAAAGACAAAGAGAAAACAGAGAACCGAUGAACCAAAAGAUGAAGAUUAAAGAUUAAGAACGUGCUCUGAUACCAUGAGAAUAUUUAAGUAGGAAAGAUUGAUUGAAACAUGAUUUAAGAAUAGAGAGAAACUUAAAAUGUGUUGAAUAAUAGAUGUGUCUCACACAAUGAGGAGGCACACAUGUUUAUAUAGAGAACAAAAUCUAGGUCUGAGAUGGGUUGUGCACAAAGACCAACAGCACCCUCAUUCAGCCUUGUAACCCGAGUAACCCAAGUAACCUACAUUUAACCCUGUAACCUGUAACCCGAGUAACCCAAGUGUUAAAUGUCUUCUUGAUUAACACCUGGAACCGGAAGGUAGCUAUUCGACGACAGAGCACGAAAUCCGGGUGACUAGGUUGACUAGUGAUUUGUUCAGCGAUUUCGAGAAUGGUAAGUAACAGUAACAUAAAAUAGCGUACUUGAACAGCUGUAUAUUAUUAUGAACGACUAUGUAAUAAUAUUGAAUGUCUAAAAGAAAACUUGUGGUAUAAAUGGCACAACUGGAGCUUCAAGUGGGGAGCAAACUGAGAUGGCUGAGCCAGCACAUCGCAAGCGAUGCGGAGCCGGCAACAGCCGCGGAUAACAGUUAAUAUUAUAAAGUAGAGCAAUAAGGAUAGAAAAAGUGUGAGGCCGCUUAAUUAAUUACAAUUACAUGUGUACAGGUGAAGGUGGUGACAACGACAACAAUGACCCACCUGUCGGAGGAAAUGUUGCAGGGAUGAUACGCUUGCUAAACCUGUCAGAACACACUUUUGCACGUGACGCAGCACCGGUGCUUAACGACGCCAACCCAGACGGUAAUGUCUAUAUAGAGGGCUAUGUUUUGAGUUGGUUAUGUAAUUCUGUUUUUGGUGGUUCACAUACUAACAUAGAUGGUUACACAUCGCAGCAGUUGGUGAUAGAACAUGAUUGUUCCUACUGGACGUGGAUUACGAAGGGGAUGAGAUAUUUGUAGGGUGAGUGUUCAAAAACCGAGACGACUGUAGAGUGAAGAUAGCAGUUCAUGCGAUCAACAGGAAGUUCAGCUUCUGUAAUGAUCUGACGGCCGUCUUUUCCCCUCUUUACGGCGGCUGUGGGGAGAGAGAACUCUCUAGGCUGGGCGAAUUGUUUAGUUGUUCUAGAAAAAUUAUAAUCAUUUUUUGCUUGGAAUAUAUAUAUUGGUUUAUGUUCAAUUUAUGAUUUUGAAUGCAGUGAUUUUGGAUCCAUCGAAGAUCCAUCCAAAAGGUGCGGAUCUUAUCCGCUACGGGUCAGACUUUUAAAAACGCGCGAAUCCUUUCAGCUAUAGGUCGGAUCUUCUUAAUUAAGAUUUUUAAUCUCGACAUUACCCUUCUUAAUUUUAAUUAAUCAUCUUCUUAAUGCUUAAUUGAGUGGUAAUUGAUGUAAUUAGAGUUGUAAUUUCGGACAUGUUCUACUUUGUACUUUUCUUUUACUUACUUAAUUAUAGGAAGAUUAACAAUAUUAGUAGAUCAUAUUAAGAUGUUUUAAUUAGAUCGAUCAAAAUCAUGGUAUAGUAGUAAAAUUAUAAGAAGAUUAACAAUAUUAGUAGAUCAUAUUAAGAUGUUUUAAUUAGAUAGAUCAAAAUCAUGGUAUAGUAGUAAAAUUUCGGACAGGUUUCACACAACAGCCAAAAAAAAAAGGUGUUUUAGUAUACAAAUCAUAAAGGGGAAUUGCAGUCUAUAACCAAAAAAAAAAUUAUAAUUCACUCUAUAACCAUUCUAACCAUGAACCGUCGAUAUUACAUGUAUUUCAUGUAUUAUAGACAAGUUUACCCUCAUUGCAUAAGUAACAGUUGCCUACUUUCGCAACCUUGAGAAACACGAACCGUAAAAGUGAAAAGACAAGUCGAUGUCUAAUCCUGCCAAUUAAACGACAACUUCGUCGCGAGAGAAAACAGAGAGUUAGGGUUUCACCGGAAUCGACCUUCUGGUUGGGAUUCAUCUCCGUCGCCGGAAUUAGAAGUUUGCCGUCACCAGAUUAGCGGUUGUCGUUUGUUUCUGAGUAAGUCGAGGGUUGGGAUUUCUAUAACUGUUGUCGAUUGCUCCAUAUCUAUUUCUGACUCAAUCUAUCGACUUACUCAGGUGAAUUGCCGUAAACCUUUAAAGAUCAACCGUAAACCUUUAACGCUAUCACCACCACCGCUACCUGUCACCGCAACCACCGCUACUGCCAUCAUCACCAUUGCCAUCGCCAACCACCACUACGGCUACCUCCGUAAUCGCUCCACCCAACACCACCGUAAUCACCAUCACCAUCGCCACCGUUAUCGGCACCAUCACCCCACCGUCACCACCACCACCACCAUCAUCUCCACCACCGUUACCACUGUUAUCGCAACCACCGCUACCGCCACGACCAUUGCCAUCGCCAUUGUCACUACUCACUGCUGCUACAAUUGUAAUCGCCACCACCCAACACCACGGCCAUCACCAUCAUCACGCUGUUUUCUAAUUCAAUUUCUUAUGUUUAUCUACCAUUAUCUUUUUCAUAAGCUAUUCCAAUUGAUCUAACAUUUGUUCCUUAAUUAAACAUUUGUUCGUUUUACCCUCUUCCAACUUGAAUCCACCCAAGUCAUAUCACAAAUCAUAGUUUGAUAUUUGAUAAUUGAUCGAUUGCAUUCAAUAUAGAAAAAGAGAUGAAUAUUGAUUGGAUGAGAAUGAACAAGAGAAGUAAAGAAGACGAGAAGAAGAAAAUCAAUUUUUCAAUAGAUUUGUCUCAAAUAGAAUAGUAUUGUAAGUUUAUGGAACAUCAUAUUUAUUAAUACCGUUUUUAGAUAUAUGUUUUGGGUUUGGGUUUAGACUUCUGGAUUUAGGGUUUAGUAUUUUAGAGUUAAAAGUUGAUUUUAAGUAUAAUAUAUAAGAGAUAGUAAAGUAUUAUACCUAUUUUUGUGUGAUUAUGUAUAUUACAACAUAUUUUUAAUUAUAAACAUGAUUUAUUAGGCAUUGUGGAUACCACUAUCACCACUAUGUUAAUCAUUAGUAUUUUAUUUGCUUCUAUACUAUUUUUUUUGUGCUUUAUAUAAACCAAGUUUAUUAAUUUAUUUUUUAUUUUUAUAAGUUGUUGUCGGUUUUUAGAAAUCCAAAUCAUAAUAUAUAGAGAAAAAAAGACCAGAUUUUUUUCUAUAAAAUUUAUAAAUUUAAAUUAAUGUUUUCAAACACUAAAUAUAACGUAAAAAUCAAAUAGGGUAGAAGAAAAACAAAUAUUAAAAAGAAGAAACAAUUAAGCUUUUUUCUCUCUCCUCACAGACGUCACCUCUCUUUUCCUUCCUCCUUCUAUGCGCGUGUCUUACACCCAAGGUGUGUUUUGUCUUUUCACUACUUAUUAUGGUUAUUCUCUUCAUUUUGGACUUUAGUAUGCUAUAUUCUUCAUUUUCUUUAUCAAAAUGGUCACUCACCUAAUUGCCCCAAUCAUAAAUGCUAGUACCAAAUUUUCAAAAAAAAAAAAAAAAUGUGUAAAUAAAGACCAUAUAUAGUCGCAAUUAAAGAAAGUUACUAGUUGUGUUUGAAAAGAGAAGCAGUAAAUGAACUUCACCAACAUACUUUUUAUUUUUACCAAAAAAGAUUUUCCUUAUUCACACACUUACCAAUAAAUGACAAGAAGACUUUUUUGAAAUACUUUGAACAUCAGGCCUUUCAUUUUUUUUUUGGUAAGGGACAUCAGGCCUUUCAUUAGUGUACGAACAUUUUAAAUUUUUAAAUUUUAGAGUGAAUUAGCGCAGAAGUAAAAUUAGGAAAAAUACAUAACCACCUAAAACGGAAAAUAAUUACUUACUAGUUAUUUGGCCGUCAAUGAGACAGCGCUGAAUACUCGCAACAGUGAUGAUGGUUUACGGCGACGGUGGCGUGAAGACUUAAGGCGACAGAGGGAUAUUAUAGAGGAGAGAUAAAAUGGAACAAUGAGGAAAGAUAAAUGGGUAUCCAAAAGUCUGAUAUUAACAAAAAAGGAGAAGCGCGUGAGGAUAUUUUGGACCGAAAUGUGGGCUAAAUAUUUACGUUAUCUUGGGCUGCACAUUAACUAACCAAAACUAAUUUGAUCUGGAUCCAUUGUCUCUCAGCUAUUUAACUCUAUUAUUUAUUAACCAUAAGCAAAAAAAAUUAUGUUCGUUGGAGUCGGUUCCUUUCAGGUUUAAGUUAAGACCCGUCCGAAUAUUUUAAAAUUUUGAUUUGUUUGAGUAUUCAAUUAGUUAAAUCAAAUAAAAACUAGAUCCGCAAAAAAAUCAAAUAAACCUUUAUAUCCAAAAAAAUGUAGAGAAAUUGCUUCUUAUAGCCUAGAUCAAGUUUUUGGAACAAAAAUAGCACUCAAAAGUUUAUUGGACAAAAAUAGCACUUAUUUUUUAUUUUUUAAAUUAAUAAAUAACUAUAAAUAGAUACAAAAAAUCACAAAUUCAUCGUUAAUAUUUUUCCGCCCAAAAAAAAAUUCCGUCAAAAUUUCCUGCCAAAAUAUUUUCCGCUCCCGAAAAAAAAAAUCGUCAAAAUUUUUCCGCCAAAAAAAAAUCCAAGAAUUUCAGGAAGGAUUCCACGAAAUUUAGGAAGUAUUUCAUGUAAUUUAGGAAGGCUUUCACGAUUCGUGAAACCCUUCCUGAAUUACGUGGAAUCCUUCCUGAAAUUCAUUAAUUCAUUAAAUUCUUCCUAAAUUACGAGGAAUCCUUCCUUAAUUUCGUUGAAUCUUUCCUAAAUUUCGUGCAAUCCUUUCAGGAAUCAUUUCUUGAAAUUCAAGGAAUCCUUCCUGAAUUUCGUGGAUUUUUUUGGCGGGAAAAAUUAGACCGGAUUUGUUUUUGCGGGAAAAUGUUGAAAAUUUUUUUUGGCGGGAAAAUAUUUUUACGUUGCGGAAAUGUUUUGGCGGGAAAAAUAAAUUUUGGUGGGAAAUUUCUAAUUUUAUUUAUUUAUUUAUUUUAAUUGAACUAAUUAUUCAUAUUUAAUAUUUAAUUAAAGUUUAUAGUACUAUUUGUGUAACUUUUCAUAUGUAGUGCUAUUUUUGGAAGAAAAACUUAUUUUAGUGUUAUUUUUUUCAAUCUCCCAAAAAUGUAUUUAUGAAUAUAUCAUAAAAAUAAUUAAUUAAACAACGAAACUUUAUAUUUCUUAAAUAUAAAAUAAAAGCUAAAACAUGCGUAAACAUCUAGAACCACUUCAAUUUUAGGCCAUGAAUUGGAGACAUAUUCUUUGAACCAGAGGGUGUGGUUAUUAAAGAUGUUACCAUUCAACAUAUUUCUAAUAUGUAGUAAUUUUUUAAUUAAAAAGGUAAAAACUAUAAAAUAAAUAAAUAUAGUUAAGUAUGGUUUAGACUUUGUCAAAACGCAUGGUGCGUUCUAUAUAUAUCCAUUUAGGUGUGGUUAUGAUAUAUAAAAAAUCAAAUAAAUAAAAUUUCUCAAAAUUGUACAUUAUAUUCAAAAAAAUAAAAUAAACUGAAGGUAUUUAAAAUAAUUAGUUAAAGUUUCAUAAUUAUUAAACCAUACCGCACUUGUGAUAUUCACCAUUCAUACAUUAUCAUAUACCACUUAUUUCAUACUAACUACAUUUGUUCUUCAUGGUGCGUUGCUCUCUAACGAACCGCAAUUAAACUGCACCGCACUAUUCAAUCUGUUUAUCCCGCAUUAUUAAAUCUACUGUCACCAUUCGGAGCUUUGGAUUGAGAUUUAAAACACUACAAUUACGGAUUUGAAUAACUAUUUUUGAAUACCGCACAUUCAUCACCAAUCAGCAUUUAUUACUACAUAUUGGCAUUUUUUAUUUUUUUUAAAUAAAUAUAUCACGGUUUCCAAAAAAAGUAAAACCAAGUAGACUGUUUUUCAAAAUUGAAACAACUCUUUACCCUACAGUGCAAUGAAAUCUGCAAUGGAUUAUACACUUUUUAUUAUAUUUAUUUUCUAAUUAUUAAAAAUAGCAAUACUUACAACAAAUUAUGAUUAUUCUUAUAUAAAUAUAUAUUUUACGGCAAGUAAAUAUAUACACUUUAAAAUUUUAUUAAUAAAAAUAAAAUAGUUAAUAGUUUCAAAUUUAUUUAUGAAAAAUUAUACAGUAAUUGUUAGAUUUUAUUGAAUGUUGAAAUAUCUUCAGGAGGAACAUGUUCAACUCAUCUAAUAGAAAUUUCAACUCUUCUUACUGAAACAACAUUACAUGUUCAAGAUGAUUACAAUGAAUUUACAAAGACGGAAGUAAUAUUCAUUGUGCCAGACCUUCCUAAACAUAAUAGAUUUUUACUGGGCAUGUAAUAGUACACUUAAAGAGCAAGUAUUUUGAAUUAAAUAUUCUACUGAUAUACAUAGAAAGCACCGAUAAAGAUAAGCUACAACUGCUGAAAACUAAACUGGUAUCUUACGGAAUAUGUGCCCAAACAAUUAGGUUUAGGCCAAUAAUAAUUUUUUUUUAUGAUUGAAAGUUUUUAUUAUAUAACAAUUUGGAUAUUUAAGGUACAUAAAUAUAUGAAAAUGUUUCUUUAUUACCACAAAAUAAACACUAAUUUAUAAUUAUAAAUAUAUUUCUUUCUAACAUAUUUAUCUAUAAUCAGCAAUGCGCACCGCUUGUUGUUUUUCUUACCAUUCAAACUUUUUAUUAUGUACCGCAUAUAGUUUUUUCAUCAAUCAAACUUGAUUCCGUACCGUUUAUUUCGUACUAACCGCACUUAUCCCUUAAAUAUUUUUCUCCCUCACGUACCGUAGUGGAAAGUGUACCGCACUAGAAAACUAUUUUUCUCGCACAACUAAAUACGAUGUUAUCCUUGAGACCCUAAAAAUCUGAGUUUUCUUGUUAUUGAAGGUGUUUAGUAAUGUGCAAACUGUGAAACAUGUCAACCUUAGAGCAUAGAGUACUGAAGCCAUUUGAUCAAAAAAAAAAAAAAAAAAGAGUAGUAAAACCAUAGAUUAGGACAUGAAAAUUUUGGAUGCAUUUUUAUGUAAAAACUUAUUUACGCCAUUUUAUGUAUAAAUUACAUUAUAGGAUUUUUCUAUAUAAAAAUAAUAAUUACUGGACUUUUUUCUAAAUAGUGGUAGUAUGAUUUUACUGAUAAUAAUUAAUUGUAUUGUUAAAAAAUUAUUAUUUUUAUUACUAAAAUUUUUAUUUUUUAAAUACUACACGAUGAAAAAUAUUAUAUUUUUUCUUUUCAGUUUUUUCGUAAGACAUCCAAAAGAUGUCAAAUUGGUCUAUGAAAUAUAAGAUUUUUAAAAAACAGUUGAGAAAAUUUAAUAUAUGAUUUAUAUCUUAAGGAAAAAUUAAUCAUAUAUCAAAACAAAAUCAUCCAUUUAAGCUUUAAAAAAAAGUUUUUUUGCGUGGGAAAAAUAAUCCAGAGUUGGAGAGCUUACAUGGAAACUAGAGAAAUUUCGUGCAUGUGCAUUUUUUUGCAGGACAAUAUUACAACGUUAAAGAUAAUUAAGAAAAAAUAUAUAUAUAUUCUAAUUUCGCAAAGGAUGAGCACUUAUCUGGAGGCUGGAGCAUCAAUCAGUUGAAUAGAAGCCUUACAAUCUGUCUCAAAAAUUACAUUGGUUAAAGAAGACGAAAUAAGGCAUAUCAUUUCCUAAAGUAGAGAUUCAAAUUCUGUGUGAAAGGAUGACAAUAAUAUGUGUGAGCUUUUUUACCCAAGAAGGAUAAAACAACAUAAUAUAAGGUAGAAAAAAGUGGAUGAUGUUGUUAUUUUGAAAAAAAAAAUAAAAUAAAAAAUAAAAUAAAAAUCUCCCGUAGUGUGGCAGUUUUGAUGAGAUUUUGAAUCCCAUGUUAUAACCGUGUUAAGACUAUAAUCGCAACACUCGAUUAUAGAAUCUACGAACGGUUCUACUAUAUACCUUCGAGACUUACUUUUAAAGAGUAGAGAAGAAGGAGAGAGAAUUUUGCUUGAAACAUUUGUGUUUUGAUAAUCGAAUGAAUGAGAGAUUGAGGAGAUAUUUUAUUAUAGAGAGGUGUAGCUUGACCUACACGUUAGAGAGGAAUAGAGUUACGGAAAUAUUCCGCUUUGUUCCACAAGGAUAAGGAUAAGGAUUCGGAAAUAUUACGAAAAUAUUAUUGAUACAAUCUAUAACCUUCUAGAUGUAUCCAAAAUUAUGCAAAAAAUCUUAAGAGAAAAUUAACACACUACAGGAAAUUUGGGUAUUGAUAGCACUAAAAGAUAGCGUUUUUUAUAUCUAUGCUAUCUUUGACUGAAUCGUGAUUUAAAGAUAGCGUUUGAUAAUGUGUAAACGCUAUCAAUGGUUUAAGCGGGAUCCAAAUUUUUCACGCGGCCAAAAAUUUUAGUUAACCCGCUAUUGAAUCUGGUUAAGCGAGACCAAAAAAAAAUGACCUAAGGCAAAAAUAAAGAAAAAACUAAAAUUCACUUUCCUCUUUUUUUCUAAGGGAAAACCCGAUCUAACACUUCCCCUCUCUCUGUUCUUGAGCCAUCGUCGAUUAGAGGAGAGUCUGGGAAAUGAAGAACGUACCUGAAGGAAAGAACCUAUAGAGAAAAUUUUCUAGGUUCGUGCGCAACGAAUCACCAUUAGAGAAGACAUUUCUCUGAGAUUUUGGGGCUGUGGAGUUAGAAAUGGUAAAGAUUAAAACCCUGAGAAAGAGUUAGAAAUUUAUAUUCGAUUGUGUUUAUAAUUUUAUUCAAUUAUGGUAUUUGCGUGUUUGAAAUUUGCAGAUACCAAUCGAAUCGUCAUUGCAAAGAGUUCCUUCAAGCUUUCUAAUCCUCUCGGUUGGUUACUUUAUUCCCUUUCUCAUCGAAUUUUUCAAUUUAUUAUAUCUUUUGCUUGAUCGAUUUUUCAAGUACUUAAAUCGCUGAUUCUUAAUUUGUUGAGUUUCUGAUUACUUGAAUUAGAUCGUGUAAGAUUCUGAUUUUGGAACUCAAUCUUGAUUAGUUUUGAUCUUCUGGGAUCAGAUAUGAUUUUGUAAUUUGUGGUUUUGAUUGGAUUGUAAUUCAUGUAUCAUUGUAGUUGAAAGAGUUAGCUCAAGCUUAUGAAGUGCUUAGUGAUCCGGAGAAGCGUGAGAUUUAUGACGAGUAUGGUGACGAUGCACUCAAGGAAGGAUUGAUAGAUGAUGAACAAGGAAGAUACUCUCAAUUCAGUGAGGAUUUUCUUCUAAGCAAUCCAUGUGAUGGAGGAGACAGCUCCUUGCUUACUCUUUCUGGGGACGCUUCUUCUGAUCUUGACCUUGGCUGUCCUAAUGACAACUUCUCCUUAACAGAGCAAUUGGAACUGCAGUUUUUGUCUGAUGAGCUUGAGUUAGGCAUCACAGACAGUGCUGAAACCCCAGACUUGAUGUAAGUUAACUUGGAGAGACACAUGGAUUGUUGUUACCCUUGAGACUGUUCAGAGUGAGUUUCUCUCCUUAACUUGCUAGCUUUUUUGUUCUGAUUGCAGGAGAUCUACCAAGUGAAUCAUGGCCAAAACUGUGUUCCUGCAUCAAUGUCUGCUACUGCAGAGCUUUCUCCAGGAUCAGCAGUUAACCACAUACCAGGAAUGAGAUGGAUUCCUGAGCUCCAUGAGCUUUUUCUAGAGGCCGUGAAAAAGCUUGAAGGGCCUGAAAGUGAGUUAGCUUUUAUGUUAUUCCAGCAACCAAUCUAUUAUUCGAAAGAGUUCUUCUGACCAAUAUCUUUUUUUGUUUCACUCCUGUUCCCAGACCCCUGAAAGAGAUUUUACUAUCAAGAUAUCUGGUCUGUAAAUAUACAAUGAAAAUGUUAGUGUUUUGCUGAAUUCAUAUUCCGGUCGUGCCCUUAAACUCCUUGAUGACUCAGAGGUAUUACACUAAUUUACAUUAAUUAUGUUCUUGCUCAUGUUAUGGCCUUGAUUGACUGUAGACUGUGGGUACGUCUCAAUGAUAUUAUCUCAUCAUUGUCUUUCUUUAAUCAAUGCUAGAUUGCUGGUUGAUUCCAUGGAUGUGUAAUGAGUUAGUAGUCAAAUUUUUAUCGGAUAUAGCUGAGCUCUGAUGUAGUUAAGGACGGCUCUUGAGGUUUUGCAGGGUAAACUCAAUUUGACAGAGAGGUAAAUGUUGGAGAAAUCAUCUCAGUUAGCUAUGGAGAGAAAUAAAAGAACAGAACUCUAUAACGCUUACAAGAAGCUGACGUCCAAAUAUAAGUUUGUCUGCAAAAGAUUUGGUCUUACUGCCGACAGCUUCCUUGAGGAUGAUGGUCACUGGACCAAGAGUGAAGAAUGUUGUCAAGUUGAGCAGAGUAUAUGCUUACUGAAUUCAGAACCUCCUAUUGAUGAUAUGAUAGAGGAUCAUGACACCACUUUCGUUUUAUAUAUCUCUGUUACAUGUAUACUCUUAUCAUUUGUAAAUAAAAUAUUUCCAACAAUAUUCUUUUGUUCUCCAUUUUCUUUGAGAUUGAUUAUUUAUAUGAGAUUGAUUAUUUUAAGGCAUGUACUUUAGGUUUCAAGUUAAAUGAUUUUAAAGAUUUUUUAAGAUUUUUUAAAUGAUUUUCGAAUUUUGUAAAAAAAAAGUUUAAAAAAAAAAAAACCAAAUAUCUCAAAAAGACAUAAAUAUUUAAUUAUAAUAUUAAUAAUUACAAAAAUAAUAACAAAGUUAUAAUUUUAAAGAGUUUAGGGUAUAGAGUUUAGGGUUUAGGGUUUAGGAUAUAGGGUUUAGGGUAUGAAAUGUAUGGUUUAGGUUUUUGGAUUAUAUUUGUUUGAAAUAGUAAUAAUAUUAAUUAUAACAAAUAAUAACAUAAAUAAAAUUCAUUUUUAAAAAUAGUUUAGGGUUUAGGGUUUAGGGUUUAGGGUUUAGUGUUUUAAAUAGUAGCUAAUAUUAAUGAUAUAAAGUAGUAUACUAUUAUAACAUAAAUGAAUUCUAUCAUUUUAUUAAUUAUAACAUCAUUAAUGUGUUUCAACAAUAUGAUUUACACAAUAAGAAGAUUAGUGUACAUGUAUUCUAAGGCAAUCAUAUGUGUUCCCUUCAAAUUUCUAAAAACGUUGCAAAAUAUUUUUUUUUAAAUUGCGAAAAAUUAUAUAAUCAUGUAAAUAACUCAUAAACAUAUUAAUUCAUCAAUAUAUAAUUUUUUAAAAUUAUAUAAAUAGUAAAAAUACAUUUUUAUGCCUAUAAACAAAAUAAGCCAAUCAUAAUGUUUCACUCGGAUUGCUGAUGUGGCGAGAUCUCAGCCAUUCAUCGGAUCUAAUACUUGAUCAAUUUAAUUACUCAAUCCAAUCAUAAUGUUUCACUCGGAUACAUGACGUGGCAACAUCUCAGCCUUUCAAAGGCUUUGGCGGCUGCAUGUUUAAGGUAAUCACAUCCGUUCAUCGCCCAACAAAGCCUUUGGCGAGAUUCUCUUCAACCCUUUCUUCCUUUCCUCGACAUCGACUGAGAACAAAAUUCACAACAAAAUUAAUUCAGAUUAGGUCUUCGUCUUUGGCGACGGCUACUACGACGCCGGCAACAAGCAGUUUCUCUCCGGGAACCAUGUCGACGCCAAUUCUCCACCGAUGGCCACAUCAUUCCUGACUAUCUCGGUACAUUUCAUAUAUACUGAUCUCUUGAAAUCGGUGCUAAUUCGUGAAACAGAAUGAAUGAAUUUGAGUUGUCUCUGUUUUGCGCAGCUGAAUUGAUGGGUAUCCCAAGAAUCCCACCGAUUCUACGGAGCUCGGCAGAGGAUCUCUCUCACGGAGCUAGCUUCGCUAUGGCCGACGCCACCGUCCUCGGCUCUCCUCUCAAAACGGUCAGCUUUUAGUUUUCUCUAUUAGAUCUCGCCUUUAAGUAAAGUUUCUGUAUGGACCAUUUGAAUUUGCGUUAGUGAUAUCUGGAGAUUUCUUUUGUUUAAGUAAGAUUAGUUUACAUAUGAACACAGAUGACUGUUGUCCAAAAAAAAAAAAAUGAACACAGAUGACUCUGUCUCAACAAGUGAUCAAAUUCUUCCAAAACAAGAACAAAUGGACUGAUAAAGCUUUGUCAGAAGCUAUCUACUUGACCCAUAUUGGCUCUGAUGAUUAUUGGGUUUUAUAGUUUUGGUUGAUUGGUUUCUAGAGCUUGUGCUUUUGCUUCCCUUGUUGCUGCAUCUUCUGUUACAAUUUCUCUUUCGUUUUUCAUAUUGAAUCUUCUUGUUGCUGCAUCUUCUGUUAGUGUGUAAGCUGAUGUUCUUCUCUUUAUUUGGUUUAUAGUUAGUUUUCGUUUUGGUUUCUUUUAUUGACUCUAAGACUGAAUUUGGUUCCUUUAAACAACCUGACAUAGUCAAAAUGAAUGGUUGCUGAUAGCAGAUGUUACUCAAUCGUGUUGGCUACUCUCCUAAGAUCAGCCACAGAGAGCUGGUAGAAAUGGCAGAGCACCGGAAGGAAUUGGAGAAGAUGGCAAAACCCGUUCUUGAUACUCUAAGAAGCUACCAGGACUUGCCUCCGGUAAUCUUCUUACUUUGUUUUCAUUGAAUCGAAAAACCUGAUAACAUCUCUGGUUCUCCAAGUCUUAAUUAAACUGUGAUUGUUCAGCAUUAUGAUGUAGCGUCGUCUCCUUAGUUUCACGAACAAGCAACAAGGCUUUAUGGGUGUUUUUAGUCUUUCCUUUUUGUUUUUUUCCUUUUUGAUUAAACUUCCUUUUAAGACAAGCUUACGUGUCUUUCAAGUUUAGGGUUUGGUGUUUCUAAGUCGGUUGUGACCUUGCCUAUAUAAGGCUUUGCUUUCUCUCUUUUGAUAGACAGUUUUUGAAGUUAUAAACGAGAUUUAUCUCUAAACCCUUGUCUUGAUUUGAUUAGUUUCAUCAACACAGGAAAUCGGUCUCAAGAGAUUCAUAUGAAUCCCUUGAUUGAGCUAAGUAGGUCUCAAGAGAUUAUCACAAAUCUCUUGAUUGAGCUGCAUAUCGGUUCUUACGCUGCGCCAGGUUGGUAUCAGAGCUUUGCUACGCUCCUUGUUUCGAUGGCUAGACCAAAGAAAGAUGUGCCGCCUACGGAGGUUGAGAUCACACGUCAAGCAAUUGCAGAUCUUCAAGUUCAAGUCCAGAAUCUCACAACUGCAAUUCAGACCAUGAAUUUGCAGCCCGUGGUGCGAGAAGUUCACCAAGAUCGUGCCGAAGUUGUAGACAACAAAGCUGAAUCUGAUGUUGAAGAUAAUCCAUUCGCUGGAAAUUGUCAGCCUCGGAACCACCGUCGUGUUGCCGCUGACUCCGACACAGGAGAUGAUGAGAAAGAAGCUCGGUGGGAAAGAGGUUUCAAGCUUGAAAUUCCAGAGUUUCGUGGAGGUAAUGUGGCCGAAGAAUUACUUGAUUGGUUUGUGACAGUGGAAGAGAUUCUUGAAUUCAAACGUGUACCAUUGAAUCGUUGUGUUCCUCUAAUUGCAAUUCGUUUUCGAGAUCGUGCUGCUGCGUGGUGGAGUCAAAGUAAGACGUCACGUUCUCGUCUUGGAAAAUCAAAAAUUGUGACAUGGGAAAAAUUGAAGCGUGAGAUGCACAAAAAUUUUCUUCCCUAUAAUUAUGAUCAAUUGAUGUUUCAGAGAUUUCAGAAUUUACGACAAGGAAAUCGUACGGUGGAAGAGUAUGCUAAAGAGUUCUUCAUGAUGAUCAAUCGAGUGAACACUCAUGAUUCUGAAGAACAAUUGGUGGCUCGUUUUGUUGGUGGGUUACGCUUGCAAAUUCAGCACACACUUAAUCUAUUUCGACCUCUAACAAUCUCAGAAGCCCAUCAACAAGCUUUAACUGUUGAAGCUCAAACAAAGGGAAAUUUUUCUUCGUGGAGUGCCUCACGUCCUUCUCGACCAGCCCCUUUACCAUCACUUUCAAGUCCAGCUAUGGAAUCUUCUGUAACAAAACAAGACACUGCAAUAGUACCUUUCGAUAAUAAUCGUGGAGUAAGGACUGGAACUCUUAGGUGUUUUUCAUGUGGUCAAGUUGGACACCGCCAAUCAGCUUGUCCUACACGGGAUCGUCGAGGGCUUCUCCUGGAUGAAUCAGGUAAUGAUGUUGAAGUUAUUUAUGAUGAAGAACCAGAGAUCACAGAAGAUUUGUCAGCAGAUGUUGGUUCAAUGCUAAUGGUUCGACGUAUUUGCUUAACUCCACGAGUCCAAGAUGAACAUCCUCAACGUCACAAUCUUUUCCAUUCCCGAUGUACUAUUGAGGGUAAAGUAUGCAAGUUUAUUAUUGAUUCAGGAAGUUGUGAGAAUGUCGUGGCAGAAGAUGUGAUCACUAAACUUAAUCGUCGCGGAACCUCAUCCGUCUCCUUACAAGCUAGCUUGGUUGCAACAAGGAACAGAAGUAGUUGUUACACGACGUGCGUUGGUGUCUUUUUCUGUUGGUGAUUCUUACAAAGAUCAACUCCAUUGUGAUGUGGUGCCCAUGGACGCUUGUCAUCUUUUGUUGGGACGUCCUUGGAUUUAUGAUAGAAAAGUUCAACAUGAUGGGUUCUUAAACACCUACAGUUUUUGUUUCAACAAUCGUCACUUCACGUUACAACCGUCUCUUCCGGUGAAACAGAAAGUCCCAUCUAACCCUGUUUUAGUUUUGCAGCGUGCUCCUUUUGAGGCUUCAAUGCGUGAAGAAGGACUUGUUGUUGUUCUUCUUUCUACCACUAUUUCGUCUAACGUUCCAUGUAUCAUUCCAGCUGGUUUUGAAUCUUUGGUACAUGAGUUCAGUGAUGUUUUCCCAGAAGACCUACCACCAGGGCUGCCUCCUCUACGUGACAUUCAACAUCGUAUUGAUUUGGUACCUGAUGCGGCUCUUCCUAAUCGUAGUCAUUAUCGCAUGAGUCCGAGUGAACACGAAGAGCUACGGAAACAAGUGGAGGACUUGGUUUCUAAAGGCUUUUUACGUGAGAGUUUAAGUCCUUGUGCAGUUCCUGCUCUCCUUAUUCCAAAAAAAGAUGGCUCUUGGCGGAUGUGUGUCGAUAGUCACGCCAUUAAUAAGAUAACAGUGCGGUAUCGUUUUCCAAUUCCUCGUCUUGAUGACUUACUUGAUCAAAUUGGUUCAGCAUCUGUGUUCUCUAAGUUGGAUUUAAAGAGCGGGUAUCACCAAAUUCGUAUUCGACCGGGCGAUGAAUGGAAGACGGCAUUUAAAACUCGUGAAGGACUUUUUGAAUGGCUUGUGAUGCCUUUCGGGUUGUCGAAUGCACCUAGUACCUUUAUGCGCGUCAUGAAUCAAGCGCUCCGACCAUUUAUAGGUAAAUUCGUGGUAGUUUACUUUGAUGACAUAUUGAUCUUUAGCUUGUCUUUAGAUGACCAUAUUCGUCAUUUACGUGAGGUUCUCUUGGUGCUUCGCCGUGAUAAGUUAUUUGCUACAUUGAAGAAGUGUGAGUUUGGGUCACGUCAAGUGCAUUUUUUGGGUUAUAUUGUUUCCGCGGACGGUUUGGCGGUGGAUCCUAGCAAAGUGACAGCCAUACAAUCUUGGCCAGAACCUACGACCUUGUCAGAAACUCGUAGUUUUCAUGGCUUGGCUUCGUUCUAUCGGCGUUUCGUUCCACAAUUUAGUAGUGUUAUGGCUCCAAUUACAAGUUGUAUUCGUGAUGGCACCUUUGUUUGGACUCCGGAAGCUUCAAGGGCGUUUGCUAUGAUAAAAAAUAAACUCAGUUCCGCUCCUAUACUAGCACUCCCUGAUUUCACUCUAGUGUUUGAGCUCCAUUGCGAUGCUUCAAAAUCUGGAAUUGGCGCUGUGUUAAGUCAACGUACUCGUCCUAUUGCAUUUUUUAGUGAAAAGUUGGCUGGUUCGCGUUUGCGCUAUAGCACCUAUGAUAUCGAAUUCUACGCUGUUGUUCAAGCUAUCAAGCAUUGGAGACAUUAUCUUUUUCAAAAAGAAUUUGUUCUAUAUACGGAUCAUGAUGCAUUGAAGCAUCUUAACAGCCAAGAUACGGUUUCUUCUCGUCAUGCUUCAUGGGUAGCUUAUUUGCAGCAAUUCACGUUUGUAAUUAAGCACACGUCGGGGAUAUCUAAUCGAGUGGCUGAUGCUCUUAGUCGCAGACAUGCCAUGCUUGCUGUUUUAAACGUCUCCGUACCCGGAUUUAGUACAUUUGCUGAUCUCUAUGAUUCUGAUCCGUUCUUUGGUCGUAUUUGGUUGGAUGUCCAAGAGGGUCGAUCUUCUCCUUAUUCAUUACAUGAUGGGUUUCUUUUUCGUGAUUCACGGUUAUGUAUUCCGGAUUGCAGUCUUCGCUUGCAACUUAUUUCGGAGAUACAUAAUGAGGGUCAUGUUGGUCGUGAUCGUACGCUUCACCUCGUCUCUUCUUCGUAUUUUUGGCCGUCUCUCCGUCGUGACGUCGAACGAUUUGUUGAACGUUGUGUGAUUUGUCAGAAAUCCAAAGGCCAAGCUACGAACGCCGGUCUUUAUCUUCCUUUGCCAGUUCCUACACAACCGUGGACAGAUAUUAGUAUGGACUUUGUCAUGGGUUUACCGCGUACGCAACGUGGUUAUGAUUCUAUUUUUGUGGUGGUUGAUCGAUUUUCAAAAAUGGUCCACUUUAUUCCAUGCAAGCGUACAACGGAUGCUGUUCAAGUUGCCACACUCUUCUUUCGCGAGAUUUAUCGCCUACACGGACUUCCAUCUUCUAUUGUGUCUGAUAGAGAUUCUCGCUUUCUGAGCCAUUUUUGGAGAUCUUUGUGGAAAAUGUUGAAUACUAGCUUGGAUAUGAGUUCAGCAUAUCACCCACAAAGUGAUGGUCAGACCGAAGUCAUUAACAGAUCGCUGGGUAAUCUACUUCGUUGUUUGGUCGGUGAAUCUAUUAAGUCAUGGGAUUCGAAGUUACCACAAGCGGAGUUUGCUCAUAAUCACGCUCGUAACAGAUGUUCUGGGUUUAGUCCUUUUCAAGUCAUUUAUGGCAUACUUCCACGUGGUCCAAGUGAUUUAUCUACUCUUCCAGAUCGCACGCGUCUUCACGGUGAUGCUGCAGCUUUUGUGGAUGCCAUUCAAGAAGUUCAUGUCGAAACUAAGCAACAUUUGGAAGCUUCAGUUUCACAAUACAAACAAGCGGCUGAUGUCCAUCGUCGUCGGCUAGUAUUUGAGGUCGGUGAUCUUGUGUGGGCUGUUCUAACAAAGGAUCGUAUGCUUGCCCGUGCAUACAACAAACUCAAAGCAAAGAAGAUUGGACCUUUGGAAGUUCUGGAGCGCAUAAACGACAAUGCUUAUCGUCUACAACUACCGCCAGAUAUCAAUACUUCAGAUGUAUUCAAUGUCAAGUAUCUUUCUCGCUUUCUCCCGGCAGAUCCCGUGCUCGAUUCGGGGUCGAAUCUUUCAAACCAGGGGGGACCUGAUGUAGCGUCGUCUCCUUAGUUUCACGAACAAGCAACAAGGCUUUAUGGGUGUUUUUAGUCUUUCCUUUUUGUUUUUUUCCUUUUUGAUUAAACUUCCUUUUAAGACAAGCUUACGUGUCUUUCAAGUUUAGGGUUUGGUGUUUCUAAGUCGGUUGUGACCUUGCCUAUAUAAGGCUUUGCUUUCUCUCUUUUGAUAGACAGUUUUUGAAGUUAUAAACGAGAUUUAUCUCUAAACCCUUGUCUUGAUUUGAUUAGUUUCAUCAACACAGGAAAUCGGUCUCAAGAGAUUCAUACGAAUCCCUUGAUUGAGCGAAGUAGGUCUCAAGAGAUUAUCACAAAUCUCUUGAUUGAGCUGCAUAUCGGUUCUUACGCUGCGCCACAUUAUCAGUCUCCACUCUAUUAUUGGUUAUUGCUAGUGUCGCUUCACAGUGUAUAUAUAUAUCAUUUCCUUCGGUCUCUUUUUUUAAUUUGACUUAUUUGUUUAUGAUUUAAUUGGUUUUGUCUUUACAGUUUCAUGUUAAUGACCAAGCUGCAAUUGAGAUGGUUAAAGGUCGACGAAGCAAUAUUCAGAAGAAAUUGUAGUUUUAAAUUUUUGUUUUUGUUUUACGCCAAAUUAGUGUGUAAACUUUUUUUAUAUAAGAGUUUUUGUAUAUUAUUUUAUGUAAUAAUGAUAAUAAAUAUUGUAUUUUAUUUUUGAUAUGUUAUUUUAAUCCAAAAAUUCCAGUAAAUGUGAUUUAAAUAUAAUUAAAAUAAUUAACAAAAAUACAAAUAUUAUAAAAAAUAAAAAUUACUGAAAUAAUUAAUCAAAUAUAAAUAUUGCAGAAAAAACAAAUUAUAAAAAUAGACACAAUCCAAUCAUAACGAUUAUUAUUUAUUAUACGUUAUUAUAAAUAUUAAUAAUAGCAGCGUCAUAAACGCUAUCGUUGUAUACUUAACUAUUGCAUAACGCAAAACCGCUAUCAAAAGUGUCCUAGUUUCUAUAACGGGCGAUGUCAGAGCGCUUAAGGAAACGCUAUGGUAGAUGAAUAAUUGCGUUUUUCGGCCGCUAUUAAUACCCACAUUUCCUGUAGUGACAAAAUUGUUAAUGAAAAUUCUGACUGUGAAACAAGUGACCACUCUGUUUUCAUACAUAAUUUUCUUUUCGUAUUUUCUGACUUCAAAACGAGUGACCACUCUUUUUACACUUAAAAAAUAAUUCUUAUAUUUUUCUGAUAUCAAAACGAGUGAUCACUCAAAACACAUUCAUAAAAAGCUCAUCCUUGAAAUUUGUCUCCAUAAUUUGACCUAUGGCCUGGCUUGGCACGGCACGGCACGGCAAUGCACAUGCAUGUGUGUGGUUUUGCAUAAUGGUCCUUUCACUCAUACACCAUUAUUAUAAUGAGGGACAUUUGUUCAUUUUGAUACUUGGUCAAAAUUACAAGAUUUUGAAGCUUUUCAAGCUAUUUAGACCUCAUUUCUCAUUCAAAUUAUAUUUGAUUUUGACAUGUAAUACACAAUAUUGUAUUAUAGUGCCCAUUACUUUGUCAAGAUUUGAAUUCCAACAACUUUUUUUGUUGAAAAAUUGAAUAAUAGAAUAUAAACUAUUUAAAUUAGCUUUAUUUCAUUUGUUUAUAUCCUUUAUAGUCUCUUUCAAUUAGUUAAGUUUAAAUUAGUAAGAGACAAAACUAAUGUGGACAACAAGACGAAACGAGGGACCAUUUGUAUUUCGCUUUUCCUAUUUGACUGAUACAUUGAUUGGUAAUCUCAUCAGCCUAGACACUGGUAUGCCAUGUUUCAGUCUCUGGUGCACUACUUCCUCGGCUGGAUUUAGUAUUGGCUUGCUUGGUUUUACAGACCACAAUUUACCAUGUGUGGAGAGGACGGAACGAAAGUCGGCACCAACAGCGCCACCACUCCCCUGUUCAGCUUGCACACAUCAUGGACAAAGUGAUGUUGGAUCGUAUAUGUUCUCUUAUGCAUAACCUUCCCAGAUUCAUGAAGAGCUUAUCGAUCGUUGGAACUAUUGCAAGAAUCUUCCACAAAUUUGUUUUUUAGCUAUAAUUCCACGUUUGGUUUUCUAUUUUUUCUACCUUCCUAAUUUUUUGAGAAACCAAUUCUUUAUUUAUCUCCCUUUCAUUGUAAAUGUAUCUUUUUGUUGAUUAAUAAAUUUAAAAUUAGAGACACAUAAUAUAAAAUUAACAUUUUCAACUCUUGAGAUCGAUGAGAAGAUUUCACAACUAUAUGAUCAAUGCAUACAGAACGGAGAGAAACAACAUCGAUGUUGAAAUAGAGAGAGAACGGCAUAUGUGAGCCAGAGAGGCAGAGCGUGGAGUGGAAUUGUGAACAUCGGUUUGUCCAGAGUUUUUGUGGGAGGGAGUAACUGGUGAAGGGAGAAUCAUCUGCGGAGGAGCAGGUAAGGUUUGCCUUGUCGGGGCCGCGGCUGGUGGUAGACGUGGCGUUGUUGGCGACACUGGAGCCAUGGAAGUCUGGGAGACGUAACAAAAAUAAUUUAUGGUUUAGUUUGGCCAAAUAAGAGGCUAUGUUGUAUCUUGGACGAAACAUAUGUUCAAUUUAAAAUCUUGAGUAAGCUUUUUGUUCGAAACUUCGAAUGACUCUAGUUACUAAGUUGUCAAUCCAAUUUUCGGUUCGGAUUUUUCAGUUUUCGAAUUUUACAAUUAUGAAAUAGAAAAUCAAAUAGAAACUAUCUAAUAAUAUUUAAACCGCAAAAAAACUAUCUAACAUUCCAUUCGAUUUGAUAUGCGGUUUAAGUUAAGAUUCAAUUUUCCCAUAAAAUGUUUGAAAACUUACUUGGUUAUUGGUAGUCUUGGUGAGCCCGAUGUCGUAAGUCAUGGUUAGAUCAGGUCUAAACAAACCGAAGGCUCGUUCAGAACCUUUCCCGGGCUUGAGAUUCUCGUCGUACAAUGCGAACAAGUAUGUAUCGAUCACUCUCCCGGGCAUCAGUGGCGUCCCGGACCCAGAUUUCAAAUGAGCAAUGAGGUUUUUAUUGUAAGCUCUAGCGUUCUCAACUGUUGCACCAGCCUCAUCCGGGUCACCCUUGUACGGCCAGCCAGUCUCAGCGACCACUAUCUCUACAUCUUUGAACCCUAUCGAGUUCAAAGCUGAAUACACCGCGUCAACCUUCAUAAAAACCAAAUUUUACCACAAAACAGAUUUAAUAUCAUCUAUCUUUUUUGUUUUUUUUAUAUGUUACAAAUCACAUCUUUGUAUUCAUUUACUUUUUCUAGAAGUAAGAAUUUAUUAUUGCAAAUUUGGAUAUCAAUUUUCUUCCUUCCACUAACUUUAUAAGGUACAGUGGUACACUCACAUUGUGUCCUUUACCGAUUUAUACUACUUUUCCUUCUAGAGUACAGUUUUCACUUUCCAUUCAUUUGACGUAACGAAUAUGCCUAUCUCUUUAAUUUAACAAAGUUUUUUUUUUUCCAAAACCAAACUUGAGAAAAAUUAAAUCCAUUUAUCAAACAUACAAACUAGUAAAAUAUCAUCUCGUUGUACUUUAAUUAAUAAUAUACUAAAAAGAAAAUUCAUGAAAUAAAACCGUUUAUCCAAAAAAAACGGAAUUAUGAAAUAAUUAUUUGUCGCAAUAAAAUUUCGGUACAUAAAUAGUAACUUCUAGUAAUUAAAAUAGCUAAAACUUAAAUUAUGUCAAAAGGGAGUAAUGUAAAACCUGAGCAUCGAACAUGUUCAUAUACUUGAGGUUGCUCUUGGGGUCGACACGGCCAGGAUUAGGCUGAAACAAACAAUAGGCCAAUGUUUCGGGUCUCCGGUCAUCCUGGUAAGCGAAAAACGGGUACGGAUUUACCGCGAAAGGCGACCCGGUUUCACUAUUAAACUCUAGCAAUCCUUUCAAUAUAUCAGCAUGCUCCGGUUUAAAUACCGCGGCCGAAGGAGGGUCUGACCCGGCCAGAACCGACAUUACAUGUACCGUCGAAACCUUAAUUUUCCCACCACCAAGAGACACCGCCUCGAGAGCACUUUGUACAUUUUUCAUUGCCGGCAAAAGCUGCGACAUGAGAUUGUUGUCGCCAAAUGUGGUGAUCUCGUUCCCCACGGCUAUGAGAACAAUCUUGCUCGCUGGAUAGUAAGGUACCACGUUGGUUUGGACCCAGCUUCGGGCAAAACUCGGGUCGGAAGCUAAACCGGGUACAUCGCCAUUCGAUGCCCCGAUAACGAUCUCGAUCCCUGUGUUUGCAAGGGCCUUGAUUACAGCCGGGUCGGAUCCGUAAAGACGGACUUUUUGGAAAGUUGUGGACUGGAGGAGCUUUGCACUCGCUGACGGAGGCGGAAGAUUGUCGGCGGUUAGUCCGUAGUUUAUCCCGAGGAACGGUUGAGACUCUGUUUUGAUACAUGUGAAAGAAUCCGAGUUAGAGAAAGUUUUACGUAGUAAAAAAAAACAAUAACACUGUUGUAAAACUUACUUGAUAGAUGUACUAAACACGAGAAGAAGAGAAGGAUCAAUGAAUAAACAGAAGCUAUCAUGGCUGCUCUGUUUUUCCUUCUUUGUUCUUUUCAGUUUAAAUUCUCUCUGACUUAUGUUUUUUCUUUUGUCUCUAUGUUAUAGAGAAAACUAUCGAGCAGAAGUGGGUAAUCUAUAGAUAUAGGUGUAGAAAACGACCGGCGUUGUAAAGGUAAAUGUAACUUUUUCUUUUCAAAUUUUAAAUGGUAAAAUAAAAAACACGACUGCUAUCUUUUUUAUUUGGACCAAUGUAAGUUAGUAAAAUACAUUUGAAAUUGAAAUACAUGAAGAGUUUUUAUUUCUUUAAGUAUGUAUUAUCCUAGUAUUUCAUAGUUCUUGUUUAGUAGGUUAAUUUGAAAUUGUCAUUACAGGAUUUAUGUUCACAGUUCCUUUUUGUUUGGAUUUGUAAGAGAGAAUUAUUUCUCUUUGUUUAGUAAACGAAGACUAGCUACUAGAUAACGAGCCCUCGCAAGAGUACUUUAAACAGCAUAACAAAGAACUAAAGAUUUUCAAAAAAAAAAAACUCUAGAUUUUCAAAAAAAGAGAAAAAACAAAGAACUCUUGAUUGUUAACAAAGGAAAACAAACUCUUGAUUAUACACGUAAAGGAAUAUUGUAUUUAUAAUCAGAACAUUUCUGACACAUUUUAUAUAAUUAGUUUGUUUAUAAGCUGAGUAUUUGAAAUUUCAAAUAUACCCAGUGAAUAUAGAUAUAUAUUUCUGACAUUCAUUUAUAGUUUGUAUAGAAGAGAGUGAGUAUUUGAAAUUUCAAAUAUACCCGAUAAAGAUACAAAAUAAAUAUAUGGCAGUGUAUAAGUACGUGUUGCAUGACAAUUGAAAGAGACAAUAAAGGGAUUAAAACCCUAAAGUAUCUUUAGUUAAUUAGUUACAUGAAAAAGUGAGACAGAAUUAAAAUGAAUGCAUUUUCCCACACUUAAUGAAGCAUUAAUAAACACAUAAUUAACUAGUUUAAGUAAUUGAGGGCUUUUUGUUAAUUAGAUUUUCCUUCUUGACUAAGAAAUGGAGCAAUGCAUCGAAGGUGGUGGAGAAGGAGAGCAAGGAAUUAGACAUUCCAACAUACACCACAAAGAUGGAAAAGAACAAUAAUAUUAAAGAAGAAGAUGAAGUCGCUUUUGCUGUGGCCUAAGGAAAAGUUAAAGCAUGUUUAAACUACUGUUUGUUUUUUCCUCAAAAAGACAGGAAAAUUAUUAAAACAAAAAGCACAAAAGGCCUAACAUUUGAACCACAAGUUUCAAAUUUGAAUCAUUUUUGUAUUGCAAGGUGACUUCCAGAAAAUUUUAUCUUUGACUGGUAAGAAUAAGAAUCGUUAUAGAGCAAAAUGGUAGAUGAUUGUUCAUGAUGAGUUUGUAAUAUAUUUGAAAUAACAGACACACGUGUGUGUGACACAAAAACGUGUGUGUGUGUGACACAAAAACGUGUGUGUGUGUGACUCAAGAGCAGUGUGUGUUAGAACUUAGAAGAGCUGUUACUCAAGAGUUGAUGCGAUGAUAAACAAUUAAACAUAGCUUGACUUAAGAUAAUUACAAACUCACGUGCUUCAAGUGAUGUUGUGGAAUUGGAGUCUUAUUGAGAAGAUCUAAGAAGAGAGAAAAGUGUCACAUGGGCUUCGAGUCCAUAAGAUAAGUUACGUGGGCUUUGCUCUCAAAGAGAAGCCUAAGUUUUAGUAAAUAACUGAGGAUUAAUCUUACUUUAUAAAUAGAACGUAGCUGUAAAAGAGAAACACUGUGCAUCUAGGGUUUAUCUAAAGAGUGAAUUUAUGCAUAGAUAAAAAAAAAAACAUCGAAUUAGGUAAUCGGUAACAGGUGAUUUUGUCUCAUACAAACAAAAAUCAAGCGUUAUCAAUGACCCUUAACUUUAAAAGAAUUACUAUAAAACCAGUUGGUUACAGAGCCAUACGCUUGUGAUAGCACCAUUGACUUUUGAGGAGGAAGAAAAAAUGAAAUGAAAGUUAUUAAAUGCUCUGUUGUAGAAGUGACAUUUAGGCGACGAUAGAAAGAAGGAGGAGGCUUAUAUUAAAUACAAACUCAUAGACUAUUUUUGAAUAUCUUAAUUUUGAAUCUAUAACGCAACUUGUUGGACGGAAAUUUGAAUUUUUAAACCACUAACCUAAUGGAAUAGACACCCAAUGAAUAGGCAUGCAGUUGUAUUGCAAAAAAAUAUGCAUGUAAACACAUAUAUAAAGCGUUAAAAAUAAUUAGUGUUAAGUUAUUAGAUAUAUGUAUAUAUGUAAAUAUAUAUAUAUAUAUAUAUAUAUAGCAUUAUUAACAUUUGUAUACAUCUAAGCAUGUACAUUAAAUAUUAUUAACAUUUGUAAACAUGUAAACACAUAUAUCGAGCGUUAUUAACAUUUGUAUACAUUUAAACACGUAUAUAGAGUGUUAUUAACAUUUGUAUACUCAUAUGCAAGUUACAAACAUUAUUACAACAACUGUAUCUCAAACCGUUGAACAGAAUAUUGCAUCGUAAUUGGACACUGAAAUAUCAUUGAAAUCAUAAAUUUCGUAUUUUCGAUGGAUUUUCACCAGGUUUCGUCGAGUUUUCACCAAAUUUCUUCAAAUUAUCACCAUAUCUUCACUGGAUUUCGUCGAAUUGUCAUCCCAUUUUCAUCAAAUUUUGUUAAAUUGUCACCAAAACUAAGGAAAAUUCAUCAUAAUAUCGCCUUCUUUAGUGAAUGAGUCUUGAGGUGUAGGUUGUUCACCGAACCCGUUAAUAAAUCUUUGUGUCUCUUUACUUUAUGCACAUGCCAACUCGUUACACUUUCUCAUCAUACAAACACAUAUAUGAUCUAGCAGAAAAAUGGUUAUUUCAAUUUCGUCUCAAAAGAAUACUUGGCUUUAAAACUAAAUGGCAAUAGAUAAUUUAAGUUUUGUAUUUUAAAUCAUAUGAUCUAAAGUAGUAUGUUAUAUUUGCAUGUUGUUAUUUGUUUUUGGUGGGAGGUGAAUCAAUUCAAGUUUUAGAUAUGAGGGUUGAACCAAUAACCAAAAGUUAAGAAAACAAUUGAAAAUCUCAAGAAAAUUAAGGAAGUCUUUUAGAUUAAUUAGCACCGAAUAUCCAGUCGUUGAUUUGUCAAAGUGAGAGGCUAGUCAACUAUUCUUACGAGUUUUUUGGAAAGAGAAUUCCACAACUCCAACACAAGUUAAACAUCUUUUGUGCUUCCAAGUGACCAAGACAAUUAAAAAUCUUAAAAGGUUGUAAAAUAGAAUUCCUUAAGAAAAAUACAAUAGUUACUGCUAAACUGGAUUAGACUGGUUCAUAGGUUUAAUUCGUGAAACCCACAUAUAUGUUAUUAGAAUCCCAAGUUACUUUACUUCUUUUGGGAUGAAAAGUUCGAAGGAUCUCUAAGUGAAUCAAAAUAAAGAAUUUUUCAAAUCAUAAUUAGAAAACUAAGAAUAAAAAAACGUAUAUAAAAAGCUAAGAAUAAAUGUUUUUUUUUUUGUUUGAAAUUUAUUAACCACGCAUGAAAGGGGAUGUUAUGGAAUUUGUAUAUGCACGAUUAUAUAUCUACGAAUCUACGAUUUUGUUACAUCAAUUGGAUUGAUAAUACACAAAAGACUCUCACUCUUCCAUACCAAAUCAUUGCUCACACAAGGUGCACAAUAAAAAAGAAAACCAUAUUCAGACAAAACAUUAACGAGUGAAUUAAUGUAUGAAGAUAAUAAUCACCUAAAAUGAGAGCUCACUUUUGACUCGGAAAAAAAGAGAGUUUCGGCUAUAUGCAUAUAAGAUCUCUUGUUAUCUCCUCCAAGAGUCCACUGAAGACUUCCCUCUCUAUAUCCCUCAUAACAUCAUCUUUCUCGAUGAAGGCGACCAUCGAAUCGUUCCAGCCCAUAUCCCACAUUGAGUUCAAGUUUGGGUCUUUAUGGUGAACAUCUCUUUCCAACACGUAGUCUUCAACAUGUGAUCCAAUGUGGCAGUCCCUACCGUAGGCUCUCAGCUUCUCUAACUCUUUGCUUAUUUGUCUAAUAAGAUGGUCCAAUGAGUUUACUCUAGAGGAACUGAUGGGUACCUUCACGAAAGGAUGGACACUUAACUCUUGAAAUCUUCUUUUUCGUUUCAUUAGCUCGAAGGCACACUCGAGGAUUAGAUUCUUGUCUUCUUGUAAGUAGUUGCUCCCACCGGUGGCGUCAUGAAAUACAUUUUGAGGAAUGUUGAGUUUGAAAAGUGCCUUUGCUGUGUCUAGAAAUAGUUGGCUUUUCACAAAUAUCCUCUUGAGGUUUGUUUCAUUUUCAGAUAAUGUCUCUGUAGUUUCUCGUUUUUGGUGUUCUUGUGGCUUCUCCAACAAGGGUAAACUAGCUUCUACCUCUCCUUUUGUUCCUGAAAUAAUUGAAACUUAUUUUAGUUCCUUUUUGGCUAAACAAAAUUUGUUACUUGUUGCAUUUGUGGUUCUAUCAUUAGCAAAACAUAAAGCCUUGAAUAUGUUUUGACAUUACGAUUUCAAGCACUUUUGGCAACAAUACCCGACUUCGGUUUGGGGUCUCUUGGUUAUAAAAACGUAAAUUUGGAUAUGUUUUGAUAUAUUUGGCUACAUGUUUUGAUAUCAGUGAGUGUUUUGGCUCUAAUAUCAAUACUUGAUUCUUAGUGAUUUUUUUUUUUUUGAAUACCAGGAGGUUCUGGGCCAAGGCCCGUAGUCCCCAGACCCGAAACCACAACAUGUAUCGUAAUAUUAGUUUCGUCCCAAGCGUCACUCGAACUGGCGACCUCUAAGCUUCGCCUAGGGUCUUUACUAGUUGAGCUAACGACACUUGGUUCUUAGUGAUUUUAAAGGUGCAAUGAGAUUUAUAACAAGACAAACUGAAAGUGCAUUCUUUGCUUCUUACCUUCAUAUACUGUCUUGGAUAAUCUAACUGAAUAUCCGUCAGACUUUGAUAUUGGAGCUUGUUGAUCUAUCCCAUCCGUGAACAUAAGCCCAUGAUGCUGCUGAUUAUUCAGAAAUCAAUUUUAGAGGUAAAUAUGUACGAAUGAUAUAUAUGUGAAGUUAAUAAUAAUAAUAAGCUUACAUUUCCUGAUGGAGCUUGGCAUGGGACUCUCUCUGCGGCAUUGAGCAGAAUCGAGUCAUCUUUGAUCUCUUUCUUAUGCUCUACCACAUUUUUGUUUGAUGAUUGAACCUCAUCAACACCUGAAACUUGAGAACUUUUGAUGCAUGUCUCUGCUUCUGCUUUCAUCUUAUUACUGUCAUUAUAGCUUCUGAGUAACAUUUGAUCAUGUUUUCCAUCUGCUUUUGUUAUCUCCACUCGCUUCAUUACUUUGCACAAUCCUUCAUUUGGAUUAUAGAUGUAUUGGUUUUUCUUCUCGCGGAUCUUGACUUUAUGAACCUCUCCUUCUUUUCCCUUUUGUGCUACUUCAACAUGAGUAAAAAUUUUCUUCAUAGCUUUAGCUUUGUCUGUGAGUGGUACCUUCGUUUGUAUAUCCACAGAACUCAAAGUUUUUGGUGAAUGAUUUUUCGUUACGCCAUUUUCGUGCUGUCUUUCUCGAUGCAACUUCUCUUUCUUAUUGCUCUUUUCAUCCUCACCUCCCUUAGAGUGAUGGAGAAUAAGUUUUUUCUCAAAACUAAGUUUAUGUAUUGGCUUUUGUUGACUCCUCGCGACAACCUUAUGUUUAUUUUCUGUUGGAGAUUGAUUCCUUUUGAUAACAUUUUUCGUCGUCAUUUCUCCAUCUUUCUUGUAUGAAACUUUGCUUCUUUUUCUACUGUUUGAAUCAUUCUUCUCUCUAUCUUUCUGUUGAGACUUGGCUUUGUAGUUUAUCUCAUUCGCGGUUUGAGUCUCCUUAUGGAUUACUAAAUCCAAUGAUGUUGACUUCCUUUGUGCCUUCAAUUCAACAAGAUUUUCACUUACUUGCAUUACUCUAGGCCUUGUGAGAUUCUCUGCAUCAUUUUUGUUGUUGGUCUCUUUUUCAUCUUCUGGAAACUCUCCUAGUCCCAUCAACUUGGCCACAACACUUGGAAUCCUUCCUUUCUGAGGUUUCACUGAUUUCUCUUCGGUAUCUUCGCAACUACUAGUUUGCUUUCUAUGUUUGAUGUUUUUAUCCUCUUGAUAGUUAAGCGCCAAUAGUCUCAUCUCGAUAUCCGCCUUUGCGACUUGUUUGAUCUUUUGGUAAUUUUGGUUAUGAGCAUCCUCUUCCUCCUCAUCAUCUUCUUCAAGCAGCUUGAUUCUGUUUUUCCUCUGUUUGUUGGUUGUAUACUCAGAAGCUUGUUGUAUGUCUACAAGCAAACGAAGAGACUGUUCCAACUCAAUGGCGCCUUCCAUUAGUUGUUCCCCGCAUUGUAUCAAGUACCUUCCUUUACGAAAACUGAGGCCGUUGCUACAUGCUUUAAUGAUCUGAUUUAGUUUUUGAGCCCCCUUUGAAAUCUCUUUGAUAUGAACAUGAAUCAUGGGACUGCUUGAAGAAGCUUGUUGUUGUUUCACUACAAAUUGACUGCUUCUUCUUUCUCCCAAAGAUCUCUUUCCUACAUCAUGAAGGAAUCUAAUGAUUGAUGCAUUCCCUGAAGGAUCUGAUCUUGUAGCUUUUCCAGCAUUUUCAAGUGCAAAUGCUAAUGCUUUCGACAAGUCGAGUUUCUCUAUGCUUUGGCCUUUUCCAUAAGGAACUAUCUGAUUUGAAAAUUCUAUGCCACCGCUAGUGAGAUCUUGAAAUGUUGUCUGCAACAGAACAAGUAUUUGAUUUUAAUAACAUAAUGGUUACACUCAUUUGAUUUUGAAAGUUAGAAAUAUGCUUCACAGCUUACAGAUUUUGCUCUGGAUCCCUUAAAUCCUCUGUUCGAAUAUGCAUAUUUAUCUGCAACAAAAAUAUCCAAAAGUGACAUUAGAGAAACUUUUUUACGUAGCUAGUUUCAAUACAAAAGCUUGAUCCUUUAAAACCUUUGUUGGAAUAUAGACAGGAAGGGACUAAAUUAACCUGUUGUGGUCCCUGACCCGAGGAAAUUAUCGGCCUAAGCCCGGAACUUCUUAGUUAAUACAUGAAAAGGUUUUACAUUUAAUAGUUCAUAAUCUUGUGAUUCCUUAAUAUUUGGGUGGGAGCAUUUUAGCUUUUUUGGCUACUUCUACUAGAUCUAACAGAGAAAACGCUGUGCGAUAUCGAAAAAGAUUUCACAAUCUAGCUAGCUACAUGCUCUCUCUUUUCAGGUUCAUUCUUACCUUUUUGUAGAGAGUUCUGAGAGCCUGAAAGCUGUUCUUUCCUCACCCGAAGAUCAUCCAACAACUUCUGCGCAAAAUCUGACCUUUUCAUCAUUCUCUUCUCGCCAUACGAACUCAUUCUCUCUUAUUUUCACUCUUGAGUCCAGAAAUUUGAAGAAACAAGAGAAGUCUCUGCACAUUUGCUUUAGGGACGUUAUUUCUAAAGACUCAAUACUUUUUUUGAUUUUUGUGUGUUGGUUUGAGUUGUUUUCUUGACUUAAUCGUUGGUUAAAAUGGUUCUUUCAGUGUUUGGUGAGAAAAUUCUAGUAGUGAUAGCAAAAAUCUAAUUGAUAACAAUGGAAGACUCUAAAUUUUUUUGAUGUGUGUGUUUGGAUGAUUGACGUGAACGUUAGGCCCUUCUGAGUAAUUUUUCGUUUCUUGACUUCGAUUGCAAGUUAAGCAAUGACGAAGGGUUUUCUUUGGACUUAACUUUCAAGCCUCUUCUCACUCUCUCUUGCGUCUGGUAGCCUUUGAAUUUAUUAUAUGAAUACAAUAUUUUAUGCAUACACAAUAUUGAAAAUUUCAAAUGAAUUGUGCAUUGUUUGUCCGACCCAAAGUACUAUAGAGCAUCCAUAAAAAUCACCUUUGAUUAAAAAAAAAAACAUUAUUAAUGAAUAAUUUUUUUGUUAAAAUUUACUUUCAUGCAAAAUAUGAAUGUAAAAUUAUUUGCUUAUAUAAUAUCAGAUUGCUUAAUUUGUUUUCUUUAAUAUCAAGAAUUAAAAACAAUAAUGAAAUAUAAUAUAGAUAAUAGUAGUUUUCUUACAAAACCAGGUGAGUCUCAUAAAUAAAAACUUUUGAAUUGUUCAUAUUCAUACAUGUAUCCAUGAUAUCUACCCGGCACUGUCCUUAUCCGAGUAGAAAACUUCACAUACCCUAACGAUCAAGGGGGAUUCAAACAUAUAAAACAAAUCAAGUCGAUCAUCUUCUACGUAUUAAAAAAUAGGGAGACUCACAAAAAUACUAUUUGGGGAGUACAGUUUAUAAUUACCUUUUAAUAAUCUUUCCCUUUGUGAGUUAUUACAUUAGAAUGCCAUUAGAGAUAAAAAUAUAAAGAGUAAAUUAAUUUAGCUUAUUAAGGAUAAACAAGUCAAAUACUAAUUUAUGAAAUUUAAUUAAUUUAAUUAUUAAAAACGAAAAUAUAUUAUUAACUUAAAAAAAAGAAUGACCAAUCAAAAUGAACAGAUUAGAUUUGAUAUCUAACUUACCAUAUUAAUUUGUUAUCAAUCAUUAUACUUCUCCUCUCAUCUUUAUAUGAUUCUAUUUUUAUGAAACAAAUAAAUCAUCAAAUCAUCCAUAUAACAAAAAAAAAGUAAAUUUUUUCUGCAUAUGCCAAGAUUUGAAUUUUUAAAAAUGAAUAUCAAUUGUUAAAUCUAUGAAGAAAAAAAUUUAACGGAUCAAAAAUUCACAUUUGAGUAAUAUAUUUCUUUUAACCAAAAAUAAGUUCAACAAAAAUUUGGACUGAGUAACGGGUCAGAAUUUGAAUAUUUAUAUUCAAUUUCAUACAUUUAUUUUUUGAAAUGUAUUAUUUUAUAUAUUACAAUAAGAUUUUUAAAUAUUUUAAUUUGCAACAUAUAAAAUUAGUUUUACUUGAUAUUUUUCAAGAAUAUCAUCAAUAUUUAAAGAAUAUCAUCAAUAAUUACUUUGAUUUUUUUAAACAAAUAUUUAUAAUAGGCAGUGGGUUAAAUAUAAUAUAUUAUAUUAACAAAUGAGUUAUGAUCCUUAUAACUGUUUGAAUAUUUCUAUUUAAUUUCCUAUAAUUAUUUUUUGAAAUUCAUAAUUUUAUAUUCUACAAGAAAUGUUUUUAAAUAUUUUAAUUUAGAACAUUUAAAAAUAGUUUAAUUUAAUAUUUUAAUGAAUAGCAUAAAUAUUUAAUAGAUUAAAAAGAUAAGAAAAAUUAUAAAUACUUUAAUUUGAUUUUCUAAAAAUAUAUAUUUAAAAUAGUUAUAGUAGGCGGAGGGUUAAAUGUAAUAUAUUAUAUGAUAUAAAAUUAUGAUCCUUAUAAUCGACGGCAUGUUUAGAUUAUAUGAUCAGAUACAUUAAAUAAGUUUGACACAAAAAAAUAUUUGAAAAUUUGAUUGUGAAAGCAAUUUUGGAAAUAACGAAUAAUAGAUUGUGCACGCAAUAUUUUCAUUAGGAUUCUAAAAUAAAAAUAUAGACUCCAUGCACGGGUUGAAUUUGGUAUAUUAUAUACUAAAUGUAUGUUCAUAACCUAUUCGAUUACGCGAAUAAUUGGUAAAUUCCGUAGUUACCUCAAACAAAUCUCUAUUUCAACAACCAAAGAAUUAGAAAUUGAAAAAAGAAUUUCCUAAAUUAAUUCAAAAUAAUAGCUAACUUUCUUAAUUAAUUAAAAAUAAUCUACGUUUUAGAAGCGAUUCAUUUAUAAUAUUUUGAUUUUGGAUCUAACUGAAUUAUAUGCAAUCUCAUUUUGUGGUUGUUAAUAUAAAUUAACUCAUUGUUCAGACCAUAUUAAUUUAUUAAAAUAAUUUUAUUUUCCGUUUUCAUAUCUUAAGAAAAUAUAUCCAUAAUUGAGUAUAAUUAAAAAAAGAAAAUAUAUUCAUUCUAAUAUUAUAUAUAGGGACUGAAAAAAAUCUAAUUAUAUGUUUUCAAUUACUAAUAUAAUAUAUCACAACUUUAUUCUAAAAUAUAUAAUAUAUAUAUAUAUUGUAAUAAAUAAAAUUUAACUAGUACUACAGUACGGGUGAUGGUCUAGUUAACAGAGAAUUUCUUUUUGAUUUUGUCUACAAUAAAAUAUUUCUUCAAAAUAAAACUAUACUUUCAAUUGGUAGCAUAAAAUUUAUUUUAAUUGGUAGCAUUGAUAUAUCUUAAAGGAAUCUUAAACAAUAAAUGUAUAUUUUCUAUAUAAAUAUUUAAUAUUAUUAAAUAUUACGUAAAUCUCAUUAAAUAUCUUCCAUUUGUUACAUCGAUUAAUAUAUAUAUAUAUAUAUAUAUAUAUAUAUAACGUUAAUAAAGUUUUAUAUGUUUUUUUAUUUGUUGGAAUGUCAAAUUUGUUGAUUUUGUAAAAGAAUAUUUAUGUACAUAAAUAUAAAAGAUUAUAGAAAAGAAAAAUAAGCUGGAUCAGACACAUAAAAGAAUAUAUCAGACACCCUGUACUUGAUAUCAUCCUUAAAAAAAUGGCUACAUGGGGGAUUGUUUGAUAUCAAAGUGGGAGACCUAACUAUUUGUAAACCUUCUUAACUAGUUUUUUUUUUACUAUUGAUAUCAUAAAAAUGUAUUUUUCAAAAUAUCGCAAAACGACAGUAAAAAAUCGAAUUUAGAUAUAACUUUGUCGAGAAUUAAAAAAUAAGUUUGUACGAACACUUCACUUAAUGAAUCUUUGAUCAAACUAUAUACAUUUUGCCUCUUUAUCUUCUUCAUCGGCUUUGAACCACGAUGAAGAAAUUUUGUUCCUCAACGAACGAACUACGCUUCCAAUAAUCUCCCAUGUCUUGGUGAACGGCUCCAUAUUGCGACUAAUGACAACAAAUUCAUAACUAGCCAAUAUUUAUGGAAAUCUUUUAAAAUAGUUUCCAUAAAAAUCUAACUAUCAAUUUUAAAAUUGUAUAUAUGUAAAAUUAUUUAAUAUCGUUAUAUAUUUUGAGAUAUUUCCGGAAACAAAAAAAAAUCAAUUUAAUAUCAUUAUAUAUUUUAGAUUUUAAUCUAUUUCCUUAAAAAAAUAUACUAAGAAAUUCUGAUUAGUAUAGAUGGAAGGAAUAAAAUUUGAAAUUGUCUAUAUGUUAACUUAUUUAAUUUGGCAAGGUAAUGUUAGAUAUUUCCGAAAACCACAGUCCAAUUUAAUAGUAUAGAUAAUAAUGUCAAAAAAUCAGUAAAUAUAUAUUAGGCUAAUAAUGGUUUAUUAGUAGCCCAUAAAAUGUUGCCCACUACAUAAAAAAAAAAAAAAGAUAGUGUGAGACCAUAUAAUAAUAUAAUUAGUUUAAAGAUUGAUUUAGAAAUUUAUUAUUACAACAAUUAUGAAAAAUUUCAUGUGUUUUCCCAUGGUUAACACAUAAUUCUUUUAAAUAUUUACACACAAUUCUUCACUAACCAUAAUUUUGUCCAUUUAAAUCAAACUAUCAAUAAAACACAUGAAGUAAAUUUUUUUCGGUAACACUACUUUACAUCAAUCAAAACUUCACAUUUCAUAUAAUUUUUUACAAUUAUUCAAUUUAAAACUUUUAAGAUUUGCAGUUUUAUAAAAUUUACCCUGCACGAACGUGCGGGUCUUGAUCUAGUAUAUCAUAAAUCCCAUAACUUAUAUGUCUUUAUCAUAAAAGCCCAAGGCUACAUCACUAAAAGAGUAAUUGAUUGAGAUCGAUAGAGAUUGGUUUAUUAUCUCUCUACUAAGAUUCCGUUUACGUUUGUCGACUGAUAAGACUAUUUUUAGGUUUUCGAUGAAAUCGAGAUAAUCUAGAAUCUUCACUACAACACACGUUUCCGGGAAGUCAAUCGCAAUCAAAAACAUAUGUGCGAACUCCAUAUAUGAGGCACUAAAGGACUUAAGCGUUUCUUAUCCGCAAAUACAAUGUAUGCAUUUGCAAUGGUUCCUAAUUAACGUAUCAUUGACAAUGUAUCUAGUGAAAUACAAGUUGAUUUCCAAUACCAAUAUAGCUAAAUCAGUCUCCAAGUACAAUUUUGUCUGAACUAAAAUGACUAAGUGGUGUAAGAUUUUUUACGUCAACUUCGACAUCCUGAUCCAAAAUUUAUGCUUCAAUUGGAGUAUAGUUUAUCAUCAGUUCAUAAGUUUUUGGUGGUAUAAAAUCACCAUCCCAUGAUAAAAAUAGAUAUUGCCAUCCAAAUCAGUCCCGAAUACUCAUCAUCAAGCCACUUUAUGUUAAUAUUUUCAUUUUUGUUCUGCAAUUUAUACUCCAAAACCAUUAUCAUCGUUCCAUUUAUCUAAAUCACAAAUCUCAUCUCUCACGAUAUCUGUUUGAAAGGAAAACAAAGAAUGCAACCAAAUAAAACGAAAAUGCUUACAAAAACAAAAGUUGUCGUCACAAAAUUCUUUAGAAAGCAUUUACACUUUUACCCCCUGUUCAAAAACGCGUGCGCCUAGCCGCCUAGUCGGCCGCCUAGGCGCUCCUCGGGACACAACCGCCGCGAUUAUGUCAUAAUCGGACUAAUUAAUCGUUGACCGAUUUUUCGACCGCCUAACUACUCUCUAGGCCUGGGCAUUCGGGUACCCUUUCGGGUUCGGUUCUUUUUUUUCGGGUAUCGGGUCUAUUCGGGUAGGGGGUCGAGACCCAUUCGGGUAUUCUAAAAAUUCGGUUCGGUUCGGAUAUUUUAAUAUAAAAAAAAAAGCAAAAUACCCGAAAAUAACCAAAAAUACCCGAAAUAUUUUUGGGUUCGGGUCGGGUUCGGGUUUUUUACUCGUAUAUACCCAAAUCUAACCGAAAUAACCGAUUUCUCAAAAAUACAUUGGUUACUCUUUGCCCAAAUAUAACCAAAAAUAUCUUAAAAUACUAAAAUUACCCAAAAUAAAACUACAUCAUUAGUUACUUUUUAACCAAUAUAUCCAAAUGUAUCCGAAUUACUCAAAAAUACCUAGUAUAUUCGGAUUUAUGAUUGUAAUUUUAGGUAUUUCGGAUAUUAUAAGUAUAAAUAUAACUAAUAUUUUUAGGUGUAUAUUUGUAUUCGGGUACCCACGUGUAUUGGAUUCGGUUCGGGUUCGGUUCGGGUUUUUUUCGGGUAGGAGGUGUAGGAUCCAUUCAGGUAUUUUUAAAAAUCGGUUUGGAUCUAUUCGGAUAUUUUUUCGAAUUUUUCGGUUCAGGUAUUUGAUUCCAGUUAUUUUGCCCAGGCCUCUACUCUCGGCGUUGAAAAUCGGAUUAAUAACCAAAUAAAUAAAGUUCUAACUUGUAAAACUUUUAUUUGUUGGGCCCCAAUUAUUAAUUGGGCCUCAGGUAAUGCAAGAUGGGUGGAGAGUGCAAUAUUUAUAAGCAAAGUUUUCAGUUCUCUUUCUCUUGCCUAACCGAUGUGGGACUUUUGAUGUUAACGAAUGUUUUAUUUCGUUCUUUUUAGAGCAAACGCAGUGGAGCAUGUGUAAUUGUGGGUGUAAGUAAUUGUUUUUUAUUAUAAUUAAAAGAGAAAGAGAGAAAAGAGAGAGAGAGAUAGAGAGAGAUAGAGAGAAUACAUUUUUUUUCUAUUUUUAUAAUGCCUCACACUUGAGUGUAAGUCUACACCCGGUUUUUGUUGAAAAGGUAACUUUUGCAAUAUUUCUCAAUUGUUUAUAACUUACACCCAUGUCUCAAUUACGCCAUUGCGUUUGCUCUUAGUAACCAAUUCCCAAUUUCCCAUUUCUCUUUUAUUUCCUUCUUUUUGGUGUUUGUAAUUAAUUCUAUUAUUUAUUACUAAAGAUAUCAACGUUGGAUCAUUUCCUAAUCUAUAAAAUCUGGAUAAUAAAUAUUAAUUUAAAUACUACAUUUACAUACUAAUUGACUAUUUUGUAUUAGACACACAAAAAAAGAGUUUCCUCAAGAUCAAUUUUGUCAAAAUUAAUUUUUUGUUGACAAUUAUUUGAAUAUUUAUAUACAUAGCAUAAUAUAUUUAUUUUUAACAUUACAUUAAACACAUUAAUGCAUAAAACAUAUAUUUAUUUAAUUUUAACAUUAAAUAAAAUAAAAUAAUACAUAAAACUAAUCCCCGAUUAAUCUCCGAUUAAUAUCCGAUUUUCCGUCUAGGUGCUAGGCCCAGCUCGAGCGCCCGACUAACUCCUAGCGAUUUUUUGAACAAGGCUUUUACCCUUUAUCAAAAAAUAAAAAAUUUUAUGUACUCUUUGACCAAUUUUAAAAGUAUAUACGACUUCAAUUCUCUCUUUAUCCAUGUAUGCUUCAAAUAUCAAUUCUUAGAAAAUCUCUAAUUCAAUAUUAAUAUUUUUGGUUUAAUUUUAUUUGAGAACCUUACCUAAAAUUUCUAGGUCUAUCGGUAAAAUAACUGUUGAGUAUCACAUCAAUAUAUUAUUAAUAUCUUCGAUUCUUUUAGUUUAAAAUUUUUACGUUCAAUUUUAUUUUAUUUUAUACUUUUAUAAACAUAUCAAAAUACUACUUAUUUUUUUCUAUGAAAAUAUAAUUAAAAUAUUUAAAAUUAAAAGAUUAUAUUAAAUUUUAGGGGUUUUUUUGUAAGUGGUGACUUAAAGAAUUAUAAAAAUAUUUUAAUUUUAGUUUAAAAUUUUUAUGUUCAAUUUUAAUUUAUUUAUAUUUUAUAUUUCAUGGAUUUAUAAGGAUUUGGAAAUCCAAACAAAAGUUAUUUAUUACUAUUCAAACACUAAAUUUAAAAUCUUAAUUAAAAUCAUGUGUUAUUGGUUCUAUGAUUUAUAAAUACUAGUUAAAAUCCUCUGUUAUUCGUUUAAUCAUUUGGUUUUGGAUUUCAAAAUCCAAAUUAUGUUUUAAAUGGAUUUCAAUAGAUUUGAAAGAUAAAAAUAGAAGGAUUCAAAUCUUUGGGCAAACAACACAUGUUACUUCAAAAUUUAUAUGUCUUGAUUUCAUAAUUAAUAAAACAAUUAUAAUCUCUAUACUAUUAAAAGAGAAGUACAAAUGAAAAUGGGUCGGGUUAAAAUCAGAAAAUUGACCCAAUUUCUGAAAUCGGAUCUUUGAAAUUUUUUUGGAAUAUAAUUUCGAAUUAAUAAUGAAAAAUCAAAAUAACAUCAAAUAUUUAUAGAAAUCAAAUAUAAUCUGAUUAUACUUAUGGUAACUAAAAAUAAAAGCAUAUUCCGAACAAUAUUAUACAUUAAUUACGUAUAAUAAAUUUGUUCAUAUAUUUUUGGGACUAAUUCCAUAACAAUCAACGUUUUUGUCAUUAAUUUCGCUCAUUUUAGCCAAUUAUCAUUAAUUGAAAGAUAUAUGAAAUACAAACCCGUCCCGCGAAUGUAUGCGGAUUUGCGGGAUUGUCCAUGGAUUUUGUUAAAAUAAUUUUAAAGUAACCAAAAUUUAAAAUACUACUAAAAUAAAUAAAUAAAUAAAAAUACUAUUAAAAGUUUGUUUAAAUUACCACAUGUUGAAUAAAUUAUAAUUUUAUCAAAAAAUACUAAUAUGCGGGCUGAUCCGCCAACCCGCGGAUGAAAACCGAUUAAACCUAUGACCCACUUCGAAUUAAUCCAUGUGGCCCGCUUAUUUGCGGGUUUAAUAUAUUUUCCCAAAUCUGCCCCAUAGUGAGAUGAUGUGGGCUCGAUCCGCGGUUUUUGACCUAUUUUGACUGCUUUAAUUCCCAUGAAUCGUCUAAUUUUAGAAUUUUAAAACACAAAAUUCUAUUUUGUAAAUCAUAAUUAAUACGAUGGGUAUAUUUAUAAACAAUUUUACAUUUUCUCUACAAUUCGUUAUUGUGAAUAUUUAUAAGUAUACUACACGAUUCGUUCUACUAAAAAACACACACAAUAUUUUUUUUUUUUGGUAAGCUGAGGGAGGCAUGCCUCCCACAUUUUUAUUCAACUAAAUUAAAAUCUUACAAACGAACACUUCGUGGGUGCGAAGACCCACUAAUAUCCUCCAACAAAAUUAAACGAAUAACAUCAGGACUAACAUCAAAAGAAUGAAAACCUAAAGGAAGCGUGAACGCAUAGUUAGCUAACCCAUCCGCAAGACGGUUAGCUUCUCUAUACACGUGAGAAAUCCGGACUAUCCAGUCCCUUGAAAUAAAGCCGUAGCACAAACGUACUAGGAAUGACAGUGGAUGAGCAUCACUAAUCCCUGACCUUAGAAAACCCACCACUAUCUCUGAAUCUACUUCGAGCUCCAACCGCGUGAUUCCUCUCUCCCACGCAAUAUACAGCCCGUAGUAAACUCCCCACAACUCUGCUAAAGGUGCUGAACAUAUCCCUAUAUUCAACGCAAAUCCACCUUUCCAGUUUCCGGCACCAUCACGUAAGACUCCUCCUNNNNNNNNNNNNNNNNNNNNNNNNNNNNNNNNNNNNNNNNNNNNNNNNNNNNNNNNNNNNNNNNNNNNNNNNNNNNNNNNNNNNNNNNNNNNNNNNNNNNAGCUCUUUAAUAAAUUUGACUCUAUCUCGGCAACGACCCAUACCACCAAAAACCUCUCCACAACGCCAUUUCCAUGCCCACCAUAUAAUCAUAGCAAAUAAUAGUAGACCACGGCACUCCGUGCCGCUCUGUUCCGUCUUUUAAGUUCCAAUAAAGCCAUUCCAGUAAUGAUUUUUGGAAAAACAUGAUCAUCUUGGAUGCAGGCACAAGUCGCUGCCAAGUCCCAGCAAUUGACGGACAAUCCCUCAACACGUGCAUGAUUGUCUCCUCUCCACUACUACACACCGGACAUAUACUCGUUUCACUCAUAUGCCGCGUAUAUUAAAUGCAACGUAUGUAAUAUUAAAUGCAACGUAUGUAAACCAAUAUUCUCCCGCGGUGGACCGCGGGUCCGAUCCUAGUCUUAUAUGGAUUUACAAAUCAAUAAACCAAUAAGACUCCCUUAGGUUUUUUUCUUUCCAUUAAUGUAAGUGGUGACCUAAAGAGUUAUGAUUAAAUCCGUGAUAUGAUUUCAAUAGGAGAAUGAUUUAGAAGAAAGUGAUACGAUUUCAGUAGGAGUUAAACAACAAAUAAAAAGAUCAAACAAAACUAAAUUAAAUGUCAUUUCCCAUUCCUAAAAUUUCAAGGAUUUGCACCUAAAGUAAUGGAAAUAAACCCUUCCAAAAUAUUGUUAACAAAAUAUCAGAUUUAGCAGUGAAGAGCACAAUUAGCCUAGAGUUAGCAUCUUACAUACAAAAGACAAAAGGGCAAUAAACUUCUAACUCAGGUCAUAUCCAAAUUCCUGACAUGAUCAGCUCAUAUCUUUUGAGCUUUCUCCAGAACUUCCAACUCUUGUAAUGUAAAUCUGACAGAACAACAACAUUAAUCAUUAGUUUCAUCAUUUCUUGCAAGUUUGUUAGGUAACUAAACGGGUUUACUAACCUUGAAAGCGGUACGACGAACUAACUCGAAAACAAGAGUAUCCCCAUAUGCUAGAUUGUGAGCAAUAGCAAACCCCAUCCAUCCACCACUAAGUCCAUUCUUUCUCGCUAAGUAGAUAGUCUCAUACUCCUCGCCUUCUUCAUCUAUCAAAGUUAUGACACCAUCUUGUUUCCCGAGGUGAGAUCUACAGAAUUGAACUGGAAGUCCCUGAUUGCAACCAAAAUAAUGGCUUUGUUUUGGUUAGAUAAUAACAUUCAUUAACCAGAGAAACGCUCAAACCAAGACCUUAGACAAACCCAGAAUGGCCGUAAUAAGGUUCGAUUGUUGUUCUUGAGCUGGAAAAGCUACAAUUCCCUGCACCAUCCCUGGGCUAUUACAAUAGUCCUUCUCUAGACAUAACAUCUUAAAGGUCCUGAGUUAGAAAGACUGACUGGUUCUUAAAAGUUUUGUAGUUAACAUGGUUUGACAUUAUUAACACAAAUUCAUCGUAUUAAAAGCGAUACUUUUCCAAGUAAUACUCAAUGCAAAGAAUGGUGAUAGAGUCUAAGCAAACAGACCAGAAAUUAAGUAAACAGCUAGACUGAACAUGAACAGCUUAUCAUAGUUAGAAAUACUGUCUGGUUCUUGACAGUUUUGUAGUUUACAUGGUUAGACAUUUUUAUCUCAACCUUUUUGGUUAGGUAAUUCCAUUCACAUGUACAAAAACAUCAGAUGUUUAAGAAGAUUCAGUUCUACAACCAUAAAAGAGACUUGAUUAACCAGGGAAACGUGCAAAACCAAGACCUUAGAACACUAACUCUUCGUUUAACUUUCAGCUCUCAACUAACUAAUGUAAGAUUUGUUGUUGAGCUGGAAAAACUACAAUUCCCGGGACAUGAACAGCUACUUAGAGGUCCUGAGUAAGAAAGACUUUCUAGUUCUUGAAGGUCUUGUUUGUAGUUUACAUGUUUAGACAUUCUUAUCUCAAACUUUUCGGAUUCAAAGCGAUAGUUCCAAGUAACACGAAGCAAUACUAAGACCGGCGAUGGACUUUAACCAAACAGAACAAAAAUUAAGCAAUGUGAGUAAUACAAAUAGCUAGACUUAUCAUAGGUACUGAGUUAGAAAGAUUGACUGGUUCUUGAAGGUUUUGUAGUUUACAUGGUUAGACAUUUUUAUCUCAAAACCUUUGGAUUAAAAAGCGAUGUUUCCAAGUAACACGAAGCAAUGCAAAGACCAGCAAUGAACUUUAACCAAACAGAACAGAAAUCAAGAAGUGUAAGCUAAAGAUUUUGUGUACACGAAAGUUGAUUACCAGCCAGAAGCCACCAGAAACAUGUGAUUGAAGCAUAGAUUUAACAAAACUUGGGUGACCACUCCCCAAUUCAUCCUGGAAUUUCUCAGCUCUUGAAAAUGCCUCUUCUCUGAUUUCUUCAGAAAUAUAAACUCGAUUCGACAAAUCUCUCCUUUUACUCAACCCCCUAAACAAAACCAAAACAAGACAAAAAAACUAGUCUAAUUUCAAAGAUUCAUAGCAAAAAAAAAAAAAAGAUGAGAUCUUUAUGCAAUUUCACCUUCUCCGUAUCUGAAUUCGUUGUACAUCAACCUGUAAAAAACAAAAAAAAAAACCCAAAUUUCAUAAGCCAAGCUAAAACCCUAGAAAUGAUGAAAAAAAAACAGAUUUUUGCGAAUUUUCAAGAAUCAAGAGAUUAAAAAAGAGGACUUGCUUCUCUGUAGACAGGAAUCGAAGAAGAAUUAGAGAUACGGCUAGAUCUACGAACAAUCACCAUCUGCUUCUCUGGUGUUCGAGGAAUAGAUCUCUUCUUCAUCUGCCAAUAGUUUACACAAAAAAUAUUCAAUCGAUCAUUGUAUGGAUCAUGUAAAAGAGAAGAGAGAAAGGAUCAAAACCGGAGAAUUUUUGACGGAAGUGGAAUUGAGAUUUUGAGAGAGUUUUUGAAGAUUGAGAGCUUCCAUUCGUUUCUUGUUCUCUUCCACUCUUUUCAAACGAAAUUCUUCGUAUUUUGAUUGCUUUGAGACCACCAUUUUUGGGUUUUUUCUCAGAAGAUUGUUUUUUUUUUUUUUUCUCUUGAGUGAAGAAAACCCUAGCUGACCGUUCGGAGCUCAAGGAUUUGAAUUGUGGUACUGAGUUCCAGAAAAAAAAAGUCAAGAGUCAAAGGAGGAUUAUGAUACAACAAAUAUUUGGGCCUAUGGGCUGAGGAUGAGUUGUCUUUUACUGAGAAUAUAAACCCAAUAGUAUUCACAAUUUUGUCGACGUUUAAUAAAGUUACCCAAAUUAUCUCCUAAACAUUAUUUGAGUAGAGCAGUGAUUUAAAUAUGUGAAUUGUGACCUUACAAUCUAGGCCUGCGCAAAUAAACCGAACUGAAUGUAUCGAACCGAAACCGAAGAAAAAAAACCGAACCAAAUCGAGCCGAAAAUUUAAAAAUAACUGAAUGGAUACUAAAUUCUAUAACCGAAAUAAACGUAACUGAAUCGAUACCGAACAGAAAUAUUUUGGAUAACCGAAAUACCCGAAAUACAAUUAUAUUUUCAAAAUAAUUAGUUAUUUAUAGACCAAAUAAUCAAAAAUACUUAAAAAAUAUAUAAAAAUAGUAAAAAUACUCAAAAAUAACUGAAAUAUAUCCAAAAAUAUCCGAAAAUACUCAAAAAUAACCGAAAUAUCCGAAAAUAUCCUAAACAAAAUAACUGAAUGGAUACUAAAUUUUAAAACCGAAAAAACCGGAACCGAACCGAAACUGAACCGAAAUUUCAAAAUAUCCGAAUAGAUACUAAAUUUUGAAACCAAAGAACCGAAACCGAAUGGACCCAACCGAUAACCGAACGGUUAACCGAAAUCCCAGGCAUAUUACAAUCAAUUUCAAGAAGAACUAUUUUUUUACUAUCAGAUAUUAUAUACUUAUUGAACUCAUGAAAAGUUUUAACCCAACUGGUAAAAGCCCACAAGGAGCCCAAUCGUGUGGUAAAGGAAGAGUCUGGUGACUUCGUUUCCCAGCGAAGGGAAAACUGAAAAUCUGACUUGCGAUUGUCUAGUUUUGUAAUCGGAAAGUUGCGAUCCGGUUGACGGUGAAGUAAUCGAUUAGCGGCCUAAAUCUGUCGAAGAGUCUUUCUAGAAGUUGAUUUUAACCCUAUUGACAGGUAUGGUGCUAAACCAGUUAGUAGCUAGAGAGAUCAUUAGCUUCAAUAGUUGUUUACAAUUCAAGUAUUGUGAAAGCACCACACCAAAAGUUUAUAAUUACUGAAUUUAGAAGUUGCAGUCUUCCAGCGAGAGAUAGAUACUUUGUAGUCCAGGCGCCUAUUUUUGAUCUAAUGGCUUUGCAUAAGCAAAAUAUGUUCAAUGAUUCAAUCUCGAGUCAUCUUAACCCGAGAUAAGACAUCAUUUAUAGCUUUCGAUGUUAUCGAUUCAACAAUGUCUUAAAUUAUUUAUCUUGUCCAUGUUGGUAGGGUUUUGUUCAUUUUUAACGCAAGAAAGUCCAUUCAUAAAAAACAAAAAAAAAUGUACCAAGAAAAUCUUCAUAAGCACCGGCCAAAAAGGAAAAACAAAUAGUUGAAAAGUCUUGAGAAUUAUUUGAAGAGUUCUGACUUGUGAAACAAACGAGUUAUCUUGACAAAAUAAGAUUUGUGAUUAAGUCAAUAGAUAGGAAACUUCCUCAACUCCGAAAACUCCGGGAAACUAUGGUGAUAUUGCUAAGAAACGGUGAGACCUUACUUCUCCUCUGUUUUUCUUUUCACAAUCUCAAUGACUAAUCUCUUAAGUCUUUGUUCUUCUUGAAAUUAGUUUCCUCCCUCUCUGUUCUAUGGCUCUAUGUUCUUGGAAUUAGCUUCGUCCUCUUCUCUCUCUAUGGCUCAAUGUUAUUCUUGAAAAUAGUUUCAUCCCCUCUCUCUCUAUGGCUCUAUCUUCUUUUUCUUCUUCUUCUUCUUCUUCUCGCAAAUGGGAAAAUGACCUCUUCCUGAGCUUCAGCGGAGAAGACAUCCGCAAAAGCUUCCUCAGUCACUUUUAUAAGGAGCUUGAUCGGAAACCGAUCCUUGUUUUCAAAGACAACGAGAUCAAGAGAGGCAUAUCCCUCGGUCCCAAGCUAAAACGGGCGAUUAGGGAUUCAAGAAUUGCAGUCGUUAUCUUUUCCAGAAAGUAUGCCUCUUCAAGCUGGUGUCUUAACGAGUUGCUGGAAAUUGUGAGAUGCAAGAAAGAGUUUAGUCAAGUGGUGAUUCCCAUUUUCUUCCAUUUGGAUCCUACCCAUGUAAGGAAACAGACCGGAGUCUUUGGAAUGAAUUUUGAAAAAACUUGCCACAACAAAACAGAGAAAAUGAAGAUUCGAUUGAGAAGAGCUUUGACCGAAGUAGCUAAUAUCACCGGGUAUCAUUCUUCUGUGACAUGGUAAGUUUUCAUAUUGUGUGCUUACUAUAUAUAUAGAAAUGUGUUCCCAUGUUUACGAAAUGAUAUUUCUCCUUGUUAGCAAAAACGAAGCAAAAAUGAUUGAGGCCAUCAUCGCUGAUGUUUUGGGUGAACUAGCUUUAACGCCAUCAAAGGAUUACGAGGACUUUGUCGGCAUCGAAACUCAUAUCGCAAAAAUGAACUUUUUGUUGCAUUUGGAAGCGAAGGAGGUGAGGAUGGUUGGGAUAUGUGGUCCCUCCGGAAUUGGUAAGACUUCCAUUGCAAGAGUUCUAUUCAACCGACUCUCCCGUCGCUUCAGAUGUAAUGUUUUCAUUGAUAGGGCUUUUCUGUCUAAGAGUAUGGAACAUUAUAGUGGAGCCAAUCUGGGCGACUAUAACAUGAAGUUGCAUUUACAAGGAAUUUUUCUUUCGGAAAUUUUGGGGAAAAGAGACAUUAAAAUAUGUCAUUUAGGUGCAGUGGGAGAGAGGCUAAAGAACCACAAAGUUCUUAUCUUUAUAGAUGAUUUGGAGUAUCAAGUCGUCUUAGAUACCUUGGCAGGUCACACUGAUUGGUUUGGAUGUGGGAGUAGAGUCGUUGUGAUUACAAAAUAUAAGCAUCUCCUGAAAGCCCACGGGAUUGGUCGUAUCUAUGAAGUUCCUCUCCCAUCUAAUCCUCUUUCCCUUCAAAUAUUAUGUCAAUAUGCCUUUAGGCAAAACCAUCCACCUGAUGGUUUUAUGGAGCUUGCUUCCGAAACUUCAUUGCGUGCGGGUAAUCUUCCAUUGGUUCUUAAUGUUUUGGGUUCGCAUUUGCGGAGUAGAGACAAAAAAUACUGGAUGGAUAUGUUGUUGAGGUUUGGAAAAGGUCAACAUGGUAACAUUGAGGAGACACUAAAGUUGAGCUACAAUGGGUUAAAUAAAAACGAUGAAGCAAUAUUUCGUCACAUUGCAUGUUUCUUCAAUGGUGAGGAAGUCGAUGAUAUCAAGUCACUACUAGCAGAUAGUGACUUGGAUGUUAAUAUGGGGAUUAAAAACCUAGUUGAUAAAUCCCUUAUCAAAGAAACGUGCAAUACCGUGGAGAUGCACUCUUUGAUACAAGAAAUAGGCAAGGAGAUUAACCGUACACAGUCUAGUGAGCCUGGAGAAAGAGAAUUCAUUGUGGAUUCGAAAGAUGUUUUCACUAUACUUGAAGAUAACACUGUAAGUUUUCUCGUCCUCUUUUCAUAUAUCUCAUUCUUAUAAAGAUCAAAAGCAUGAGUUUAGCUGAUGGUUUUGUCUCUUUUUGUUGAUAUUAUAAUUGCAGGGUACUGAAAACGUUUUAGGUAUAUCAUUGGAUAUAGAUGAGACUGAUGAACUGCAUAUUCAUGAGAGUGCCUUCAAAGAGAUGCGUAAUCUUCAAUUUCUAAGGAUUUCUACCAAGGAGAACAAAGAAGUUAGAUUGAACUUACCAGAAGACUUCGAUUAUUUACCACCUAAGCUCAGAUUACUGAGUUGGAGAGGUUACCCGCUUAGAUCUAUGCCAUCUACAUUUUGUCCUCAAUCCCUUGUUAAGCUCGAAAUGAGGUACAGCUAUUUCGAGAUGCUGUGGGAUGGAGUUCAAGUAAGUUUCUAGUAAUAUUAAUUAGAAUUAGUUUCAAGAUCAUAUUACUUAUUUUACUUAUUGAAAGACAUCUCUUUUAACUGAUGUAUUACUUACUUAUAUUUCAGCCACUUACUACGCUCAAGAAGAUGGAUUUGUGGGGAUCCAAAAACCUGAAAGAAAUCCCUGAUCUUUCAAUGGCCACAAAUCUCGAGACACUUAAUUUAGGGGCUUGCUCGAGUUUGGUGGAGCUUCAUUCCUCUGUGCAGUAUCUCAAUAAACUGAAGAGAUUGAACUUGUCAUAUUGCGAAAAUCUGGAGACUCUUCCUACCAACUUCAACCUCCAAGCUCUGGACUGCCUCAAUCUCUUUGGAUGCUCAAGCAUAAAGAGCUUUCCUGAUAUCUCAACCAACAUCUCAUAUCUCAAUCUAAGUCAAACCAGGAUUGAAGAGGUUCCUUGGUGGAUCGAGAACUUCACUGAGCUGAGGACGAUAUAUAUGUGGAAUUGCGAUAAAUUGGAGUAUGUAACCCUAAACAUUUCCAAACUCAAACAUCUUGCGAUCGUUGACUUUUCAGACUGCGGGGCAUUGAAAGUAGCUAGCUUGAAUGAUAGUCCAAUAACGGUGGAAAUGGCAGACAAUAUUCACUCGAAGUUACCAUUCUAUGUCGAGGUUUCCUCUUCUCUUCCAUAUGAUCAUUUCCCAAGAGUCGAGCUCGAUUUCCUCAACUGCUUCAAGUUGGAUCAAGAAGCUCUUCUUCAGCAACAAUCAGUUUUCAAGAGACUAAUCUUGCCAGCUGAUCAAGAAGUGCCUUCGUAUUUCACUCACCGUACUACUGGGACCUCUAUGACCAAUAUCCCUCUACUUCAGACAUCUCUCUCUCAACCAUUCUUCAGGUUUUUGGCUUGCGCGGUGGUAGAUUCUGAAAUUAUUUCCAUAGAUCAUAUUUCAUUUCUCAUCGAGGUAAAUUGUCAGUUCAUAGACGGACUUAGGAACCACUUUGGUUCUGCUUAUUGGCCUAUGUACUUCGCGGCAGCACCGUUGGGUAGUCAUCUUGUUAUAUUCAACUGUAGCUUACCUCUAAACGGUGACUAUGCUUAUCUAGCUAAACGUCACUACGAUCACGUGGAUAUACAGUUUCGUCUCACUGAUGACUACUCUCAGAUCAAAUUAAAAGGAUGUGGUAUAAGACUCUAUUAGGAUUGAACUCCACCUCCGGAUAUUCUUGCACAUGUUUGUGAAGCCUAUGAAAUCAACAGAGUCAGUGAAACUUCAGGUCAAGUGUGUAGAGACAGAGAAGAAGAAGCAAAUCAAGGUAAUUAAGCAUUAUAUUCUCUAGAUAUGUAUCUUAUUAGUUCCUUUUUCAAGAGUAAACAGAAACAAUUAUAAAUAAUGUAAUGUUGGAUAGUUUUUGUAGAGUAUGUGAAGGGACUAAUCAAGAAGCGAGAUGAUGAUUGAUGACAGUGAAUCUGGAGACUCUGUUAGGGUUCUAGGUGGAAACAUCCAAUGCAAUGUAAAAGGUUUGUCUGUUUUUUUCCCUGAACAAUUAUUCUUCUUAUGUUCUUCCAUACUGCAUUUCUCGAUAUCAUGCAUUUCGAUCGAACAGCCUUCUUCUGUAGAAUAAAGAUCGAAAGAUUUUGGCUUCUUUUUUUGUUAUGUGGUUUUAGUCUGAUACAAGAAUGUUCAUUUGAUGAUUGAUACUUGACGAAUAUAUCGUAACUUAUUUAACAAGAUAGUUAUAACUCUGUUUCGUCAAUUGCUUAAUCACAAAACCUAUGAAGAAUACACAAAGAUGUAACUGUUCCGGGCUUUAGAAAAUUCACUGUCCGGGCAUUUUUUUCACUCUAGGCUCUGAUCAUAUCCAUUAAAUGUUUUCGAAUAAGAAUGAUUUGUUAUAGUCUCCAAUCUUUUUUUAUGGAUUACGUCUCUACUCUAAAAUUUUAAAUUCUCAAAUUUAGCUAAAAAAAAUCAGAUUGUAUUUUGACAGUUAUCUAGUAUUUGCUCAUUCUUUAAAACCUGCCUGGUCACUUUGUUUCUUGAGGGCAGAAAGUGAAACUCCUUAAGGUCUUGCCUUAAGUUCUACAAGCUUAUUGUUACUUUAGUCUUGUUGACGUUUUACAAGCUUAUUGUUACUUUAGUCUUGUUGACGUUUUUCAAAUCUGUCAUUGAGCAGAAAUCUAUUUCAAUUCUCUGAAGCACUUCCACAUCUGAGUGAUUCUUAACCAAAUUGUAAUUGUGUGUUGCUUUGGCUUCUCAGGACUUCAUGUGAAGAGACUGCACAAAAUGUAACAACGAAGAAGAGUGAAGCGAUUGUGGAGAAGCCCUUAAAAUUUAAGAGUUGUUUUCUGUAUUUUUCCAUUUUUUUAGUUAUUGAAAUUUUUUGGAUUUAAUCUUGUUUUGUUUUAUUUUGGAUUGAGUGAUUGGUUUUAAAACUAUAGGUUUCUGGAUUUUAAGAUGAUUGAUACAGAAUCAGGUUCUAUCUCCUAAUGUGAGUCUUUACACCUAGAUGAUUUUAGGUUACACUGAGCCUUUGAUGAAACCUGCAACAAAGGAUAAGGAAUCAAUGUGAUGAAGAUGUAGACAUCACAGUGAAGAAGCCGCAGAAGAAGUUGACAGAUAUCAAGUCAACGAGAAGGAAAAGUUGCUUAUUUUGGGUUAUUGGGCCACUGCCAUCUCUAAGUCCACUUAAAAAUUGUUUAUUUUGUGACAGCCAAAAUGAUGGAACCGACAAAGAACAAGAGCAAGUAGCAAGUAGAAGUGAGCAAGGACAAUGUGGUGGUGGAUUUUAAUCUAAUCGGCCCCCUCUCCUUGAAAGAUUCUCUACUUAUCCCCCGUUAUAAAUUUAUUUUAUUUAUCUAUUUAUCUUAAAUCAAAUAUUUAGUAAAAGACAAUAAAAUCUGUGGAAGCCCUUUUGGUCCAUUGGUUGAACAAGGGUUAAUUAAUGCUUCUACACCCAGAGGUCUGGGUUCGAGUCCCAGAUACUGCGAUUUAUUAAUAAAUUUGCAGAUUAUUGGAGGCAAGUGUGCAGGAGAUCUCCAGCGAUGUACAAUUAUAACCGUUCGCCAGGAUUCUACGCAGAGAGUGAAGUGUCCAUCAAGAGCAUAAAGAAUGAGGUGAAGGAGGUGAGUAUGAAGAAGAAGGUAAAGAAGGUGUCGUCUGUCGUGGAUCUAAUAAGGGUCGGAAGGAAUUGUCCGUUGUAGAAUCGUCUAUGUAACAGUUCUCAUAAUUUGCAAUAAAUAAUAAAUCCAGACGUUAAAAAAAAUAAAAUAAAAAAGACAAUAAAAUCUAAGCUUUUAGACAUAAUUACAGACCCAACCUAAGUUUGAAUCUCUAUCCACAUAUAUUGGAUCUCACUGUUGGAUCUUUUAAUCCCAAAUCCUCAAAAUCGACGUCUGAAUCCCUAACAUUAAUUUUUUUUCUCUCUUGAAGAACGACGAACUUAAGAACCCACCAAAUCCCUCCGUCGUUCUUCUCUCGGAGCUCUACUCUACUCUCGUCGCUGGCAAACCUCCUCUUCUUCCCUAUUCUCUCCUUUUUUUGAUCUUCAUUCUUCUUCUCGUUGGAAAUCCACCGUGAGAAAUCCAAAUUCAUGUUCGUCCGUGUCCUCUCUUUGUAAGCUACGAAUUCUCCAUUCUUGUUCGUUCUUUUGUUUGAUUUAUAUUUUGGAUGGAUUGAGUUGGGUUUUGUUUUGUGAAAGUGAUGGAUUUUCAUAUUUGAAUUUGUCCUUGUUUUCGGAUAUUGAAUUUUCGAAUAUGAAUUUGGCCCAAAUUUCAAACUUGAAUUUAUCUCUAUUUUUGGGUUUGAAUUUUUCCCUUAGAUAGAUUCAAAAUGUGUUUAAAUGUGUUUCGGAUUUCGGAUUCGGAUUUGAAAUGUGUUGAAAACAAACUUUAUCUCUUAUAAUUAUGUAGAUAGAUAAUGAGAUUGUGUGAAUUUGUGUUUGGAUUGCUUAUUUAUCUCUUUUUGUUUAGAUGAUGAGAUUAUGAGAGUAUGCAAAACAAAGAUUUAAGCAAUGUUCUAAGAAGAAAUGUUAGUUGGCACCGAAAAGGAUAGUUAAGCCUUCAAUUCAUGUCAACGAACCGUAUACGGAAGAAAAGAUGAAGAUGGAGAUCGAAGGAGAAGAAGAAGGUCUCUUGGUGGUUUUAGAUAUAUUGUAUGGUUUUUGAUACCACUGUGUUGGUGUUUUGGCUUUAGGUACAAAUGUUCGGAUUGUGUUUUGGUUUCUAAGGUUAUGUAUGAAUCUAAGUGUUUAUGUACAACUGAUACGAACAUGUACAACUAUGUAUCUGGGUUUAUAAAUCUAAGUGUUUAGGUACAAUUGUUCUGAUGUGUUUUGGUUUCUAAGGUUAUGUAUGAAGCUAAUUGUUUAGGUACAACUGGUACGAUCAGGUACAACUAUGUUUCUGGGUUUAUGUUUUUUGGUUAAAAAACCUAUCUAAUUAUGUAUGUAUCUUUGAAUCUGAAUCUUAAUAUUUUUAUGUAUGAAUCUAUGUAUUGAAUAUAAUCUAAGAGUUUUGAACCAAAAAAAAAAUCUUAAUUUUUCAAAAAAUCUGACAAAUAUGUAGGUUGUAAGGGUUUUUAUUAAAAAAAACAGUUAAAUAUCUGAAAAUAUCUGAAAGAAUCUAAAGAUAUCUCAAAAUAUCUAAAAAAAUCUGACAAAUAGCUUACAUGGCGCCGUUAUUUUGAAAAAAAUAAUUAAAAAUAGCACAAAUUUGUUCCUAGUUGUACAGUAGUACCCGGUUGCACAUUUUUGCUCAUAGUUGUACAAUAUAGAGAAUUUAGUAAAUCUAGUUGUUAUCAACUCUAGUUUAAUUUUUGUGGGUAGAACCGAUGAUAUUGCCUCAUAAAAAUACCAUUACUUUGUAUCUGUGUAUUUAUAUUUAUCAAAAUACAAGUAUUUCAAAAAUUUAUAAAAUUUUAGUUCAAAACUACAAAGUAACCAUGAAGUAUAAGGUUGUUAGUGUAUGAAUGUGAGAUUUUAUGUAAGAAUUUCAUUAUUUUAGAAAAUUUUGAAAUUUUUUGUCAAAAACUUGUUGUGUAGUUUCAUUACCAUCGUGUAUGCAUUUUUUUAGGUUUUUCAAUUUGGUUUUAAUUUUUCAUAUUAUAAAAUUGGCCAAGGCAAUAGACCUUAGUUGUACCUGUUGUACUUAGUUGUACCAAAACUGAACAACUUAAUUUGCACAGCUACGACAAUAUCGUUUCUUAAAUUAUCAUAAUCUAAUAAAUAGCACUCAUAAAACUUAGUUGUACAACACAGAACAUAUAAGUUUCAUAAACAAAACCAAUACAAACAAUAUCGUUUUUAAAAUUAUCCUAAUAAAUAGCACUCAUAAAUCAACCUUGGUCACCCGCAUCGUCUCCAUCAACGUCACCAUCAUUGGUAGAAUAAGGUUCUUAGUGUAUGAAUGUGGGAUUUUGAAUAAGAAUUUCAGUAUUUUUUUAUCGUCUUAGUGCAUCGUCACCAUCAUUGGUAGAAUAAGGUUCUUAGUGCAUCGUCUCCAUCAACGUCACCAUCAUUGGUGAACACUCGCCCAAACCGCUCGAUCCAUGCGACCUCUUCUUACGUCCUCUUCCUCUAUGUUCUCCAACGGAGAUGAAUCUUGUUUCUUGUCUUCUUCCUUGUUUUACCUCAUAAUCCGGAGGAUAGGCAAACAGUUGCAUUAUCUCCUCAGGAAGAACCCAUUGAUUAUUAUGGGGAACCGGAUAGUCCCCCUUUCGAUUUAUUCAUAAGAAAAGAAUGCACUUCUUCAUCUUCUCCAUUAGAAAUCCAAUGUACAUCUUCUCCAAUACUUGUAUAGUAUCCGUCAUAAGCAAAGGGUAUGACUGAAUUCCUUUUCAUUGUCCCUGAAAAAGAAAGAGAGAAAAAACGGCUUAUAAUUUCACAACUUCCGUAGCAGACCAUCAACAUAGUUGUACACAUUUGUCCCAGUUGCACCAAACUUAGGGUUUCCGUAAAUAUUCUACUUAGUUGUACACAGUGGUUCCAGUUGUCCCAAAUCUGCAAGUCUCGUAGGGUUUAAUAUCGUAAAAGGUGAGAUAUUUAGUAGAUUUGUUUUUUAAUGAGAGAAGAGAGAGAAAGUUUUUGAUUGGUUGAAUAAAAAAUAUGUUGGUAUUAAAUUAAAUGUAGAAUUAAAGGGAUAAGGGGUAGAAUUGGUUUAUGAAAAAAUUGGGAAGGAAAAGGGUAAUGAGAAUAAAGAGGGGUUUUCCAAAAAUUGAUUUCCCCAAAAGGGGCUGGAGAGAUUUAAAUCCUGUGGUUAAGAAGCAAUGAGUCUUUAGUUUAACUAUGCUAGUAAGAAAGAGUGUCUUGUUGGUUAAUGUCUAGCAAAGCAGAGUUGUUUAGGAGUCUUAAGGUGUUUGAAGUGAUGUAGUACUAAUAGUUGUUAAGACGUCAUGAGUGAGCCAGCCUGACCUGGGUAAACAAAGAAAAGAGUGAGAACUUGAGUGGACUUGAGCUCAAGGCAAAAGUUCAACAUACACGAGGAAUAAUAACAGAUUGGUUGUGCGUUGAAUCUGUUCGACGAAAUGCCUGUGAGAGAUUUUGUCUCGUGGAAAUUGAUGAUCAGUGGAUGUGUAAUGUGUGGUGAUAUGGAUACUGCAGUGAAGAUGUUCGAUGAAAUGCCUGACAGAAGCGUUGUUUCAUGGACAGUGAUGGUGAAUGGUUUUUUUUUUUUUGGUCAGGUCAGGUUGAUCAAACGGAGAGAUUGUUUUAUCAAAUGCCUGUGAGCGAUACUGCAGCGUCGAACGCGAUGGUUCAUCGUUCAUGGGUAUUUACACAUUUGUUAAGUAGACGAUGCCUUGAAAAUGUUUAGACAGAUGCCUAAAGAAUUGCUUUUUGGACGACAUUGAUCUAUGGGUUAGACCAGAACGAGAGAAACUGGAGAAGCUCUUAUCUUUUUUCAAGAACAUGUUGUUGGGUUGUUGCAUAAAAUCUACUUCAAGAACAUUCACUUGUGUGAUCAGUUGCGGGAAUGCUCCAGCAUUUCAUACGGGUAUACAAGUUCAUGGCUUCGUCAUCAAGUCAGGGUUUUUACAUGAGGAAUAUGCAUCUACUUCGGUGAUAACGGAGGAUUCGCGCAUAAGGUGUUUGAUGAGAAGGCUCAUGAGAAUAAUUCUCUGUGGAUUGCUCUAUUGAUAGGGUAUAUUGACUAUAUUCUGAAGAUGUUAAGAAACAGUAUCUUACCGAAUUAAUCAACAUUUGCUACCAGAAUAAACUCUUUCUUUACUUUGAGAAUAUUGGAUUGGGGUAAAAAUAUGCAUGGAAUUGCAAUGAAGCUUGGUUUCGAAUGCUUGUGAAAUCUAAUGAACUCGUUUGGUUGUCUAUACUUAGUUCUUUUAGACGGAGGCGAGAAAGCUGCUGCAGCCAUUUUAAUCUGGACUCGAAAUCAAGCUCUGCUUAUGUUUUGUUGUCGAAUAUAUAUGCAUGGAGUUGAAGCGACUGUGGAAACGUGAAUAAUUCUUUUGUUGUGCGCAGCAUGGGAGUAGAAAGUGGGCGUUUGUUAUAUUUCGUCACGCCUAAACAAAGAGCCAGAUGAGAUCACGUUUUGGUUUGCUCUUUACUUGUAGUCAUUGUGGGUUUUUACAGAAAAGAAGAAAGCUGUUUGAUUGCAUGUCAAGCGGACCAAAUCAUAUCGAUAGAAAGAUUCCACAUUACACUUGUAUGAUUGAUAUCUUGGGAAGAUACAGGGAAUUAAAAGAAGCUGUGGAGCUUAACAUGGUUGUAAAACCUAAUGAACUGGUUUGGUUGGCUUUACGUAGUGCUUGUAGGUUGCAUUAUGAUUAGACACUAGACAGAGGCGUGAAAGUUGCUGCAGCCAUAUUUAACAUGGACUAGGAAUCAAGCGUUUCUUAUGUAUUCUUGUCGAAGAUUAUAUACUUCUGCUGGUCGAUGGUUGAUUCUAUCGAAAUUGAAAGUUAAAAUUAGGCAAGAGGGGAUAAUGAAGAAAUCCAGGAGCAGUUGGGUUUUGCCUAGAGGGAAAAAGUAUGAGUUUUUCUCUGGUGAUUGAACACACUUUUUAUGAAUGAGAUUAUUGGUUGAACAGUGACUUGGGAAAAUUUUACUUGUGAUGUGAGAAGCUCGGGUCAAAAAAUCUGAUCUUAAAUCAGAUAUUAAUGUAAGAAAAGAGCCAUAAAUAUGGUUCUGACUUGUGUGGUGGUGAUUAAGUCAAGUUCCAGUUCAAAAGAGGAAACUUCCGUCAAGUUGCCUCAGCAAUAUCCAAGAAACAAUGAUGCAAUUGCUAGGUACCACAAUGCUACUACUAUACUAUGUGUAAUCUGUUGGAGUUUCAUAACAACCUCUCUCUCUCUCAGUUUUUUUCUUCCAGAAUCACCUCUCUUUUUAUGGCUUCUUCUUCCUCUUCUCGUACUAGGUCAUAUGAUGUUUUCCCGAGCUUCAGCGGAGAAGAUGUCCGCAAGACCUUCCUCAGCCACUUUCUAAAGGAACUUGAUAGGAGACUGAUCCUUGCUUUCAAAGACAACGAGAUCGAGAGAAGCCGGUCACUUGAUCCUGAGCUUAAUCAUGCGUUUAAAGGUUCCAAAAUCGCGGUGGUCGUGUUCUCCAGAAACUACGCUUCUUCAAGCUGGUGUCUUAAUGAGUUGCUGGAGAUCGUGAGAUGCAAGGAAGAGUUUGGUCAAAUGGUGGUUCCUAUUUUCUACCAUUUGGAUCCUUCCCAUGUGAGGAAUCAGACCGGAGACUUUGGGAAGAUGUUUGAACAGACAUGCCAACAUAAAACAGAGGACCAGAAAAUUAGAUGGAGAAGAGCUUUGACCGAUGUAGCUAAUAUCCUUGGAUAUCAUAGUGUGGCAUGGUACAAAUUUUUGAAUCGUUAUUUGUUGUUUAACAAACAAGUUUCUGAAAUUGUCUUUAAUCUUUUUUUUAGGGACAAUGAAGCAAGCAUGGUCGAAGAAUUCGCUAAUGAUGUUUUGGGUAAAUUGACUUUAUCUCCAUCAAAUGUUUUUGAAGACUUUGUCCGAAUUGAAGAUCAUAUCAAAGAGAUAAGUUCAUUGCUGCACUUGGAAUCCGAGGAAGUGAGGAUGGUGGGGAUUUGGGGUCCCUCCGGAAUUGGCAAGACUACCAUUGCAAGAGCUCUAUUUAGUCGUCUCUCUUGUCAGUUCCGAAGUAGUGUUUUCAUAGAAAAAGUUUUCAUAUCUAAGAGUAUGGAUGUUUACAGUAGAGCUAGUCUAGUUGACUAUAACAUGAAGUUGCACUUGCAAAGAACUUUUCUAGCUGAAAUUUUAGACAAAAAAGACAUAAAGAUAGAUCAUAUAGGUGCAAUCGAAAAGAUUCUAAAGAACCAUAAAGUUCUUAUCUUUGUUGAUGAUUUGGAUGACCAAGAUGUCCUAGAUGCCUUAGUGGGUCAAAUAUUUAAAACAACCAUAUGGACAAUCAAGGAUUUGCUUGCUGAUUUUUCCAUGUUUGUGAUGCAAAUGAAAAAAAACUUUGAAAUGGAGAAACAUGAUGAAUCAAAUGCAGUAAGCUUUAGCUAUGAAAUUUUAGUUACAUCUUCCUUAUUUUUAUCAGCACUAUUUAUAUAAUAUAAAUCACGGAAAAAAUAUAUAUAUAUAUAUAAUAUUAAUCACUGUAUUGUUUCUGUAGAUAUUGUGAAGAACCUACCGACGUUAUCUUUAGCCAAACCACAGUGGAACACAUAUACUAACACUUUGAAGUUUGAACAUAAGGAUUUUAAUUGCAUUCUAUAUCGUUUUAAGAACUUAUCAUGAUUUGAUCGACCAAAAUUCAUGUUAUAAAAUGAAUGUUAAGGGAGUUAUAAAUUAAAAAAUUCCAAACUGGUUUUCUCUCGGUUUACCAUUAAUGGAUAUAAUUUCGUAACGAAUUAUGAUUUACAUCCUUUUAGAAUUCUAAUCAACUUUGUAAAUUUGUGUUUAUGGUGUUUUAUUUGUCUUACUCUAGUCUUGGUCUUUUGUUAAGUCCUCUUUCCUCAUUUCAAAACCUUGAACCUUCUCAAAUCCCAGGAAAACCAAAUCACAACACGCUCAUAAAGUCAUACCUUAUACGACUUCAAUCAUACGAUUUAAUAACUCUAUUAACUAAUUUAAAGGAAAAACAAUAGCUAACUAGUAUAGCAUAAUACAUGACCACACAUCUCAAAUUUAGAAAUAUAUAGUAAACAACACCAAGUAAAUAUAUUGCAUAUCCACAUAUACUAAUUAUAUGACGACAUGUGAUCAACAUCACGAUUAUCUUAAUCCGGUACACCUUUGAUCGAAUUUCGGCAUUGACCAGAAAAUAAUUCAAACACUAAUUUUUUAUAUUUAUUUUUGAUAUUAAGAAAAAACAAGAAUAAUAUUAAUGAAUUGUGAUUUUAAACAUGGUUUAGUCCGGUUUAAACAAAAAAUACUAUCAUUAUAAAACAAAAAUGGAAAUUUUCCAAUAUUUUUUCUUGUUUUUUUUGAACCACAAAAAAAUAAGUUUCUUGUUUAGUUAAUAUUGGAAAUUCGAUUUUUCAUUUUCCUAUAUUGAAUAUAUGACCAAAACAUUGGAAAUGCUCUAUUUUUUUCUUUUAUAAUAAUAAUAAUAUAUUUUUUAAAAUAUGUAAUUUUUUUUUGAAAAUUGUUUAUAUUUACUUACAUUUUUUUUUGAAAAAUUUCCAAUAUUACUCGUAUUAUAAUUACUAUUGGAAAUUUUCCAUUUUGAAAAUUCCAUUUUCCAAGAUUGAAUAUGACCAAGAAUAUUGGAAAUUUUCCAUUUUUGUUUUUAUACUAAUAAUAUUUUGUUGUUUAAAUCGAACUACACCAUAGGUUAUUAUUCUUCUAAUUUUAUUAAUGUGAAAAUAAAUAAAUAAAAAAUACUUUUUGAACUAAGAUAUUUCUAAAUUUCACAUAUGUCGUCAUAUCUUAUGCUAUACAUCGUGUAGUUGGCUAUUAUUUUCCUAAUUUAAAUUAAUUGGGUACUUAUAUACUCCCUCCGUAUUUGAAUAAAUGUCGUUCUAGCCUUUUUUCUGUGUUUUUAAUUAGUUGUCAUUUUAACAAAUUUUGCAUAAAAUUUCCUAAAUUACCCCCAAUUAAUUGAUCAUAAUUAAUCAGUCUAAAUUACCAAAACUACAGAUACCAAAAAUAUAAUUGUAAAUAAUCGUUUCUCAUAAGGUUAGUUUUGUAAUUCUGUGCCUUUUCUUAAUUCACCCAAAAACAGUUGAAACGACAUUUUUUCAAAUACAGAGGGAGUAUAUAUUUAAGCUUUUCAUUACUAAAAUAAAAUCCAGUCGAAACUAAAAAAUCAUACCAAACAAAAGUUAUACUUUUAUUAAAUGAAACCAAAACUAAGCCAAAUCAUAAAUAGUUUAAACUGGUUUAUAAUCUUCUAUGUUUAAUAUAGGGUUUUGUGCAAAACAACCCUCCAACUUGUCUAUUUUUGUAAUUUUACCUUCCAUCUCCUAAAAAUGUAAAUUAAUCCUACGAAUUCCAAAAUAAUAAACAAUAUAACUCUUAUACGUAUAUUGUAAACGUUUUUCCGGUUACAUGCAUUAGAUUUUUUGAAUUCUAAAAAUAGAGUUGAACUCUUCACCGCGAGGAUUUCGAUUUGACAUAUUAUUUAUCAAAAUUUUACGAACUUGAACGAACUUGACGUAACGAAUAAGAGUUACAUUGCGAAUUAUUUUAGACUUCGUCAGAUUAAUCUGCAUUUUUUUAUAUGAAGGGUAAAGUUGUAAAAAUUGACGAGUUAGAUGGUUUUUUUGCAACUCGAAAACUAAAACUAAGAUGAAAACCAAAAUAUCUAACNNNNNNNNNNNNNNNNNNNNNNNNNNNNNNNNNNNNNNNNNNNNNNNNNNNNNNNNNNNNNNNNNNNNNNNNNNNNNNNNNNNNNNNNNNNNNNNNNNNNAAGUGGGAAUAUAUCGUGCUUGUAGAAUCUAAUCGUAGCGGUCAAGAUUAAUCUAAAAAACUGAAUCAAUCAGACCAAAAUCCCUAAUCUUUACACAAACUAAUAAAAAACCUAACCUAACUAGGGCAACAACAACAACUACUCUCAAAGGCCGUCGCUUCUUUCACUUUUGCAUAGAAAACAUAUAUAGCAAAAAACCCCUAAUCAUCGCCACUAAUUCCAAACCACACUAAUGGCAGACACGAAGGUCCAAUCUCCAGAAACCACGGUGGUUGUUGAUGAGAAUCAACGGGUAACAUCACCACCGCCGCCACCACAACAACAACAAUGGAAGGGUAUGAGAUAUCAUCCUUCACCUAUGGUAAUGCCACAUCAUAUGAUGUAUGCUGCGCCACCUUAUCCUCCUUAUCAUCAUCCUCAUCAGUUUUAUCACCUUCCUCAUCAUCAUCAUCAUCAUCAAUCUCGUGGUAAUAAGUAUCAGAAUGCUUCUAAUACUGAGAAUAAGACUAUUUGGGUUGGUGAUUUGCUUCAUUGGAUGGAUGAGAAUUAUCUCAAUUCUUCCUUUUCUUCUGCUGGAGAGGUUUGGUUUUCACUCCUCUGUUGUUACUAAAGUUGUUCAAAGUUUUGGUUUUUAUGUGUUUGACUUUUGUGAUUUUUUAUGUUAGUGAAGCUUGGUUGCUUCUUUUAGUUGUCUAGUGUAUCUUUGUUUGCUAAAGUUCUUUUUUUUUUCUUAGGAUAAAGUAUGAUUUUUGAAAGGAUUUUGUUUUCAUGAAACUAUCCAGUGAAUGGUCUGAUAUGUUAUUCAAAGUCUUGAUUUUUAUGUGUUGACUUUUGCAAUAUUGAAGUUAGUGAAGCUUUGUUGCUUCCAUUAGUUUUCUAGUGUAUCUUAGUCUGCUAAAGUUAUCUUUUUUAUCAGGAUAAAGUAUGAUUCUUUAUGAAAUCUGUAUUCAUGAAAGUAUCUAGUUUGUCGAGUUUGUUAUGUUCUCUGAAUUUGUUUGAGUCUGAUAUUUUAAUCAAGUCUUCGUUUUGAUGUGUUGUCUUUUGCAAGUUUGAUGUUUUGGUAGCUUUUGUUAGAAUACAAUGUUGGGAAAGCUUGGUUGCUUCCACCAGUUGUCCUCUGUGUCUUUGUGAGCAUAAAGUAUGACUCUUUAAGGGGUUUAGCUGCUGUAAUGUAUAAUAAUACUGAAAUUGUCCAGUGAAUGGCCUCUGGUGUCACAUAACUUGAGAUCAUUUCAUUUCCGAAUCUGAUGUGUUAACCUCUGAAGUAUGUUUUAUAGUUAGUUUGCAUUGACUUUAUUUGAUCUGGGUCUGGUAACUUAUUGUGCUUAUUUGUUAUGAUGUAGAUUUCGUCGGUUAAGGUUAUCCGCAAUAAGCAUACUGGUUUGACUGAGGGCUAUGGAUUUGUCGAAUUUGUUUCCCACGAUGUUGCGGAGAAGGUGUUGCAGGAAUUGAAUGGUGAAGCUAUGUUAAAUGCGGAACAACCUUUCCGUUUAAACUGGGCUAGUUUUAGCACUGGUGAAAAGCGCUUAGAGAAUGGUCCUGAUCUCUCUAUUUUUGUGGGGGACUUAGCACCAGAAGUAACUGAUACUAUGUUGGAACAAAUAUUCUCUGAGAAAUACCCAUCUGUCAAGAAUGCAAAAGUUGUCAUAGAUGGCAAUACUGGUCGAUCAAAGGGAUAUGGCUUUGUGAGAUUUGGAGAUGAUAGUGAGAGGAGCAAAGCUAUGUUGGAAAUGAAUGGUGUGAAAUGUUGUGGCCGGGCUAUGCGAAUUGGUCCUGCAACCCCUAGGAAGCCAAGUGGUUAUCACCAACAAGGUAUUUUGUCUGAUACUUAUCUUUCCUAAUUAAGACAUGUGUUUCAAAUCUCAUGGCCGUGUCCUGAUUGCUCUAAUUACUUGUAUAUUAUCUUAAAGCAACAAGUACUUUGCUACUUUUGAGGAUCUUCAUAUGUUCUUUUUACGCAUAAUAUUGUUCCAGUUUCUUAAUAUUUGUUGGACUUGGGGGGUGGGUAUAUGUCAAAUGGUGCCUUGCCUCGACAUGAUGGGGAAUCAUUGAACACAACAGAUCUUUUAAUUUCCAUGGAACAUUUUGGAUGCGCGGUCUUCCCCCAAUUGCGACUGUGGGAAGAUGGGUGUGAUCUUUAUUCUUCCAUGUUUAUAUUGCAGAUAUUUGUUGGAGGACUUGACUCUAGUGUUACUGACGACGAUCUUAGACAACCUUUCGCCGGUUAUGGUGAAAUAGUCUCUGUCAAGAUACCUGUUGGCAAAGGAUGUGGAUUUAUUCAGUUUGUGAACAGGUAACAUUUUAUGCAGUAGUGAAGCUAUGAACUCUGGAUGUUGACUCAGUUAUUUGGUCCUUGUCCUUUCACUGAUUCAAUAUGGUACUUGACGUUUGUUGCAGAGAAAAUGCUGAGGAGGCAUUGGAGAAAUUAAAUGGGUCUAUGAUUGGUAAACAAACCGUUCGCCUUUCUUGGGGUCGUAAUCCAGGCAAUAAACAGGUAACCAUGCUCUAUCCUGCGUUGAUCGAUAUUUUAUUCCAUUUAGUUUAUAUCUCUGACUAAAGAUGUAUGGUUCUUUGCAGCCUAGAGGCGAGUAUGCAGACCAAUGGGUUGAACCAUACUAUGGAGGACAAUACUACAAUGGUUAUGGAUACAUGAUGCCGCCACCUGUUGACCCGAGAAUGUAUGCUGCAGCACCUUACGGAGGAGGUUAUCCGGUUUACAGUGGUCAUCAGCAACAACAAGUAAGCUAAGAAGAAAAAUAAAAGAAGUUAGUAGGUAUGAGGCAAAAUUGUCUUCUUCUUCUCUCUCUAUCCAUCCUCUCCUUGGUUAGCUCCUGGGCAACGAAUUUUGAUAAAACCUUAGUGCUACUUAAUUUAUUUAGGGAUUUUGAUUGGAUUGAUUUAUUUUAUUUUAUUCUCAGAUGCUUAUAUUAUGGUAUUUUUAAAGCAGUACUACUUUAAUUGGUCGAUGAUUGAGUUUUGUGGUUUGGCGAUUUGAUAAGCCUGCUUUUUUAGAUUUGGCCACAUAUUUCGUAUGACUUGGUCCAUAAAAUUACAAACCAUAGUGAUUUUGGAUAGUCUUUAACACGACUACAUAGUUAUCUUUAGACUUUAAAAGUGAUAACCAAAGAAACUUAACACGACUAGUUAUCUUUAGACUUUAAGUGAUAACCAAAGAAACUUAACAUAAAAACAAAACAGUAUAAGGUAAGUGCAGAUGCUACCAUACUACAUAGUGUAAUAGUAAAGGCGAUUGAGAGAAUUCUAGUGUGGUCUCAAUAUCAUCUUGGAAACGACAUGAGGGAUCGAGGAUGUGUUUGAGUCGAUUCGCUGAAGAAUGUGGAUACGAUUGAGCAAAGAGGGUUAGGAUGGAGUACCUAAAGCCAAAGGUUUUGAUGUGAUUGUACUCAUGAAGUUUUUAGUGGUUAGAUUCUCAAUAGGGGAUUUCUUAGAGAAGAAGAGCUACAUUGAGAAUGUGUUCAGAAGUUUCAAGACUAUAUUGAUAAGCAAUUAUCUCUUUUGAACUUAGCUUGCAAAAAUAUUAAAUUCAAAUUGCCUCAUGAACACUAAAUCUACUUUGUAUUAAUAGUUUUGUCGUUGUUAUCAGUGCUUGGUCAAGCAAGAUCUUGUCAUCCAUAACACACACCGAUCCAUGUUCCUAACAUAAAUAUUACUAUUGUCUAUAGCAUAGAUUCAUUUGACAUUUAUAAUUGUUCUAACGAGUCAACACAAUCGAAAAGAGACAGAGAAGGAAAAAAAAAAAAAAAAAGAGACAGAGAAGACAAAAAGGUUUCUAAAUCCACAACACCACGUUCACUCAUCAUGGUUGAAAGUUGAUACACAUGCCCACAUUAUUUCUAUACGGAUCUAUCUCUUUCCCAUAAUAUACUUCUUUUUGUAAUGCAUGUGAUGUAUUAAUAUAGUAAUUAGAUUACCAAUAUCUCAGUUCAUAAAUUAUAUAUACAAUUAUAAUAGAGAAAAUAUAGCAUUUAGUGGAAGAUGCUUUUAAUUCUUUUGGCCAAAAGGAAACUGGCCGAUUAGGUAGAAAUCUAGCAGGUAUAAGGUAUCCAUCAUCAUUAAGCAAAAGCUAUUAUUUAAGUAUCGUUAGGGUAUGAACAUAAUUUUGAAAUAGAGACAAAUCAACAGAAGCUAUGUAAUAAUAUGAUUUGCCAGCUGGGCUUGCGAAUAAUCCUCAAAUAGUGUAAACUAGAAUUUGAAUUUUGGACUCCUUUAAUAUAUGUUGGAGUGACUACACCCAUAAACAAAUUUACUAUAACAAGAAAACAAUUAUAACUAGACAAAAACAUGUGUUAUGUACGGGUAAUUCUUAUGUUAUUUAAUUUAUAACUACUUUAAUUCUAUAACAAAUUAUAGAUAUUUUAUUACUUUAUUAAAAAUUUCUAAUACAUUUAUAAAAUAUAUAGUGUUUGUGUUUGAUUUUGAUAAACAUGUUUUAACCACAAUUCGAGAAUCAAUCCGGGCUAAUGUAUUUAUUUAAUAAUAAAUAGUAUAUUUUAAAUACAAUUAGAAAAUCAAAGUGGAGUUUCUUCCAAAUAUUCGGGUCAAAUUGGUCUCACUAUAUGUGAAUCUCUAGAAAAUCAAUGAGGGUUUUAAAUAUGGUAAUGACUGAGAGUUUUGAAAAUCUAAAUUUGGUAAGUUUAGAUAUUUGAAUUUAUUUAUGUAUGUUUGUUUAGUAGUUUAAGGAAGAUGUGGAUAAAAAAAAUGUAUUUGCUAAAUGGGAUAAUAAAACUAAUAUAUAUCUAUACUAGUAUUUUUACAACACUUUGGUGACGGGUGGGUAAAAAUGCUUCCGGGUAUAUCGGAUACCCGACCCGUUUUAAAAAUUCCUUCACAAAAAAUUUGUUGGGUCGGGUUAUAUUUAACCCAACUUAUACACCGGAUAUUCCAUAUUUAAUAAUUUUGAUAUUUAAAAGAUUUAAUUAAGAUUUAUAAUUAUGAUUCUCCUAUCAUUUUUGUUUGAUUUGUUUUUAACUGUUUUGAAUCAUCAUAUAAUACAUAAAGUAAAAAAAAAAUCAUCCAAUUGAUUCUCCUAUCAUUUCUCCUAUCAUUUUUUUUUCUGCAUAUACUGUGAUUCGAAAUUUUUAAAACGGACAUAUAUUAUCCAAUUGACGAAAAUGUGUGUUCAACGUUCUACAUCGAUUAAAAUAUUUAGACAAAGAUUCAGAAUCAUAUCAUAAAUAAGAACAUUAAUAAAAUAAAUGAGUUUUUUUUGCCGGACGGGUUUGGCGGGACGGGUUUUUGAAUCAACAAUAAUAAAAAGAUUAAAAUAUCAUUAAUCCGCCGCUUCAAUAAGGAUUAAAUCAUUUUUUUAAUACCACAAAUAUUAGACAUAUUAAAUCAGUCUCAUUUAGAAAAGAUUGUAUAAAAUCAAAAAUUGUCCCGUGGUAUAAUGUCACGUGAUCUUAGAGGAUGAUAUGAUUUGUAAACUUUUAUAUAUAAUAAAUAAUCAUUAAAUUUUAAAAUAAAAACAAAUCAGGGGACGGGUUAAGAAAUUACGGAACAUGUUAUAUUUCGGAAAGGAUUUAUAUGGCGGACGAAUUUGAAUCAAUAUUUAUAUACCGCUUUAAUACGGGUUAAAUCCUCCGUAUAUUAAUAAUUGCCUCGUGAACUCGUGGUAUACCGUUACUUAAUAAUAAUUAUAAACUAUAAUAUAAAUAAAUAUUUUAUAAGGAGAUACAAUUUACAAAAUAUUUUUAUACUAACUUUAAAAUUAAAUUAUCCCGCGGUGUACCGCGGGUUAAAAUCUAGUAUAUAUAUAAAAUUGUAGACUUGCUACGUCACCAAAAAACCUUUUUAAUAUAUAAAUAUAGAGAAUAUUGAAUUACAUAAAUUUAAUCUAUACUUGUUAGUAAAAUGUAUCCGAAUCAAAAUUUCAAUCCAAAAACCUCGCAAUUUUUUUUUGUCUUUUUAAACCUCGCUAUCUUGAUAGUACUGUCUUACAUCAAUCUUGGCUCUACCGUCUUACAUCAACGGUUUUGAUCUUCACAUAAACAUCAUCAACAUAUAUUUUAGUCAACUCUGGUAUGAGUAUGACGCAUUGACGUACACACAAGUGAUGCGUGUCGUUCAUAUAAUUUUUAGAGCAUAUUUGAUUUGAACCACUCCUCUUGUUUUAAUUUUUUUUUUCUCAAACAACAUUGAUAAUAGAUAUGGAAAGGUUUACAAUACACAAAUAAAACAUGAUUAAACAAAUUAAAAACACAGUGCUCUCGACCCAUACAAAUCUACAAAUUAAGAAAAUGAAGUUUUAGAUAAUACAUGGCAAAAAACAAACAAAUUUUAUCUUUUGAAGCUUUUAAAGUUCACCACAAGGCCUGCCUACAACAAACCAUGAAAACAGACUUCAAUAUUAUAGUAUUAACAAGAGAAUGGAACUUGGCUUUCUCCGUAUAUGGUAUAUUUUCUUUUAUUAAUGUUUUAUCACAGAUCUCUUAGAUGAGCUAUAACCUUUUAACGCCACAAGAAACGAGUAUUAAAGUCAAUUAGAACCUAAUACCACGAAAAUAUAACUCUAAACUGAAAUAAUUAUAAGAGUUCAGCCCUAAACUAACAUCAAGUAAAUUAGUCGAGGAGGAGAAAGUUAACCCAAACAAAAAAGAAAAAAGUUAGCCCAAACAAGGGAAAUAGACAAUCCCAACACCAUAAAUGCUAACUAUUCAUAAGAAAUUGCAAUUCAUGAAACCUAACAAACACUAAAAUAAAACUAUAUCUGACAGCCUCAACCGGACAUCAAUUUUUCAAAAAAAAUGUAAAUUUAGUUUCUAACUUUUUUUAUUUGGUUAGUCGAAAUAUUACUAUAUUUUAUAUCCGUUAAAAACCAAAUGAAUGGGUUAAUGGAUUAUUCUAGUGAAAUUAGUUAGAUGAUAAAAUUUCGGAUCAUUUUUUAAUUACUAAAAAGAAAUUCAUCCCUUUUGUUCUCCACGUCACACAUGCGUUCAUAUCGUAUCAAGUCGUGUUCUUACCAUUGUUGUGUUAAUUCGCAGUCGUGUUCUUACCAUUGUUGUGUUCAUCUUAAUACCUCAAACACCUUACUCUCCCUUUUGUCGGUUCAUCCUAAACCAGUGUCGAAUUUACUGUACCAAGAGAUUGAUUAAGGUAAACUAUUCAUCCACAUAGUCUUUUCUUUAAUCAUUAUCUAUGACCAGUAAUAAUCAUAUUUCAUUACCCUCCAAAAAUCUCAUGAUCAUCGCUUUAAACAAAACUGUGAUUAUCAAAUCAUAAAUUUAGUUAAGUACUAAUAUCAUUUGUUAGAAUAACAUAUUCUAAAAAGCAAUGAUAACGUGGGUUAGAACCUACUUACCAAUUAUACUCGUCUUUUUUUUUCUUUAACCGAUUUCUUGAACAGCCAAAAAAUCUCAUAAUCGCCUUGACAAAAACUGUGAUUACCUACCAAUCAAACCAUAAUUAAUUUAUUGGUAUUGCAAAGUACUUAAUUAACACAAAAAAUUAUUGGAGAGCCGCCAACCAUGUGAGCUGCGAACCUCCGUAGAAGUCUAUCUCCACUACAUGCCGAAGUCGAGGCCCUUUUCUGGGCGAUGAAGUGUAUGAUUGGUGCAGAUCAUCAAGAUGUAGCGUUCUUUACAGACUGUUCAGACCUAGUGAAGAUAGUAUCUUCUCCAACCGAAUGGCCGGCGUUUUCAGUGUAUUUGGAAGAAUUUCAGAACGACAAAGAGGAGUUUUCAUCUUUUUCUUUAUCUUUAAUUUCUCGUAGAGCUAAUGUCAAAGCGGAUAAUCUGGCACGAAAAGUUCGUACAGAACCGCUUCACAUCACAUAUGUAAACAACAUUUCUCAGAAAUGGUAUUUUUGAAUUUUAAUUAAUUUCGGAUCGCAAAAAAAAAAAAAAAACACAAAAAUAUAUUAACAAUUUAAAUGUCACACUCACACUCACACCAAAAAAACAAUUUAAAAAUAAAAAUGAAGUCGACCGACCGUUUCACCGCUCCUUUUGAUAUUCCCCACUUAUUUUUAUUCUUCUCUCUAAUAAAUACAUAAAACAAAUCAGAAAAAAAAAAAAAAUUAUAUUACUACAAAGCUGAAGCUGAAGACGAAACAUCACCAAAUCUUCUUCUUCUGGUCUUGUCUCCAUAUCUAAACAUACAAAAAAAAUUAUACACUUCUCUCUACAUAUAUUAUUACAAAGAAAGUGAUUCCACAUUCCAGCUGUACCUUUCUGUAAUUUCAAACCUUCAAAUUCAAAAUGAUCAUCAUGGUUGAUGCAUGACACCAGCUCCCUGAAUCAAACCAGGUUUUGCUAGAGAAUUUUCGCUUUUACAACUUCUUCAUAAGUAAAUUUGAAUUGUUGUGAUUCUUAAUGUAAUUUUGGAUUAUACAGAUUUUGAUUCGGAGAGGAAUAUGAUGAUGAGUAGCAGCAGUAGCAGUAGCAGUAGUAAUAGUAGUAGUAGCUAUACAAGAUGCGUUAAAACUCCAUCAUCUGCAAUUACGGAAAUUGUGAGUGAGGAAUCUCAAUCCUUUUGAUCAAAUAUUUUGCCUCUUGGUGUUCUUUAAUUGUUAGAUUAUAUCAAAAUUGUGAAAUCUAGUUAUUGUGUUUUUUUUUUUUGCUAUGAUCUCGAAAGCGAAUCUGCGAAAAAUGAAGUUCUUGAGGUUUUUCGCAGAUUCGCUUUCAAGAUCAUAGCAAAACCUCAAGAACUUCAUUUAGCUGUGAAAUUGAUAAUGUGAUUGAUACAGGGGAAGAAUGUGAAAGCUGGUGAAAAUGGUGUUGGAAACCGAAAGGCCUUAAAUCGAGAGAAGAUAAUUGCUCUGCAACAAGAUGUAACCGCUUUUUCGAGUAUUUGUUUUUAGUUAUUUUCAAUAUGCAGUUUACAGAUUUUUUGAAGAGUGGAUGAUGUUGUUUGGUUUUAAAGGUUGAAAAUCUGAGGAAGAAGCUUAGACUUGAAGAGAACAUUCGCCGAGCAAUGGAAAGAGCGUUUAAUAGACCUCUCGGAGCACUUCCCCGCCUUCCUCCGUUUCUCCCUCCAUCGGUUAUUGACUUAAAACAUAGCUCGGUGAUUUUCCUUUCACACAAAAUCUUCUUUCCAAUUGGGAUUGAUUUUGGUUAUUCUUGUAGAUUUUGGAGUUACUUGCGGAAGUGGCUGUUAUGGAGGAAGAAAUGGUUCGGUUAGAAGAAUAUAUUGUCCAUUGUAGACAAGAAUUGUAUCAAGAAACAGCUUUUACAUCUUCAUCCAUAGCGAACUUAAAAUGCUCUGCUGAUUUGCCUAAGAAUUGGCAGAGCAAAUCUAAGUCAGCUGCCAGUAAUGCUAGAGAAUCUGAAUCACCUCGUUUGCGGGAACCGCGUUCUGUUUCAGGUGAGCUUAUAGGGUUCUAUGUGAGGUUUCUUGAUAUGGUUUAGACUAAUAUAUGAUGCUAGUGUUCCCUUUGUAGAGAGUCGGAGGGGUAAAGAGAACAAGUUGAGUGCUACCUCUAUCAAAACGCCGAUAAAGAAAAUGACUAUUUUGGCUCAUACACAACUUAAUAAGAGUUUAGAAGCUCAGAAACUUGAGGUACAUACAUAGUAAUAUUUUUAUCUUUUCAUUUGGUUUUCUUGAAUUGCAGAUUUAAUCUUAAGUUCACUUACAUAAUUACAGCAGGAAAGUCAUAGAUGUCGCAAAACAAAUGCAGAGCGGAGCUCUCAUGGUGGCGGUGAUGACCCAAAUAAAAUUUCAGAGGAUUUAGUUAAAUGUUUGUCUAACAUUUUCAUGAGAAUGAGCACAAUAAAAAGAUCCGCGGUUACGAAAUCUCAAGAAAACGAUAAAGAUACGACUUUCAGGGAUCCUUAUGGAAUUUGCUCCAGCUUUAGUAGAAGAGAUAUUGGUCCAUAUAAGAAUUUCAGUGAUAUUGAAGCAGCUUCAGUAAAUCAAAAUAGAACGUCUAGUUCCUCUUCGUUUCUCAUCCGUCAACUGAAGUAAGCGCGGUUUGAAAAAUCCUACUUCUAAAGUGACAGUUUCUUUUCUUGAUUUGUGUAUUCACUAAUUCCUUUUUUUUUUUCUUGGAAUUUUCAGACGCCUGCUUGGAAAACUUUCUUCGGUCAACUUGCAGAAACUUAAUCAACAAGAGAAGUUAGCUUUCUGGAUAAACAUUUAUAACAGCUGCAUGAUGAAUGUAAGCACUAAGCAAUAUCUAUGUAGAGAUAUGUUCCUGUCUUUGUGGUUUAUUAACUUGCGUUACAUUGAAAACAUUAGUGUUUCCUUGAACAUGGAAUACCGGAGAGCCCUGAUAUGGUGACACUAACGCAAAAGGUAAAUAGAAGAUUAAAAUUUUCUGCAUGUAAAACUUACUAAGAUAACAAAAAUAAAUAAAAUUAUUCAGUGUUUCCAACUAAGAUGGUCCCUUGUGCUUGCAGGCGACUAUAAAUGUGGGAGGCCACUUUCUCAAUGCAAGCACAAUCGAACACUUCAUCCUCCGCUUACCGUAUCACUCAAAAUAUGUAAGCUCUUCGUUCGCUGGUCCCUUUCCUUUCUCUAGAGUUGUCAUGAUCAUCUAUCAAUGAUCUUUUGCUUUACAUCUCUCACUUGAUUUAUCAGAUUUCUCCAAAGGGAUCAAAGAAAAAUGAAAUGUCAGUGAGAAGUAAAUUUGGAUUGGAAUUGUCAGAGCCACUUGUAACAUUUGCUCUCUCAUGUGGUACCUGGUCCUCACCCGCGGUAAGUACAUGUUUAUAUCAUAUUAAUAUACUUUGUUCUUGAUUGUUUGUUUGCAUUUGUGUUUAAAGUUUGUGUGUUAUUUUUCCCCAAAUGAACCCACAACUCUUGGUAUUUUAAAAAAAUUCAUUUGUUAAUUGGAGAAGAGAUGAAAUAUUGUUCACAUGUAAACACAAACUUACUCGUAGAAACUGAGGUCUUAUUCUCUCUAGUGAAUAGUCCUGGUUCUAAAACUAAAUGAUGUGUUGAAACGUUAUGAAGGUAAGGGUGUACACUGCGAGUAAAGUAGAGGAGGAGUUGGAGGUGGCAAAAAGAGAGUACCUAGAAGCAUCCGUGGGGAUAUCGGUGGCGAAAAUGGGGAUACCGAAACUGAUGGAUUGGUAUAGUCAUGACUUUGCAAAAGACAUUGAAUCAUUACUUGAUUGGAUUUGCCUUCAGUUGCCUACUGAGUUGGGGAAAGAUGCUCUCAACUGUGUUCAACAAGGGAUGUCUCAGCCCCAUUCUUCUACUCUUGUCCAUAUUAUCCCUUAUGACUUCACUUUUAGAUACCUUUUUUCGAUCUGAAAAUGUUUUUUUCUAAGGGGUUUCUUUUCUCUCUUUUAGUAGUCUUUGGUUUUUUUUUUCUGAGGUUUCAAUUAGUUUUGUUUACACUUUACAGCAAUAUAAAAAAGUACAUAAAUAAGGAGCUAUUGAAAUUAUCAUAUUGUGUUCAGUUUAGUUUUGGUGUUUGUUUUUUUUUUUUUUUGGUAAGUUAGUUUGGUGUUUGUUUUCCAACCCACUUCAAUUUUAGAGCUAAUUAGGUAAAUGGCGAGAAAUGAAAAAGUAUUUAGAUAAAUGACCAUUCCUAGAAUUAUUAAUAAAAAAAAUAGAUAAAAAAAAAAAGAAAAUGCACCAACCAAAAUAUGAGUGAAAUGUAAUAUUUUAGCUUUUUAAGUAAUCGUAAAAAUAUGAAGAUUUGUCUUUAGUCAAGUGGUUAAGUCCAUAUCACUCCGCUUUUUCCAUCGGAGUUCGACUCCACUAAGUCGCGUAACUUCGCGUAGUAGAGAUUGACUAUGCAUCGGUCCUUGUCGAUCCAAGGAUGUCAAAAAAAAAAAAAACUAAUCGUAAAAAUAUAUUCAUUUGGUAUUUCAUGACAUAUUAAUAUAUAAAACGUGAAAUAAUUAUAUAAAACUGUAGGAUAAUAGAGCACAUAAACUAAUUUUUAUAUAUAACAAAUGUAAUUUUUCUUGUCAAUCUAAUUAUAUGUCUACAUAAGAAGAUAAGAAAAAAAAAUCAUGAAAAUGUUAUAAUACAUCAUAUUGGACUUAUAACCGGGCCCAAUAAGCCCAUCAGGGUUAUUCAUUAUGUACUCUAAAACCCUAGGUUUAUAUGCCUAUAUAUAUGUAUCAUUAUUCAUGGAAUGAAAUGAGAUAACAAUAAGUUUCACAACACGUUAUCAGCACGAGUAACCGAACCUGAUGGUCAAUCGGGAUCUCGAUAAUACGCUGGGGAAUGUUGCCUCAUUAAAACCUUACCAGGAAAACCCAGUGGGAAAAACCAUGGUGAAGGAAAAAGAGUACAACACGCAUUACUCCCCCUGAUUAGAGCAUCACCGUAGAUCUCUAAGUCUACGCAUUCCUAUUUGUUGGAUGAGCUUCCGGAGUGUUGAAGCGGGCAAUGAUUUGGUGAAAAGGUCGGCGGAGUUAUCGCAUGAUCGGACCUGUUGAACGCUGAUCGUACCAUCCUUCAGCCAAUCCGAGGUUGAGAAGAAUUUCGGUAGGAUGUGCUUCGUCCGAUCUCCUUUGAUAUAACCUUCCUUGAGUUGAGCAAUGCAAGCCGCGUUGUCUUCAAACAUAACCGUGGGCUCCUUAUCUUCUUUCAUACCACAAUCUGAUCGAAUGUGCUGAGUCAUGGAUCGUAGCCAAACACAUUCUCUGCUGGCUUUGUGAAUGGCCAAAAGUUCUGCAUGGUUUGAUGAAGUGGUAGUGAUUGUCUGCUUUAUCGAUCUCCAAGAGAUAGCUGUUCCUCCAUGCGUGAACACAUAACCAGUUUGAGACUUGGCAUUGUGCGGAUCUGAUUGAUAUCCUGCAUCAGCAAAACCAACUAGUCCAUCCUUGUUGUGGUUAGUGUAAAACAGUCCUAAGUCUUUAGUACCUUGAAGGUAUCUUAGGAGGUGUUUGAUACCAUUCCAGUGCCACUGAGUUGGACAUGAGCUGAAGCGAGCUAGGAGGUUCACGGCAAAACAAAUGUCUGGUCUAGUGUGACUAGCCAAGUACAUUAACGCUCCUACAGCACUGAGGUAUGGCUUUUCUGGACCGAGAAUUUCUUCAUCGUCCUUCUUGGGACCAAAUGGAUCACUGUCCAAUCCUAGGCUCCGGACAACCAUUGGGCUGUUCAAUGGGUGGGCCUGGUCCAUAUUGAAUCGCUUGAGUACUUUUUCAAUGUAAGCCGCUUGAUGCACAAGGAUUCCUCCUUUAACGUACUCAAGUUGUAAACCCAAACAGAAUUUAGUUUUACCUAGGUCUUUCAUUUCGAAUUCUGCUUUCAAGCAGUCGACUGUUUGGGAGAUUUCACCAGAUGUUCCGAGGAUGUUUAGAUCAUCCACGUAAACUGCUAUGAUUACAAAUCCUUUGUUUGAGUAUUUCUUGAUGAAAAUGCAUGGAUUGAUGGGAUCGUUUUUGUAGCCUUCUCUGAUGAGAUAUUCGCUUAACCGGUUAUACCACAUACGUCCACUUUGUUUCAGUCCAUACAAGGAUUUGUUCAGCCUGAUGCAGUAUUGAUCUCGAGAUGCAUGCUUAUCUUUAAGCUCUAUGCCAUCUGGUAAUCUCAUGUAUAUUUCAUUGUCGAGGGGCCCAUAGAGAUAUGCGGUGACAACAUCCAUUAACCGCAAAUCUAGAUUUUCUCUUAUGGCCAGACUUAUGAGGAAUCGAAAAGUAGUUGCAUCCACCACCGGAGAAUAAGUCUCCUCAUAAUCGAUUCCGGGUCUCUGUGAGAAUCCUUGUGCUACAAGCCGUGCUUUAUAACGAACGACUUCACCGAGUUCGUUUCUUUUACGCACAAAGACCCAUUUAUGGCCCACUGGUUUGACAUUGAAUGGUGUCCGGAUGAUCGGACCAAACACAUUCCUGAGUUUGAGACUCUUUAACUCCACGUCUAUGGCUUCUUUCCAUUUUAGCCAGUCUGUUCUAUGAGUGCACUCUAUGAUAGACGUGGGUUCUAGAUCCUCUUGCGUGUUCGCAAUAUCAAGUGCUACUUUGUAUGCAAAGAGUGCAUUUAAGUCGACUUCUUUUCUGUUCCAUUGGGUUCCAGACAUGUUGUAAUUGAUAGAGAUCUCAUUGUUAUCGAUCUCGUCAGAACCUAGAGAUUCGGCGUCCCGAACCUCUUCUGGUGGUUCAUUAGAGUGAGUCUCAGCGCGCGCUAUGUCUGUUAUAUUGGGAAUCCCGGUUUCAACUAUUGCACCUUUCUUUGAUUUCCGUAGAUUCUUGUCUUUGGAACCUAGAGGUCUGCCACGUUUAUUUCGUGAUGCAGACUCUGUAGCAACUUGAACUUGUCCCGUUGGAACAGUGAUUCGUACUGGUGCAUUACAAGCUGGUAUGUACGAUUUGGUUACUUUGUUCGGGUCAGCAAAGGAAUCUGGCAAUUGAUUAGCUAGCUUUUGAUAGUGUAUAAUCUUUUGGAUCUCCGAAUCAUAUUCUAGAGUCCGAGGAUCUUGCCAAUUUAAGGAUGUUUGAUUCCAUGAUAGCUCUUUGACCAGCUUGUGUUUCUCUCCACCCAAUGUUGGAUAUACCGAUUCAUCAAAUUGGCAAUCCGCAUAUCUGGCCUUAAAUAGGUCUCCAGUGGUCGGCUCGAGAUAUUUGAUGAUGGUGGGAGAAUCAAAACCAACAUAUAUUCCCAUCCUCCUUUGAGGUCCCAUUUUGGUUCUAUGUGGUGGAGCAAUGGGUACAUAGACUGAGCACCCAAAUGUUUUGAGAUGGGAGAUGUCUGGCUCAUGACCCUGUAAUAAUUGGGAUGGGGAAUAUCUAUGCUCACUAGAUGGUCGGAUGCGUAUUAGUUCAGCAGCAUGUAAUACUGCAUGUCCCCAAGCUGAGACCGGGAGUUUCGACCUCAUGAGUAAUGGUCGAGCAAUCCAUUGGAUUCGUUUAAUGAAUGAUUCAGCAAGUCCAUUCUGAGUAUGGACAUGUGCCACAGGAUGUUCAACGGUCACCCCCAUGGCCAUACAGUAAUCAUUAAACGCUUGGGAAGUGAAUUCACCAGCAUUAUCAAGACGUAUAGUCUUUAGUGGGAAGUCUGGAAAGUGGGCUCGUAAUCUGAUGAUUUGAGCCAACAACCUAGCAAAAGCUUGGUUCCGAGAAGACAACAAGCAUACAUACGACCAAUGGGUCGAAGCAUCUAUUAGUACCAUGAAGUACCGGAAUGUCCCAGAAGGUGGGUGAAUGGGACCACAUAUAUCUCCUUGGAUUCUUUCCAGAAAAUGCAAUGUCUCUUUGGACACUUUUACUGGUGAAGGCCGAGUGAUCAACUUCCCUUGGGAGCAAGCUGUGCACAUGAGGUGCUGAGGGAAGACUCGGUUUUCUCGAAGGGUGUGUCCUUGAGAACUUUGGAUUAAUUUACGCAUCAUGGUUGUACCGGGAUGACCAAGCCGGUCGUGCCAAAUAGUGUAGUCUUGGAACCGGGCUUUGAGAGCAUUAUUAGCCUCAAUCAUACUGACCUUGGCAUAGUAAAGGCCAGUAGAUAAAGCGGGUAUAGUCUCGAGGACUUGUUUAUGGCCAAGUGUGAUCUUAAUGAUCAGUAGGGAUUCUUUAUUCCCUUCACCCUGGGUUUCUAUGUGGAAACCAUUAAGUCUGAUAUCUUUAAAACUUAAAAGGUUUCUUUUUGAGCUGGGUGAAUAUAAUGCAUCUGGAAUGUCCAGAUGUGUGCCGUUUGAUAACAACACAUGGAACCAAAAUGGGACCUCAAAGGAGGAUGGGAAUAUAUGUUGGUUUUGAUUCUCCCACCAUCAUCAAAUAUCUCGAGCCGACCACUGGAGACCUAUUUAAGGCCAGAUAUGCGGAUUGCCAAUUUGAUGAAUCGGUAUAUAUCCAACAUUGGGUGGAGAGAAACACAAGCUGGUCAAAGUGCUAUCAUGGAAUCAAACAUCCUUAAAUUGGCAAGAUCCUCGGACUCUAGAAUGUGAUUCGGAGAUCCAAAAGAUUAUACACUAUCAAAAGCUAGCUAAUCAAUUGCCAGAUUCCUUUGCUGACCCGAACAAAGUAACCAAAUCGUACAUACCAGCUUGUAAUGCACCAGUACGAAUCACUGUUCCAACGGGACAAGUUCAAGUUACUACAGAGUCUGCAUCACGAAAUAAACGUGGCAGACCUCUAGGUUCCAAAGACAAGAAUCCACGAAAAUCAAAGAAAGGUGCAAUAGUUGAAACCGGGAUUCCCAAUAUAACAGACAUAGCGCGCGCUAAGACUCACUCUAAUGAACCACCAAAAGAGGUUCGGGACGCCGAAUCUCUAGGUUCUGACGAGAUUGAUAACAAUGAGAUCUCUAUCAAUUACAACAUAUCUGGAACCUGUUGGUGUCGGAUCCCGCACCAGAAGUACGAGACCAACCAAAGAUUGCCACGUAAUCAAGAUAAUGGCCCAUAAAGGAUGAAGCCCAUUGGACCCGUGGGCCGAAGGGACGGUCGAAGUGGUUGUCACCAUCUCGAGAAUCCGAAGUGACUGCACUGAGACACGAGUUCGGUGUAGAAGACAUGGGUAAGUCGGUUCGAGGACGCUUGGGCCGAAAGAGGCGAGGCCCAUGAAGAUCAGAGUCAACUCAAAUUCAAACGUUGAGCAUUAAAGUCGAAGAAUCAAAACGGACACAUUUAAGAAGAAAUAAUUGUACUUAAUUACUCAUUUUAAUGUCGUUUAUCUAUGUAUAAAUAUAGAGGCCAAUGGCCAUGUAAGGGGGAUCUUCCUCUCAAGAGAGAAAUACUAUAGCAAUUUUCGUAUCAAUUUACAAGUUUUUACAUAUUCAUUUUUGUCCCUCAAGAAUAAUCUUUCCCACUUAACAAAAUACUUGAGUGUGUGAAUCCGACAUCCACAUUUUGGCGCCGUCUGUGGGGAAAUCAGGAUUCUUGAGUGGUCAGAUUUCUUCUUUUCUACAUUUCCGAGAUAAGCGACAAUGUCCGGAGGAGACGCCGUUGAGACAUCAUUGGCCGAAACCCUCAAAGCUAUGCAGCAAACCAUGUCGGACAUAUCACAAAAGUUCUCGGAUGUGGAGAAGGCCGUCGAUACGUUGCAAACAUCCCAGGUAUCUCUUAGUCAAAACGUCAAUAAUAUACAAACUCGUGUUCGCUCUUUAAGUGCAGGAAACCCGGUGGGAACCCGAAGAGGGAUAUUCAACUCGCCAAGUUCUGCUACACGAAAUGAAACCAGCGGACAAACAACUCCCGGUGCUACUAAUAAUGUAGCUCAGACGUCGGAAGAAGAGACGCAGCUCGGGGAUGAAGAACAACUUGCAGCUCAGUACGAGCAGGAGAACCUCGACCAGUUCGAGACCAUGAGGAAGGUUAGCCAGGAAUUAAAAGAAAUGAAAUCAAAAUUUCAUCAGGCUACAAGUUCGGAGCCAGACAUCAAUCGAGUCAUUGAAGAAGCUAGGCGAACCCCUUUUAUCCCGCGAAUUGCAAGUUUGAGGAUCAAAGAUUCCCGGAAGCUCAAGUUGGACCCUUACAGCAGAUUGGAGGAUCCAAAAAGCUAUCUCGCAGCUUUUCUGAUUGCUGCUGGAAGAGUCGAAUUGGAUGAAGCUGAUGAGGAUGCAGGUUACUGCAAGCUUUUUUCGGAGAAUCUGUGUGGCCAAGCUCUAAUGUGGUUCACCCAAUUAGAGCCAGGUUCGAUCAGCAAUUUCGACGAACUAUCAGCCGUAUUCUUAAAGCAAUACUCCAUUCUUAUGGAUAAAAGUGUUUCGGAUGCUGAUCUUUGGAAUUUAUCGCAAGGAUCUAGUGAGUCACUUCGAGUUUUCAUCACCAAAUUCAAAGGAGUGCUGUCAAAACUCCCAAGAAUCUCACAGCAAUCAGCUUUAUCUGCCCUACGAAAAGGAUUGCGACAUGAUUCAAGGUUUAAAGAAGACUUAAUACUUCAUAAACCAGACACAAUUCAGGAUGCACUCUUUCGCGCGAACAAUUGGAUGGAGGUAGAGGACGAAAAAGAAAGUUUCGCCAAAAGAAGUAAACAAGAAAAGCCGGCAAUCACCGUCCCUACCAAGAAGUUCGAGCCUAGAGAGAGCAAAGGACCAAGGAAGUUUGGGUCGCAACCCUUCAACAAUUCCGUCGGGAAGCAAUUCCAAGGGAAAGGAAGAUCAAACACUUGGGUCCGCGAUGAAAGUCUAUAUUGCGACAUUCAUAAAGUAACCGGACAUUUAACCAAGGAUUGCAGCGUUCUUAAAAAGCACCUCGCAGAGCUUUGGGCUAGUGGCGAUCUUUCUAAAUUCGAUAUAAAAGAUUUUGUGAAGGAAUACCACGAAGCAAAAGAAAACUCCAAAGAUCAAGAUUCCAAAAGACCAAGGUUAUCCAACGAGGAAGAACCAAGGAGUUCGAAGGGUAAGAUCAAUGUGAUUCUAGGAGGUUCCAGAUUUUGCGGAGAUUCAAUAAGUUCCAUCAAAAAGCAUAGGCGAAACGUCUUACUCAAAGCAAGUUUGAGCGAAGAAAUUGAUUUUCAAGGUGCCCCAAUAUCAUUUAACGAAGAAGAAACGCGGCAUCUCGAAAGACCGCAUGAUGAUGCUCUAGUUAUUACUCUUGAUGUCGCUAACUUCGAAGUAUCAAAGAUCCUUAUAGAUACAGGCAGUUCGGUCGACUUGAUCUUUUUAAGUACUCUAGAAAAAAUGGGAAUCAGCCGAGGAGACAUAGUAGGACCCCCAUCUCCGUUAGUUGCGUUCACAAGCGAGUCAGCCAUGUCUCUCGGAACAAUCAAGCUACCAGUCCUUGCCAAGAAGGUAUCGAAGAUCGUGGACUUCGUUGUCUUUGAUAAGCCCGCAGCUUACAACAUCAUCCUCGGGACUCCCUGGAUUUAUCGGAUGAAAGCAGUCCCCUCUACAUACCAUCAAUGUAUCAAAUUUCCAACAUCAAAUGGGGUGGAAACAAUUCGAGGAGAUCAAGAAGCUUCACGGACGUGUUACUUAGCUAGCCACCGUUUGAAGAUCCAAUAGCAAUUAACGAAGCCCGCGAAAGAAGGACUAAAAACAAAAUUUCCUAGUGGGCAGAAGAAAGAGGAUGUAGUAGUCGAAGUGGUACUGGAAGAAGACAAGCCGGACCGGAAAAUUAGAAUUGGAGCAACUUUGACUGGCCAAAUAAAAGAAGCUUUGAUCGAACUCUUAAGGAAAAACAAAGCAUCAUUUGCAUGGUCAGCAGCGGACAUGCCGGGCAUAAAUCCGAGUAUAAUCUGUCAUGAACUAAACGUAGAUCCAAGCUUCAAACCGGUGAAACAAAAAAGAAGAAAGCUUGGAGUGGAGCGGGCAAAAAUAGUAAACGACGAAGUGGAUAAACUUUUGAAGAUAGGGUCCAUAAGAGAAGUGCAAUAUCCGGAGUGGGUAGCAAACACUGUCGUUGUCAAGAAAAAGAAUGGGAAAGAUAGGGUUUGGAUCGACUUUACAGACCUAAAUAAAGCAUGUCCCAAAGAUAGUUUCCCGCUCCCGCAUAUAGAUCGACUUGUAGAGUCCACCGCUGGAAAUGAGCUGUUAACGUUCAUGGACGCCUUCUCGGGUUAUAAUCAGAUAAUGAUGAACCCCGACGAUCAAGAAAAGACGUCAUUUAUCACAGAUAGAGGUAUCUACUGUUACAAGGUAAUGCCUUUUGGUUUGAAAAAUGCAGGAGCGACUUACCAACGGUUGGUGAACAAAAUGUUUCACAAUCACCUCGGGAAGACUAUGGAAGUCUACAUAGAUGAUAUGUUGGUUAAAUCGUUGAAGAAAGAAGAUCAUGUUAAACAUUUGGAAGAAUGUUUUGAUAUUCUCAAUAAAUAUCAAAUGAAGCUGAACCCGGCGAAGUGCACAUUUGGAGUCCCAUCCGGAGAAUUCCUUGGCUAUAUCGUGACAGAAAGAGGGAUUGAAGCCAAUCCAAAUCAAAUUAACGCCUUUCUAAACAUGCCAUCUCCGAGAAACUUCAAAGAAGUACAACGGUUGACUGGGCGGAUUGCGGCCUUGAAUCGUUUUAUCUCGAGAUCAACAGAUAAGUCGUUGCCUUUCUACCAAAUUCUAAAAGGGAACAAAGGAUUUCUUUGGGGUGAGAAGUGUGAAGAAGCUUUUGGGCAGCUUAAGGCAUACUUAACCACUCCACCUAUACUGUCCAAACCGGAAGUGGAUGAAAAACUCUACUUGUACGUUUCAGUUUCAAAUCACGCGGUUAGUGGAGUCUUGGUUCGGGAAGACCGUGGGGAGCAGAAACCAAUUUACUACGUGAGCAAGUCAAUGACGGAUCCGGAAACCAGAUACACAAUGAUGGAAAAACUUGCACUCGCGGUGGUAACUUCGGCUCGGAAGCUACGUCCAUAUUUUCAGUCCCAUCCGGUUGAAGUAUUAACUAACCAACCACUCAGAACAAUACUUCAUAGUCCAAGUCAAUCCGGACGUUUAGCGAAAUGGGCGGUGGAAUUAAGCGAGUACGACAUAGAGUUCAAAAGCCGGAUCAGUAUGAAGGCUCAGGUCUUAGCAGACUUCCUGACCGAACUACCAAUACCUGGAACGAUAGAUCAACCGGAGAACCAAACUUGGAAAUUACACGUAGAUGGGUCUUCAACAAAGCAAGGAUCCGGAGUGGGAAUUAGGUUGGAAUCUCCAACAUCAGAAAUUCUAGAACAAUCAUUCCGAUUGUUAUUCAAUGCCUCCAACAACGAGGCAGAAUACGAAGCCCUUAUUACCGGACUUCGACUAGCACAAGGAGUUGGAGCUAAGGAAAUAUUGGCUUAUUGCGAUUCGCAAUUAGUAGUUAACCAAUUUAAUGGAGACUAUGAAGCCAAAGAUUCAAGAAUGGAAGCGUACCUCGAAGUGGUGAAGGAUCUAUCUAAAAAUUUCUCGAAAUUCGAGUUAAUCCGCAUACCUCGGGGAGAGAAUACAACUGCAGAUGCACUUGCCGCAUUGGCGUCAACAUCAGAUCCUGAGUUAAAGAGAGUUAUUCCAGUAGAAUGCAUCUCGGAGCGAAGCAUUCAAGACAGCAAGGAAACCCUCGUCGUUACAAGGUCUCGAGCAGCGGCACGCGACCGUGGCGAACCAGAGAUCGAACCACCACCCAACAAACGAAGAAAGUCAAAGGGAUCAAAUACAUCUAACAAAGAACCCGUUGUCUUAGCUGAAGAAAUGAUUCCAGAAACGAUGUUAGAAACCGAGCCAUUACUCGAGGAGAAUAUUCUUGAAACAAAUGAACAUCCCGAACCAGAGCCACGGAUAUUUCACAAAGUUGACCAAAUUCCGGCUAAAGACUGGGGGGCUGACUGGAGGGAGCCAAUAAAGCACUACAUCACGACAGGCGAGCUCCCAAAGAAUAAAUGGCAGGCCAGGAAAAUGAAAGUCGUUAGCGCGAAAUUUUGUCUAUCAAAAGAUGCGUUAUAUAGGCGAGGUGUUAGUGACCCUUACCUAUUAUGCAUUUUUGGGCCCGAAGUCGAAAUCGUCAUGAGCGAAGUGCAUGAAGGAUUAUGUGGAAGUCAUUCAUCAGGAAGAGCCAUGGCUUUUAAAGUUAAAAAAAUGGGGUACUUUUGGCCCACUAUGAUCACAGAUUGUGUUAAGUUCGCCCAAAGAUGCAAGCGCUGCCAACUCCAUGCGCCAUUAAUCCAUCAACCGUCGGAGUUAUUCUCCUCCAUUUCCGCCCCAUACCCGUUUAUGAGGUGGUCAAUGGACAUCAUUGGACCAUUGCACAAAUCAACUCGAGGUGUACAGUACCUUUUAGUCCUUACGGACUACUUUUCGAAAUGGAUUGAAGCUGAAGCGUAUGUUGGUAUCAAGGAUUCGGCGGUGAAGACCUUUAUUUGGAAAAACAUUAUAUGUCGACAUGGAGUUCCGUACGAAAUAGUCACUGAUAACGGACUGCAAUUCAUUUCACACGAGUUUGAUGCCUUUUGUGCGGACUGGGGUAUUAAAGUUAGUUAUUCUACUCCACGAUAUCCGCAAGGAAACGGUCAAGCUGAAGCCGCGAACAAAACAAUAUUAAGCAACCUCAAGAAGCGCCUAAAUCAUCUAAAGGGAGGAUGGUAUGAAGAACUCCAACCCGUCCUGUGGGCCUAUCGUACAACCCCUAGGCGACCUACAGGAGAAACUCCAUUCUCUUUGGUUUAUGGCAUGGAAGCGGUAGUACCAGCUGAACUCAAUGUGCCCGGACUUCGUCGAACAGAAGCACCGUUAAAUGAGGAAGAAAAUUCAGCAAUGCUUAAAGAUUCUCUAGACACCAUAAAUGAAAGGCGUGAUCAAGCUCUAAUUCAGAUCCAGAAUUACCAACAGGCAGCAGCCCGGUAUUACAAUUCAAAGGUUAAAAGUAGGCCGUUCUUCGUGGGAGAUUACGUAUUAAGACGCGUCUUUGACAACAAAAAAGAAGAAGGUGCUGGAAAACUCGGUAUUAAUUGGGAGGGACCUUACAUUAUUACCGAGGUGGUUCGAAAUGGCGUUUAUAGGUUAAAAGACCUAGAAGACAAUCCAGUCAAGCGACCUUGGAAUGUGAUCAACCUAAAGAAAUUUUAUGUUUAAAGCUACAUGCAUUGUUUAUGUACAUGAACUACGAUUCGGCUUGAUCCCGAAAUGGGUACGUAGGCAGCUCGAAAACGAGUUCAGCUAUUAAUAAAAUUUUUGUCUUAUUUCUUUAUUAAAGGAAGAAGGUUCGGCUAUGCGAACAUACAAGAGAUUGGAAAUACAAUCCUCUUCCGAAGUCUCCUCUUUUCCGACAUGAGCUUCCGGUGUUGAAGCUCGAAUGCCUCUAUGAACGCCGUCGCUGUUCCUUGGUCUCUGAUUGAGAGAUCCCUGAUCAAAACACAUGGGGCUCGGAUCUGAGAUCUCGAGAAGCCGCGAAAUGGAGGAGGCUGCCUGCUUGGCUCAUUUGGAACAUCUUCGUUUAUCAUUCCGAUUCUGGUGAAGUCGGGCAUAGAUUCUGAACAGCGAAGAUUGAACUCCAUACCUACUAAAAUGAAAAGAAUAGGAAGGGAAUGAUUCGCGGAGAGAUUUAUGCCCUCGAAUGGAUCCUGCAUUAAAAGACGCAUCUCCAAGAAUAUUUGGAAAGAAAGGAAAGUUGCAAAUAUUUCCAUAAAUAAAAAGGGGCCGAAGCCCAUUACGAGUUUAAAAGAAGAAGUGAAGAAAUUAAAAGAACAUUUAUGGGAGAGGCUCAGGAACAGGCUCCUUCAUCGCCGGUUUAGUCUUCGAAGUGGACGCCUUGUUUUUGGCAUCCACUUCGGAACGAUCCCGAAUGCGUUUCCGGCAGUUGCUGGCCUCCUCCUCCAAGUCCUCUUCCUCUUCACUAUCGGAUGGAACGGCGAAGACUGGGGCGUUCACGGGACCCGGGACUCCUCUAGCACGGAGAUACAUCCGAAGCAUCUUCGGGAUCUCAGCAACGGAAUCGAAGUUCCGCCACUCCCAUUGAAAGGGAUCACUCUCCAAAGCCCGUAUCUUCCUCUCCACCCGAGCAAUGCGAGCCUCGAGUGUUUGCCUUUUGAGGCCCAGCCGCUGCCUCUCUUCACAUAAGCGACGGUGCUUGUCGGCAACCUAGCAUAAAGAUGAGUGAAUAAAAUGAAGCAAAAAGUUUUUGAGUCAAAAACUUUAAAUAUUUACCUUGUCGAUGAAGUCGCAAGCCUCUUUCUUCUCCUUUGAAGGGAAGUGAAAGACGGCGUGAGGAAAGAGAACGCCGGCCGGUUCAAAUCCGUCGCCGGACAAGAAAAGUGGGCUGCCGGGAUCGAUGGGGGCUACUCCUUCGUUUUCCAUUCUUAAAGUAUUUCUCAAGUAAGAUUCUAAAGUCAUGCUUAAAUAAAACUUAGAAGUAUGUAAGUCUUUAUUUAUAAUGAUUUAGGGUUUGUCUUGGAACCAUAAACCCAAUAAUGGUAGUGUGUCCGAGUGGUUUUAACCAUUUUUGGAAAUCGAGGAAAAAAGCACUUUUUGCAUUAAAGACGAGCCGUUUUCCUUACUUAUAAGAAGGGAAAGCGCAACCGUCGCAUUAACUACAAAAGUUUCUAAGGCCCAAGCCCAGUAAGUUUAUCGAGUUGACUAAACCCGAAGUGGGGAACUCGCUUUAAGCCGAGCUCAGUUCUCGCAUACUAAAGAGAAAGGUCUGAUCAGCCUAAAAAUCUCGAAAGCAUUGCCACAAGGCCACAAAAGGUUAAAAAGCGGACUUUGCAAACCCGCAUAUAAUUUUAACCAAACCCCCUUGGGUCACAACCUAGAAAGGUUUAAAAGCCUCCUCAGGCAAAUAUCUUGAAAAAAUAAUAAAGCCUCCUUAGGCCAAAAAUAAGUUCGAAAUUAAGUCUUAAAAUUAAAGGGACAAUCCCCAAUUUAAAGUGGACACAGCCACUACGGAGCAGCAGCCACCUCGGAAUCCGGCUCAACAGUCGAAGAUUCAUUCGCCUCCUUGGCAGCCGCUUGGUCAGAUGAAACUCCUGAUCCACCCUCCGCAGUACAACCAACCUCCGGAGUGACCUCUGGUACCAUUGGAGCUACGGGCGGGACAAUGCCUUCCGUCUCACUUGAACCUGGAAAUAAUAACUCCAGUCAAUCAAAGGUACAAGGUAAGAAAAGGUAAGCCUCAGGAGCCAAGCGUUACCUGCCCAGUCUAAACCCGAUUCACUUAUAGGAGGUGAUUCAGUAAAGAAUUCCUCGAAGUCAAGCGGGUUGAAGGUCGAGGUGGGAAGAGCUGCCAAGCGACUCCGUUUUUCAGAAAGGUUAGUCGACAGCUCGGUCCUUUCUUGCUCCUCGGAGAAAUCUUCUUCAUGGAUUUGGUCCAGCAGAAUCAGGUUGCUUUCGUGCUCCUUGAUGUCUGACUCCAAGUCCGACCUAGCUUUCUCGGUUUGCAUGAAGCGAAUGGCCCCUUGGAUCAAUUCCAUCCCGCGUCCCUUAACCUCCUUUCUGGCCUUCGAUGCCGACCUUGCCAACUCAGAAUCAUGCAACUUGGCUAGCGCCUUGUACUUCGCGUCAAGCUCGAUAAGUUGGUUGUUCAGGGUGUCGGCGGUUGAUUCGGAUUCGUGAAGUCUACCCUGAACACCAGACAGUUCGUCCUGGAGCUUGUAAUUCCGGUCGUAGUAGUCUUGCAGAUCCCCCUUUACCUGCGCCAGCUCGGAUGUUAACCUGUCGACCUUAUCCUCCAGAUCAUGCUUGGAGCCAGCAGAAGAAUUGAGUUCAGCCUCAAGAGCUGAGAAUUUCUUCUUCCACAUAUUAAUCUCUUUCUCCCGUCCAAUGACCAACCCUUCGUAAUGUUCGAUCAUGUCGUUAAGUUCGCUAUGAGCCUGGUAUCAUACAUGAACCCGGGAUGGCGAGUCAGUUCGCAGAAUGGCAAUACAAUAAAAACAAAAAAAAAAGGGGAAGAAAACGGAACUAACCCGAGAUGAAUGAUAAGCGUGAAGCAAAUAGCGUUCACGAAUUGCAGGGCGCCAUUUGUUGAAAUCUGGCAAGAUCGAACCCGAACGGGUCUUGAAGCAUCGGAAGACGCUUCCUUCUGUCUCCAUAGCUGCGAAGAAGGAAGAAUUGUAAAAAUUGGAAUUUUAAUAAAGACAAAAAGUUUAAGCAUGUGUAAAUCACCAAACCUGAAAGCGAUUUGACUUGAGGGACAAGAGCAAGCUUCAGCCUCGAGGAAGCAUCUCGAGAUUCAGAAUCUCCACUUUUAGGGGAUACACUCCGAGCAGUCUUUUCGCUGACGGGCUGGGAAGAAGAAGACAUGUCAACAGGUCGGGGAGGACCCAUUGGUUCAGUAGAAGGGGAGGAUCGAGGUGAACGGUCAGUCCGGGCCCUUGAUUUCUCCCUUCGCGGAGACGAGUCAUCACGGGACGACUUGUCCCUCUUCUUACGAACCAAAUUCUUAAGUGGUUCGUUGCUGAAAUCGUCUCGGGGAGGACGAGGAGAAUCACGACGGGGAGACCGCUCCCUCCGAGGAGAACGCUCGUCGCGGCGCUCGCGACGAGGCGUUAACCUAUAAGCAGCAACGGAUCUGGCUCCCUCGGAGCUGUUGUCAUCAACCAGCAGGUCCUGCUGUAAUCUUUUUUGUCAAUGGCGGUCGCAAGGAACGCCUUGUUUUCAUCACAAGCCUCUGCUAUCGGCUUGGAGAGCUUCUUACGCUGGGCAGCGAGGGCCCGAGCUGACAUUCCUUGAGUUGAGGGAGGAGGCGGAAGACGAUGAAGUAGAUUGGGAGGACUCAUCCUGAGUUUCCGGUUGGCCUCGACAAAUCGGUCGAGGGUAAAAGAAUUCCAAAGGGUUUCCCCUUCAAGGAUUGUUUUGAAGAACUUGACAAAUUCUUCAGUCGGGAGAGUUGAAGCGAUGAAAGCUGCGAAAUGAAACAACGAAUUCGGUCAGUAAAAAAUAAUGAUAAACAAUAAAGGAAUAUACGACCUAGUCUCUACCAGGUUUCGCAGACCACUUCGAUGGGAGUACAUCGGAAAGAUUCCCAAUCGAAGCAGGAGUUUUCUUAAUCAGAAACCAAGGAUGGUGCCAAUAUUCAUCCUUGUUUGGGAGGUGCGAGAUGACGUUCCUAUUGGCAUUUGGAUACGCCGAGAAGUACCCAGUUUUCUUUGAUGAACUCCUUACGCUUAGGAGUUCAUUCAGCUCGGGAACUCCAAUGACAUAGUCAGCCUCCGCCGCAACGGUUAUAAUCCCGAGGAUGGUUCGGAGGAGAUUGGGGGUUAAUUGGGGCAAAGCGAUCUCAAGAGCCGCCAAGAAUCGAACUAGGGCUUCGGGAAGGGGGAAGGUCAAUCCGCAGCCCUUGAAGAAAAUUUCGUAAACACAAAAGUAGCCGGCACGGUGGUUCUCAGGAGAUUCCGUAGGGUCGGCUAUUUGCGCCUCCGCUAUAAUUCCAGGAGGAAUUUGACAAAGCCCCUUCAAUCGCUCAAGGGAUUGAAGAGUACAGGUGGAUUUGUAAUGAGGACCGGCGAUGUCGUUAGGACGAGUGCAUUCGUCAUUACUAGAACGCCUCUCGUCGUAAGACGGAUAUUCGGGUCUUUCCGAAUCAGAAGUCAUCGAAUAAAAAUGAAAAAUUUAAGAUCCGGCGAAGAGAGGUUUUUCGUGAAGAAGAAAAGAGAGAGUUUUUUGAUUAAAGUACAAAAGUAAAAGAAGAGAGUAAUGGUGAAAAGAAGUUACCUCAAGCUAAUGAUGAAACCGCCUCGGAAGUUGUGUGGGAAGUGGGAAGGUUUUUCCCGUUUUAAUAGUAAUUAAUCAAUAUACGGUCAUAAUGAUGACAGAUGUCACUCGGUUAAAAAUGGAUAGUGCCGAAAUUAAAGGAGUGAUGAGAUUUUCGGCGGGAAAUCAGAAAGAUUCUCGAGCGCAAUCUUUGGCCACUUGAGUAUUUAAAGUCCUCCGAAUUGGAAUAGCACUUCGAAGAACUUGGGGGGCUAAUUGUUGGUGUCGGAUCCCGCACCAGAAGUACGAGACCAACCAAAGAUUGCCACGUAAUCAAGAUAAUGGCCCAUAAAGGAUGAAGCCCAUUGGACCCGUGGGCCGAAGGGACGGUCGAAGUGGUUGUCACCAUCUCGAGAAUCCGAAGUGACUGCACUGAGACACGAGUUCGGUGUAGAAGACAUGGGUAAGUCGGUUCGAGGACGCUUGGGCCGAAAGAGGCGAGGCCCAUGAAGAUCAGAGUCAACUCAAAUUCAAACGUUGAGCAUUAAAGUCGAAGAAUCAAAACGGACACAUUUAAGAAGAAAUAAUUGUACUUAAUUACUCAUUUUAAUGUCGUUUAUCUAUGUAUAAAUAUAGAGGCCAAUGGCCAUGUAAGGGGGAUCUUCCUCUCAAGAGAGAAAUACUAUAGCAAUUUUCGUAUCAAUUUACAAGUUUUUACAUAUUCAUUUUUGUCCCUCAAGAAUAAUCUUUCCCACUUAACAAAAUACUUGAGUGUGUGAAUCCGACAUCCACAGAACCCAAUGGAACAGAAAAGAAGUCGACUUAAAUGCACUCUUUGCAUACAAAGUAGCACUUGAUAUUGCGAACACGCAAGAGGAUCUAGAACCCACGUCUAUCAUAGAGUGCACUCAUAGAACAGACUGGCUAAAAUGGAAAGAAGCCAUAAACGUGGAGUUAAAGAGUCUCAAACUCAGGAAUGUGUUUGGUCCGAUCAUCCGGACACCAUUCAAUGUCAAACCAGUGGGCCAUAAAUGGGUCUUUGUGCGUAAAAGAAACGAACUCGGUGAAGUCGUUCGUUAUAAAGCACGGCUUGUAGCACAAGGAUUCUCACAGAGACCCGGAAUCGAUUAUGAGGAGACUUAUUCUCCGGUGGAUGCAACUACUUUUCGAUUCCUCAUAAGUCUGGCCAUAAGAGAAAAUCUAGAUUUGCGGUUAAUGGAUGUUGUCACCGCAUAUCUCUAUGGGCCCCUCGACAAUGAAAUAUACAUGAGAUUACCAGAUGGCAUAGAGCUUAAAGAUAAGCAUGCAUCUCGAGAUCAAUACUGCAUCAGGCUGAACAAAUCCUUGUAUGGACUGAAACAAAGUGGACGUAUGUGGUAUAACCGGUUAAGCGAAUAUCUCAUCAGAGAAGGCUACAAAAACGAUCCCAUCAGUCCAUGCAUUUUCAUCAAGAAAUACUCAAACAAAGGAUUUGUAAUCAUAGCAGUUUACGUGGAUGAUCUAAACAUCCUCGGAACAUCUGGUGAAAUCUCCCAAACAGUCGACUGCUUGAAAGCAGAAUUCGAAAUGAAAGACCUAGGUAAAACUAAAUUCUGUUUGGGUUUACAACUUGAGUACGUCAAAGGAGGAAUCCUUGUGCAUCAAGCGGCUUACAUUGAAAAAGUACUCAAGCGAUUCAAUAUGGACCAGGCCCACCCAUUGAACAGCCCAAUGGUUGUCCGGAGCCUAGGAAUUGACAGUGAUCCAUUUGGUCCCAAGAAGGACGAUGAAGAAAUUCUCGGUCCAGAAAAGCCAUACCUCAGUGCUGUAGGAGCGUUAAUGUACUUGGCUAGUCACACUAGACCAGACAUUUGUUUUGCCGUGAACCUCCUAGCUCGCUUCAGCUCAUGUCCAACUCAGAGGCACUGGAAUGGUAUCAAACACCUCCUAAGAUACCUUCAAGGUACUAAAGACUUAGGACUGUUUUACACUAACCACAACAAGGAUGGACUAGUUAGUUUUGCUGAUGCAGGAUAUCAAUCAGAUCCGCACAAUGCCAAGUCUCAAACUGGUUAUGUGUUCACGCAUGGAGGAACAGCUAUCUCUUGGAGAUCGAUAAAGCAGACAAUCACUACCACUUCAUCAAACCAUGCAGAACUUUUGGCCAUUCACGAAGCCAGCAGAGAAUGUGUUUGGCUACGAUCCAUGACUCAGCACAUUCGAUCAGAUUGUGGUAUGAAAGAAGAUAAGGAGCCCACGGUUAUGUUUGAAGACAACGCGGCUUGCAUUGCUCAACUCAAGGAAGGUUAUAUAUCAAAGGAGAUCGGACGAAGCACAUCCUACCGAAAUUCUUCUCAACCUCGGAUUGGCAUAAGGAUGGUACGAUCAGCGUUCAACAGGUCCGAUCAUGCGAUAACUCCGCCGACCUUUUCACCAAAUCAUUGCCCGCUUCAACACUCCGGAAGCUCAUCCAACAAAUAGGAAUGCGUAGACUUAGAGAUCUACGGUGAUGCUCUAAUCAGGGGGAGUAAUGCGUGUUGUACUCUUUUUCCUUCACCAUGGUUUUUCCCACUGGGUUUUCCUGGUAAGGUUUUAAUGAGGCAACAUUCCCCAGCGUAUUAUCGAGAUCCCGAUUGACCAUCAGGUCCGGUUACUCCGUCCAAGGGGGAGUGUUAUAAUACAUCAUAUUGGACUUAUAACCGGGCCCAAUAAGCCCAUCAGGGUUAUUCAUUAUGUACUCUAAAACCCUAGGUUUAUAUGCCUAUAUAUAUGUAUCAUUAUUCAUGGAAUGGAAUAAGAUAACAAUAAGUUUCACAACAGAAAAUAUUUUAAAUAAUUCUUAUUUUGUAUUUUCUGUUUUUUUUAUUCUUUUAUCUCUUUCUUUAAGCGAUGAAAAAUGUUGGGCUUCAUUUAUCAUUGGGUCUCAUACCGUCGCACAUCUCGCCUGCCUUAGUGAAACGGCCCUGCUUAUAUAUGGCAAUUCCAAACGGGAUAAAAAUGUUUUUCGAUUCCCUUAUUGUUGAUUACAUUUUAAAUUAACGUCAUUUUAUCUAGUUUAUCUUAAGAGUUUUUGAUAUAGGAUGACAUAUGUACAGUGGCGGACCCAGGAAAUAUUUUUAUCCGGGUCAAAAUAUAUAUUUAAAAUAAAUAUAUAUUAAAUAAAAAAUAUACAAAUAUUUCGAUGACAAAAAAAAUAUACAAAUAUUUCAGAAACAUAAAAGAUAAUAAAUAUUGAAAUAAACGAUGAAGUACAAAAUUAAAAAAAAAAGGUAGAAAAAUAGAUGAAAGAAAAGUAAAAUUUAUAGAAGUUCUAUUCUUCUUUUUCAUUUUUAUUAAUACUUUUUGCAGCAAAAGAAAAGUUAGCUAAAAAUUCUUUUCACUUCAUGUUAAUCAGCAUUGUUUUCUCUAAGUAAAACAAUAAUUGCAUCAUAUAUCCACUUUUGCCAAAGCUACUGUAUUUUCAAUAGACAACAAUAUCCUAAACUAUCAAAAAGGUAAAACCAAAUAUAUUUAUGAAUGAUAUUUUUGGUGAAAAUAUUUAUGAAUGAUAUGAAUAAAUGAUUCUUCAUAUUUAAAAUAGAUAGUUGUUAAUUGGUUAUUUGUUAUACUAUUUAAUUGAGAUUUUUUUGUCAUUAGUCUUAACAAAAGUUAUCUCGUAAUUACUCUCGGAUAUAAAUGAAAUUUUCUCAUAUGAGCAUUUCUCUCUCAUAGCAUAUCAUUGGGUCUCAUACCGUCGCACAUCUCGCCUGCCUUAGUGAAACGGCCCUGCUUAUAUAUGGCAAUUCCAAACGGGAUAAAAAUGUUUUUCGAUUCCCUUAUUGUUGAUUACAUUUUAAAUUAACGUCAUUUUAUCUAGUUUAUCUUAAGAGUUUUUGAUAUAGGAUGACAUAUGUACAUAAAUAAUGACUACAAAAACUACAUGUAAAUUUAGUUAAGCAUGCCUAUAUUGUAUGUUAAAUAACAUGAACUAGCAAGAUUACAAUAUACGUCCGCAUAUUGCAUAAAUAACCUGAAUUCAAGAAGCUAAAAUUAGUAUGAAUCUCGUUGUAGGUUUAUUUGUUACGUCCGCACAGAGAAGAGAUUAUUUACUGAGCUUCAUAAAUAUGAAUCUAUAAGACUGUUAAAUUAGUUGACAGUACAAUUGAACAUUCACUUUUUUCUUUGUUAAUAACGUGCAAUAUAUUAAGGAUAUCAAUCAUAUCAUGAUUGAUUUGGUCAACUCGUGAUUACGCACAUCAUGGAGACGAUUAUGUUAAGUUGUAUAUAUUGUCUUUAAUUCUCUUUGUAUACCCUAGCUGCUACUCCUUGUAUAAAUACUCAUUGUCUAUGAACAUAAUAAAUAUCAAUUCUACAAACAUCUUUACAAUAUUCGGAUUUGAAUUCAAGUAGUAGCACAUCGACAACACUAUUAUAAACCACUAAGCUACAAAUCAUCAUUCACAUGUCAUUUUUCUAUAUAAUUCAUUCAUUGUUAUCUAGAGAAAUGUUUUUUUUUUUCCUUUAAAACUUUUUUGUGGCCUUUUCAUAAGAGUGGUACCUAUGAAAAGGAUGAAGACCAUAGCCAUAGCCUUGUGGCCCAUAGGGAACCUCUCUUCAACUAUUUAUUUUUCCUACAUUAAUAAUGCUCAAUGGAAAUGUUCACCUUUUAGAAAAAUCAUCAACUUAUUUUUCAUAGUUAAUAAUGCAAUUAUCACCAUUUAACUAUAUUUAAAAACAGAGACAAAAAGAAAAGUGUAACAAAUAGUUAAUGAGACCUGAGAAAAUAGAUACUAAGUUCUGUGCCCUGACCACUACCUUCAGGGUUGAUCAUAUACAAUGCUUCAGAAUCCUUAGAACCAAUCACUCUAUCGAAUCGAGCUCUCAUGUAAGUCAUUUCUCCUUCUGUCUCUUGAUCAUAUUGGUUCUUACAUGGUAAAACUCCAGCCCCCAUUGAAACACCUCUCAAUGCAUCAAUCACAUACAUCUCCUCCUCACUCAUGUUUUUCCUCCGUAUCGAAUAACCGAUUUUCCGCCCGUUACAGUAGAUCCCCCACACAUACUCUUCCAACACCUUCUUCCUCGAUGUUUUGGUCUCGCUUUCUAAAGCAAUCCUCACAGUCUCCGAGGCCAUCUCCUUCUGAAGCGCCGAAGUCAGCAUCGGGAGCUCGAUGAUGAACAUUGGCAAACAAUGAGGAUCUUCUUGUAUUGCAAGAAAGACUCUUCCUUUGCGAAACCCGAAUAUUGUCCCCGUGGUUGCGUAGUCCUUAAGUAAGGGUCUUCGAUGCCCUCGACUUAACAAGUUCACCAUCUUGCAACCAGAUGAUAGCAUUGGUAUGAGCUUGAACAUUUUGAGCACCCCGCCACCUAUGCUUCCAGAAGUUUUCUUCGAAGGUUUAGAAUCCAUAGAGCUGCCCGUAUGCCUCAAGAGCGAGAGCACGGCCGAGCUAUCCAUAUUGAAGAAGGGGCUAGAUCGGAUCGGCAUAGUUUUUACUUGUUUUUCCUUCUAUUCACCUAUUCUUGUUGUUCUUAUUGUGUGUGUUUUUCGGAUGAAUAUAAGGUUUGGCAUAUAAAGAGAAAACAUACAUAUAAAGAUAUAUGGAGUGGAGGUGGGGGUCUAGUACUAAGUUAGGAAGAUGGUUUGUCAUUUGGUUUGGGAAUCUUUGAAGAAAAAUAAAGAGGAACCAAAUUGGUUUUUGGAGACAUGUGUGAAGAUAAAAAGGAGAAACCACUAUUCCACAUUGUUUCUUUUUCUGGUUUAUGAUUUAGACAAUCAUGUAUAACCAAGCCAUACAUUACGUUUAGUUAUCGAAUGUUUUAAACAUUAAUUUGGGCGUUUGUACAUUAACAUCAAAAUUUUGAUGUCAUUGAAGUUAUGAGGACCUUAAGAACAUUACAUGCUUUUCGAAUUAACUCAUUACAAGUACGAUCUGGGAACCUUUUUCUUUUUGUAGUUUGCAAAUGAUAUAUCAUUUUAUAAGUUAGACUUUCAACUAAUAAAAUAUCUUAAAUUUCAAUACACAUAUACAAAGUUUUUUUUGCAUUGUUACUAGCAAUGCGUCUUAUAUAGUAGUCUUAGAACAAGAGAAUAUUAGAUCCCAACUUAUAAAUGUUACAAGAAUAUUGUGAUUUCCUAUUACUACUUUUUUUUUUGAUAACUUGGACAAGUUUUUUCUUAAGACAUUCACUUGUAACUUAAUUGAUCAAAAUGGGAAUUUACUGAUUACAGUAUUACUUUUUGAUGAGCAAGUUUUCCGCACAAGUAGUUUCAACUAAUCAUUAUACUACCAUUUUCGAGUUUAAAUAUUAAUUUAUAUUUAGCUAAUACAUAUUCUUAAGUGGUUCGUAAUAGUGUUAACGGUACAUUAGUAUCGAGAUUCAAAUCUCCAUAUUGCAUGUUGUUGAAAAGAUCGGUUAUAACUUUCAAGAUAAAGAUAAUGAUACACAUUCAAUGAAAAGAGGGUGAUAACUUUCAACAAAAAGAGUGUAAUAACUUAGCAAAGGAGGUCUACACAGGUCAAGCUAAAGAAAACGAUGGUAACGAGUGAGAGAUGGAUAUGACCAUAUGUUUAUUAUUUUUUCUUAAUAAGGACCAUAUGUCUUAUUUUAAAUUAUAGAAAUUCACACUUUUGUUAAAGAUAUUUGAUAGUGGAAUAGAGCGAGGAGAGACCACACAACCUAAACGUUCAUGGGUGGGGGAUGGGUCAUCAUUAAGAGAACCAAACCUACAUGUGUAUACUAUUGUUAUUUGAGAAAUUUCAUCGAAUUUGCAUCGAUACUUUUGUGAACAAUAAGCACUAGUUUUGACAUAAAGCAUGUUUCCAAAAAUUCUUCUUGUCAUAAAAGUAAAUUUCAUAAUUUAAAUGUUUAGAUCUUCAAUUCUAAAUUAAGAAAAUAGAAAAACUAAUGAGAGACAACAAUAACGUUUUAGACGAUUUUACCUCUCAUUUAACUUUAACCAAGAAUAAUCUGAAUAUGUUUAAUGUGGACGUUUAAUUUAUAAAAAAUGUUUUUUUGAAUGGUUUAAUGUUUAAACUUUAAUAUUUGUUGUUUGCCCAAAAAAAAAAAACUUUAAUAUUUGUUGUUUGAUUGUUGUAACAAAUAUAUAUUUUAUAACAAAUAUUUAAUCCUACAAACAAAUAGAUAGUAGUUGUUAUAAAAUCAACACAACAAAAUAUAUUUAUAUUUUAACAAAAAAUAAUUUCGUAAAUUUGAACUUUUCAAAUGUUCAAAAAUGAAAAAUUCUUUAAUGCCACUCCAAAAAUGGCAAAAUCCGUAAAUGUCACUUAAAAAAUUAGUAAAACUCGUAGUAAUCCCUUUAAAAAUUCACCAAGUUUUGACUCUUAAGUUCUAUAUGACCAACAAACUAUUGUUGAUAUAUGUGACUCUUAAGCAUUAAUCUACUUAAAAGGAAAUCUUAUUCAGCAAAUCAACCUAAAUGUAUAACCCCUAUAUCAUAGAUCAGGCAAACAAAAUUUUAACAAAAUGUAUAACAUCUAACAAAAAAGUUUAGGUUUGAUUCACGAAAAAGAGCACCUUUGACAAAAUUUUAUUUUAUUUUAUUAUUGUUAUGAGAUGUUGAAAAACGAAGGCAAAAUGAAAAAAGGCACGGUGGUUUGGCAAAAGGCAUGUGCCAAUGUCUCUACUAAACUUCAAUAAAGUAAUCACUAAUGAUUGUGUAGAGAGUCAUCUUUACGAAUUCUUUCUAUCUUUCUUUCAAUUUUAUCCAUAAGCUUUAUUUGAUAAUAACGUCAAGUAUGGGCACCAACUUAUCAAAACUCAUCUUUUUUAUUGGGGCCUCACUACCGACGAGGACGACCACAAUUAGACAGUAGUUGCAAAUGAGACACUUGUACUAAUCCAAAUCACUUCAUUGCAUAUUUUUUCUUUUUGAUGUCUCCAUAAAAUUAGUUUUAUCAAGAACUUGAUAGUGUCUAAGAUCACAAAACCAAAAACGAAAGAAAAAAAAACAAAAGAACUAGUAAAUUAGAUUUUCUAAAUAUUGUGAUCAACAUGGAAAAAAUCAUUUAAGGAUAAAAGUUUUAAAAGAACUUAGAGAAUCUAUUGUAAAAAAUACAUUUUAUUGUGCUGAAACCAUAAAACCACCAAUUGAAUCCACAAAAUCAAAUACCAAAUUUUCAGCUUACGAACUUAUUGCGAAUACUUGAAAAUGAAUGCCUUCAAAAGAACGAAUAACCGUGAUUGAUACAAGUGUUUUACGAGUUAGAAACCAAUUGGUGUUAUUGAAUCUAUAAUUCACACAAUAAAUUUGUUAAUGGGGGAAAAUAUUGGCGAGUGGGCUACAUUUGUGUUAUGGGCCUAGCCGACUUAGAACUUACUUGGUCGGCAAGUCUCGUCUAGGAUUUCUAUGUUAAGUUCUUUGUAUAAAUACGUUGUACAACCGUUCAUUGUAAAGCAAGCAAUUCAAUAUCAGAGCAUAGAUCCUAAACUAUACUCUGAGAUCUCUUUUUCGUUUUUCUCUAAAGUUCUAAAUACAAGUUCUUGUUUGGAAUCUCAAGACGUGAUCUUGAAAGAUGACUGGAAGAGAUGUAGCCGAAAGUGGAGGAGAGAAGAAGCCGGAGAAAGUUGUGUCACCAUAUUCAGUGUUUUCAUCCGACAACCCAGGAGCGUUGAUUACGGCGGUGCUGUUGAAAGGUGAUAACUACAAUGAAUGGGCGACGGAGAUGAUGAACGCCUUGCAAGCAAAAAGGAAGAUGGGUUUCAUCGAUGGUUCCUUGAAGAAGCCACCGGAGGGUCACGCAGACUUGGAGUCAUGGCUAAGCGUGAAUUCUAUGAUUGUGGGAUGGCUUCGUACCUCGAUUGAACCACGUGUUAGAUCUACUGUGACGUUCAUCACCGAUGCGCACAAGCUAUGGGAGAAUCUCAAAGAGAGGUUCUCGGUUGGGAAUAAGGUUCGAGUUCACCAACUGAUGUGUAAAUUGGCGUCUUGUCGUCAAGAUGGACAUGCUGUGAUAGAUUAUUACGGAAGGCUGGCCAGGAUAUGGGAAGAGUUGCAGACGUAUCGUCCAGCUCUGGCGUGUUUGUGUGAAGCUGCGGCGGCGUACGAGAAAGAAAGGGAAGAUGAACGUGUUCAUCAGUUUGUGAUGGGUCUCGAUGAAUCGAGAUUUGGUAAUGUGGUUUCGGGUAUUAUUGAAGCAGAUGUGUUGCCCGAUCUUGGUAAAGUGUAUGCCAAAGUGAUUCAAGAAGAAGAUAGACUCAAUUCAGCUAAGACAAGAGAACAACAACAAGAAGCUGUGGGUUUUGCUACCCGACGUGAGACACAAGAAGAAACAGGGGGCUCUGGUUCUCGCCAUGACGGAGGAGGAAACAAACCACGAGAUCGUGCUUGUUUUUAUUGUGGCAGAGAGGGUCAUGAGAAGAGCUCGUGCUGGCAGUUGGUGGGCUAUCCUGAGUGGUUCACGGAACGUGGAGGCAGAGGAGGACGUGGUAUGAGUCGUGGAAGGGGACGUGGCGGAGCUUCUACCAGUUAUGGAGGAGGACGUGGGCAAGUGAAUAUGGCUCACGCAACUAGUCCUUAUGCUUCUACAACACCAGACUUGACUCCGGAGCAGUUGAGGAGAGCUAUUUCACAACUCUUCAAUGACAAAACUGGUGAAUCAUCAGACAAACUAGCUGGUAAGACACAUGGUGAUUUGAUUCUAGACACGGGAGCCUCACACCAUAUGACAGGAAACAUAACACUUCUAGUCAAGAUUCAAGAGACUACAUGUAACACCCGCGUCCCGCGAUCCUAAAGGGGGCCGGUUUGUUUUAGGGAAAACUAGAUCAUGGUCGAGAAAGACAAUGAAAAAAUUAACCCAAGGAAAGAAUGAAAUGUUUAAGUCGUGAAAAGGGUAGAUGACUUAGACUAUUUCGGGAUAAUCUAGUAAUCAUGGAGAAAUGAUCAUGGAAAGAUUAGGAAUGGCGAAGUCAAGGCCGAGAAACGGACCGAAAGACUUAGCCGGAAAGAACGGACAAAGGAGUCCGAGCUAAUCCAAUUAGGUGAGCUGGACCAGCUGGAUGAACUAGCUAGCUCAACUAGGUGAGCUAAACCAGCUGGAGGACUAGCUAGCUCAGCUAGGUGAGCUGACCGACAGCUCAACCGAGCUCAAAGAACUGAUCGGAUACUGACCCAACUGGGUGGUCCGGUCAGCUGACACUCGAGCUGGUAGACUGUGGUAGUUCGGGGAUGAAGAGGUGUAAGGUUGAGCGGUUGUCGACGAACAGUUGCCAUUGGCCAAAGGGUGGAUAAGGCCAAGCGGUUACGAUCAGAAAGGUGCAACCCUUCGAAAGGGUGCAACGAAUGGAUGUGAUCUUUCGGGAAGGAACCCAUUCGCCCCUAUAUAAGGGAGGAUGUCCAAGGGCUUGAGGAUCACAAUUCACACAUAUCACAAUUACAAACACAAUCCGGAAAUAGUCCUAAACACGCCACGAAGUUGUUGGUCGGAAAGGGGGUGUGGCUCGGUGAGUAUCUCCGGAAUCGGAACGGAUUCUCGGAGCCUCGACCGAACUGAUGCGCAUGCUACCUCCCAAUCCAACGGUUCGAUGGAAUGUUUGGAUGGAUUGAUUGGACCGAUCGUCGAAGAGAUGGAUCGGAAUGGAUGGAUCGUUCGUCGGAGAGACGGGACGGAUCGGGUAAGAUGGUCGGGUUGACCGAAUGAUCGGAUCGUGGUAUCGAUCGAUGGAUCGGAUCAAUGGAACAACAAUUCGAUCAAGGAAUUGGAUGGACGGAGAGUUCGACGACUUGAUUGAUGGUUCGGAUCGAUAGCUCGAUUAUGGGAUCGAUGGAUCGUCCGUUCUAUGAAUCAUAUCGUCGAUGGAAGGCCACGAAAAGGAAAUGGAUCGGUAAAUCUAAGAUUGUCAAUAUGGAAGUAUUGACGAAUCCAAAGAUAGACCGAUAGAUGAUAUGGUUAACGGGAAGUUAAUCGGAAAGGCGUAUAAGGGAAAGGUGUUCGAAGAAGCACGAGGAUAAGUGCAACCGAACACACCCAAGGGUCGCCCAUAGAUGCAAUAUCGCGGCCGCCUUUAUGAAUCAAACGUCGCAGCCUUGGUGGAUCCGAUCAGAAAUCGGUAAGACCUAUGGUGACUCGACGGAUGGAAUAAGGCAAUAAAAAGGGCUAAGGGAAGGAUCAAUGGACGGAUUGAAAAGGAAUCGAAUCCGCAUGGGGGCAAGGUAUGUAAACGAAUCUAACUUAUUAGUUAAGCUAGACGUUUAAGAAUUGGCCGUGGAAAUUAGGAUAACGGAAUAUGCAAUCGUUAGACUUAGAAUGGUUAGCGAACAAAUUGCAUGUCUUGACCGAGUAAAGGAUCGAUCUAAGUCUUAGGGACAAGGAAGAUAAAAACCGGUACAAGGGUUGGUUGGAAUUAAACCAAGGGUAGAAAGACUUCCGCUGGGUAAUAAGAAAGCGAUUAUAGAAUUAAGCCUUGUAAAGGCAAUUCUAUGUUAAAUCGCGAAAAAUAUGGAGGUUCGGCCGGGAAUUGGCGCGAAUGUGAACCUUAGGUCGCCGGACGCCGAGACGUCCGGGACGGGGUCUCACACUACACUGUGUCGGAUUGGUUUUGCUGAUGGAAGUACAACAAUGUCGUCAAGGAAAAAGGGCAUGAUGCCUUUGUCAGAUCGUAUUGCUUUAUACGAUGUGUUAUUUGUGCCGGAACUUAAUUGCUCUUUGAUUUCGGUUUCCAAGCUUUUGAAAAGUUCAAAUUGCUUUGCGUUCUUCAUUGAUACUUUGUGUGUUUUACAGGACCGUUUUUCGAAGACUCUGAUUGGUCGAGGGGAAGAACGUGAUGGGGUCUAUUAUUUAACGGAUGUGAAGACUGCUCGGGUUAACAAAGUUGAGGUGAAGACUGAUCAAGUUUUGUGGCAUCGUCGGUUGGGGCAUCCUGCGUUUUCGGUGUUAUCUUCUAUUCCUAAAAUUUCUGAUAUUACUAUUUCCGCUAGUCAAAGUCCUUGUGACACAUGUUUUCGGGUUAAGCAAACAAGCGAGGUUUUUUAUGAUAGUAUUAAUAAAACAGAGGAUUGUUUUUCUUUAAUACAUGUUGAUGUCUGGGGUCCUUAUCGCGUAUCAUCUUCUUAUGGCGCUGUGUAUUUCUUGACAAUUUUGGACGAUUAUUCUCGUGCCGUAUGGGUCUAUUUGAUGCUCGAGAAGUCAGAAGUAAAAACAGUUCUUCAAAAUUUUUGUGCUUACUCGGAAAAAUAGUUUGGUAAGGCGGUGAAAAUGGUGCGUAGCGAUAAUGGAACGGAAUUUAUGUGCUUAACGUCAUUUUUUAAAGAGAAGGGUGUUGUUCAUCAAACGACUUGUGUCGGAACACCACAACAAAAUGGAAGAGUUGAAAGGAAGCAUCAACAUAUUUUAAAUGUAGCUCGCUCAUUAUUGUUUCAAGCGAGUCUACCGGUGAAGUUUUGGGGAGAAGCUAUAUUAACAGCGGCCCAUGUCAUCAAUUUGACGCCAACUAAGUUGCUUAAAGGGAAAAGUCCUAAUGAAGUUUUGUUUGGAGAACGACCAUCGUAUGACCAUUUACGUGUGUUUGGUUCCUUGUGUUACACUCAAAAGCAGCUCCGUGAUAAAAAUAAAUUUGCCGCAAGAAGUAGAAAAUGUGUUUUCUUGGGAUACCCUUUUGGGAAAAAGGGGUGGAGAGUAAUGGAUUUAGAAACAGAGGAGUUUCUGGUUUCAAGAGAUGUCGUGUUUCACGAAGAGGAGUUUCCUUUUGCAAGGUUGAAAAAUUCUGAGUCUUCUCCGUGUGGAAGUGGUAUUGUUGACAACGAUUGGGCACCCGAUAUUAUCGACAGGGGGAGUUUUAACGAAGAUGAAAUUGAAUUAAGUUCAGUUCUCGAAGUUGGUGUUGGAGAUAAUGUGGCAGAAACAGCUGAGGUUGGUAUUGAAGAAUCUCUAGAUAAAUCACCGGAGGAGAUUGAUGAUGCUAUAAUAGAAGUUGGACCCGUGUUGGCACCCCCUCAAGCUGAAGAAAAUUUGGGUGUUGGUAAGAGACAAAAGUUUCCAUCCGUUAGAUUAAAAGAUCAUGUGACGUAUAACUCCGUUAAACAAGCAACUACCCCUCACGUUCCCUCCGAUCUUCUCACAGAGUCUUCUUCGGUCCAAGGUAUUUCUUUAUACCCUCUUACAGAUUAUAUAUCUGAUUCCAAUUUUUCAGUGAAACACAAGGCGUUUUUAGGUGCUGUAAGCGCAGAACACGAGCCUAAAAGUUACAAAGAAGCAAUUCGAGAUAAGAGAUGGACUAAAGCAAUGGGGUCGGAAGUUGGUGCUUUAGAAAAGAACAAGACUUGGAGUAUUGUGGACUUACCACCGGGCAAAGUUGCUCUUGGUAAUAUGUGGGUUUAUAAAAUUAAGUAUCAUGCUGACGGUACUAUCGAGAGAUACAAGGCACGCUUAGUCGUUCUGGGAAAUCAUCAAGUAAAAGGGAAAGAUUUUGAGGAAACUUUUGCUCCGGUAGCUAAAAUGACCACUGUUCGGGGUUUGUUGAGAAUUGUUACCGCACAAAAUUGGGAGGUGCAUCAAAUGGAUGUACACUACGCUUUUCUUCAUGGUGAUCUUCAUGAAGAAGUUUACAUGAAGCUUCCGCAAGGAUUUUCGCAUUCUGAUCCAACAAAGGUGUGUUGUUUACACAAGGCUCUCUACAGCUUGCGUCAAGCACCACGUUGUUGGUUUGAGAAGCUCACUACGGCACUUGUUAAAGCGGGUUUCGUUCAGUCUUAUGCAGACUACUCAUUGUUCUAUUAUUCUCGUGGAGAUGUAGAGAUACGGGUGUUGAUUUAUGUUGAUGAUUUGAUUAUUUGUGGAAAUAAUAACGCAGCCUUGGUCAAAUUCAAGAAAUAUCUCGGAGAGUGCUUUCAUAUGAAGGAUCUCGGUAAGCUUAAAUAUUUUCUUGGAAUUGAAAUUGCUAGAAGUGAAGAAGGUAUAUUGAUGACUCAAAGAAAGUAUGCCUUAGAUAUUGUUGCGGAGACUGGUUUACUUGGCUCUAAACCAGCACAAACUCCAAUGGAACAAAACCAUCGUUUGGCUUUGGAUACGAGUCUUCUUCUCACCGAUCCGACAAGGUAUAGAAGAUUGGUCGGGCGUUUGAUUUAUCUCACUAACACGAGACCUGAUCUUUCUUAUUCAGUUCAUAUCUUGUCCCAAUUUAUGCAAAAGCCUAGAGAAAAUCAUAUGGAGGCAGCCCUAAGAGUGGUGCGUUUUCUAAAAGGAACUGCUGGUCAAGGAAUUUUAUUACGAGCUGAUUCAAACUUGGAGCUUUCAGUGUACUGCGAUGCGGAUUGGGGCACUUGUCCGACAACAAGACGGUCUUUGACAGCGUACGUUGCUCUUCUUGGUGGGUCACCUAUCUCUUGGAAAACGAAGAAGCAAAAUGUAGUAUCAGAUUCUUCCGCUGAAUCAAAAUAUCGGGCAAUGUCUAAAGCAACACGAGAGAUUAAAUGGCUGCGUCAAUUGCUAAGUGAUAUGGGUUUCCCGCCUCCUCAACCGAUACGUUUGUUUUGUGAUAGCAAGGCCGCAAUUCAUAUAGCGGCAAAUCCAGUUUUUCACGAAAGAACGAAGCAUGUCGAAAUAGAUUGUCAUCGAGUUCGUGAUGCUAUUAAAGAUGGAUUGAUCACUACGGUUCAUGUGCCUACAACGGCUCAGUUGGCGGAUGUACUAACAAAGGCGUUGGGCAAGGUUCAGUUUAAUACAUUGAUGUCCAAGUUGGGUGUUCUUAAUAUCCACACACCAACUUGAGGGGGAGUAUUGGCGAAUGGGCUACGUUUGUGUUAUGGGCCUAGCCGACUUAGAACUUACUUGGUCGGCAAGUCUCGUCUAGGGUUUCUAUGUUAAGUUCUUUGUAUAAAUACGUUGUACAGCCGUUCAUUGUAAAGCAAGCAAUUCAAUAUCAAACACUUUCUUUUUCUACAGAAAACAAAUUCAGAAAACUCUCUUUAUUAGAAAUCUCGAUCAAAGACUCUAUUUCAAAAGGAGUUAUAAUCUCUUGUAAAACAAGUUAUGUCUUUUCAAGAACAGAGAAAGAAUUAGGGUUUUUGCAUGAAAAUUGUGGAUCCCUUGAAUAGAAGACAAAACGUUUUAUUUAUACUCGAGAUAUCUUUCAAGAUAAAAUCAAAUUUCCUUAAAUCUAGGGUUUGAAUCUUCAAGUCUUCUUUAUCUUCGGAUUUUGACAUUAGUAAAGGGAAUUUUCUCAUUUUUCCUCUUUUAGAAGGUCGAUAACGACCUUUCCUUCUAUCUGAGGGGGGUCGGCUGACGACCUCCUUGGGCCAAAGGCCCAUUCACAGGUAACCGGAUUUUCUCAGUUUAAUUGAAUUGCUCAACUAAUUCGAAUUCCCCUUGGUUUAGGCCAAUAUUAUGGUGGGUACCAAACUACCAAUUGCCGCAUCAAUAGGUGGGAUGGAAACUAUAUCUCGGCUAACAACAAAAAAGAAUUGAGGUCUCUCACUUGCAAGAUUUCAUUUCUCCAUCUUUCACUUUUUCUUGUUCUUUUUUGUUACAAGGUCCAAAACAAUUAUAACCGAGAAAAAGUUGUGCACGUUGAGUGAUCUGGAUUAUUGGGCCGAUAUGGAUUAUUGGGCCGAGAUAACGCAAAGACAUUGUUGGUCAUUGUAACCAAACAUGCCUGAGAGAGAUAUUUCCUAUUCUCAACAUUAUCAUUGGUCUUUGAUGAAUUCAACAUAUAGAUCAUUCUUGUUAGUUCCCAAAUUUCAUGCUAUAUAGUUUUGUCAAUUCCCAUACUGCAAAAAGUUGGCUCAGAGUUAAAUGUGCCAUUUAUAUAGAGAAGAAAGUGCUACAAAAGUAUCAACAAGAAGGAAACCGAAAAACCUAAAAGAACAGACAUUUCAAUAACAGAGUUAUGUUCAGUUUUCAAUCUUCUCCACCUGAGGACUUUUGCUCAUUUACAUCAUAGCUCAAUAUAUUCCACCUGAGGACUGCCAAAAAGUAUAUCUUAGAAAUUGUGUGGACGACGAAUCCAUCAGAAAUAGCAAAAGGAAACAUAUAUCUUACCUGUACGAUAUUGCGAUCCAGAGGUGAUAUGUUCAAACCUGAACAAGUUAGAUAGCUUAAACGUGAACAAGUUUAUCAUGACACUAUCUAUUCAUUACUUCUAUUAAUAGCAAAUCCUAAAGGCAUUGUUUUUAUCAAGUUCAAAGAAACGAUACCUUUCAGAUUCUUGAGGAGGAUGGACGGUAAGGCUCGUAUAUCCAGGAAGAUUUUUCUGAAGAAUCAGGAGCUAAUAUGCCCUUCAUCCACUCGAAACGAACAAUCAGCUCUUCCAAGUCCAAGACAGCAGCUUCAACAGACUCUGAUUCCAUGAUGUUCAACCGAAGAGCUCCAUCUUUUUUCAACUUCUCUGUGGGUCUCUUCUUUUCUUCCUCUCUAGGUUCAGCUCCACUCUGCUCUUCUUCUUCCAUUGAUUUGGCCUCAUUCACUUGAUCUAUUGUAACAGCACAAGGCAAACAUUCAUAUACCACAUAAACCAAACUAUCAAGAGAAACAGAAGGAGCAAACAGCUUAAACAUUGGGGAAUAUAGCAUUGAUGUAAAAUAAAAAAUCUAACCUUCAUUCAAAUGUUUCAUUAGCUUAGCACAUUGCCUCUUCUCCCCAUCCUACAAGAAAGAUGGAUGGUAAAACAAGAUAAGCGACCAAAAGAGUAAAGCUUAGAGUAUAUAAGGAAUACUUUGCAUCAACUAACAUACCGUUUUGGAUCGCUUACACUUAUUUAAGGUGUAACUCAUAUCUGAUUAACAAGAUUUUAGCCGUGCACAAAGAAACGACAAGACAACUUUAGGGUAUUAAUAAAAGUGAAUCUGCCCUUGACUGAAUUGGUUUUUGUUCAAGCCAUAGACUUCGACUUCAAUCUAGUAAUUGGAGCGGUUGUUAACGUGAGAAAGAAAGAAGGAAUUAAGCAAAAAAUCUCUCUUAGAGAAUUAGGUUAUUUGUUGGAAGUUGUUUUCUCAUUAAGCAAAGAAGACCUUUAUAUAGGCCAAAAUACAUGUUGUUAAAAGGAAAUAUCAAAACCUAAUGUAAAAAGGAAAACUCUCAAAAACAAUCUAAUGCUAAAAAAGGAAAAAACAUCAAUAAGGCAAUAACCCUUGUCACUUAUCAGUUUUAUUUGCAGAAGACAUGAGGCUUAAAUAAGUUGUUUCAUCUAUCUUUUCUCAAAUACUAACCUUAGAAAAAGGUACAGUCCAACCAUCAUCAAGUGACCAUUCCAAUGAUGGUCGCAAAUCCUUAGACAGGGCCUCAUAGAUACUCCCUUCGCCAUGUGGUGGAGCCAACAAUUCAAUCUGCAAAAUAGACCAUAAAGAAACACAAUAAGUUUUUACUACAAAGUUCAAAAGCCUCCAUUUAAUGCCACAAAAUAAAGCUUAAAUGGAACUUAUGGAAGCAAAGAGGAUACGAGCUUUAACACAUAUGAUAUGACCAUAAAGUUGUCGUAUCUCAUCAUCCUUUGUUAAAGUAAGUAAAGAGAAACUAAUGAAUAAAGAAAGGCAUGAUAGCAGAAUGCGAGCAUUUUGAGGACACAAACUUAUCCUCAAACUUCUGUGCGUAAAUUAGUUAUGUUAAAAACAAAGUAACAGUAAAAGUAAUAAAAACACAAGCAGACUCAUCGAGAAACCAUGUGAUCAUGCAAAACUAAGUAUACAAUGAAACAUAGAUUGCAAUAUAACAAGAUAGAGUAGGAGUAGAGCAAAACAAUUUAAAAUCGAUAGCAAGUUUAUAGGUAAUAUAAACCUUUAAAUACCUGUACUGAUCCAUUUUCUUUCACUUCCAGAACCGUCCCAGACCAAUAACAAUAGGCUUCCCACCAAUCAACCAAAUCACCAACCUUCCAAUCAUCAUGAACAACAGCAGCUUCUUCUAGAGCACCACCCUCCUUGUUAAGGACUUCAUUUUCAUGACAUUGUCGUGGAUAGACAGGUCGAAUCAUUAGGUGUUUCUCACUCCCACCUUCGAGUUGUUGAAAUACUUUUGUUGUAUGUAUACCUGAGGCAUGAGGAUAACAAAUUCACAUCUAAACAUUUAACAAUGGUGUAUUGGUACUAAGUAUAUAUUCAGCUUAAGAAUUACUCUCUCCGGGAUAAUCGAGAUACUCCACAUCAUAGAAUAAUGCUCUCCUUUUCUGAGAUAUCUUGAGAAUCUGAUAAACCAUAAGAAAGCAAAACAUUGAGUUUUUUACAUAAAUAUGAUAGUUCUAAAAGUUUUUAGAACACUUAUACACAUUUCAAAGUGUAAUCUUAAUCAUUGCUUCCUUUAGAAUGUAAGCAAAAAAAAAGUACCUUGCAUCGAAACCAAGCACCACGAUAACCCGAUAUAAAAGAUCUUAAUUCUACAGUUUGACCAACUUCAAAUGGUAGAUUGAUUUGAGUCAUUACUGUUUAACUGCAUAUAAUCAGAAUGUAUUAAAAUAAGUCAGAUUAGGAAGAUAAAAAUGCCAAGCAAACAUCUGAGUGUUUUUAGCUUCCCCAUUCACAAGAAAAUAUCUAUUCACUUUAAAUUCACAGAUCAGCUAAAUAUUGACUAACUCACCAAAACUCAAACAAGUAUUUUACACAAGGUUAAGCUUCUGGCUUCUCUAUUUCUAACAGUAGUAAAAUAGAGAAAGGUAGCCUCCAAACAUCACAACUUCAAAACUAUAAAUCGAUGACACAAUCACCAAGUUUAUUACAAGGGGACACAAUCAAGAACCUGUGUCAAAAACCAACACAAAUCUGACCUAAAAUCAAGCAAAAUCGAUACUUUUCCAGAUUUUCCUCAGUCACCAGACAUAAUUGUGGAGAGAUAUCUAAAAAGAAAACCUUAAGAGUAUACUUGUUAAUCACCAAAGUAGUUACACUAAAUCAUCUAAUCAGAUCAAUCUUUUGACAUUGUACAAGAUUAGAGUUUUGCUUUAGUGAUAAUCACAAGUAAAAGAAAAACAACAAACCUUCAAUGGCUUCACAAGGAGUCUUGAAACCCAAAGCAAUGUUCCUUCCCCAGAUUUCUUCGAGCUAAAACACACCAUUAAACCCCAAUCAAAUGAAUCACAGAAUCAGAUUCGCAAAAAGAAAAAGAGAAUCUAUCAAUUAGAGAGAAAUCGAUGCCUACUUGUUGUUGCCUCGCGACUUGCUCUCUUAUGGCUUCAGAGAUUAAAGAAGAAGAGAUCGAAGAAGGAAAAAACAAACCCAACGUUGAAUAUCAAGAUCAGUGAGUCAAGAAACACUCUCCAGAAGAUCUCAGGUCGAUUUUGGAGAUGGAUGGAUAAACCUCUGAUCUUAUUUGUGUUGAAUAAACCUCACGAACUGAAUUUCUUUCCUUUAGUUAUAAUUGUACUUCCUCUUUUUGAUUUUCCCACACGCAAACAAAACGGUAGGGCCCAAUAGCAAACCCAAAAAGUUUUUGCCUGUGGGUUCGGGUGACCGGUUCCUUUUUCAGAUUUCAGGUCUAUUCGGGUAGGAGGACCGAGACCCAUUUGGGUAUUAUAAAAAUUCGGUUCAGAUUCAUAUCGGUUCGAUUAUUUUGAAUAUAUAAUUAUAAUUAAAUAUAACUAUAAUUUUAUUUUGAGUUUUCGGAUAUCUUUUCAGUUUGGAUCGGAUAAUUCAGAUAGAAAAAUUCAUUAUCCGUAUGGAUUUUGUGACUAUUCGGUUCGAUUUCAAAAUCGAAUUUGUCGGAUCAGUUUUUAGAUUUCGGGUUUUAUGCCCGGCCCUGUAUAAACUUUUCUUGUACCGGUGAGGGCUUGAAAAUGCUUUGGUUCAAGUUGAACCGGUUACAUCGGGUUGGUUCAAUUUGAAACCGGUUAAAUCGGGUUAGUUCAAUUUUAACCGGUUUAAAUCGGGUUAGUUCAAUUUGAACCGGUUUCGGAUGGGUCAGUUUGAUAAACACUGAUGCUAAGGAAGAAGAUCCUCUCUUCUACUGCGCCAAGCUCAAACCUUUUAAAGCUUUACUCUUUCAUUUUCACGAAACCAAUUCCAGAGAUCAUUAUCGAUCCUAAACAAUUCAAAAACACAAUGUUCAACACCAACAACAGUGUCUCAAUCUCAGUAUCUGACGACGAAUCCAACGAUUUGAAUCGGAUCCGAGCUCGAACCCGACGAAAGCGGAAGAAAUUGAGUCACAGAACCACCUACGAGCUUCCUCGUCACGUUCUAAGGCUUUUCGUGAGAUACUGGGUCGUAUUAGUUUUUCUUCUCGCAGUUAUGUUGCUUGUUUUCGAAUCAACGAGGAUUGGGAUCAAAUCUAGUGUGUUGAAGAAUCCAGAUUCGAGUGGAAAAGAGAGUCCUAGUAAGAAAAAUGAAGGAAAUUUGAAUCGAUUGGAUCCAACUACGAAGGUUAUUGGUGGUGUUAGACAACGUAAGCUUGAUUUGAUUUGAUUAUGUAUGAAUAAGCCAUGAAAUGUUAAAAAAGAUAGUUUCUUUAAUUUGCUAUUGGCUGGUUUAAACUUGGGUAUUGUUUGGUUUUAUUUGUUCUGUGUUGUUGAAUGAUUAGUUGAUAGUGUAAGUGUGUAUGGAUUGUGGUAGGUUGUUUGAAGCUUUUGCCACCUGAGGAGCUUGAGAAUCUUGAUAUCUUAGAGCGUAAAGAUUCAGGCACUCCGGUUAAGAGAGUUGUGUAUCUAACUGAUGCGGAUGUGUCGAUGGGUGAAAUGAAAGCUGUGCGUGGUAAUGGGACGCGGUUUAAUUUAUUCACGGGGAAUCAGACUUUUGCUCAGAGAGAGAAUAGUUUUCAGGUCAUGAUUUGGUAACUCUACAAAGCUAAGAACUUGAGUUUCCUAUAGUUCUAAGAAGUUUUUGAUGGAUCUUGAACUGAGUGUUGAUUUUAUUGCAUCAGGUAAGGGAAACAGUUUCUUUGCAUUGUGGAUUUUUUAAUGAAAAUGGAGGAUUUAGGAUUUCGGAUAAGGAUAAGAGGUUUAUGCAAACAUGUGAAGUUGUAGUCUCGACAUGUGCGUUUGGUGGUGGUGAUAAUCUUUAUGAACCUCUUGGAAUGUCUAAGGCAUCAAGUCAAAAGGUUGGUCACUCUGUUUAUCCCCUGUCCACUGCUCUUUAACUGUUUCUCUUGCAUAUCGAGUAUGGAUUUUGAUUAAAUGGUUUGUCUUUCUCUGCUGUUUCCAAUCCUGAAUGAGUUUUGUGGAUGCAGGUUUGCUAUGUUGCGUUUUGGGAUGAAGUUACUCUUGCAACACAAGAAGCAGAGGGUCAUAAGAUCGAUGAGAAUGAUCACAUUGGAAAGUGGCGUAUUGUGAUUGUAAAGGAUCUGCCUUUUACAGACCAAAGGCUUAAUGGGAAGAUCCCAAAGGUACUAUUCAUCUACUUCAGAGGCACAUGUUAUUAUCUGCAGUGCACGUAGCAAUUUUAUUCGCUGGGUUUUAACUGGUUCUGAUCAUGCGUUCAUGCGUUCUGAUCAUCCUUUAACUUCUGCUUUUGCGCUUAUUUGCUUAUAUCUCACUUCUGCUUAGAGGCUAAUAACCUAAGUUUGUUUAAGAAUUUGUUUCCAUUACAACCAAACUUCAAACUUCUUUGAUUUUCAUUUUGUGCUGUGUAAAAUGGUAUGUGCUUGAUUUGAAUUAGCUCGCUGUUGUCUUUUUUUCAUACAUCUUUCGAUCUUGUUUAAAUAUGGUUGGAGUCAAAUAUUUGAGUUUCCUUUUGCUUUCAAGCACAUGUAUGUAUGAUAUAAGAUGUUUUCAUAAAGAUUUUAAUGAAUCUGCAUAUUGUCAGAUGUUGGCCCAUCGCCUUUUCCCAGAUGCAAAGUAUUCGAUUUGGGUAGACUCAAAGUCCCAGUUUAGAAGAGACCCACUAGGUGUACUAGAUGCUCUUCUUUGGCGAACAAACUCAGUGCUUGCAAUUUCAGAACAUGGAGCUCGAAGCAGCGUAUACGAUGAGGCAAAAGCUGUCGUGAACAAACACAAAGCUACACCUGAAGAAGUUGAAGUCCAAAUAAAUCAAUACCGACAUGACAAAUUACCCGAAGAUAAAAGAUUCAACGGGAAAAAAGGUAAAUCUCUUUUCAUCAUCGGUGUUGUACCAAAGCUCCUAAACUUUGAGGAUGGAAGUAAUUUUUGGUUGUUUUACUUUCUUAAAGCUUUAUCUGAAGCCUCUGUGAUUGUGAGGGAACACACUCCAUUGACAAAUCUCUUCAUGUGCCUCUGGUUCAAUGAAGUCGUCCGCUUCACUUCGCGUGAUCAAUUGAGUUUCCCAUACGUUCUUUGGCGAUUGAAAGUUCUCAAGAACAUCAACAUGUUCCCUGUGUGUACACGUAAAGAUCUCGUCAAUAGCAUAGGCCAUGUACGCAAGGCUAAACCAUUAGUUAGUCUAUGAAUGUACGUACCCUAACUUUCCAAUUCAUUGGUUUAUUUUAGUAUCGUUUUUGUAUCUAGCGUGCAGACAUAAAAACAGAACUGACAUAUUUUAAGCUGAAACCGAACUAAACCUGAUCAGAAUAAAAAUAACAGCUUGAGGACAAAAGAAGGUAGUGGUUUAGUUAUGUUGUGGAAGAAGUAGUUAUACCAAAAUCACUAAUCUAACUUUAAAACCAAAGAGGUUUGUUGAAAGAACAGUUAGAAACUCCUCUUUGUAUCUCAUAUUCUUCUCCGACCAUGCUAACUAGAAUCAUCUUCCUCAUCGCUGUCGCCACUGCUUUCCUCGUUGUUCUUCUACUCGCUUUAUUCUCACCCGUUCCUGAUUACGACCCGCCGGGAUCAUUCUUCUCCUUCUCCCUCUAUGUUCAACAAACUCACACCCCAUCCUCCUCCUAUUCUUCUCGUCGGUCCAGUCAACACAUAGCCCGGCCCCAUGGCCAAGGAGGAGGAAAAGGAGCAUUGAUUUUCCGGCGUACGCUUACUGAAGGACCCGAGAAUAAUUCACGGAUCGUGGGCAAAGCUGAGGGAUUUAUAAUCCCACAUGAAGACUUUGCUAGCUCGGAUUUUAACGUGAUAUACUUGACGUUGGAGACUCCUGAGUACACGGGGAGUGUUAGCAUUAGGAGUAGAGACAUGGCACAUAAAUUGAAAGAGGUUAUGGAGGUAGUGGGAGGGACAGGAGCUUUCGCCUUUGCCCGUGGAAUCGCUAUGUUUGCUGAGAUUGAUGAUCAUGAGGAAGAAGCUGUAACCACUUACCGUGUUAAGCUUCUACUUAGAUUUCCACAUACUUCUCACGUAGAUCCACCAUGAUGAACACUUUUCUAUUACAAUACAUAUAUUUGUGUAUAAAUAAAGUUAUUUACUGAUUUUUUUUUUUUUUGUUAAAAGGCCUUCUUAAAGUUAUUUACAGAUUCACUACAGAUGUUUAAAGAACUCGAAGCGAGAAUCAGUUUUGCUUUCUUUUUGCCGAUAAUUUAGGGGUGCCCAGUUCUUUUUUUUCUUUUUAUCUUCGACAAUUUUAACUUGAUAAUCCACUCAACAUGCAUGUCAAGAAGAUACCAAUCUUCAUAAUAUCGAAUAAUUUGAAUGGCAAAAAUUUUAAUUCGCAUCUGAGCAAAAAAUUGCUAUAUGAAUAUGAUACCAGUUAUUAACACUACAGGAAAUGUGGGUAUUAAUAGCGGCCGAAAAACGCAAUUAUUCAUCUACCAUAGCGUUUCCUUAAGCGCUCUGACAUCGCCCGUUAUAGAAAGUCGGACACUUUUGAUAGCGGUUUUGCGUUGUACAAUAGUUAAGUAUACAACGAUAGCGUUGUCUUUUGUGCAAUUGUUAAUGUUUAUAAUAGCGUGAUAAAGAUGUUAUUAAAACUCGUUAAUUAGAUUUUACCUAUAGCAAAGAUAGCAUCUGUUUUGUGUUAUUAGUUUGUUUUUAAAUUAUUCAAAAUAAUAAAUAAUUACGAAUUAUAUUUUAAUUUAAAUGUAAUAUUUGUAAAAAAAAAUUAAUUUCGAAUAUUUGUAAAAAAAAAAAAUACCAUUAAAAUGUUUAAUAACCCAUUUCAAUUUUCAUUGUUUACAAAAACCACAAACAUACCUAUCAAUCUACCACUAACAAGCCUUCACAAUCAUCCCUAACAUAAACACUAUCAUCAUCAAAAGCUUCAUCAUCCAAAUCAUCGACAUCCAAAUCAUCAAUUCAGAUUUCUUUCAAUCAUCAAUUGUAGAUGAUUUCCGUUACUUGUCCAUCAAGAGAUCUCUCAACCUUCUUCUUGACAGGACAUCCUGGAUUAGUACACUUGUAAUAGCUUCGAGGAAACUCGCUGCCUUUAACUUGCUUUUGCCCAUAUUUUUGCCAGUUAUAACCAUCAUCAGCUGGUUUGUCAACAUUUAGAGGGUGUUGGGACCUGUGCUCGAUGAUGGUCACAUAUGAGGUUUCUCUUUGAGCUGGUAGUGGAGCCGAGGUCGGGAUCUGAGCUUGACCCGAUGAAAAUGAUUGAACUUGAGAGGAAGGAGGGUACUCUGUUUGUGGUUGCAUAUUGGCAUUGGCUUGAACUGCUUGAGCAGUGACUUGAGCUAGAGCUUGCUGAUGUGUCAUUCCAUAUGAUCCCUGCACAUUGUUACAUUGAUUUCGGGUUAGAACAAGAACCGCAAAAACAAAUCCGAUCCGAGCACACACCAAAAUAGGUAAGACAGAUUCAGAGUCAAGACAAAGUAGAGCCAGAGACACAAAACAUGCUAGUUACCCCAAAGUCAAACAACCUAGAUAACCCUAUCAAAAGAGAAUAUAGUAAAGGCCUGUCUAAAGCAACCAUCUCGACUAAAGAACACACAUUGUUCCCAUAAUCAACCAUAUCAGGUCAUAAGAACAGGAUUUUUCGGUUAUGGCACCAAGAUAUCUUCCUGAGGAUUUAUAUAAAAACCUUGAGCAAGCCCAAAUCUUGAUGAGUAUUUUGAUCCACAAUCUCCUGAAAGUUCCUACCUUUUCAAUACAGUUGAGUUGCAAAGUUCCUUCCUUUAGGAGAAAUCCUCUAAUCUCUAAUAAGCCCUAAUACAAUCCUAAUCUCAUAAUCUCCAAUUUUGACCUAAGAUAAUUCCAGCAAAAUGGUUACAAAAUCUAUAAUUUGUUGGAAUAAACCUAGAUUUGCUAAGAACAACGUGUUAUUUGUUUCCACAGCAGCCAACAAAACAAAAACAAGAAACAUCUCAACAAAGAAAAGACACAAACACACAGUUUCCAUAAAUAGAUUUUUAAACUUUAACCAAACCAAAAAAGAUAAAAAAUUGUUAACCUGAACGGGAGAGAAAAGACCCAAAAAGCUUGGUGAAUCCAUCAACAAGGCCGGACUUAAACCAGGCGGUACGGUGAACAUCGACGGCGAUUGAGAUUGAGAAAUCAUCAAACCGGUUGGUCUGUUUUGCUUGAAUCUCGGGUCAACAUCACCACUAGAGCUAUUAGUCCCUUCACCAAUUCUUUGGUAAUCACUAGCCGUCGCAGCAGCUGCAGUCGCGGGAGAAGUCAUGGCUCCAGCAAGGAGCUGAGAGAAAGACCUAAACUCAUCGGAAUCAGAGAACAUAUUAGAGACCAGAGUCAUCGGACCAGGACUAAAUCCAACGCCACCGUUAAAGAACAUCUCACUAAACGGCCGUGGAGGAAGAGAUAAAGUCGGACGCGACGGAGCUCUGGUAGACUUCGAUGUCGACGGAGCUUCUUCCUUUUCCGACAUCGAUCCAACAAAAAAAUUAAGAUUUCUUUCAAUCAGAUAAUAUAAGUCAGCUCGAUAGAAUUAAUUGUAUACCUUGGCAGCGAGAUCCACGUCUUAUCCAUUUGGUCACGAUGGAGAUGAAUCCGUUCUGAAAUGAUGAACUUUUGGUAAAAUCGAGUUGGGGAAGUUGUGUUCUCUGAAAAUUUGUGUUCUGAAAUGAUAAACCCUAAAAAAUGAACGGCUGGGAUCAAAAUUAGUGAAACGAAUCAACGGUCUAGGUUCAAUAAGCUUGCAAUCUCGGUAGUUACUGCUUAUUGGCUAAGAACAUGAACGGCUCAGAUCAAAUCAGCGAGAGAGAUCAACGGUGUAUGUUUCGCCUAAAGUGUAAUCUCUGUAGUCUUAGCUUAUUGGCUAAGAACAUGAACAGCUCAGAUCAAAUCAGCGAUACAGAUCAAGGGUGUAUAUUAAUCGCGUCAACAAUAAGAAAGGACGGCUCAGAUCAAAGUCGGCGCGAUCUAACGGUGCAGGAUUCGUCCCACAAUGUAGGAGGUGAGUUCUCAUUGGCUAGUAAUGAAAAAAUCAUAAAAUUAUCAUAUAAAAUUUUUUAUUAAUGAAAAAAAUAUAAAUUAUUUCCUUAAAAAUACAAUAUAUGUAUUUCAAUUUUUAGAAUAUUUUUUCUUAUAAGUAUAAAAUUUUAAAAUUAAGAACAAUUAAUAUAGGUUAGUAUUCCAACUAUCUAACUUAUAUGUUCAUAUACACUAAGGCAUAGUUUAGGGUUUAGGGUUUAAACUUUGGAAUUUAGAUUUUUUUACUCAAGUAUUUAUGUUUUAUAGUUAAAACUUUAAUUUAGAGUUUUAAAGAUUUAAUUUAAUUAGGAUUUUAACUUUAAUUUAGAGUUUAAGGUUUAGGGUUUAGGGUUUAGGGUUAAGGGUUAGGAUUUAGGGUUCACAUUUCACAAAAAAAACAUUAAAAACUUUUCACUUCAAUUUUAUUUACAAAUUAUGAACAUAUGAGAUAUUAGAGUAUAAUUGAAAAAUAGUGAAAUGUGUUUCAAGAUUGAACCCUAUACAGAUUGUUAUUAAUUAAUAUUUCUAAGAUUGUUGUUUGAAGAUUUUUGGAAAUAUUAUAUGGAUAUAGAUGAUAAGAGUACAUAUGUGACAGAGAUUUAUACAAUAAAAUUAAAACCAUAAAAAUACAUUAUUGAAACAUAAACUCGUCUUCUGACAUAGAAUUAAGUUUAUAUGUGGUUGAGUUAAAAAGUUGCAGAUCGAGUUAAUAGCCUAAAAACUCUAAGACGAACAAGAUUUUUUCUCGUUUGAUUCACUUUGUCAUGAACCUCCAUCUCUUGCUCAAAGACGUAAUCUAACUCGAGUUCUUGAAACCAUCUAAUGCAAAGCCUAAGCCUUUUUACAUAUUCGAUCAUAUUCUCACAUCUCUCCUGCAAAGAAAAACAAAAAACAACAUCCAAAGGUAAACAGUUCAUAUCCGAAGGAAGUACUCAUUGAAUCAAGAAUCUAAAGCUUCACAAUCUUGAGUAAAGCCACAAGUUCUUCUUUUUUUUUUUUUUUUUUUUUUUUUUUUUUGUAAUUUCCAUGAGACAAUACAAACUUUGAAGCAAGUAUCAUCAAGUUCAAUCUGAAAUCAAGGAAAAGAAGAAGAAUCACCAAGAUUGUUGAAUGUAUUGAGCCUUGAGUCUGUGAUGCAAUGAGAAUUGUUGAAUGUAUCACCCUGUUUCACAAUGAGAAACCAAAAUCAGAGAUUCAAUGCGAUCAGUUCUUACAAUAUUUGCCUGCAUUUAUAACCAAAUAACAUCAGCUCUCUCAAACAAUAUUUAGACACGAGGUUAGAGAUACCUUUAAGGACACUAGCUCUCUCAAACACAUGCCUUGUCCAUAUCACAACAAUACAACCAUAUCUCCACCACCGAGUAUACAAUUUGUGAUAAAGAGUUCAAAGGAUCAAACACUCAAAUAACAAUGACAGCCUACUCACAUCAACACACACGAGAAAGAAAGUAAACAAACAAAGACUAAGAAAAUAAUAGCUUACAAAAUAAACAAGUGGUGAUCUUGAUGAUUUGAAGACUAUCUACAAAAGAAUUAGAAACUUUUAAAAUCGAAAUCCCACAUAUCUAUUAGUUCUUCUAAGUACAAAAUUCAGCUGCAAGAACACUCAAAUAUAUAUAUCAAGAAAUACCGCUUUAGAUGACGAUUGAGAGGGAACGAAACGGAGAUAGAUUGAGAUCGAGAAUGAAAGUAAGAGGAACAUGACUGUGAUUGAGAGAUCGAGACAGAGAUGGAGUAACGAGUCUGAUUGAGAAAUCGGGACAGAGAUGGAGGAUCGAGAGUUGAUAUCGGGAUAGAGAUGGAGGAUCAAGAGUUGCCAAAAGAAAAAUUGAAAUGAGAUAGAGGUGUCGAAUGGGAAAGAGAUAGAGACGUGAACCCUAAUUUUUUACCACAUACCUUUGAGAUAUCCCAAAAAAAUUUUAGUUGGGCGGGCAUCAAUUUAUUUUAUUUUAUUUUCGCGGUUAACAUACCAUAGCAUUCCAAAUUUUGUAUAGAGAGAUGGAUAGCCAAAUUCUUAAGCGGGAACCACAUCACUUUUGCCGCUCAAUAUAUUAUAGCGUUUUAUAUUUCACAAACGCUAUGAAAGAAAGAGGCAAUAAUCAAACAUAGCAUAACCAUCUAAACCGCUAUCUUCAACUGCUAUCAAUACUUGCUUUUCCUGUAGUGUAAGAUUUGAAUCCCAUAUCAAAUAUAUACUUGUAUAUAUAUUAAUGAAUUAAGACAAAAAAUAAAGCCACACACAAUUUAGUUGUUCACUUUCAACGUAAGAGUUACGUCUAUUUUACCUCUUUGCGGAUUUUAUUAUGAUCAACGAUGGGAGGUUGUUUUUCGGUUGUGUGUUUGCGGGUUAUGUUCUAGGAACUUAAAAUCGAGUUAUGGUUAUGGGAAAAGGGUUUGUUUGAUGUUAAAAGAGGUUAAUGAUCUCAUGCUUGAGAAAGGUUUUACAAUUUUUGUUAAGCCAGCUACAACAUCUAUGGGAGAUGAUGUUAAUCAAGAAGGUGUUUAAUACUAACUAAAUCAAUAGUUAGAUAUUAAACACAAGUUACUUAUAUUGAGAAACCGCCGGUCUGAGACACCCGCCUGGCUAGGCAAAGAGAUCCAAACUGGCAGGGACAAGUAUAAACUCGCCUGUCUGGGACACCCGCCUGGCUAAGACCUGCCAGUCUCCUCUAUGUCAUUUUAACCUAAUCUCUUUUAUAUAUAAAGGUUGUACCACCAUUGUAAAGUUUUCAACACAACUUUUAAUCAAUACAUUUCAUACCUUUUCUCUCCAUUUCUAGUCAUGAGUGUCGACACAUUUCCUUCUUAAUCUUCUAUUCUUAUCAUGGUAUCAGAGCCAGGUUGUGAUUCUUGAGUCUUAAUCUUGGUUUCUUUGUUCGAUUCUUAAGCUUCUUCUCUUUCGAUUCUGCUGGUUUCUUCUUUUCCUGAUUCUUCUGGGUAUUUUGCGAUUUGGUUUUUCAUAAAGUUAUCAGCUUGUGAAGGACUCUUGUGACUAAUCUGUGGUAACUCUGGUCUGGGUUUAAAGCUUGGGCAUUUCUAAAUUUCUAGAGCUUUCGUCUUGUAGUGUGUCUGUUUGGGUUUCUAAUCGGCGAAAGGCUACGAAUCUGGUUGGAAGACUUAAACUUUGAAGAUGUCUGUCACGAUUUAUGAUGGAAAGAUGAAUGAUACCUUCAACGACUUGAAGCUUGCGGUCACUCUGAAUGGGAACAACUUUCUGUUAUGGAAGCGGACUACUUUGAACGUGUUAGGAGGAAGGAAACUCACAAAACACAUUGAGUCCACCUAUGAGGAGCUAAAGGCAACUGAUGAAAGUUUAGAUGAGGGUACUUGGAAACAAUAUGAUCUGAAUGUGCUUAGUGCUCUACACUGCUCACUAGAGGCGUCAAUCCUAGAGGGUUAUUCGUAUUGUGAGACGGCUAAGGAGUUGUGGGAUACUCUCACAAGCGUAUUUGGCAACGAGUCUAACUUGACUCGGGUUUAUGGUAUCAAGAAAGCUCUUGGCAAUCUGAGCCAAGAAGAGAGUGAUUUCAACACUCACUUUGGGAAGUACAGAUCUUUGGUUGCUGAGCUAGAGAUGUUAAGACCCUUCACCACUGAUGCAAAGACGCUCAAGGAGCGUAGAGAGCAAGAUCGUGUGUUUGGGCUAUUGUUGUCACUUAACUCAAGCUAUACUGAUGUAAUCCAACAUAUUCUAAGGGAAGACAAGAGUCCAACUCUAGAACAAGUAUGUGCUAAGAUACAAAAGGAGUAUGGUACUCAUGAGUUGUUUGGCACCAAGAGCACAAGUCUCCCUACAGCUAACAAGGUGGGAUUUGCGAAGCAAGGAGACAAGAGGACAUUGGUUUGUGAGCACUGUGAGAAGAAGGGCCACCUCAAGGACAAAUGCUGGAUACUACACCCCCAUUUGAAGCCAGAUAAGUUCAAAAAGGACAAGGCAAAGGCUAACGUGGCAGAAACAAGCGGAGGCUCCGAGAAUGGCAAAAGGGCCAUUGUGAAAUACAGUCAUCAUGAGAAGGCGUUGCAAGCUACACAAGACAAGAGUUCUGCUUCCACUUCUCAAGAGACCAUUGUGAUGAACAAAGCCGAUCUAGAGAGCCUUCUUCAAUCCAUUGCCUCCAAAUUACAUCCCGGCGGUAUCUCUCUCUUUUCUUCUAAUUCUAGUGAUUUAAACUCAUUAGUAUUGGACUCAGGAGCUUCUCAUCAUAUGAUUAGUAAUCCUAAGUUGUUAGAGAACAUUAAACCGGCUUUAGGGAAUGUUAAGGUUGCAAAUGGUCAUAACGUGCCAAUAGAAGGUGUAGGUUGCAUCAGUUUGUUCAAUAAGAAAUCUAGUGCUUUCUAUAUGCCUAAGUUCACUUCAAAUCUUCUUUCUGUUAAGAAAACGAAUAAGGACUUGAACUGUUUAGCUAUUUUUAGUCCUAACGACGUGAAGUUGCAGGAUAUUGAGAGUGGAAAAGUGUUUGGGCAAGGAAGCACCAAGGAUGACUUAUAUGUGUUUCAAGACAUCUCUUUAAAUUCUGUUUCUAAGAAUAAUGUUUCUUCUAUCUUUGCAAAUUUUGUUAAGACAUCGGUUGUAUUGUGGCAUGAGAGACUUGGCCAUCCACAUUCUCGAGCUUUAAGUUUGUUAAUGCCUGGCUUUUCUUAUGAUUGUUCAAACUGUGAAGCAUGCAUUUUGGGUAAACAUUGCAAAGUAGUUUUUCCCAAAUCCAAUACGAUUUAUGAGAAGUGCUUUGACCUAGUGCAUUCCGAUAUUUGGACUUCACCAUGUGCAUCUAGAGAUAAUCAUAAGUAUUUUGUCACAUUCAUAGAUGAGAAAUCUAAGUAUACUUGGGUAACUUUGCUUCCAUCUAAGGAUAGGGUUUAUGAUGCAUUUUUAAACUUUCAAAACUAUGUGACUAAUCACUUUGAUGCCAAGAUUAAAAUCCUAAGAACAGAUAAUGGAGGUGAAUAUACAAGCACCAAGCUAAAAGAACACUUGGAGAAAUGUGGAAUCCUACAUCAAACGAGUUGUCCAUACGAUCCUCAGCAAAAUGGAGUUGCAGAGAGAAAGAAUAGGCAUCUUAUGGAGGUGUCAAGAGCUAUGUUGUUUCAUAAGCAUAUGCCAAAACGGUUUUGGGGAGAUGCGGUUAUGACGGCAUGUUAUCUCAUCAACCGAACACCAACCCGUAUCCUUAAUGAUCAAUCUCGUUUUCAAGUCUUAAAUAAUCAGAAUCCUAACAUUGAUUAUUUAAGAGUAUUUGGAAGUCUUUGUUUUGUGUUUGUCCCAGGUGACUUAAGAAACAAGCUGGAACCCAAGAGUACCAAGUGCGUAUUCAUUGGAUACUCAACAACUCAGAGGGGUUACAAGUGCUUUGAUCCAGUCAACAAUAGAUAUUAUGUAUCUAGGGACGUCAAGUUCAUGGAAGACAAGACUUAUUUUGGAGAAAAGAGUUGGGAAAAUGUGAAAGAUUUGCCUAAUUCGACUUCAGAUAGAGCUAAAAGUCUCCGACAUAUUCUAGAGCAUUUGGGUAAUGUUAGUUCUUCACAAGAAGAUGUGGAAGCUACACCAAAUGUGGAUACCAAUGAAGCUCAAGAAAGUGGUGAUAAUGCAACACAAGAACCUCGGGAUAUCCAACAAGAGAGUGGUAGAGAAGAAGGGGUAAGUGAAGAAGUGGAAGAGAAAGAUCCAUCUAGUGAAGGUGAAAUUAUUGAAUCAUCAAGCGGAGAUGAGACUUAUCAAGCUCCACCAGUAACACGAGAUCCAAUCUACACUCGGGAGAAUCCAAGAAGGGGUACAAGAGAAAGGAAAUCGAAGAAGUGCCACUAUAAUUGCCAAGCCGUGGCUCAUCCAAUUCAAGCGACAUGUUCGAUUGACCUUCUUCCCGAAGAACAUAAGGCUUUUAUCAGUAAACUAGAUUUGGAAUUUGUACCACAAAGCUAUGAAGAAGCUAAGGAAAUAAAGGAAUGGACUAAUGCUGUGGAUGAUGAGGUUCAGGCUAUGGUAAGGAACCAUACAUGGGAUGAAGAAGAACUUCCACCAGGGAAGAAGUGUGUGAGUUCAAAAUGGGUUUCACCAUAAAGUAUAAAAGUGAUGUUGAAAUUGAGAGAUACAAGGCUAGACUAGUGGCAAGAGGGUUUACUCAGACCUAUGGUGAAGACUAUAGAGAGACUUUUGCACCAGUAGCUAAGCAACACACGGUAAAGGUUGUCCUUUCUCUAGCGGUGAAUUUGGAUUGGGAAUUGUGGCAGAUGGAUGUCAAGAACGCUUUUCUUCAGGGGGAGUUAGAAGAAGAAGUGUAUAUGACACCACCUCCGGGCUUAGAGGAUACAGUAGCUCUAGGAAAGGUUUUAAGACUUCGAAAAGCUAUAUAUGGCCUCAAACAAUCCCCAAGAGCUUGGUACCACAAGUUGAGUUCAACCUUGCUUAGAGAAGGCUUCAAAAGGUCACAUUCGGAUCACACUUUGUUCACUAAACAAGAUAAUCAAGGAAUCGUAGUAGUGUUGAUCUAUGUUGAUGACUUGAUUAUCUCGGGCAGUAACAAAGAAGGUAUCCAAGCUAUUAAGUCUUCUUUACACUUGGCUUUUGAUAUUAAAGAUUUGGGUGUUUUGAAGUAUUUCUUAGGGUUUAGGACUAAAUCCUUCCUACUCCGGAAGCUGGAUCUGGAAAAAGCUAUGCAAGCUUCGGGUUUUGGCCCGUCCUUUUGUUGUGUGUGAGAUUGGUACCGGUCAAACUGCUAGCUUUUGGCAGGACAAUUGGACUGGCCUGGGCCCUCUCAUUGAGAUUACUGGACCAACUGGCCCGCAGGUUGUAGGGCUUCCUUUGAACUCUUUGGUUAGGGAUGCCCUUAGAGGGAGAGGCUGGUGGCUCUCAUCUAGUCGUAGCAGAAAUCACAUCAUCACUUUGCUAAAGGACUCUUUGCCUAAUCCUGAAAGUAUGAUUGAUAGUUUGCAUGAUGAUCUAUAUCUUUGGAAACCGGAUCACCAUGCACCAUCAACCAUUUUUUCAACGGCAAACACUUAGAGCGCGCUUAAUCCCAUUGGGGUUCCUGUUACAUGGCACAAGUCGGUGUGGUUUAAAGAUCAUAUUCCUAAGCAUGCUUUCAUCUGUUGGGUUGUGGCUUGGAAUAGGUUGCAUACUAGAGAUAGGCUGAGAAGCUGGGGUCUCUCUAUAUCUCCUUCUUGUGUUCUUUGCAAUUCUUCACUGGAAUCAAGGGACCAUCUGUUUUUUGACUGUGGAUUUAGUGUGCAGGUUUGGAGGUACUUUACUACUAAAGCUAAUCUCAACCCACCAACUCCUUUCAUGGCGUGCCUCUCUUGGGUCAAGUCGGCUUCUCGGGACAAAAAUAUUGCUUUGAUCAUAAAGCUUAUCUUCCAAGCUUCGAUCUAUCUCAUUUGGAAGGAACGCAAUCUAAGGAUUCACACUUCUUCUUCCACUACUCCUAUUGUCACCAUCAGAGCGAUAAAACUCCUUCUGCGUGCUCGCCUGGAUCCUUUGUCUAGGAGGCAGCGGAAUGCCAGCCCGGGUAAUACUUUGCUGUCCUCUUGGUUCAGAUUUUUUAGUUGAGAUUUGCAUCGUUCUGUUUUUUCUACUGCAUCCUUGUGGGCUUCGGCCUUCGGCCUUCUGUGGUCUGUUGGUCUCCUGGGGCCUGCGUGCCUGGCUUUGGGCUUUGCCCUUGUAAUUUGGGGCCUGCGUGCCUUUUUUCGGCUUUUGCCUUGUAUGUUGGGCCUGCGUGCCUUUGUUGGCCUUUUGGCCUUGUAUGUUCCUCUUUGGUUUUUUUAAUGAAAAAAAAAAAAAAAAAAAAAAAAAAAAAAAAAGUAUUUCUUAGGGAUCGAGGUGUGUAGAUCCAAGGAGGGACUGUUUCUCUCACAAAGGAAAUAUGCUCUUGAUCUUCUAAAACUUACAGGGAAGCUUGGAGCUAAACCAGUUGAUACACCAUUGGAGCAAGGUUACAAGGUCAAUCGAAAGGGGGAGAAAGAUGACACUCCUUAUCAUUGCCCAGAACAAUACCGAAGACUCG